UGGCCUCUUUGGUCCUCUUGUCCCUGAAGCUUCCUUGCUGUCUCCCUGUCUACGCCGAAUGCCUCCGCCAACAACUCUUGUUCAAAGCCGCUGAACACAUUUCCAGAUUGGAAUUGCUCCCUGCGGGCUCCUUCUUGUUGUCCCUGUUGUCGUUCUCCUUGUUGUGGGUUUCCAGCUAUGAAGAAUCUCUGCAAAUAACGCAAAACCAUUUUAGUCAGCACCAAAUAUAACUUCCCAAAACUGGCUCGGACCAAUUGUUGAGACGUUGAAAAAUUUUUAAUUUUUUCCAAGUAAUAUUUGUUCAAACAUAACUUCAAAUUUCAAAAUCUAUGGCCAAACAAAAGUUUAGAAUGAUAUACACUUUAUAUCUAACGUACUCUUGAAGUUUGAUCGAGCUGGUUAGCACUGUUACCGCUAUCCUCGAAACCAACAAGAACGAGCUCCUCAUUUCCUUCGUUAUAAGCCCAGUGAGCAGCUCCAGCAGGGAAGGCAAUAAUGUCACCCUGUCUGAACUGUCCAAUCUUCUGGUGAUGAUCUUGGAACCUUGAUCCUGCACCCCUUUCACCUUGCUGAAAUUGCUGUGACGACUGGAAAGUUUCAGGGCAUCCAGAAUUCAUGAUGCCAAAAAAUCCCCUACCUGAUCAUUAAUCAAUCAAUUACCCCCACAAAACGUUAACAAUUCAUCUAUUAACUAACGGAAAUUAAGUUUAAACAAAGAAACAGAAUGUAUGUACGUAUGUACCUUGUUCAACAUAGGCAAGGAGAGGAGCAUUAAGGUAGGAAGGCAACAGCAUGCCUCUAGGCUGGAUGACAUGUCGAAUGAGGGAGAUACCGGUACAUUGGAACUGCUGGUUAUUUGGGUCCCAUACAUCCGUUAACCCAGCUUCGGCUUGAAUCCGAACAUUGGGUUCCUGAGGGCUAAGUCUAUUGAGCUGACACUGACCUUGUUGCUGUUGGAAUCUUUGUUGAGCAAAGGUACCAUGCAACACUAGAAGAAGACUAAGGGAGAAACAAAGCAAGCUAGAACCCAUGAUUGAUUGAUUAUUGCUAAUGUAUGUAAGAAGAAAGAAGAGUUAUAUAUUGCUGAUGGGAAGUGGCGAACGGGAAUUGAUGGUAUUUGUAGGAAGGAGAGGUAGGCAAGGGAGUGACACAUAGCAAUUAAGGUGCCAUUUUGCGCUAUGCAUGGCUAUCAAAGCAUGCUGCCUUACACCUAAUAAAGUUAUAUACUCAUGCAUACAGAGUUUUAGGUGGCUUCAUCCUACUAAGAACAAUACAAAACCGAUUUUGUUUGAAUCGGACGAGUUUUCCAUUAACGUGGCAACUCGAUUAUGCACCUUGUGACCUGUGUGUUGGAUAGCGUACCAUGCACAUUGUUUCCAGGCUGGUUGUCUUUUCUGUUUCUCAUUUUGUCAUGUAUACAUUGCCCAUGUAAGAAUAGAAGUGAUUUACUGAGAUAAUACUUUAUCGUAAUAGAACUUAAUUUUGGGAUAUCAUUUCUAUAUACUACUCCGUAAUCAUGCGUGUAAAUGUAGUAUCUUUUCUAAAGCAAUUGUCUCUUCCAUUUAAUUAAAUUUUAUAUUAAAUAGAUCAUUAAUUAUUGUUUGUCGUGAAUGCCCCCUUAUAAAGUAAAUUGUAGUUCAUAUAACAAAUAGAACUCGUACAUUAAAAACUCAAAUUAUCGAUUCGUAUAAAUUAUAAGGUUUAAAUAUAUAAUAUACGCUAACAGUUGGCAUUUCAUCGCUAUAAUUAUAAUAUAAAAUUAAAUUAAUGUAAUUUAACUUGAUUAUACAAAAGGUUUCAUUUUUUAUUAUUGUGGUAGUAUGAUAUUAUGAAGGUAUAUAUGACAAAUAAAGAGAACUGUUCUAAUACUAUCUAGAUAAAAUACCUUUUUCUAGUCAUUUACAUAUACUCUUUAAUUAAUCUGAAUAUAAUUACUAUGUAACAAGGUGUGUUGUUUAUUGUUUUCAUUUAUUAUGGGUGAGGGGCACGCCUUCAAAAAUUAAUGUAACUGAUAAAUAGGAAGAAAAAUGCUGUUAAUUUAUAUCGAGUUAUUGAGUUACCAAAUUUUAAAUGAUUUUGUAAAUUUUUGGUUGAAGUUCUAUGGGGAUUAGGGGUUAUCAAUUUUUGGUUUUUUAUGCUUUGGUAAUAGCUAAGUCAACCAUCCAAUAAGAUCAUAUAAAAAUUAUUUUUUAUCUUUAAUUAUACAAAGGUGACUUUAGAGCUUAAAUAAAACUCUUGCACUUAUUAUUUCCUUAAUUCUAUUUCUUCCGGGUGAGGUAUUAGACUUAUGAACAGCUUUAAUUUGCGGUUUUGCAUUAUAGUUUAAAUUGUUGUUUGUUAGUAAAGACAGAUUUGAGAGAAUGCUACCGCAUUUAAGUCCAUGUGUAUAUGAAGCCGUUUCUCUAAGGUUAAUAUGCUUGCGAUCUCUUUUAUUUAGAUGGCGGAAGAAUAUUUUUGGACCUUUUACAAUCUUCUUCGUCAUAAAAUGAAUAAGUACUAGUAACAGUAAUAAGAUUGCGACCGAAAGCAUAUGAAUUUGAGUCUUUGAAUUACAUUUUUCACAAGUUAUUUAUAAUAUUUCUUUUUAAUAAUAGUUCUGUUUAGACAAAUGAUCCUUUAUUCUUUGGCCUCAUAGUAAUAAGUUCAUGAAGUUUGUUUUAGCAAUAAAUACCCGAGGAGAUUGCAUAUAUGCAAACAUGAAAACAAGACAAAAUAAAAAAAUAAAUAAAUAUAUAUAUAUAUAUAUAUAUAUAUAUAUAUAUAUAUAUAUCUUCUUAUCAAUUGAAUCAAAAAUCAAACUAUUAAGGACCUCUAAUCGAUUAAUUGUAAAUCAAUUUCAAUUAUCUUCGAUUUGGUAAUCAAUUUAGCAUGUUUACAAAUCGACAGCGAAUAAACCGAAUUGAGAAUAUAUGAGGUCGAAUCAAAUCGAUCAAAAGGAACCCCUAAUAUGAUUUUUGUAAUGCAAAUUUUGGGCAUUUAUUACUCAUUCAAAAUAAAAGAAUACAAAUCUAUAGGUCAAACAUCCCAAAAUAAAACAAUACACACAAAAAAGAACCACUCAGUCCAACCAGAAGAGGCCCAAACCCGUUUCUCUUUAUUAUAUAGAAGCAAGAAUGAAGGUUUCCUAAUCCCAUUUUUCUUCUAACAUUGACUCUUUCGCUCCACAUCUGAACGAUGUUGCCACCACAUGUCAAUCGUACGUGACCUCCUCCUCAUUUUGUUUUGGGUCAUCAAUUUGCUUUCUCUGGGAUUUUGAGGGGCUGGUAAAUCAACUUUCAAGAGUAUUCCACUUUUUAUUUUCUCCGCAUCUUUUGAUUUGCUUUAUUGACUUCUGCUCCCUUCAUAUUUAUGUUCUCAUGUGGGUAGAUAUGCUCUAUAUAUUUUGUUGAGGAUUCCUAUUUAUGGAAGUUGUCUUGUAUCACUGGGUAAGUUUCAAUACUCCUCACUUUGCAUUUUUUCAGUGUUACUCUAACAAAUCGUCCUAGUGGAACUGAAGUUGAGUGCAUGGGAAGCUCGGCACUUUUACCCCAUAGUGUAUAGGCCAACUCCAGGUUUCCAACUACUAAUUUGACCCUGGAUUCCUCUCAUUUGACCGAGUCCUUUUGAUGGAUAAAGUAGUGUAGGCUAUAUGGCGAUUCACUUUUUUUUUAAACCCAUGUGGAUAUGUGAAUAUUUGUCAAGUGAAAACUUGUGUUUUAGUUUUCCCUACCCCAUUAUCCCUUGAUAGGUGAUACUUCUGAAGUACAACAAUUUAAUCUAUCGCUAUUGAUGAGUUCCGUUCCUGUUGUUUCCAUGUUGUUAAAAUACAAAAAACUAUAGUUAUCUUUGUCUAUUGCUAGAUUUAUUAGGUAAUCUGCUAGUUGAUUGCCUUUUCUCAGAAUAUGUCGAAACAUUGUUUUCUUUCCUACAAGAUUUAACUUUAUAUCUGCAAUCAUAUUUGUAAUGCUCUCUAGACGAGACCACUCACCCUCUAACAUCCUUUUCAGUAGCAAAGAAUUUGUUGUACUAUAACAUUAUUGUUUUGUGUCUGCUUGCAAUGUUUACUAGCUUCUAGGAUAGCUAUUGCUUCUCCCACUGUGUUAGUAUUGCUCUCUAAGGUAGUCCCCUGUGCAUAUAGUAAAUCACCAUUAGCAUCUCUUAAGAAAAAUACAUAAGAUCUUAUCACUGGAUUUUCUCUAAAUGCUCCAUCAGUAUUAUAUUUAACUCACCCAUCUAGUGGAAACUCCAACAACACUUUAGUGACCUUCACCCUAGGUUUAAACUCAUCUAGAUCCUUUAGCUUUCCUGGCAAAGUUCCUGGAAAUUUCAUGUCAGGCUUUCUCACUCUAAGUAGUAUAUGCAUAUCUCUAACCACAUUUUGAAUUAUCAUCUGAAGUGUCAUCCUCUUUUCUUUAUGUUUCCUGAGGUUUCUAUGCUUCCACAGUUCCCAUACUAAAAUUCUUGGAAGAGCCUUAAAGUAUGGCUUAAGAUCUUUCUUCACUUCAGCUCUCUACCAUAGCAUGAUAACCUCUCUCAGACUGAGGCUUUCCACAUUCAACCUUGCAAAAGAACAAAAGUAGGACUAUGUCCUGUUAGCAAUAAUUGAUCAAAAACACAUAUGCUAAUGUAUCUUGAUCAGGAUUAGCACAACACCAACAUCUUGAAGGGUCUACUAUUCCCUAUCUCCUUAAUCUGUCAGCCACUGAAAUUUUAAUCUUUCAAAGUUUCCAUAUGAAAAAGACCAUCUUAAAUGGUAACCCUUUGAGCCACAUCUACUUUUAAACCUUGUUUGAAUCUUCCUUAUGUCUAACAUACCACCAGACUGACUUAACUUUGGAUACCCCUUUUAUAUUCAACAUCCAAUAUGGUUUGUCACGGUCCCUUUCUUGAUUAGAAGGCUUAACAUUUUGCACUAUAUGCUUUAUUACCUCAUUAGUAAAGAUUUCUCUUAAUACUUUUAAGUCCCACUUUCUAUUCUUUGUUAAAUCAAUGAUUUUUUCAUAAGAAUCAUCCAUUCUGCUUUAUCCCCUGUAUAAGUAUACAAAUCUCCCAAACCUGUCCAAUUAUCAUGUCACACCAUAGAGGAUCCUUUUUUGGCAUUCCACUAGAUUUGAUGCUUAAUCAAGUCUCUAUCCUGCAAUAUUUUUUUCUAUGCCUAUGACCCUCUACCUCUCUAUUUCUAUAUUACCAAACUAUAAUGAAUUUUCCUACAAUACUUAAUUUCAUAUACUCACUCCAGACGGUGUUUUUUAUCCUAAAGUUCCACCAAAGUUUACAGAACAAAGCCAUGGACAAUCCUGCAGUAAUCGAAAUCCCAGUCCUUCUUCUUCUUCUAGUAGGCAUAAAUUACUCCACUUAAUCCAGUACCUCCCCUUUUCUCCAAAAUACUUAUGCCAUAAGUUAUUGAAUUUGGUUCAAUACAUUUUGAGGAGGAUUCAUAGUUGAUAAGCAAUAUAUAGGUAUAUUUUAAAGCUUAUGCUUUAUCAGAAUUGCCUUCUAUCUAUAAGAUAAGAAACCCCUAAUAUGGAUUAAUAAGUUUCAUGUCAUGACCUAAUUUAUCAAAUCAUAAUAGAAAUAGAGUAAUAAGAAAGGCAGAAUCAAAAGUAAAUAAAAGAGAAAGAAGACAAGAAGGAAGGAAGUACAUCCCUAAAACCUGAUAAGUCAGUAUAAGAGCUUGUGAUACGGAGUACCAAAUAAGUAUAAAACAUGUAUAAAUCUAUCUCCAAAUUAUAAAAAUAGAGAUCAAUCUAACAAUAAGAAGUAGAGAAAAAAUGACUUCAAACAUUGAGAACUCACCAUAAAUUUCCGGUUCAUGGCUGCUCUGCACGAUGCAUACAUCAAUGACGAGAAUCCAUACUAUGAUUUGCAAGAAACAGAAGUAUAGUAUGAGUACCAAACAUGCGGUACACAGUAGUCAUUGGCCGACUGAUCUUCAAAGAAAAUACAAGUAUAAAUAAUAUGUAAAGUAAGAAAAUAAACUAAAAGCAACUAUCUAAAAAAUGACACAUAAUAAUACCAAGGAAAAAAGAGGAAUAUCAUACCUUGUAAGUAAGAUGGGAUGAAGAUAUGCUUAGAAAGAGAAAUUGGAGUUUCUAUCUGAAAACCAGCGGAAGCAUUGGACGCACACUCUUCUAAAAGGAAUGUCAUGAUACAAAGUGGGCAAGUCAUCCGGGGCAACAAGGCAUGCGAGCACUCUUGGAGUCGGCAUAUUAUUGGUCGCAAAUGAGAGAGGAGAUCGAAGAUGGAGUACGGACUUGUCUUAUUUGUAAGGAUAAGUUAUCAUGUACUACUAGUAAUCAGGAAUAAAAACCCAAUGUUAUAAGUAGCUAGUCAUUGUAAGAUGGUAUAGUGAAGUUUAUACAAUGUGCAAUAGAAGUAGGAAGGAAGAUACAUAUGAGAGAUAUAUUAUCACGCCUAAACCAGGGUCUCCAGUCCUUCUUCUUCUUCUAGUAGGCAUAAAUUACUCCACUUAAUCCAGUACCUCCCCUUUUCUCCAAAAUACUUAUGCCAUAAGUUAUUGAAUUUGGUUCAAUACAUUUUGAGGAGGAUUCAUAGUUGAUAAGCAAUAUAUAGGUAUAUUUUAAAGCUUAUGCUUUAUCAGAAUUGCCUUCUAUCUAUAAGAUAAGAAACCCCUAAUAUGGAUUAAUAAGUUUCAUGUCAUGACCUAAUUUAUCAAAUCAUAAUAGAAAUAGAGUAAUAAGAAAGGCAGAAUCAAAAGUAAAUAAAAGAGAAAGAAGACAAGAAGGAAGGAAGUACAUCCCUAAAACCUGAUAAGUCAGUAUAAGAGCUUGUGAUACGGAGUACCAAAUAAGUAUAAAACAUGUAUAAAUCUAUCUCCAAAUUAUAAAAAUAGAGAUCAAUCUAACAAUAAGAAGUAGAGAAAAAAUGACUUCAAACAUUGAGAACUCACCAUAAAUUUCCGGUUCAUGGCUGCUCUGCACGAUGCAUACAUCAAUGACGAGAAUCCAUACUAUGAUUUGCAAGAAACAGAAGUAUAGUAUGAGUACCAAACAUGCGGUACACAGUAGUCAUUGGCCGACUGAUCUUCAAAGAAAAUACAAGUAUAAAUAAUAUGUAAAGUAAGAAAAUAAACUAAAAGCAACUAUCUAAAAAAUGACACAUAAUAAUACCAAGGAAAAAAGAGGAAUAUCAUACCUUGUAAGUAAGAUGGGAUGAAGAUAUGCUUAGAAAGAGAAAUUGGAGUUUCUAUCUGAAAACCAGCGGAAGCAUUGGACGCACACUCUUCUAAAAGGAAUGUCAUGAUACAAAGUGGGCAAGUCAUCCGGGGCAACAAGGCAUGCGAGCACUCUUGGAGUCGGCAUAUUAUUGGUCGCAAAUGAGAGAGGAGAUCGAAGAUGGAGUACGGACUUGUCUUAUUUGUAAGGAUAAGUUAUCAUGUACUACUAGUAAUCAGGAAUAAAAACCCAAUGUUAUAAGUAGCUAGUCAUUGUAAGAUGGUAUAGUGAAGUUUAUACAAUGUGCAAUAGAAGUAGGAAGGAAGAUACAUAUGAGAGAUAUAUUAUCACGCCUAAACCAGGGUCUCGCCAUGAUGGGAAUCCCAAGUCGUACAUGGAAUGUACAUUUCCCCCUUAAUCUAAUCAAUCCAACACAACACGUCUCAGAGUCAGAUGAAUUCCAAACAUAUAACAAGAUACGGGUUUAAUUAUAUAAAUACGUCAAAGUAUAAUCAUAAUCAACACUAUCGAGUAUCGGCGUUAAUGCCAAUACUAAUACCAAUUAUGAUACCACUACUGAUACCGUCCAUACCAAUAGUAGUUUGAUAAAGCCUCUAAUCCAAUCCAAAGAGUAUUCGAUCAGGAAAUGCCUCCGACCAUAGCCAAAACCAUGUCUAAACAAAGUCUGAAACAUAGAAGUAUGGAAGCUCACCACUUUAAUGUCAACUCACAAACCAACUCGAACACCUGAUCACUGCAUAGGAAAGGUAAAAGAAGCUCUGGUUCUUGUAUCGCAUGGGGAUACAACAUUUGUAGAUAGUUAGAAGUUGGAACACUAGCAUGUAACUCAGGGAUAAAGGAAUAAAAUAAUUCCAUCAUUCAAAAUCAAGUCAAAUCAUCAUAUGAAUCACAUGUAUACAUAUAUAUAUAUAUAUAUAUAUAUAGUGUCGGGAUAGGGAGCAAGGCUUAGUAUGAAAUUUUAAAACCUUAACCUGGGUUGUGUAGCAUAACCGUCAUAUAAUAAGGAACCCAUGAGCUAUAUGGCCCCAACUCUCUCCUAGCUGAAAGGGCCCUAGUGCAUAUAGCUGCACGAACUACAGAAUAUCCAUAACCGUAUAUGCCAUUAUUGCGGACUCGAACCUCUCAGCAUAAUCCAGGUGACUUAAGCACCAAUGUAUAUAAUAAAUGGGACUCAAAUAUCCCAUGUAUAUCCAUUCGAGGGACUCAAAUGUCCCAGUUAUAUAGACACCUGCACUGGCUAGUGCGAUUUCCAGUAUUAGUCCUUUGGACUCCACUUUCAUGGCCCUCAGCUUAAAAGCUAUAGAAAGAACACAAGAGGGUACGAUUGGACCCCUUAACUCGUAUCCACAUCAUACAAGUGGUAUCGUCAACUCAUAACUUGAUCAAGAAGUUGGACACCAUAUUUUUUCCAACAUAUGAUUCCUUAGCAUAAAUCGUACCAUCACCAUAUGACUAGUACCCUUCAAGUUGUACCGUAAGUAGAAUAUCAAAGGCUAGACACUAGAUACCAUAUGGUUUAGACCCUACCUCUCAUAUCAUGAUCAUACAAUAGUAUGAAGUCUUCUCGUACGUUGAACAUAAAUAGGAUAAUGUGACAUUGACUAACGUAUGACUAGGGUCUUAGACCCAUAUCCAUACCAUACCAGUAGUAUGGUGUGAGUUAUAUAAUGUACAGAGGGUUCAAGACUCAUGAAAUUUGGCAAUGGCCAAAGUUUGAGGUGUUUUAUAUAUAAUAGUAAUAUGAAGAAAGGGUAUAUACAUAAUAAUAAUAAUAUGGAGGAAACCGAUCACAUAACAUAAGAUUAGCUAAACCUGAAAGAGCUAAUCUGAGGAAACUGGCCUAAUAACCUAAAUAUCACAAGGGUUACAAUAUUAAGAAGGUAGUUAACUCUAGCAUAAUCAGGAUCUCUAAACGAAACAUGAAUAAUCAAAAUCUAACCAUAUUAAAUCUCACCAUAAUAAAGAAAAAGUGACCAGAAAUAUACUAACAAUCUCAGAUACCAAUCCAUAACCUGUCUGCUAUAAACUACGUAAUAAUAACCAAUAAAUAUGUAACGGUCUAUCUCGAACAACCAUUAACCUAAUCGGGACCUCAUAAGCUUAAAAGACAGAACUAAACCUUUAACAAACAACAAUCAUAAUAUGUACCUAUACAGCCCACCCAUAAGAUCGAUAAAUCUAAGCAUCAAACAGUUAUACUCGUGAUAGGUGAUGCAUAUGAAUGGAUCAGAGUCAUGAAAAUUAGGUGAUGCAUGAUGACCCAAGUACCAUAGCCAACAUAAGUGUACGCACCUUCUUCAGCUUAGUAGCUUGUUAAGGCUGGACCUACAAUGAUUACCCUUCUCAAGUACUAUGGCUCAUCAAAUGAAGAGGCCUAUAGGGGGGUCAAGAUAUCCGUGCACAUAGUCUGGUUCUUAACUAGGACUUCAUAAUUUGUAUCCAAAACCACUCCAUCCAGUACCUAAGGGAAAAGAAGAGUGAAGAAAGAUUUUAAAAUCAAAGCGAGGCUAAAUAAGUAUAAAUAUAUAAAUUCAAUUGAAUUUGAGACUAAAGCGGUAUAAUAAAGAAGAAAGGGUCAAAAUCUCCCUCGGCCAAAGUAAGUAAAUAUUAAAAAAUAGCGGUCAAAAAUGAACCAAAAUCAGCCUCGGUCUAAGUUUUCAAAGUGAUAGGUUUAGUUUAAAAUAUCAUAGUCCAAUAAUAAGGAUGGUACAACUUUCAUUUUUAAAGAAUCAAUUUUAUUGUUUAAAAGUGAGAAUAAAUCUCUUUUUAGAAACUUAUAGUAAAAUAAAGAUUUUAGUUGGAAUAGUACCACUAAAUAAGUAUAAAUGCAUCCUAAUGUCUGCAUAUCAUCACCAAUAUUCAAAUAGUACAAAUACAAGUUUCUAAGGUCUAUUAACUAAAACCACACCUAUCAUAGAAUAGAGAACUAACCUGGUAUCUAACUGGUAUUGUAACCACGACCUCAAACCUAACAAUAUAUAAAUUAACUACUAGAAGGAACUAAUCGGGGAUAUUAUCUAAUUUCCCUAAGUAAUACGAUAAGUCUUAUACUAAAUAAUCAUUCAUUGCAACCUAUGGUUAACUAAUUCUAUAAUCAUGUGUAAUAGGACCCUACAACCUUAACAAGUAUUCUAGGCAAAGAUUCAGGUAAUAUUUCAAUUCUAAAUCUUCAAAAUAGGUCAAGUCAUAAUACAAAUAGGUAUAAACCUAUCAUAUAAUCCCUACCUAGCAUAUGAUCUAUACAAUACACAAUCUCAUAAAGAAAUGAAGACCGAAGCCUACCUCAUAGCCGAACCACAAAUCCUAAAUUUUCCAUGAACUACGUGUCUUUACUCCAUGAUACUGGAAUGCGUCAUGCUAUAAAUAUCAUAGUUUAUGUGCUUGUACAAUAAAAAUAUACCUAUAUAAAAAAUGAUGCAAUCCGCACUAAAAUUCUAAUCUAAAAUGAGAUCGUGGGAAUCAUGCAUAAAAUCCCAAAAUUAGACCCGUCAUUAGGUCCCUCAUGACUCAAGGAACGUGUGUCCAAAAUUAGGGCACAAUCCGAGCUCAAUAGUUGAUUUGCCAUGAUUUCAUGGCAUUUAUAAUUUUUAAACUUAGAGAAUAUGCAUGUUGUAAUACCCCAAUUUUUUAGAACCAGAAUGCCACACGGUGCUCAUAAUCUCGAAGGAUCACAAUCUAACCCUUAUCUGGUACCUGCUGCAAUAACUGUAUAUAAAUACUGAAUAAUGCGAUAAACUAGCGGAAAACUUGCCAUAAGGUUCAAAACAUCUAAAAUAAUCAAUACUGAAAACUGAAUACUAAUACAUCUGUCCGAAAAGCCUCUAGCUGUCUAAACUGUGGAGCUAAUGGGAUAUGUCCCCAACUAACUUUGUCUACUAAAAAUAAACUGAAUCUAAUGCAAUAAUAAAAAUAAGGUUCAUCCUCAAAUGAAGAGGACUCACUGCUACAUCUACUGCUGCUGACUGAGUCUAGACUGCUAAGGGUUCUCUGGAUCUCGCGCUUUAGAACCUAUGGUAUAAGACACCAUAACGCUAGAGAAAAGUAUGAAUCAAUACUUUGAAUGUACUGGUAUACUAGAUGAGGUAAGGCUAAAUGCAAGGGUUUAUGCAUGGAUAUAACUUAACUGAAUAAUCAUAAAAGUACUGAAUGAGGACUUAUGUAUAAAUGCACAAACUAUAACUGAAAUCAUCGUGACUCUGAAUACUGAUACUCGAAUACUAUUUUACUGACAUCUGAACUCACUACUAAUAUUGAGAUACUGAAUAACUGAGUCUAUUGAGAUUGAUCUCUAAUCUUCCUGAUACUAAUACUAAUUUAUUAUACCUGAGAUCAAGCCUAUAUAACGGAUGACCUCUGAGUUUACUGAUAAUAAUGCCUGAUACUUGAUAAACUAAAUCUGAGAUCAAGCCUAUAUAAUGGGUGACCUCUGAGUUUACUGAUAAUGAAUAUAAUUAUUUAAAUCUGAGAUUAAGCCUAUAUAAUGGGUGACCUCUGAGUUUACUGAUAAUGAAUAUGAUUGUCUGAAUCUGAGAUCAAGCCUAUAUAACAGGUGAUCUCUGAGUAUACUGAUAUUGAAUAUGAUUGUCUGAAUCUGAGAUCAAGCCUAUAUAAUGGGUGAUAUCUGAGUCUACUGAUAUUGAAUAUGAUUGUCUGAAUCUGAGAUCAAGCCUAUAUAACGGGUGAUCUCUGAGAGGUAGUCAAGCCUAGUAUAACGGGUGACUCCUCAACUGAAUUUUCUUACUAAGACUGAAUUUGAAACUGAGACUAUAGGAGGUAGCUAUCCAAUCGACAUGCCCCUUCUAGCUUCUUUGGGGUCCAACCUAUAACUAGUUGGAAGGGUGUCAGUACCGUGCCACGAGUAAAUAUAUUUCUCUUUGAACCCAAGAUACCAUGCCUAAUAUAACGGGUGACACCUAGUUGGAGCCAAGCCUAAUAUAAUCGAUGACUCCUAGGAGGUAGUCAAGACUAAUAUAAUGGGUGACUUCUCAUCCUACGCUGGAUAUGAAGUUCUGGAGGUAUAGGGAUUUAUACUUAUGACUCUGCCUAAAUAACGGGGAAGCCGCCAUCCCUGCCCUCGCUCGGUGCUGAAUCCUACUCCCAACUGAAUAGACACUGAACUAAUACUUAGAUUGUACUAGGUUGAAUCUCUUAUGGUUCAUAUUUCUUGACUGAUCUGACUGAGUUCACUUGGUUCCGUUAUCUAAUGGAAUACUACUGAAUCUUGUUAUCUGAAUGGAUGAUACUAAGUUCUGAUUUGAUUAAUUGAAUGUUACUAAGGUCUGAACUAAACACUUGAAUACUACUAAGAUCUGAGCUGAGUAUUGAACCGAAGCUAGAAUGCUAAUGAUACUUAGAUUACUGAGAUUUUUUAAGUUCAGUAACUGUCUGAGAGUACUGAGUUCUGUAACUCACUGAGUUCUAAAAAUCAUGGCUUGACUGAGAUUACCGUAAAAACUGACACGGGCUCUAAACUUGCAGCUAAAUUGUCGCGUAUAAAUACCCCCAGAACUCGAUAACAUAAAAGUAAAACAUAAAGAUUCUUGAAUAAUCAUGACCAUAGACAUUCAUUCACCAUUACAAUCAUUAAAACAUCUCUUCAAGCACUUGGAAAUCAUAAACAUAUGAUAGUAUAGGGAGAUAUGCUAUUGGCUCAUACUCCAUUCAACAAGGUCUUGCAACAAACAUUUAACAUACAUUGAAUAGCAUAUAAUUGGUGGAUUUCAUGCUAAUAUGUCACAAUUCAGUCAUUAAGGCUUUUUAACAAACACUUGGCAUGCAUGAGCUUUCACACAAUUGGGGAUUUCUAGUCAACAUGCUAUAAUGACUCUAAUUCCUUUACAUAAGCAUUUAAUCAAACAUAUGGGGAGCAUGCUUUGGUUAUACCAUAAAUUCUAUACUUAAUCAUCAAGAAUACACCAAUAUCAUGCAACUUGAAGAAGGUUUAUCAUGAACAUCAUACAAUUCAUCACAUACUAGAAUCAACUCUUGAAAUUGGUUGUCUAAAUCAUGAAUUAAAACUCAAUAAUAACAUGAACUUCAAUUUCAAUUCACAAGAAUCUUGAAAACUCAUAAAUAUAAGAUCUUUCAAUUUAGAAAAGGAAUCUUGAACUUCUUGGGUGGAAGGAACCAAGAAUCAACAUCUAAAAUACCUUGCUAUGUAAUUCUUGAAAGAAUCAUGGUGAAAACUUGAUGAUUUGGGUCUUGGAUUAGAAACCCUAGGUCUUUUUCUUAAAGAAAAUUGAGAGAAAAUAAUGAUAUUUGGGUUUAAUGUGGAUGAAUCUCGUGUUAAGGAGUAUAUAUAGGGGUUUGGAAAAAACUAUUUUUGCCCUUUGAAUUAAAAUCCAAAAUUGAAAAAAAUCCUAAUUUUAUAUGCUUGUGAGACGCGCCAUAAUCGCAUCAACUUACAACAAUUUGGACAAUUGGGAAACUGAGCCUUGGCACGAUGCGGUGAAAAUUGCGUUGCCACCUUGGUUGGGAAUUGGAAAUACACUGUGAUGUGGUGGAAUCGCGGAGGCUCAUUGGAAUUUGACAAUUGCCAUUUUGGCUGGCUCUGCGAUACGCUAAAGUGCCAGGUGGCACACUGUCUCACUAAAAUGGCUCUAACUCUUCGCCCAAGUGUCAGAUUUGGGAGAAUUUGAUAUCGAUGGAAUGCUUAUUCAAUUCUUUACAUGACAAAAAUUUGAUAUUAUGAAAAUUAUAUAGGGCUAUUUUAUUGGAUUUGAUGUUUUUUUGGAGUGAUGUUGUAGGAAACUAGGUGCUGGAAGCUAACCGAAAAAAAAAACAGAAUGAAAAGCUGAAAAAUGACCACUUACCUUGGCACCUAUGCACCGUAGGUAAUACCUAUGGCUCGCAGGUGGUCGCCGAUGUACUUUCCCUGAAUUAUUUUAGAUUUGUUUUCUAGGAUUUUCAUGUAACCUAUAUAGACUUCUAUGAUGUUUUUAGUCAUUAUUAUGUAUGUUUUCUCAAGUUUUUCACUUUUAUUUAGGAUUUGACUUCUAGGACUUUCAUGUAAUCUAUAGAUACCUUUUUUACAUUUUCUUAGUGAGGGUCUAAAAGAGAGGUUUGUUUAUGCCAUUUGGGGCUAAGUUUACACACCAUAUACUCUUGUAUUCUUGGUUUUUGGUUUGUUAUUCAAUUUGAGUCUUUGAGUUUUCUUCAUUCAUUAUUGUGAGAUUGAUUCUGUAUUUUGUCUAUGAAUUCCAUGAAUUAUCUCGCAACUGUGAGUGACUAAUUCCCUUAGAUAGGGUUGUGGGAACCCUCGUAGAUUAACGAAGUAGAAAAAGUGUCAAGUCAUUCUUGAUAAAGAUUCUUGCAUGUAUUGUUGUGUUCUUCGGUUUAAUUGAUUUCCUAACGGUGGACAACGUUAAAAACCCACAUGUAUUCACUACUUGCUACAAAAGAAAGGUAGAAUUAUGAAAUGACAUCACAAUAGUAAUUUGAGACCCCUUCUAUCUAAUAAUUUCUGCCUUCUUAUAUAAUUAACUUGAGAUCCAAAAGGUAAUAGUCAAUCUGGGAUCCAGGGCAAGGGUUAGUAACGUGACACUCUGAGACUCAAAAGGUAAAGGGUGAUAUUAGCCAAUGAGUCCAUAAGACAUUUGGUGAAACGUAAAUUGUUAGAUUCUACAUGCAAGGUAUUAGAAUAGUUCAAAAAUGCAUAGUAAAUCUACGGAGUUAGAAGACAGGGGAACACAAUCCUAGUAUUCGUCUUAGAUUGUUUACAACCAAAACCAACCAAAUCUUGUUACUUUCUUACUACAACAAAUCCCUCUAUUUACUUUUCUGUACUUCUCGGUGAUUUCAUCAAGUUUGAGAGAUACUUCUUGCCUAUUCCCUAUGGGAUCGACCCUAACCUAGUUGGGUUACAAUAUUUUGACAUCGAUCAUUUUAUCCUUCUUUGGAGGUAUAGUUUGGACGACAUCAAAAUUUUGGCACCAUUUUCGGAAAAUACAGUUUCGAAGUUAUUGAUUGAAUUUGUUGAAGUUAUCGAGUGUUCUUCUUUUGUUUUCAUCCUUUUCUUGAUAUGUCAACUUUUCAAGAGGAAGUGUGGAGUGAUAAAUACUUAUCUAUAGCCCACUCAAAUUAGUCCCAACAUAAAGGGAAAAUAAUAGUUCUAAUAGAGGAAUCAAUGGGAUAGAAGCUCGAAACUUACGAGAUUCAGACGAUGUUAAUACCACCUUGAAGUCCUCGAGAUACCCUGUUGACAUCCGAUUUUGACCUCCCAAUACUACUUUUAGGCUGCUAUUUUAACAAAAUUAUUAAUUUUUAAAUGUUAGUAUCUUUUUACACAUUUUUCUUGCAUCAAACAGAUUUUUGAUGUGUCAUAUUCAUAAUUUAAAAUGCACAAAUUAUUUUAUUAAAUUUCUAUAUCAUUUUUAUAAUUUAUUAAUUCAGAUACAACAAUUUACAUAAUUUUACUAAUAUUUAUUAAAAUAUGCACACUCACAAUUUAUAAAUACUUUGUCUAGUUUUGUUGUUGUUAUUAUUAUUAUUAUUAUUAUUAUUAUUAUUAUUAUUAUUUUAAAAUUUUUAUAACUAAUCAUUUUACACUAUUAACGAUAAUUUUGCAAAAUCUUUUACAUGUACUGUCUAUUUUAAUAACGAUAUCUUAUUAUAUUGUCAUAAUUAUAAUAGGAGCCAAUUUAAUGUAACUCUCCUGCAUUUAAUUUCUAAUCACUUCUAUGCUAAAUUAAUGUUAAUUUUGGCCACAUUUUGUUCAAUUCAUUCUUUUACAAUAGCUAAACUUUGAAAUCAGAUUUCAAUCUCAGCCAUCGAUCAAAUUUGAUCUAAUGGCCGAAAUUAAACCCUCCCCUCUUUCUUUUUUAAACCUAAAGAACCCAUACCCUAACCAUUUUUCCAUCUACCAGCCGCCCAUUCUCUCUCUCUAACAUCUCUUCUCUCUCUACCUCUCUUCUCUCUCUCCUCUUUCUAAAUGAAGCCAUCACCGGUCACCAUGGUUGGUGGAUGUACCAGCCAUCAACGGCAACAUCAACAGUGGCGCCGCCUCCCUCGCCUCCUCCUUCUCCCCGUUGUCCCUCUCCUGCGGUGAACCAGCGCCACCACGAAGCAGCAGCACCAGCCGAAGAGACAGCAAACCACCAUUUGACCGCCACCAACCUUUUCUCCUCUGAGCAGCGCUGCCAGAUCUCUUCCCCCCGCUCCCUCUAUUUCUUCUCCAUCGGAAGGCGACCAGUCCGUCGGCGCCACCAACGGUAGCAACGACAACAACGGCCAGCACCCCCAGCCGAGCCGCCUUCGUCGUCAUCACCGGUGAUGACCCCGAUGCCGUCACUGGUCCACCUUUCCCGCCACCCUCCAGUCAUAAAAUCAGCCGCCACCAGCAAGAGAUAGUUAAACGACAUCGGCAAGGGGUGAGUUCGUAAUACGAACUCUUACGAACUCACCCCAGGUUAGUUUUCUUACUAAAUUUCUUGCCUAAACCUAAUAUUCACAAUGCUUGUGAUAUGAUUCUAAGUAGUUUGUUUGAUUGCAUGAUUAUUUACUUUUGGGAGACUUUGAAUGACCUUGAUUUCAUUCCGAGUCAGAUUUUGUCAGUUUAAAUUUGUUCAACUUAUACUGUUAGUGAAAGUUAACAAAUUUUUGAAGAGGAAUUGGUCUAUAUGGCAUUGAUUCAUUUCUGUUCGAGAAUAUUGACGUCAGUUGAGAUGUUGAUACAAAAAUGAUUUGGAGAUUUAAUAUCGAUUUUGAUUAAAUUAGGCAAAGCUUUAAUUAAUUAAUUUAAUCAUUAGACAAAAUUUCUUUUCAUUUAUUUUUUUUUCCUUUAAUUGCUCAUUAGGACAAUUUUUACAUUUAUUUAUGACAAACUUUGACUCAUGAGUCAUUAGUUAUUGACACUGGCACGUUUAUUACUUUCCUUCUACUGAAUAUGCGAUAACUCGGUACUCGCCUAUAUACGGUAACUUUCAAUAUUAGGGGAUUUGAUUUUCAAUCAUAAGAGUCUUGAUAUUUUUUUUAUUGGAUUUGGCCUAAGGAAAACAAUAUUGUGGAUGACUUUUCUAAAUAUUGACUUUUCUUUUAUUCUGUUAUUGAUUGAUAUAUAUGAUUGAUUCAGUCGAGAAAUUUUCCCUUGAUUGAUUUUACAGAAAUAUUGUUUUACCAUUUUUAUGUUGGUUUAUUUUCACAAUACUCAGUCUGUAUAACAACCCCUCUUCUCAAUUGAAAAAGAGUUCUACAAUCACAAUUACUACUACUAUCUUAGACAAAAUGUCAGUUAUUUUAAUAUAAAGCAAUUAGGAACUCUAAAGGUUCUUUGGUUUUCCUUCGAGGCUUACUGAAAGCAUCUUGCAUAUUUCAUUGUCACUGUCACAAGUGCUUGGCUUUUAUUAUUCUUAUUAUCUCUCUUACUGCUGUUCACUGGUAAGUUCUUGAAACGAUGUAAUUUUCAUUCUCUGUGUGUUGACUGCAUCACGUUGUGAAAACCUUUAGAAAGCAUGUCUAUAGAAAUAUUUCGAUGUUGUUAUUAUAUGUUCCUGUUUGCUUGCCAUCAUAUCUCGUCUCGCAGGUUUAAAUAGACAAUUACGGGUUCCGAAGAGUCGCCGGGACAUUUAUAAUUAAAUUGUAGUAGUCCUACUUAGUUUUGUUUUCUUAUUAUUUGGUGUGUAAUAUUUUUGUACAGACAUUAUUAUUGAUGUAAUAAUAAAAUUUGGGGACUGCUUUUGGGGCGGGGACUUACGUGCUCAGUGAAUAGUAUAGAUAGGCACAAUUUAGGCUUUACAUGUGUUGUGUGUUACAUGCUACGUGAGUCAUUUAGGCACAUAAAACUAGGAUUUAUUAUCAUAUAAACCCGCUUAGACAAUUAAUCUACUUAUAAUCUGAUUAGAAAUCAUGCUUUUAGGAUUUAACGUCGUAUGGUAUACUAAAAUAGAUUUUGACAUGUUAAUAUGUUAAAUAGCAUUAAAACGAAUUUUCAGCAUUAUUUGAGCACGUUUCUACGCAUUAAAAUGAAUUUUAGCAUUGUUAGAUCGUGUUAGUAUCAAAUUGUCAUGCAUCAAAAUUAAUCUCGGCAUGUUAAUAUGGUAUAUUAGGUUUUAAAUCAAUUUCCAUCUUAUUUAAACAAUUUUCCAGCAUCUGCAAUUAAUUUUUCAGCUGUUUAAUUAAAUCUUUGGCAUAUUAAAUAUAAAUUUCAGCAUGUCUAAAUUAAAUUUCCAGCUUGUUCAAUUGAAUUCUAGCGUGUUAAAUUGCAUUUUUAGGCAUAAAUCAUUAGUGUCCAGCAUGCUAUAACACUACAUUUUCAACAUGUUGAACAUUAGACUAAACACACUUGUGAUGUUUCAGCAUAUCAACAUGAAAUCACUACGCCUUAACAUUAUUUUUAGUAUGUUUAAUGAGAAUUUCAGCAUAUUGAAUAUAAAUUUCAGCAUUUUAAAAUUAGAUUGUAGGCUCCUUUUGGAUUUUCCAGCAUGUUAAUAUUAAUUUCCUGCAUUACAAAUGUAUUUUAGCAUGUAAAAACUAAGUGUUGGGCAUUUUAGCAUGUUAUUGCAUUAUGUUCCUGCACCAACAAAACUGCCCGUAUAUUAAAAUAUAGAUUCUGAGCGUUUUCAACGUGUUAACACUAGAUUAAGUACAUUGCAUUCUUAGCAUGUUAAUGCAUUUUAAUGUUUUGUUAAUUUUUUAAAUUCUCAUUAGUUCAUAACACUUCGUGAGCACAAUUUCUUGAUACAUUUACCACACUUCAGACACCCUCUUUUAACAAUUCGACAACACAUUGUUACACCCACGAAUCAUAGUUGUCUUUUGUCACGUUAACUAUUGUUGAACACUUAGAUAUCCUGCCUAUAGGUUAAUGACGUCAACAUAAGUAAUUAUUUGUCUUUGCAUGUCAAUCACAUUAACUUAUUAAUUAAUCAAGAGGUUAACUUGAGACAAUUAUGUGCUAUGUGAUGUCCUAUUUGUUACGCGCUUUGAGUCCUAGGCAACAUAGCUUUUCUUUGUCUAGACCACCAAACUAAAAUAGCGAAGUUUAGUGCCUCUUGGAUGAUAGGUGGGAUGAUAAGUAUUAUUAAAGAUAAUAGUUUUAUCCUUCUUGUAGAAAACUUUUAGACUUGACAUCCAGCCUUGGUGUGGUGUGGCGGGUAGUCAUUCGGAAGUGAUAAUCCCAACAGAUAUUGACGGUAAGACUAAUUACAUUGUUACUUGUCUAAGAGUUCAGUUGGAGGGUUAGGUGAUGAUUAAACAAGUUGGGUUUCUUAUCUGAAUGAGACCAAAACAUUCCUUUGUUUGAUUUGACAAUUUCUGUUAUCCUUUUAUUUACUUUGAAUGCUUAUUUAUUUGGGGUAGUUAAUUUAUUAUAUAAGUAGUCCUCUUUUAUUACAAGUUAUGUCAUUUCUUUCUCCUCGCUUGUCUUAUUAUGUGUGUUUACUAUUUUUAUCACUUAGCUAAUUAACAACUAGAAAUAAUAAAAUAACAUGUGUUUUGUUCAUUAAUUGAUUUAUCACUUAGUUAAACAUUAAAUUAAUAAUAAAAUUAGAGACCUUUAUUUAAUCAUAUAGAAUCCCCACGUAAAAUAUGAAUUCGGUUGGGAACCACCUUUGUGGACCUCGGAAGGUGCAUAAAACCUUUCUUUUGAGGUAAUUUGAACCCUUUUUCGAAUUUCUCGUGAACUAAAACUAAAUAAAAUACGUUCGUAGUAGUCUAGACCGGUGCCCUAACGAACCUUAACUCGUUAGGUGGCGACUCUUUACACUCUUCCUUCAAAACAAUCCUAAAAAGAGUUUGUCACGUUGAAUCCCUCUUUUCGUGAGGAAAAUGGGGAGCGAUAAAAUGGCGACUCUGCUGGGGAUCUUAGGUUCUAACCAUUGAGAGUUUGUGUUUUAUGUGGGAUUCUUUAGUUUUGUUUAUUUAUUUUUUCGUAAUUAAUUUCGCUCUUUCUCUUUUAUUGUUUAUAUCAUGAUUCAUUUAUGCAUGUUAGUCCUGUCUCCUUUUCCUUUUAUGUGUUGUUCAUGUUUCUCAACACCUGUCCCUUUCCCUCUUCUCCCUUUUGUUAGCUAUAUGUUUUAAUAAUUAUUAGUUUGCUAAGCAUGCUAUUAUAUUUUGCUAUGUGUUAUGUGUUAUUGCUUUAUAUAACUGGCAUUCCGCUCAUACUUUCCUACACUUGGAACCUCUUUUAUUUUUCUUUUAUGAACAGUUGCGUGGUUGCACGAACAUUCUUUCCUAAAACAUCCUUCGGGAAAUGCCUUAUGGAUUGGUUGAGCUGCGGUGCAUUGACAGUCACAAGCUUUCCCACUCUCGAGUUGUCCACUUGAGGGAACCAUGUCAUGAACCCACUCUUGUCCUUUAGGUCUUGGCUACAUAUUUCUUUCACUAAGGAAUAUGCGUUCCAUUCAACAUAAGAUGCCCUGACAUCCUUGAUGCGUUGAAUGCUAGUCUCAUUCAAAGUCUAAAGAGGUUCACGACCUCAAAGGAACUCACAAUUAUUUGCUAUGUAUUGUAUUUCUAUGUAUGUAUUGACAUCGUACUUAUUUUGUUGUUUCCGUUCUUACCUUAGUCAUUCCUUACAUUUAGUGUUCCUCACUUUAGAGCUCGUUACUCUAAAAAAUCUUGUCAUGUUAGGACCCUACAAACACUCUUAGGGUCUAUCCAAAAACUUCCCUUCAAAUUAUCCUCUUGACUCAUUUAUUAGUACAUUACUCAUUUUCAGGCUCAACUCUCGCUUUGAUAAAGAGCUUCAGUCUCAUUUACUACCUCUUAUGCAACAUAUCAUUUUAGGAUAUCUAUUUCCUAAUGCUUCUAACGUUUACAUACUAUUGUACUACCACGAUCCUCGUACAUUAAUAUCAUCAUAUACGUGUCGUACCUUAGCUUUCGCAAUCUCUAAGUUACAUAGAGCUGUUAUAACUUUUAUUCACUCUGAAUAAGCAUAACUCAUUAAUUUCGAUUGAGUAGAAUAUUCAUCCUAGACUCCUGUGCGUACUCUUUGUUUCUUAUCGUAAAUCCUUUUCUCUAAAGCUAACUAAAGUUGAACAUCAAAAUGGCUAGUCAAGUAAUGUGUAUCGAUCUUGUCAAUAGCGAUGAUGAGCAUGAGAAUUUGGGAUGGUGUCAAAACAAAGUUAUUUCGAGCAUUAGAAGAAUAGAGGGAAAAAUAGAGAGAAUUAGGGGGAUAAUGACUGAUCUCCAAGGUUUAGCUGAGAUGCCACCAGAUUUUCCUGAGCCACUAUCCGAAACUGACUUCAUUGUUGUCACUUACACUGUGUCAUCUCCUAUAUUGGCAACCUCACCCAUGCUGAUUAUGGGGCACAAGGAUCUUCAAGUCGGUAUUCAGUUGCACUGCUGAAAGCCCUCAAUGGGUUGACCACUAUGGGCAAAGAAAAAGAAAUGGAAGGACAAAUUCCUAACCAUGAGGCACGGUUGUCUCAACAGCCUAAGACGAAUAAGUCGCCUAAAGCUAAUGAAGAAGAUAAUAAUAAAAUUAAGGACUUGAACUUCCCAUUAAAUGAUGGGUCUGGAAACCCCCAUUCCCACUUAAAGGAGUACGUUGACAAGCUAUCGAUUAUAGGGCAAAGUGAUAAACUUAAGAUGAAAAUCUUUGUUAGUUCACUCAAGGGUCCAGCAUUGAUAUGGUAAACCGAACAUGAUACUAGCAAAUAGAUCUCUUGGAACAAUUUGGCAAGUAACUUUAUUAGGCGGUUCGACAAUAAGCUUAAGAGAAAGCUCACAGUCGUGACCAAUUUGGAUAGGGGAAAUACGAUUAUUGAUGAGACAUCAAAACCUUCAAAGCCUAAAGUAAACAUACCCCAACCUAAGCUUUACUUUUAACCCUUGUUCCAACUUUGUUCACUUUUCUUCCUUUCCAUCUUAGCCUCGACUCAUUUUCAUCAGAUUUCCCUGUAGGAUUUAGUUACCAUAGUGCAAAAAAUGAGGUACCAAUGAGUGGAAAAUGUACCACUCACCAACAACCUUAUAGAUUUUGCUUGUCCUCAAGCAACACUACUUCACACUCAAUGAGACUAUCUAACUUUUAAGCCCACACUUUCAACCAAAUAAUCACCAAACUUGAUUAGCACUAACAAUUAGUCACCAAGAAUGAGAAGUUAUAUCCAUACAACUCCCCUCAAAAUCAAUCACAUUCUCAAGGGUGUAAAGGACUUUUACAAAUAAUCAAGUAACAACACUAACUCUCAAGAGGUAGGUCUCUAUCAAAAGUAACUCAACUACACUCCUUUGCCUUAUUAUUGGAACAUGAAAUAUCGCCAAACUAGCUUAGUUUACAUGCCUUCGCACGAAAGAAAGUCCCAACACACCAUAAUUUCAAUCAUGCAACAAGGGACUAAUGUGAAAGAACUCAUACUCAAAAAGAAUUUCUUAAUGCUUACAAGUAUCAUGCCAUAUGCUUUCCUUUAUUUUAAAUCAUUACUAACUUGAAGACACUUGGUUGGAGAUCUCGAAGGACUUUUUCAAGAUUAUAAUGUAGGCUCGGCAAAAGGUAGGAUAAACAUUUGGGAUAAAAUGACUACACCCUCCUUAAACUCCACAUAACACUCUAGCUUAGAUCAAACUUUGGAUCAUUGUCCACUUAAUUCAUUUCUAAAUCACACAUGUGCCUAUUUUACCAUAUUAGUUCGUCCACCUUUUGAAAUUACUCUCUUUUCAUAUAUUUCCUAUUUGUAAGUUAAUGAUUUUCUUUCUUUUGUUACUCCCUUCUUUUCUCUUUUAAUUUUCAUCAUUAAUUUGAUACUAGGCACUCAUUUACAAGACCAUGGACCAUGAUCACCUCUUCUAAGAUACACCACCCCUAACUUAGGCUUUUAGCCUUAAGUUGGAACUUUUAAGUUCAAGGAGGGUGUGGUUCAACAGAGGUAUGAAUUCAAAUGAUUCAAGGCUUGUAAUGAAGUUUCCAAAGAAAGGUUGAUCAACUCAAGAGGGGUGACUAGGGAUAAUGUUCGCAUAUGGGUAGGCCUUUUUUGGCUAAAGUGGUUUUCAAUAAUCACAAAGAAGGCCUAAGAUUAUUUAACCAACCACGUGUAAUCAAUAUUAGCUUUGAAGGACCAACGAGUCAAGCUAUAGAAGACACAAGUAGGUACAAUAAUUAUUUAACUAAUGCUCACCACACUUGGAAUGCAAACUUUUCUAGGAGGAUCAAUUCCAUUUCCUACGUGAGAGCAAAAAGAGUUAUUUAUCACAUCGCUACCAACUAAAGAAUUUAGAGUCACUAAAAGAGGUAAAGCGUUGUUACAUAAUCAUUCAACUAUAUGCCCUUGAUUCACAAAAAAAUUUAGAUAGAGGGGGAUUCUUGUUUCACAUUUUACCAUGCAAGAUUAGAUAUCGUUAGCAGCAAAUCAAGCUUCUAACUUACAUUUUGGAUCUCGCAAGGGAAAACCAUAUGGCUACUCAGAAUUUACCAUAGAAAUGAAGGCAAUCCCAAUCUAUAUUCCCAUAGGUACUUAGACUUCCCCUGCAUCUAUGCCUCAAUGCCAAAACGCGAUGAUUUUUCCUUAAGAAUGUUGUCACUCAAUCAAUGAUAAAGAAAUGCUCGUCCAACAUUAUUAUCAGAGAAACAUAAAAAUCUAAAAAUGAAAAACAAAAAUGACUAAUCCUCAAAACAUAGGCACCAUCAGGAUACCCAAUAUUGCAAUAAAAAAUCAUCAAAUUAUCCAUAACAAAUAAAAGACAAAUCGUCCAACUAACAUAAAAAAUAUAUAAGUAAUUAUCCAAAUAAUAUAGACCAAAUAAUGAAUAUAAAAUACGAAGAGACGGACACCCCCAACUAAAAAGCUAUAGUGUCCUUACUGCAUAGAAUGAAAGAAUAAGAAAGUAAAAGGUGCUUCCUGAAACUGCAUCAAGUGCAUCCAUUACUUUCUGUCUCCUCAUCAGCAUCAUCAACUUCAUCAGCAUCCAGCUCCUCAUCGUCGGACCACUUAUCGGGAACUCAUCAUCAGCACCUGCUCUUAGGGAAGGACUUAUCUCUCAUAGAUUCAUGACUUUCAACAAUCCCUUCACCUCUUUCCAAAUAUUGGUGAAAAACUUAUAUCUCUCCUACUCCUUUCUCCUCAUCUUGUCAUGAGAGUCGAACAGAUGUCGAUGUGACUGUGCCAAAGAUGUGUAGGUCUGCUUCAUCCUAGAUAUAGUAAACCUCUAUUUUCUCUCUGGUCCUUGAAGAGAAUCUCAUAAUUACCCCUGGAGAUAUAUGAAGUGCAACCUCUAGAAGAUACAUCUGGUCUCAAAGAAAAAUUAGAUACCAACUCCCACAUUAUUCACAUCUAACUAGAGAGCUCCUCAAAUGGCCCUUUCGAGGAUGGCCUGCAAGAGUUAUCAUCAUCAUUCACUAACUUACCCAAAUUAAUCAUCCAUUUCUUGAUCUUAGAUGUGGCGCUCUCACCGCCCAUCUUCAAUGUGUAUGUGGAUGCUUUUGGAGAUAUCCAAUUAUCCCCCAAAUAUUCCUUAACUCCGGCCCUCCAUCAUUGUUCAAUGAUAAGGUAUGGAAACAUGAGUUAUGGCCCUCCUUGAUUCUUGUAGUACCUCAGCUCUGAGACCAUAAAUUGACCAACAUUCAAUAGAAUAUUGUCUAGGAUGUAUGCUACCAUUUGGGCUCUCAUGACAGGGAUAUUUGUCAUAUUAGUGGUUAAAGACACACAGCUACAAAUGGUGGUCAUCCAAAUUCUCACCUCAGCUAUGAAAUCAUUCAAGUAAAUCCCUAUCUCCAUGGCUGCCCAAGGUUCUUCCCUUCCCGGGCUCUAUUGUGCAGGAAACUAACUCUUUUGAGCACAAACUUUUUCUUUGAACAGUCUCUUAUUGGCAUCCGACAGCCUAUACAUAUCAUUAAUGUAAUACCUCGUACUAUUCUUAGUUUAUUUCAGCUCCUAGUUGUAUGCAUAAGAGGCUUAAAGCCUGAAAAUUUCACUAAGUGUUGGGGACUUAGUCAUUUUUAAGGCCCCUCAACUUUAAGAAUUUUUAAAUUAGUCUGCCCAACCCCGAGAUGUUGGUUUUUGAGUUAAUUUAUGUUCAGGGGUGUAAUGAGCAUAUCUCGGAGAAGUUUUGAAUUUUUUGAAUGAGGAUUAGGUCAUGUUUGGAUCACAAUUCAAGUCGCUCAUCGCGAUAGCGUCGCGUCGUGAUGGUUAUAGCUAUGGAUCUCUCAUCGCAUCAUGCUGACCUUAUAAUCCACACUUCAGUUGCGAGUUUAAAUGUCUGAGGGGCAAUUUUGUCUUUUCCCCCUUAACCAAUUUCAUAAAUUCAUGACUUAAAGCUUCAGUUAGGGUAUUAUUUGCCCAUCAUCUCUAAUUUUCUCUCAAAAACAAACCCUAUCCUCCCCUAAGAUCAUCCAAUUUCAUUAUUUUCUCUCCAAGAAAACUAAGAAUUCAAGUUUCCAAUCCAAGAACAUUCAAGAAAGCAUUAAGAUUGGUGUUUCUCUUUCAAGCUUAAGGGUUUAAGGUAUGUGUGAUGUUCAUCCAUGGGCCCUUUUCACCCAUGGAUUCCAAGAAUCUCUUUUUCUGUUUUAAUUUAUGAAUUUUACAUGAUUAAGUUGAAUUAUGCCCAGGAACAUCUUGAUAAUUUAAUUUCAAGUUAUGAUUACACGUGUUUUUGAUGGAAGCCAUUGCCUAUUUUGAACAUUGAACUCUUGUCAUUUAAAAACUUAAUUCAUGGUUUUAGUAUUGCAACUAUGUUAUUAUCACAUGACUUACUCAUUCCCAUGCUUAAAUUCAUGACUCUCAAGUGUUUGAUGAAAUGCCUAAGUGUUGGAUUUUGAAUAAUGAUUUCCUACUAUGGUUUCAAUGCUUUUAUAUGUCUGUAUUUUUAUUUCCAUUUAGUUCUGGAGGGUUAUGAAUACCCGAUACUUAGAUGUUUACAUAAUUUUAGUAUCUUCAGAAUAAUUUCAGAUAUACCAUGAGCAUUAUUAUUCAGUCAGUUAUUAUGAUAAGUUGUUUGUUCAGUUAAGCUUAGUUCAUCCAAUAAUCAGUGUCAGUUUAGUUGGGAGUAGGAUUCAGCACCGAGGGAACCUAUGGAUGGGGUCAUUCUUGCUAGUUUAGAGUUUGAUCCUUAGUAGCAAUCCUUGAGUUACAGAACUACGUAACUAGCAUAGGUUUGAGAUGUCUUCUUGCUAGCUUAGGGUUGACAUAUAUCUCAUGAGUUUUCUGCCAGUAUUGGGUUACUCCUUAGUCCUUCGAGACACCAGUUUAGUGGAUUCACAUAGCCAUAUGUUAGUACCUGUGGCAUGGUACUGACACCCUUCUAACUAGGGUUGUAGGUUGGACCCCAAUUAGCUCAGAUUGGGGCAUGUCGAAUAGAUGAUACCUCCCACAGUCUUAGUUCAGUGUUCAGUAUAGAAUUCAGUUCAGUUUUGCUUGACUAUAGCAUGCAGACUUCCAGUUAUUUAGUUAUCAUAUUUCAGUAAUUCAGUUUAUAGUUUAUUUUAGAAAAAUUAUAUUCUUGGUUUUGCAUUCUGAGUAUUUUAGUUUUCAUGUAUGCGUACUCACUUAUCUCAUGCUAUUUAGUCCGUCAUUACUUCAUGCAUAGUUAACCCAUGCAUUUUAGCCUAACCUUAUCUUAUAUACUAGUACGUUGAAAGUACUGAUCAUAUACUUUUUUUGCACUAUGAUGUCUUAUAUCAUAGAUUCAGAUGCUCAGCUUCCUAACCGCACUUAGAUAGUUCAACGAUAAAGCAGCAGCAGUAGUGGUGAGUCCUCAUCCUUCGAUGAUAACUUUAUCUUUCAUCUAGUUAUUUCAGUAUUCAUUUAUUACAGUUAGUUGGAGUUAGUUGGGGGGUUUUCCCAUCAAAUCCACAGUCAGUCAGUUAGAGGCUUUUUAGACAUUCAAACAGUCAGUUAGUUUUAUCAGCUUUAUCAGUCUUGACAGAUGUUUCCAGACUUGUAAAUUCAGUUAUAUUUUCAUAAUCUAAACCUUAUUGACUUAUCCGUUAUUUUCCUUACAUGUUAUUGACACCCAAUUUUGACCUCUCGAUACUCCAUUUAGGCUGUUAUUUUAUUAAAAUUAUUUAAUUUUAAUUAUUAUUAUUUUUUACCCAUUAUCCUUAUCUCGAACGGAUAUUGAUAUGUCACAUUUAUGAUUUGAAAGUAUACAAAUUAUUUUAUUAUCAAUUUUUAAUAAUUAUCAAUUCAAAUACAACAUUUUAUAUAAUUUUAUUGAAUUAUUUUUUCUCGUAAAUGUACACACUCACGACUUACAAAUACAAUGCCUAAGUUUUUCAUUGUUAUUACUAUUAUUAUUAUUAUUAUUAUAUAUUUAUAACAUUUAUCAAAUAGCAGUCAAUUUUAAUUUGGUUGCCUAAUUUAUUUAAAUUCUAGCCUUUUUAUACAAUUUAUAACACUCUUAGCCUAAUUUUAUCCAACUUAUUACAAUUUUAGCCAUAUUUAACUCAAUUUUAAAAAUUCUAAUUCACCUUAUUAUCCUUUUAAUCUCAGCCAUUGUUCAAGAUCGGUCUAAUGGUUGAGAUCUAUCCCACUCUUUUUUUUUAAAUUCAAAACAAAAAGCCUAACUUCCCAUUCUUUAAAGAUUAGUUGCACAAAAUGCUCCCCCCUUUCUCUCCUCCCUUGUUGCCUUACCCCUUACCCAGUGAAAUCCCUCAAGUCGCUGUCGCCAGCGAUGAAUAGCCACCGGUGAGCCAGCCUUUACUGCUAUCAACCAGAGCUAGACUCUCCGGGCAGUAACCAGCCGCACCGCCAUUCCUUUCUCCACGUCUCCACCGUUCCGACCAGAAAAGAAGUUGGCCCGUUUCCGCUGUGCAAUAGCCCAAACCGCCAGAACACCACCACCAAAUUCGACUAACCAUGCAAUCCAUUCGUCAUCGGGAAAUGAUGGAUUUAUUAGAAUAUGUUCCAGAUUUGUUCCAGGUUUGGUUUCUAGGUUUAAUUUCAUAUUCCACCCCCUUCUUUUAUCCUUCUUUUGACAAAAUCUGUUAUUUGAAGUUAACGAAACUCAUUAGGCAUUUUUGUUCUAAUUUAUUGUGAUUUCAGUUAGUUAACUUAUUCAAAUUAUCACAUGUUAAAAGCCAUAAUUCUCGUAAACUUUAAUUCUUCUAUUUUUUCAAUAGUAAUAUGCCUUAAAUCAUGUUGUUCUGAUGUCUUGAUUGAUUUUAUGCUCUAUCCCUAAUUCCCGUCACUCUAGCUUUGAAAUGGAUAAGUUUGCGGCAAUCUUGAACAUCUGAUUUACUUUGACAUGGUGUAUAAUAUAUUUUUGGUAUUUUGGAUUUGAUUUUGCUAAAUUAAAUCAGGAAAUAAUUUUAAUUAUUUUACUGAUUUAGUCACAUAUGGUAAGCAUUAAUGUUGAGCAUUAUUUGCCCAUUUUACGCCCCAAAUUUUUGUCUUAAUGAUGUUCAGUGAUUUCAUAAAAUUUCUAUUGGUUGUCAACCUUUUGGUACAUAAUUGUUGGUAUUGUGCAUAUAUGGUUGUCUUUGAUAUUAUGUUGGAAAGGAAAUUUGGUUGACUAAUAUUUCUUUUCCUUUUACUUGCUUGGAUUGAUUUUGUGAUUAUUUCUUAAUAGUCAAUUGACAUAAAUAUAAUUUUAUAUUGAUAGAAAAAUUUUCGUUAAUUGAUAUAUGUUUUUCUUUCCUUUUUUGCACUUAGGUGGAUUUCUUUUUCACACUAUAUAAAGCCCCCCUCUUUGUAUUUAAGGGGUAGCUCUUCAAUUACAAUCACUACUCUCUUAUAUAAAAUUCAUCAUCUAUUUUAAUACAAAGCAAUUAGAUACUUUAAAGGUUCUUUUGGUUUUCCUUCGAGGCUUACUGGAGCACCCUGCUAUUAUUCUUACAAGUGUUUGACCUUAUUAUUCUCAUUAUUUCUUUUAUUUGCCGCUUAUUGGUAAGUCCUCAAAUCAAUAUAAUUUUUCAUUGUUUGUGUGCUGACUGCAUCAUGUUGUGAAAACCUUUAGAAAGCAUGUCUAUAGGAACAUUUGCUACUAUAUGUUUCCUUCAUUUGCUGUUACAUCCUAUCUCGCAAGUUUAAAUUGACGAUUAUGGGAUUUGAAGAGUUGCCGCGGGAAUUUAUGAGGGCGGAUUGUUCUUUUGUUUUCUCUUAAUUUUAGUGUAUUAUUCAUAUGACCUGUAAUAAUCUUGUACAAAUAUUAUUAUUGUAAUAAUAAAAUUUAGGGAUUGCUUCGAGGGGUGGGAAUUUAUGUGCUCUAUGAAUAAUAUAGGUAGGCACAACUUAGUUUUAUGUGUGAUACGUGUUAUGUGGAUCAUCUAGGCACACAAAUUUAGUAUUUAUUAACACAUGCGAUGUUUAAUCUAUUUAUUAACUAGUUUAAUUCAAUUUUGGCAUACUAACACAUCUUUAGCAUGUUGAACAUUAGGCUUAAACUAUUUUAAUAUGUCAUUGUAUGUCCAACAUGUUAACACGAAUUUAAGUAUGAUCAUAUUCUGAGCAUUCUUUUUGCAUAUUAAUGUAUUCUUCUGCAUGUUAAAACUGUCAAAUACUAGAUUAAACAUGACCUUGCGCAUUGACACAAAAUUUCAGCAAGUUAAUAGUGUUAGAACAUGUUAGCAUUUCAUGUCAAAUACUUAAUCUACAUUGCACAUUAAAUUUAUGCACAUUAAUAUGCAUUUCAUCCUGUCGAUACAGUUUCAACAUGUUAAAUUAAAUGUGCUAAAUAGUAAUACUUUAGCACGUCAAUAUAGAUUACAGUAGGUUAAAGCUUUUCGAACAUGUUAACACCAGUUUUUGCAUGUUAUCGCAUUUUCAGCAUGUCAAUAUAAAAUUCCUGCACUAUUAAUAUAAUAAUCAACAUGUUAAGGCAUAUUCUGCAUGAUAAUACACUUUCUAGCAUAUUCGCAUUCAAUUUCAGUAUGUUCCCACAUUAAAAAGUACAAUUUCAGCAUAACAAAUUAAUUUCCAGCAUGUUAGAUUUAAUUUCUAGCAUAUUAGAACUAAUUUUCAGCAUGUUAAUAGACUUUUAGAAUUAAAAUAUUUGAAAGGAAAUUCCCAUGUGUUUUCAUAAUUUCUCACUUACCAUUAGUCUAUAAUACGUCUUGCACAAUGAAAUUCGUGAGCACAACUUUUUCACAUAUUUACCACACUUUGACAUUCUAUUUUAACAACUUGACAAUAUAUUGUUACAUACACGAAUCACAGUUACAUUUUUGUCACACUAACACUUGUUGAACACUUAGAUAUCAUGCCUAUAGAUUAAUGACACAAAAACAAGCUAUUAUUUGUCUUUGCAUGUUUAUCACAUUAAUCAAUUUUAAUUAACCAAGAGGCUAACUUGGGACAAUUAUGUGCUACGUGAUGUCCUACUUGUUACAUGUUUCGAGUCUUAGGUAACAUAACUUUAUUUUGUUUAGACCACAAAAUCAAAAUAGCAAAGUCCAAUGCCUCUUGGACUAUAGGUGGGAUGAUAGGAAUUACUAAAGACGCUAGUUUUAUCCUUGUCUUAGAUUGCCUUUAGAGUUAACUACCAGCCUAGGUGAGGUGGGGCGGACAUUCAGAAAUGAUGAUCUCCAACAUAUAUUAAAGGUAAGACAUAUGACUUGUCAAAGAGUUCGGCCAGUGGUCAGAUGAUGACUAAACAAGUUGGGGUUCUGAUCCGAAUAAGAUCAAAAACAUUUAUUUGUUUGAUUUGAUGAUUUCUUUUUAUUCUUUUAUUUACCUUACAUGCUUAUUUAUUUGGGGUAAUUAGAUCGUUACAUAAGUAGUUCCAUUUUGUUAUAAAUUAUGUCAUUUCUUUCCCCUCGCUUGUCUUAUUAUAUGUUUUCUGAUUUUAUCACUUAGAUAAUCAAAAAUUAGAAAUAAUAAAAUAACAUGUGUUUGUUUAUUAAUUACUUUAUCACUUAGUUAACAUUUAAGUUAAUAAAAUAGCGACCUUUAUUUGAUCACGUAGAAUCCCCACAUAAAAUAUGCAUUCGGUCGGGAACCACCUUUGUGGACCUCGAAAGGUACCUAAAACCUUUCUUUCGAGGUAAUUUGAACCCUUACCUGAAUUUCUGGUGAACUAAGAUAAAACAACAAAAUAGGUUCGUAGUUGGCCUAGAUCGGUGCCCUAACACACCUUAAUUCGCUAGGUGGCGAAUUUUCACAUUCACCCUUCAAACAAUCCCAAAAAGAGUGGUCACGUCGAAUUUCACUUUUUACGAGAAAAAUAGGGUGCGACAGAAUGGCGACUCUAUUGGUGAUCUUAGGUUUUAACCACUAUGAAUUUGUGCUUUAUGUGGGAUUCUCUUUAUUCGUUUUGAUUAUGUUUGUUUUUUGACAUCUUGAUUUAUUCUUUUAUUGUUCACUUGCAUCAUGAUUUAUUAGUCCUUUCUCAUUUUUCCCUUUUUACGUGUUUUUCAUUUGUCUCUAUGUCUAUCCCUUUUUCUUUUUCCCUUUUAUUUCUUAUGUGUUAUCAUGUUUAUAUAUAUAUAUAUAUUGUUUAGCAUGUUACAUUUUGCUAUGUGCUAUGUGUUACUAUUUUAUUUAAUUGACAUUCCGUUCAUACUUUCCUCCACUUUGAGCCUCUUUUAUUUUUCGUUUAUAAAUGGUUGUGUGGAUACAUAGACAUUCUUUUCUAAAACGCCCUUCGGGAAAUGCCUUUCGGAUCGAUCGAUCAGUGGUUCAUCGAUAGCCACAAGCUUUCCCACUCUCUAGUAGUCCACUCGAGGGAACCAUAUCACAAAUACACUCUUGUCCUUUUGGUCUGGCUACAUAUUUCUUCCACUAAAGAAUAUAUGUCCCAUUCAAUGUAGGAUGCCUUGGCAUCCUUGAUGCGUUGAAUGUUAGUCUCAUUCAAAGUCUAAAGAGGUUUACGGCUUCAAAGGGACUCACAAUUAUUUGCUAUGUUUUGCAUUUCUAUGAAUGUAUUGAUGUCUUGCCUAUCUUGUUGUUUCCGUUCUUGCCUUAAACACUCCUUACAUUUAGUGUUCCUCACUUUAGAGUUUGUUACACUUAAAAUUCUUAUCAUGAUAGGUCCCUACAAUACACUCUUAGGUCCUAUUCAAUACUUACCUUCAAUUUAUCCUCCUGACUCAUCCAUUAGUAUAUUAAUCAUCUUUAGGCUCAAUUCUUGCUUUAAUAAAGGGGUUUAGUCUUAUUCAUAAUCUUGUAGUACAACUUAUCAUUUUAGGAACUUAUCAUUUUAGGAUCUUCUCUUCUUAAUGCUUUCAAUGCUUACAUACUAUGUCCCACAUGAUCCUUUAGAUACUAUCGUACCCAUGUCAUACUCCAGCUCUUACAACCUCUAAGUUACAUAGAGCUCUUAUAACGUCUAUUCACUCUGAAUGAGCAUAACUCAUUAUCUUCAAAUGAGUAGAAUAUUUAUUCUAGAUAUCCACGCAUGCUUUUUGUUCCUAAUUAUAAAUCCUUUCUUCUAAGUUUGACUAAAGUUGAACAUGAGAAAUGGCCAGUCAAGCGAUACUGUAUGACCCCAUAAAAUCCUAAAGCUCAAUUCAAUCCUUUAAGCUUGUCAAGGGGUCCUAGACUUAGAAAUUCUAGCUAGGUUCCCAGACUAGACUGUUAUUGGCCUUCUAAAGUUGACAAUCUUAUUUUACCACCUUAACGUCCUUUAAUGGUCCGUAUUUUUAUUAAUUUAUGAUCAGGAAGGUCAAUAGGUGUUCUCGAACAAGUUUUGGAUAUUUUGGAACGGGUUUAGAUCAUGUUUGGAGUCCCAAAAUAGUGGAAAAAAAUAAUCAUGGCGCGCCGCAUCGCCAAUCGCGUUAGUCAAUAUUUGUGCAGGCUGGCAGAGCCAAAACUUCUGAGUCUCGACGCGAUCAUGGCGCGAUGCGUCAAGUAUCGCAUCGCAGCUAUCAACGCACUGUGUCGCUUGUAGCGUCGGUACUAAGUUUUUAGUCAUUAAAUGACCACGUCCUCAAGGGAAAUAGGGUCAAUUUCCCACCCCUAUAUAAGUCUAAAACACGGGAUUAAGCCCCAAUUCAACCUAAAUACACUAAUCUCUCUCAAAAUCCAUCAAGAACAAACUUAAGGUUUUCAACUGAGGAUCAAUUUCCAGAAUUUCACCAUUUGUUUUCAAGAGUCUUCCAUCCAAGGUAAGCAUAGUAUUGAUUUAUGGAUUCCUUUCGUGCAUAAAGCUCAAGAACCCUAUUUCAAAUUAUAAAUCAUGAUGUUUAUGUUGUGGGUUCUUUUGAAACCAUGUUUAUCUUGUUGUACAAUUCCCAAGUUGGAAUCUUUACAUGUUUUUCAUGAAACUACGUUAGCAUGCAAGUUGAAAUCCAUGAAUUGAGUUAUUUAUGAUAUGUAAUUUGAUGAUUACACUUAUGCCCUAAAUUUUGCACGUAUGGUGUUUGAUAAAAUGCCUAAGAGGAUAGAAAUUAUGUAUUAUAGCUUAAUUGUGACCCAUAUGAUAAAUGUAUGUUUUACCCUUAUGUUCAAAAGACUCCCAUGCUAUUGUGGUGCAAUGUAGAUAUUUGUUGGGAUGCUCAUGAUAUUAGAGUUUGAAAUUAUGACAUUGAUUAUUUGUAUUCCUAACAAGUACAAGAUUAUGAUAACCAUGUGCUUUAUGAAAUCCCUAACUAAUUAUAUUAUGGAUUGUUGGUCACUAAUUAUAUUAGAUUAUGAUAACAAUGUAGAGCAUUCUUAGUAGAUCAGACGUUCAGUAGCCAGACUAGCAGUGAGUCCUCAUCAUUUGAGGAUAGCAUAAUUAUUUUAAUACUUUAUUAUUUCAAUAGUUUGGAGUUAUUUGGGGACAUGUCCCAUCAACUCUACAGUUUUUAGACAGUUUAGGGGCUUCCAGACUACAGUAUGUUUAGACAGUUUAUUUUAGUUUUCAUUUUUGUAUUGAUAUAUCGUACUCGCAAAUGUUAUUUUUUAUCAGUUAUUUAAACCUUAUAGCCUCUUAACCUUCAUUUCCGUAUUUAUCCAGUAUAUUAUGCAGUGUUCAGGUACAGAUAUCAGUCAUGGAUUAGCUUGUGGCGAUUCAGGGUCAUAAGCACCGUGUAGAGUUCUAGGUACCAGAUUCGAGGCGUUACAAAGUUGGUAUCAGAGCCUAAGGUUCAAUAGUGUCCUAGAAAGUAUGAAAGCCACAUCUAGUAGAGUCUUGUACAUGGCUGUGUUGCACACCUUAUUUAUGUGAAGGAGGCUAUAAGAUGUUUUAGGAAUAGUUUCCCUUCUUUCAGUAUUCAUGUCAUACCAGUGAGCAUAGUCUCAUGUUAAUCUCUCAGUCUAAUCUUUUUCUCAUCCAUUUACAGAAUAUGCCUACCAAGAAGAGAACUAGAAAUCAGUCAGCCCCUCAGCCCGAAGAUCCUUUGGGCAAAUAUGUCUCUCAGCAGAGUUCAAAGCUACAUUCACAACUCUUGCUUAGUCAGUUGCUGCUCAAAAUGAAUGACCAGCUAAUGUUCUGGCCAAUCCUGUGGCUAAUUAAGCAGCUGCCAGGAUUUGGGACUUCACCCGAAUGAAUCCUUCAUUCUUUUCUGGGUUUAAGUCAGAAGAGGAUCCUCAGGAAUUCCUUGACCAAGUUCAGAAAGUUAUAGAAAUCAUGGGGUUUACUUUUAGUGAAAGUGCUGAGCUAGCUGCAUAUUAGAUGUAAGACGUUGCUCAUACUUGGUUCAAACAGUGGAAGUCAGAGAGGUCAGUUGAUGUAGGAUCCAUAGAGUGGGAGGAGUUUGAUAUCGAAUUCUUAGAUAGAUUCUUUCCCCUAGAGCUGAGAGAAGCUAAGGUGAUAGAAUUUAUGAACCUCAGGCAGGGCAACAUGACGGUGAAAGAGUAUUCUCUUAAGUUUACUCAAUUAGCUAGAUAUGCGCCUCAUGUGGUUGCAGAUAGCAGGGCCAAGAUGAGUAAGUUUGUUUUUGGGGUGAACUAUAGUGUAGUCAAUGAGUUUAGGUCCACGAUGUUAAAUUGUGACAUAAACGUAGCCAGGCUUAUGAACCAUGCUCAGCAGAUAGAAGAGCAAAAGAUUAAGAUGAGAGAGAAGCAGAAUAAAAUAACAAGGAUAGGUAGUUUUAACUUUGCUCAGCCUAAGUCAGAGGAGGAACUGUUCUUAGUUUCAUCCUAAGUCAUAAGUUCUAGGUCCUUCUUCAGCUAGUGCACCAGUGCUGAAAUUUAGGGAUGGCAGCAGAGAUAAGGCUCCAGGCUCUAAGUCUCAGGGCAGUGUUAGCAGUACCUGAACCAAUCCUCUUUGUUAGACUUGUGGCAAACACCGUCAGGGUAUUUGUAGAGCUGGCAGCGAUAUUUAAUUUGGAUGUGGCAAGCCAGGCCACAAAGUUAGAUAUUUCCCUCAGAUAGGUUCUAGAGUUAGCGGAACUGUUCCUCAACUCAGACCGAUCGUCUAAAUCAGCAGGGUGCUACUUCUAGUGCUACUAGUGGGCAACACCCAAACAGAUUUUAUGCUCUCCAGUCCUGGCAAGAUCAGGAAAAUUCUCUUGAUGUGGUUACUGGUAUGUUAUAGAUUUUUCACUUACAUGUUUAUGCUUUGUUAGAUCUAGGAGCCUCUUUGUCCUUUGUUACUCCUUAUAUAGUAGUUGAUUUUGGUGUCAGCCCAAAAUUCUAGAAGAGCCCUUUUCAGUAUCUACCCUAGAGGGCAAAACUAUCAUAGCCCGAUGGGUAUACAGGAACUGCCCGAUUAAUAUAUCUCAAAAAGUCACUUCAGCAGACUUAGUCGAAUUAGAGAUGGCUAAUUUUGAUGUCAUUCUUAGCAUAGAUUAGCUUUAUUCCUACUAGGCCACAGUCAACUAUAGAAAUAGAGUUGUCCAGUUUAAAUUUUCAAAUGAACCUGUCCAAGAAUGGAGGGGUAGUACUUUAGCUUUCAGAGGCCAACUCAUUUCCUACCUUCGGGAAAGGAAAAUGAUAUCUAAAGGAUGUGUCUAUCAUCUUGUUCGAGUUAAGGACACUAGUUUUGAAACUCCCAAUCUUGAAUCAGUCCUAGUUGUAAAUGAAUAUUCAGAUGUCUUUCUCGAAGAUCUUCCAGAAAUUCCUCCCGAAAGAGAAAGACUUUAGCAUUGAUUUUUUUGAUAUACUCAGCCUAUAUCUAUUCUGCCAUAUAGAACGGCACCAGCAAAACUCAGAGAAUUAAAAAAGCAGUUGAAGGAUCUCUUAGAUAAGGGGGGAUUCAUCAGACCGGAUUCAUCAGACCUAGUGUUUCCCCGUGAGGUGCACCAGUCUUAUUUAUGUAAAGGAAAGAUGGUUCUCUCAGAAUGUGCAAUGAUUACUGCCAACUCAAUAAAGUCACGGUCAAGAACAAGUAUCCGCUUUCCAGAAUCGAUGACUUGUUUGACCAACUUUAGGAUCCCAGCUAUUUCUGUAAGAUAGACCUCAGAUCGAGCUAUCAUCAUUUUAGAGUUUGGGAAUGUGACAUUCCAAAAAUAGCCUUCCGAACUUGGUAUGGUCAUUUCAAAUUCUUAGUCAUGUCCUUUGGCCUUACCAAUUCCCUAACAACUUUUAUGGAAUUGAUGAACCGGGUGUUCAAUUAGUACUUGGAUAUGUUUGUCAUAGUCUUCAUAGAUGACAUCCUUGUCUAUUUCCGCAGUUAGUAUAAUAAUACAGACCAUCUCAGAAUAGUGCUUCAGACUCUCAGAAAUCAUUAGUUGUUCAUUAAAUUCAGUAUGUGUAAAUUUUGGCUAAGGUCAGUAGCAUUUCUUGGCCAUAUCAUUUUUGGUGAUGGCAUUAGAGUAGAUUCUUAAAAGACUGAAGUAAUAAAAAACUGGCCCAGACCUAUCUCUCCAUCAGAUAUCAGGAGUUUCUUAGGUUUAGCUAUCUAUUAAAGAUGGUUUAUUGAGGUAUUAUCUUCUAUUUCAUCCCCUAUGUCCAGAUUGACUCAUAAGAAAGUCCAGUUUUAGUGUGAGAAGAGUUUUCAGGAGUUGAAGAGUCGACUCACCUCAACUCUAGUUUUGGCUCUUCCAGAUUGUUCAAAUAGGUUCGUAGUGUAUUGUGAUGCAUCCAAAGUAGGUUUGGGUUGUAUCCUCAUGCAACAUGGUAAGGUAAUAACUUACACCUCCAGACAGCUUAAACCCCUUGAGAAGAAUUAUCCAACUCAUGAUCUUGAGUUAGCAACCUAGUAUUUGCCUUAAAGAUUUAGAGACUUUUGUUGUACGGUGUUCAUAUAGAUGUUUUCACAAAUCAUAAAAGCCUUCAGUAUGGAUUCUCUAAAAAAGAUCUUAACCUCCGUCAGAGAAGGUGGUUAGAUUUCUUAAAAGACUAUGACAUGAGUUUUUUUUAUCAUUCGGGCAAGGCCAAUGUAGUGGCUGACGCUCUUAGUAGACUAUCUAUGGGUAGUGUUGCUUAUGUUGAGACAAUAAGAAGAAACUAGCUCAGGAAUUCCAUCUGAUUGCCAGACUAGGUAUUCACUUAGUCGAUACAGAAGAGGGUGAUAUAUGGGUUUAGAGUAGUUCAGAAUCAUCUCUAGGUUCUGAGGUGAAAGAAAAGCAAGGUAGAGAUCCCAGUCUAGUUAGGUUGAAAGAGUCAGUCAAGGAUCAAAAAGUAGAGGUUUUCUCCCAAGGGGGAGAUGGUUUAUUGCGUAUUCAGGGUCGUCUGUGUGUUCCUGGUGUAGAUAACUAGAGGCAAUGAAUUCUUGCAGAAGUGCAUGGGGCGCGUUACUCUAUUCAUCCAGGGGCCACAAUGAUGUACUACAAUUUGUGGGAGAUCUAUUAGUGGAGUGGGAUGAAGAGAGAUAUUACAGAGUUUGUGGCUAAGUGCUCUAAAUAUCAACAAGUUAAGAUAGAGAAUUAGAAGCCUAGUGGGUUUAUGCAGGAGUUCAAUAUUCCUACUUGGAAGUGGGAAGAAGUGAACAUAGACUUCAUGACAGGUUUGCCUUGUUCUCAUCAUCAACAUGAUUCAAUUUGGGUCAUUGUAGAUAGGCUGACCAAAUCAUCUUAUUUUCUUCCAUUCCAUACCUCCUAUGCAGCCAAGGAUUAUGGCAAACUCUAUAUCGGGGAGUUGGUUAGUUUACAUGGUGUUCCAUUGUAUGUUAUCUCAGACAGAGGUACCCAGUUCACCUCUCAUUUCUGAAAGAAUUCCAAAGGGUCUUGGUACCCAAGUUCAUCUCAGUACAGCCUUUUAUCCUUAGACAGAUGGUCAAGCAAAACGGACCAUUCAGACUUUAGAAGAUAUGCUAAGGGCGUGUGCAAUUGAUUUCAAGGGUAGUUGGGAUGACCACUUGCCUUUGAUUGAGUUUGAAUACAAUAACAACUGUUAUUCCAGCAUUCGGAUGGCUCCAUUCAAAGCUCUUUAUGGUAGGAGUUUCAGAUCUCGAGUCGGUUGGUUUGAAGUUAGUGAGUCCUCAGUCAUAGGGCCUGACUUAGUAUUAGAUGCCUUAGAAAAAGUUCAGUUGGUCAGAGAAAGACUCCGGGCUUCUCAAAGCCGACAGAAGUCUUAUGCAGAUGUGUGCAGAAAGGAUCUCAAGUUUGAGAUUGGUGACUAUGUCAAUCUAAAGAUCUCUCCCAUGAAGGGAGUGAAGAGAUUCGGUAAGAAGGGAAAGCUUAGUCCCCGAUAUGUUGGUCCCUUCAAAAUUCUCAGUCGCUUCGGCAAAGUAGCUUAUGAGUUUGAGUUGCCUUCAGAUCUUGCCUCAGUUCAUCUAGUUUUCCAUGUCUCUUUGAUCAAGAAGUGCAUAGGUGACCCAACAGUUGUAGUCCCUAUUCAGAGCAUAGAUGUUCAGAAUAGCCUCUUUUAUGAGGAAAUUCCAAUCGAAAUCCUUGACUAUCAGACUCGUAGACUGAGGAACAAAAAAGUCCCUCUAGUUAAAGUUCUAAGGUGGAAUCAGUCUGUUGAAGGAUCUACUUGGGAAGAAGAAGCUGACAUGUGUACCAAGUAUCCUCACUCUUCUCCGCUAACUCAGACUCAGCCCAAGGUAAUAGUUCUCCUUAAGUUUUAAGUUUCAUGUUCAGAAUUCAGCCACAACUUGGUAUCCAGUUCAAGAUCAGAAUUCCAUUAUAAACUCGGUAUCGAUUACCAUUGGAUAUUCAGUCAUGCAUUUAUGUAUCAGUUCAGUCAUAUGAUCAUGCAUCAGAUAUGUAUUCUCAUUGUAAGAAACUCAGUUUAUUAGAAUACUCAGUCAUGUAUUCAUGAAUCAGUUACACAUGCAUCAGAUAUGCAUGCUCAGUAUGAUGUAUUUAGUUAUCAGUCAUGUCAGUCAUGGAAUCAAGCUUCAGUUGUUCGUGUUCAGUAUGUUCAUCAGUUUAUCUUUUGUCCCCUCUCAGUCGUCUCAUUCGAGGAUGAAUGUUCUUAAGGGGGAGAUAUUGUAAGACCCCAUAAAAUCCUAAAGCUUAAUUCAGUCCUUUAAGCUUGUCAAGGGGUCCCAGACUUAGAAAAUUCUAGCUAGGUUCCCAGACUUAGCCUAUUAUUGGCCUUCCAAAGAUGGCAAUCUUAUUUUGCCACCUUAAUGUCCUUUAAUAGUCCGUAUUUUUAUUAAUUCAUGAUUAGGAAGGUCAAUAGGUGUUCUUGGGCAAUUUUUGUUUUUUUUGGAACACGUUUAGAUCAUGUUCGGAGUCUUAAAACAGUGGACCAACGCGAUCAUGGUGCGCCGCAUCACCAAUGGUGUUGGUCAAUAUUUGUGCAGGUUGCCAGAGCCAAAACUUCUGAGGCUCAACAGGAUCAUGGUGCAAUGUGUUGAGUAUCGCAUCACAACCAUUAACGUGUCGCGUCACUUGUCGCGUCAGGUACAAAUAUUUGUCAUGGGUUAGCUUAUGGCGAUUCAGGGUCAUAAGCACCGUGUAGAGUUCAAGGUACCAGAUUCGAGGCGUUACAAAGUUGGUAUCAGAGCCUAAGGUUCACCAGUGUCCUAGAAAGUAUGAAAGCCACAUCUAGUAGAGUCUUGUACAUGGUGUGUUGCACGCCUUAUUUAUGUGAAGGAGGCUAUAAGAUGUUCUAGGAAUACAUUCCCUUCUUUCAGUGUUCAUGUCAUGCCAGUGAGCAUAGUCUCAAGUUAAUAUCUCAGUCUAAUCUUUUUCUCUUCCAUUUACAGAACACGCCUACCAAGAAGAGAACUGGAAAUCAGUCAGCCCCUCAGCCUAAAGAUCCUUUGAGCGAACAUGUCUCUCAUGCAGAGUUCAAAGUUGUAUUCAUUGCUCUUGCUCGGUCAGUUGCUGCUCAAAAUGAAUGACCAACUAGUGUUCUGACCAACCUAGUGGCUAAUUAAGUAGCAGCCAAGAUUCGGGACUUCACCCGAAUGAAUCCUUCAUUCUUUUUAAGGUUUAAGUCAGAAGAGGAUCCUUAGGAAUUCCUUGACCAAGUUCAGAAAGUUACAGACAUCAUGGAAUUUACUUUUAGUGAAAGUGCUGAGCUAGCUGGAUAUUAGUUGUAGGACGUUGCUCACACUUGGUUCAAACAGUGGAAGUCAGAGAGGUCAGUUGAUGCAAGAUCCAUAGAGUGGGAGGAGUUUGUUAUCAGAUUCUUAGAUAGAUUCUUUCCUCUAGAGCUGAGAGAAGCUAAGGUGUUAGAAUUUAUCAACCUCAGGCAGGGCAACAUGACGGUGGAAGAGUAUUCUCUUAAGUUUACUCAAUUAGCCAGAUAUGUGCCUCAUGUGGUUGCAGAUAGCAGGGCCAAGAUGAGUAAGUUUGUUUCUGGAGUGAACGAUGGUGUGGUCAAUGAGUUUAGGUCCACGAUGUUAAAUAGUGACAUAAACGUAGCCAGGCUUAUGAACCAUGCUCAGCAGAUAGAAGAACAAAAGAUUAAGAUGAGAGAGAAGUAGAAUAAGAGAACAAGGACAGGUAGUUUUAAUUUUGCUCAUCCUAAGUCAGAGAAGAUGAGAGAGAAGCAGAAUAAGAGAACAAGGACAGGUAGUUUUAACUUUUCUCAGCCUAAGUCAGAGGGAGGAAUCGUUCUUAGUUUCGUCCUAAGUCAUCAAUUUUAGCUCCUUCUUCAGCUAGUGCACCAGUGCUGAAAUUUAGGGAUGGAAGCAGAGAUAGGGCUCCGGGCUCAAAGUCUCAGGGCAGUGUUAGCAGUUCCCGAAUCAAUCCUCUUUGUCAGACUUGUGGCAAACACCAUCAGGGUAUUUGCAGAGCUGGCAGCGAUAUUUUUUUUGGAUGUGGCAAGCCAGGCCACAGAGUUAGAGAUUGCCCUCAGAUAAGUUCCCAGAGUCAGCAGACUGUUCCUCAACUCAGACCGAUCGCCUAAAUCAGCAGGGUGCCACUUCUAGUGCUACUAGUGGGCAACGCCUAAAUAGAUUUUGUGCUCUCCAGUCCCAACAAGAUCAAGAAAAUUCUCUUGGUGUGGUUACUGGUACGUUAUAGAUUUUUCACUUGCUUGUUUAUGCUUUGCCAGAUCUAGGAGCUUCUUUGUCCUUUGUUACUCCUUAUAUAGCAGUUGAUUUUGGAGUCAGCCCCAAAAUUCUAAUAGAGCCCUUUUCAGUAUCUACCCUAGUGGGCAAAACCAUCAUAGCUCGAUGGGUAUACAGGAACUGCCCGAUUAAUAUAUCUCAAAAAGUCACUUCAGCAGACUUAGUCGAAUUAGAGAUGGCUAAUUUUGAUGUCAUUCUUAGCAUAGAUUGGCUUUAUUCCUGCUAGGCCAUAGUGAACUAUAGAAAUAGAGUUGUCUAGUUUAAAUUUUCGAAUGAACCUGUCCUAGAAUAGAGGGGUAGUACUUUAGCUUUCAGAGGCCAACUUAUUUCCUACCUUUGGGAAAGGAAAAUGAUAUCUAAAGGAUGUGUCUAUCAUCUUGUUCGAGUUAAAGAUACUAGUUUUGAAACUCCCAGUCUUGAAUCAGUCCCAGUUGUGAAUGAAUAUUCAGAUAUCUUUCUCGAAGAUCUUCCAGAAAUUCCUCCCGAAAGGGAAAGACUUCGGCAUUGAUAUUUUCCAGAUACUCAGCCUAUAUCUAUUUUACUAUACAGAGUGGCACCAGCAAAACUCAGAAAAUUAAAAGAGCAGUUGAAUGAUCUCUUAGAUAAGGGAUUCAUCAGACCCAGUAUUUCCCCGUGAGGUGCACCAGUCUUAUUCAUGCAAAAGAAAGAAGGUUCUCUCAGAAUGUGUAUUGAUUACCGCCAACUCAAUAAAGUCAUGGUCAAGAACAAGUAUCCACUUCCCAGAAUUGAUGACUUGUUUGACCAACUUUAGGGUGCCAGCUAUUUCUGUAAGAUAGACCUCAGAUCGGGCUAUCAUCAGUUCAGAGUCGGGGAAUGUGACAUUCCAAAAAUAGCCUUCCAAACUCACUAUGGUCAUUUCAAAUUCUUAGUCAUGUCCUUUGGUCUUACCAAUGCCCCAACAACUUUCAUGGACUUGAUGAACAGGGUGUUAAAGUAGUAAUUGGAUAUGUUCGUCAUAGUCUUCAUAGAUGGCAUCCUUGUCUAUUUUCGCAGUUAGUAUAAUUAUGCAGACCAUCUCAGAAUAGUGCUUCAGACUCUUAGAAAUCAUUACUUGUUCAUUAAAUUGAGUAUAUGUGAAUUUUAGCUAAGGUUAGUAGCAUUCCUUGGCCAUAUCAUUUUCAAUGAUGGCAUUAGAGUAGAUCCUUAAAAGACUGAAGCAGUAAGAAACUGGCCCAGACCUAUCUCUCUAUCAGAUAUCAGGAGUUUCUUAGGUUAAGCUAUCUGUUACAGAUGGUUUAUUGAGGGAUUAUCUUCUAUUGCAUCCCCUAUGUCCAGAUUGACUCAUAAGAAAGUCAAGUUUUAGUGUGAGAAGAGUUUUCAGGAGUUGAAGAGUCGACUCACCUCAACUCUAUUUUUGUCUCUUCCAGAUUGUUCAAAUAGGUUUGUAAUGUAUUGUGAUGCCUCCAAAGUAGGUUUGGGUUAUUUCCUCAUUCAACAUGGUAAGGUCAUAACCUACGCCUCCAGAUAGCUUAAACCUCAUGAGAAGAAUUAUCCAACUCAUGAUCUUGAGUUAGCAACCUAGUAUUUGCCUUAAAGAUUUAGAGGCUUUUGUUGUACGGUGUUCAUGUAGAUGUGUUCACGAAUCAUAAAAGCCUUUAGUAUGUAUUCUCUAAAAAAGAUCUUAACCUCCGUCAGAGAAGGUGGUUAGAUUUCUUAAAAGACUAUGACAUGAGUUUUUUUUAUCAUUCGGGCAAGGCCAAUGUAGUGGCUGACGCUCUUAGUAGACUAUCUAUGGGUAGUUGAGGACAAUAAGAAGAAGCUAGCUCAGGAAGUCCAUUAGCUUUCCAGACUAGGUAUUCACUUAGUCGAUACAGAAGAGGGUAAUAUAUGGGUUUAGAGUAGUUCAGAAUCAUCUCUAGUUUUCGAGGUGAAAGAAAAGCCAGGAAGAGAUCCUAGUCUAUUCAGGUUGAAAGAGUUAGUCAAGGAUCAGAAAGUAGAGGUUUUCUCCUAAGGGGGAGAUGGUUUAUUGCGUAUUUAGGGUCGUAUGUGAGUUCCUGGUGUAGGUAAAUGGAGGCAACGGAUUCUUAUAGAAGUGCAUGGGGCGCGUUACUCUAUUCAUCCAGGGUCCAUAAAGAUGUACUACAAUUUGUGGGAGAUCUAUUAGUGGAGUAGGAUGAAGAGAGAUAUUACGGAGUUUGUGGCUUAGUGCUCUAAAUGUCAACAAGUUAAGAUAGAGAAUUAGAAACCUAGUGGGUCUAUGCAGGGGUUCAGCAUUCCUACUUGGAAGUGGGAAGAAGUGAACAUAGACUUUGUGAUAGGUUUGCCUCGUUCUCGUCAUCAACAUGAUUCAGUUUGGGUCACUGUAGAUAGGCUGACCAAAUUUGCUUAUUUUCUUCCAGUCCAUACCUCCUAUGCAGCCAAGGAUUAUGCCAAACUCUAUAUCAGGGAGUUGGUUAAUUUACACGGUGUUCCAUUGUAUGUUAUCUCAGACAGAGGUACUCGGUUCUUCUUUCAUAUUUGAAAGUAUUCCAAAAGGGUCUUGGCACCCAAGUUUAUCUUAUUAUAACCUUCUAUCCUCAGACAGAUGGUCAAGCAGAAAGGACCAUUUAGACUUUAGAAGAUAUGCUAAGGGCAUGUGAUAUUGAUUUCAAGGUUAGUUGGGAUGACCACUUGCCUUUGAUUGAGUUUGCAUACAAUAACAGCUAUCAUUCCAGCAUUCGGAUGGCUCCAUUCAAAGCUCUUUAUGGUAGGAUGUGCAGAUCUCCAGUCGGUUGGUUUGAAGUUAGUACGUCCUCAGUCAUAGGGCCUGACUUAGUAUUAGAUGCCUUAGAAAAUGUCCAGUUGAUCAGAGAAAGACUCCGAGCUUCUCAGAGCCGAUAGAAGUCUUAUGCAGAUGUGCGUAGAAAGGAUCUCGAGUUCGAGAUUGGCGACUAUAUCUAUCUCAAGAUCUCUCCCAUGAAGGGAGUGAAGAGAUUCGGUAAGAAGGGAAAGCUUAGUCCCCGAUAUGUCGGUUCCUCCAAAAUUCUCAGUCGCUUCGGCAAAGUAGCUUAUGAGUUUGAGUUGCCUUCAGAUCUAGCCUAAGUUUAUCCAAUUUUAUAUAUCUCUUUGCUCAAGAAGUGCAUAGGUAACCCAACAGUUGUAGUCCCUAUUCAGAGCAUAGAUGUUCAGAAUAGCCUUUUUUAUGAGGAGAUUCCAGUCGAAAUCCUUGACUAUCAGACUCGUCGACUGAGGAACAAAGAAGUCCCUCUAGUCAAAGUUCUAAGGUGGAAUUAGUCCGUUGAGGGAGCUACUUGGGAAGAAGAAGCUGACAUGUGUACCAAGUAUCCUCACUCUUCUCCGCUAACUCAAACUCAGCCCAAGGUAAUAGUUAUCCUUAAGCUUUAAGUUUUAUGUUCAGAAUUCAGCCACAACUUGGUAUCUAGUUCAUGAUCAGAAUUCCAUUAUAAACUCGGCAUCGAUUAUCAUUGCAUAUCCAGUCAUGCAUUCAUGUAUCAGUUCAGCCAUAUGAUCUUGCAUCAGAUAUGUAUUCUCAUUGUGAGAAACUCAGUUCAUUAGAAUACUUAAUCAUGUAUUCAUUAAUCAAUUACACAUGCAUCAGAUAUGCAUGCUCAGUAUGAUGUAUUUAGUUAUCAGUCAUGUCAGUCAUGGAAUCAAGCUUCAGUUGUUCAUGUUCAGUAUAUUCAUCAGUUUAUCUUUUGUCCCCUCUCAGUCAUCUCAUUCGAGGAUGAAUGUUCUCAAGGGGGAGAUAUUGUAAGUCCCCAUAAAAUCCCAAAGCUCAAUUCAGUCCUUUAAGCUUGUCAAGGGGUCCCAGACUUGGAAAAUUCUAGCUAGGUUCCCAGACUUAGCCUAUUAUUGGCCUUCCAAAGUUGGCAAUUUCAUUUUGCCACCUUAAUGUCCUUUAAUAGUCUGUAUUUUUAUUAAUUCAUGAUUAAGAAGGUCAAUAGGUGUUCUCGGGCAAUUUUUGGUUUUCUUGGAACACGUUUAUAUCAUGUUCGGAGUCCCAAAAUAGUGGACUAACGCGAUCAUAGUGCACCGCAUCACCAACCGUGUUGGUCAAUAUUUGUGUAGGCAGCUAGAGCCAAAACUUCUGAGGCUCGACAGGAUCAUAGUGCAACACAUUGAGUAUCGCAUCACAGCCAUCAACGUGUCGCGUCGCUUGUAGCGUCGGCACCCAAUUUUUAUUCAUUAAAUGACUGUGUCCUCAAGGGCAAAAGGGUCAAUUUCCCACCCCUAUAUAAGUCUAAAAUACGGGAUUGAGCCCCAAUUCAACCUAAAUACACUUAUCUCUCUCAAAAUCCAUUAAGAAUAAGUUCAGGGUUUUCAACUAAGGAUCCAAUUUCUAGAAUUUCACCAUUUUUUUUCAAGAAUCUUCCAUCCAAGGUAUGCAUAGUGUUGAUUUAUGGAUUUCUUUCAUCCAUAAAGCUCAAGAACCCUAUUUCAAAUUAUAAAUCAUGAUGUUUAUGUUGUGGGUUGUUUUGUAACCAUGGUUAUCUUGUUGUACGAUUCCCAAGUUGGAAUUUUUACGUGUUUUUCAUGAAAUAUGUUAACAUGCAAGUUGAAAUCCAUGAAUUGAGUUGUUUAUGAUGUGUAAUUUGAUGAUUACACCUAUGCCCUAAAUUGUGCAUGAAUGGUAUUUGAUAAAAGCCUAAGAGGAUAAAUUAUGUGUAUUAUUGCUCAAUUGUGACCCAUAUGAUAAAUGUAUGUUUUACCCUUAUGGUGUAAUAACUCCCAUGCUAUUGUAGUGCAAUGAAUAUGUUUGUUGGAAUGCUCAUGAUGUUAGGGUAUGAAAUUAUGACAUUGAUUAUUUGCAUUCCUAACAAGUACAAGAUUAUGAUAACCAUGUACUUCAUGAAAUCCCCAACUUAUUGUAUUAUGGAUUGUUGGACAUGUAUUCAAGAAUGUCAUGCCUUGUUAGUUUCCUUCUAUCGAGUCCUAGGGGUACUUGUACCUGAAAAUUUAGCUGUGUGCCUAGAGCCAGUGUCAUGUUUUCAAGAUACUCUCAGUCAAGCCAUGAUCCAUAGAACUCUGUCAAUCAUGUGACUCAUGAAAACUCAGUAAACUCAAUAAAUCCAGAAACCUCAGAAAGCUCAGUGAUUUUGAAAUCUCAGUAGUAUUCCAUUAGUCAAUGGAACUCAAUGAACUCAGUCUAGUUCAUUUCAAAUAAUCAUGUUCAGUGUCUAUUCAAAUGGGAGUAGGAUUUAGCACUGAGUGAACCCAAAGAUGGGAACUCACCUGCACGUUGAGGGUGUGAUUCUUAAAAACAAUCCUUGAAUUCUAGAACUACGUAGCCAGCGUAAGUUGAGACAUCAACCUGUCAGUCGAGGAUUGAUGAAGUGUGUUGGCCUGUCACAUGAGGGUCCAACCGUUCCCAUUAGAGUACCUGCCAGAUGAGGGUCACUCAUAGCUUGUCUGUUCCAGUGGUGCGAUAUUGACACCCUUCAAAUUAAGGUUACAGAUUGGACCCCAACUCAACUGUAUUGCUUUAUUUGGGGCAUGUCGGUUAGAUGACUACUUCCCAUAGUUUCAGUUUCAGUUUCAGUAUCAGUAAUAAAACUUAAAUAGUUCUACAGAACUUUGGACUGUUAGAUACAGUCGCACAGCUCAGUAUAGAACUCAUCUAAUUCCAUUAGAACUUAGACUGUUAGCCACAGUCGCUUAGUAUUAGUUAUAUCAGUUAUCAUUAACUUAUGUUAUCAGCAUUCAGACUCAGUAGUCAGUAUCAUCACAAAUUCAGUUACAGUCACUUAUUCAUGCAUGUAUUCUCACAUUCAUGUUAUACAGUCAGUUAUCAUUGUUCAUGCAUUUGAACCCUUUGCAUUCUUCCUACCUCACUUGCAUACCAGUAUAUUCAAUCGUACUAAUGCAUUUCCGCUAUGGUGUUUUAUACCAUAGGUUCGGAAGUACGAGCUCCAGAGUAUCCUUAGUAGAUUAGACAUUCAGCAGCCAGACUAGCAGUGAGUCCUCAUCAUUCGAGGAUAGCAUGAUUAUUUUAUUACUUUAUUAUUUUAGUAGUUUGGAGUUAGUUGGGGACAUAUCCCAUCAACUCCACAGUUUUUAGAUAGUUUAGAGGCUUCUAGACUACAGUAUGUUCAAACAGUUUAUUUCAGUUUUCUUUUUGGUAUUCACAUACCGAACUCUAAGAUGUUAUGUUUUAUCAGUUUUUGAACCUUAUGGUCUCUCAGCCUUUAUUUCUUUAUUUAUACAGUAUAUUAUGCAGUGUUUAGGUACAGAUAUCAGUCAUGGGCUAGCUUGUGGCCUUUUGGGGUCAUGAGCUCCGUAUAACAUUCUAGGUACCAGAUUCGGGGUAUUACAGAUGCUUAUUGAUCUUGUCAACAGCUAAGCUAAGCACGAGAGUUUGGGGUUGCAUCAAAGUAGAGUUAUUUUGAGCAUUAGAAGGUUGGGAAGCAAAAUAGAGCUAAUUGGGGGAAUAAUGACUGAUAUUUGAUGUUCGAUCGAGAUGCCGUUAGGUUUUCCAGAGCCGCUAUCUAAAGCAAACCUCAACCCUCCCAUCCACACCACGGUGUCCUCUGCACUGAAAACUUCACCUAUACCUGAUUGUGACACACAUGUCUCCAAGAACGUUUUCAAUUGCAUUACUAUAAGAACUUAUUGAGUUAACAAAUACGAGUGAGAACAAGGAGACAGAAGGACAGGUUCCUAACCAUGAGGCAGGAUCAUCUCAACAUCCCAAAAUGAAUAAGUCAUCUAAAUCAAGGAAAGAAGACAAGGCGAGAAUCGACGGUUUGGACUUUCCAUUCUAUGAUGGGUCGGGAAACCCUCAUCCCAUUUGAAGGAGUACCUCCACAAGCUAUCGGUUAUAGGAAAAAGUGAUAGCCUGAAGGCGAAACUCUUUGUUAGUUCACUUAAAGGUCCAGCAUUGAUGUAGUAUGCUGAAAAUGAUACUAGCAAAUGGGUUUCUUGGGACCAUUUGGCAAUUGACUUUGUUAGGCGGUUCGACAAUAAGCUAAAAAGGAAGCUCACAGUCGAGGCAAAUUUAGUUAAGCCACAAUCCAGAUAAGGGUAAGAUAAUCAUCAAUGAGACAUCAAAACCUUCAAAGCUUGAAGUAAGUAUGCCCAAAUCUUAACCGAUAUGGUACCCAGCUCCAGAAGUCAUCCCAACCUCUAAUUACAUCCAAGCCUAUUAUCCAUAAUCCUUCACAAGACCUCUUCCUUAUACUGUUUGGUACCCAUAUCCAUCCUCUGCUUCAAAAACAAACUAUAUUCCAGUUUCUUGUCAAAACCUACCCAUAAAUCAACAAAGCAACAAAUAACCAAACCUCAACAUAAACCUUAGAAAAAUCCACCAAAACAAUCCACUACUUUAAAUGAACCCAUUGAAUAGUGUUAUGAACGACUCAAAAAUGCGGGCUACAUCAUGGCCAUUGCUACUAUGCCUUAAGAUACCAAGUAUAUGAGGUAUUUCCCUAACCUAACAUGUGCCUACCAUUUUAGGAUGAGAGGACAUCCAACUAAGGCGUGCUUUGUGUUGAAGAACAUAAUCCAAAAGUUUAUUGACGCCAAAGUGAUAAAUGUGAUGGGCUCAAAUUUCGAUAAAGAUUGAUUGUCUAAGCUUGACUUGCACUUGUUGACGAUUGAUUUUCUAAACUUAAAUUACACUUGUUAACAAUGGUGAAGAGGAUGUCAUGUUGAUUCUUUGCUCCAGGCUCUCCAACAUUUGAAAUUCCUUCAAAUUUUACAAUUUUCAGUUUUCUUUGCUAAUGUAAUGUGAACUACAGUCUACCUAAUUCUCGUUUAAGAGGGAUACGUAGACGCUCAUUUAAUGAGUUCGUUCUUACUAUAAUAAAAUUUUCUUUUUCCCUGCUUUAUAAUUUUUUUCUAUAUGGAGUUGGAUGAAUCUACAAUAUGUUAUGAAUCAAUAAAUCUGAUGUUCAACAAAAGUCGACUUGUCCAUUUCCUAUCAUUCUUAUCCUCUUUGCAAUCGCAAUCGCUAAAUCGAUAUCAUAUUUUAUUGCUAUCAUGUUUUGUGCAUUAGGAGCUCAAAUCUUUAUGCCUAGAGUGCUUAUUAAGGCUUAAUAUUCAUCCUAGAAUGUCGUUUGCUUUAUAUUUAUUACGCUUUGAACUUACACAUUAAUUUUUGUUUGAUUUGCUUAUUUUAUUUAAGGGUUGUGUAGCAUUUGAACAUCGAACUUAAGUGAGAAUCUGCAAUAUGACAAAUAUGGUCAAUAUCAAAAAAGUUUUCAGUCCCCUUUCUCAUCGCCCAAGACAAAACACUAUGACUCCUUAUCCUUUCCUUACCCACACACUUUCUCAAUAAUUUUCUUUUACACAUGACAUUUCUGAAAGUGAAAUGAUCAAUUUGGAUUAACGUGGACAAAGCCUUUGUGACUUAGAGAAAAAGGUGAAUUGAGGAAUUGCAUUCUAGGGGUAUCUACGACCUGAGGUAUGAGAAAUUAUGUAUACAUCCGUGGAUUAACUUGCCUCCAGGAUACAAAGUUCCCAAGUUCAAUAUGUUUGCUGGGCCUGGGGAUCCAAUCAUGUAUUCGGAGGACUAUUGAGGUAGACUGAUUGGCAUAGGGUACAAUGAGGCUUUCCUUAUGAGAUUGUUUAUUCAAAGUUUGUCAGGAAUGACACUCACAUGGUUAGCCCAACAAGACUUCAACAAAUGGAAAAAUUGGGAAGAAUUGGCAUAAGAUUUUGUGAGGCAAUACAAGUUUAACAUCAAUAUUGGUCCAACAAUGUGGGAAUUACUUGAGAUGAAGAGAACGGCCCAUGAAUCUUUUGAGGAAUAUUCCAAUCGAUGGAGGCUAGAGGAUUCCAAAAUGUCCUUCUGUACCUGAGGAGGAAUUGGUUCAAAUAUUCCUCAAGACACUAGAUGGAAUAUACUUUCAGAAAAUGUUCUUCCUGGUCAGUCACAACUUUGACAGUCUAAUUUUGAUUGGAAAGAAAUUAGAACAUAAAACGAAGAAUCCAUCCGAGGGAGAAAAAGAGGAUUCAUUACCCUCCGUACCUCAAACACAAGAAUAUUGAAAUAAUGAAGAGACCCACACUGUUUUUUAUUCCCGAAAUAAGGCUUAUCAGAUAUAAUCCUACUCUCUCCAGCAAGGUUCUCAAAAUAAGGCACCUUGAACACAACCCAACUUUCGACAAGGGCCUUACUUAGUAUGCAAUUCUUUUCAUCAAUCGAAAAGAAUGAGGUUUCAAUCCUAUGAUCCUGUCACUACAAAUGAAAUCCAUGUUCAAGGUGAUCCAACAAGAAUACUUCCAAGACAUUCACAAAAGAAGCGUAAAGCAGAUUACAUGAGUUGACGUGCAAACCCUUAUUGUUUUCCAUCACUGUUCUCCUUUAUUCAUCUUAUGGCUUAGAACAUUUUCUUGUUUCCUCUACCUUUCUUUGUACUUAGAAAUUAAGUUCGACCUGACUUUCAUUUGGAUACGUAGGAAGACCACUCUGGGUCCGGUCAUAAUCUAAUAGAACAUUUUCUUUCCCCACUUUCUUUCAAUACUUGCACUUCCAAAGUGUUGGGCUAAUAAUCCCAACUCCAGAGCAUAUUAAGGGAAGAUUACAAUUGAAGCUAAGAUAUUCAAAUGUAGAAUGACCAUUUUUCUUGAACUAAUGUUUUCUUUGAGUGGUAUAGGAAUAUAAGGCUCUUUCCAUUAUAGAAUAUUUUAAUAACAUGUUUAUUCUUUCCUAUAUGUCACCUUUACCUUACUAACUUGACUCUUUUUUAUUUUUGAUUAUUUAUUUUCUCCCACACCCUAAAGAUUGAUUUAUGCAUUCUCUUGCCCAUCACAUCAAUUGAAAAAGGCUCGGUCUCCUUCUCUUAAAGCUUAAUCACCAAGACAGGUAAAUGGGUGAUAACAAAGAAACUAGAAAUGAGCCUAAUGAGAUGAUCUUACAAAUGGAACAAAGAAUCCUUCAACUAUAAGGAAAAUUGUCACAAGACCGUAACUCAUCUAAUUUACCCCUUGCUUUGAAUGCUUCACUCGAACUACAAGUUGAGGGUAAAAAUGUUAUUAAAUCCCAUCCCACCUUCAUGAGUCAUCCCUUACAAUCACUUCCUAUUUCACAACCCCCACUUAAUUUAAAUCACAUAUACACGUCUCCUAAACAUAACUCAUAUCCAGCCCCACUAAAUUCACAAACAACAUCAUAUGUCCACAAUAUACCGCCAAUGUUUACCACAAAUAUGCCUCAUUUUCAUGACCCAAGCAGCUAUACUUUAGAUCUGAGUUAUGAAAAAAUGACUCCAUUUAUCCACCAUUAAUACAAAUCCAAACCACCAAAAAAUACAGCCCUUAUGCAAUAUGUGGUUGAAAGAUUGGAACAACUUGAAGGCAAUAAGGGGUCGAAUUGGCUAAGUUACGAGGACCUAUGCAUGCACCCUGAUGUUGAACUGCCGGAGGGAUACAAGCCUCCUAAAUUUGAAUUAUAUAGUGGGACUAGAGACCCGAAAGUCCAUUUGAAACUAUACUGCGACAAGCUAGUUGGAAUUGGUAAAAAUGAGCAAAUUCUUAUGAAGUUAUUCAUGAGGAGCCUCACUGGAGAUGCUUUAUCAUGGUAUGUCACACAAGAUGCAACAAAAUGGUCAAAAUGGACCGAUAUAGCCUCUGAUUUCAUAGAAAGAUUUGGGUUUAAUAUUGAGAAUAUGCCUGAUUGGUUCUACAUUCAGAAGAUAAAAAAGAAACCUACAGAAGCAUUUUGAGAAUAUGGAAUAAGAUAGAUACGUGAAGCUUUUAAAGUGCAUCCUCAUUUAGAGGUAAGUCAAAUAAAAGAAUUUUCCAUACAUGCCCAAGAGCCACAAUAUUAUGAAAGGAUUAUUCUUAUAGAGGAUUGAAAGCUUGUUGACAUCAUCAAAUUGGGUGAGAGAAUUGAAGAAGGCAUUAAAAACAGCAUGAUAACAAAUUUGGAGGCUCUGCAAGCGAUUAAGUCUUCACAGGCUGAUGAGAACAACAACAUAAAAGAGGUAAAUACUGUCUUGACUACACAAAAUCCUAAAAAACAAACACCACUUCCUGCACUGCAAUACCAAACACCCAUAUAUCAAGCACCUUCAUUCCCCACAACGACAUACAAUUACCCCAUACUAUCUUAUAAUCCUACCAACUAUCUCGCACAACCUAUGCGCUCAGAAAUUCUUCCAACUACUAUCCAGCAACCAUUAGCUUAUCAAAAUCCACUAAAAAAUAUAUGACCUAAUCAAUUCAUCAAUCCUCAAGCCAAGCUUCAAAAAAAUUAGUCAAGAUAGUACACUCCUUUGGCUGAGCCUAUAGACCAACUUUAUGAGAGAUUAAGGGUUGACGGCUACAUUACUCCACUUCCUAAAAUUGUAAUGAAUACAUAUGCUAAAUGGGCUGAUUAUUUCAAAGUUUGCGAUUAUCAUUCGGAGAUGACAGGCCACACCACAAAAGAAUGUCAUGCUUUAAAGGACAAAAUUCAAGCAAUGAUUGAUACCAGGGUGAUAAAGGUGAUGGGGCUAUAGCUUGAUGUUGAUUAAGCAUUGACAUCUAUCUAACAUUAAGGAAGGGAUAGUACAUCGUUUUUGGAUUUCAGUCUCUCAAGCACUUGAGUUACUAUAAUCUUUACAUUUUCUUGGAAAAAUAUGAAUUUCUCCUAUGUAAUUUGAACCAUGUUUGACCUAAUUCCCAUUUAAGAGGAAUACGUAGGCGCUCCUAUGGAGUUCGGUCUUAUCAUAAUGAAAUUUUCAUAUUUUCCUGAAAGCACGUAACUGGGGCAAAAUUUUUGAAAGGAUUUCAAAAAUUCUAUGAUUGUACAAGUUUAAAAUGGAAGAGACAUGUAACUGGGGCAGAGUUUUUAAGAAGAUCUCAAAAAUUCUAUCAAGAAGCAUUUCAACAAGCUCAAGGCUAGAAAGAUCAAACUGGGGCAAAUUUUUUUUAGAAAUCCUCCAUGAACAAAGACAAUGGAUUCAGAACAUGAAUAAAGGAGGUGGUAGAGACACGAAUCAAUCUUCCCCCUUUUUUAAAACUAACAAUUUUCCUGUGAGUGUAGAAAUAGAGUGACAAGUACAAAUAUUGAGUAUGUUAACACCAUCAGAAGAUAUAAGGUUAAGUAUUGUCAUUCUGUAUUUUGAGCGUGUUAAACACUACCCUCUUGAGAGAAACUAUUUGAGGCUAAGCAUUACCCUUGAAAAGUUAGUUGGAUUAAGCACUGCCCUCUCUCGAGAAAUCAUCCGAUCUAAGCAUUGUUUCAAAAACACGAUGGAGUUAAGCACUACUCUAUCAAAGAAAUCUCUAAGGCUAAGUAUUGCCCUUGGAAAGUUAAGUGGGUUAAGCACUACCCUCUUUUAAGAAACUGACUGAGGCUAAGUAUUGUCCUUGAAAGUUAGUUGGGUUAAGCACUACACUCUCUCAAGAAAUCAUCCAAACUAAGAAUUAUUUUGGACACUCAAUGGAGUUAAGCACUACUCUAUCAAAUAACACUCUAAGGCUAAGCAUUGUCCUUGACAAAUUAAGUAGGUUAAGUACUACCCUCUUUCGAGAAACUGACUAAGGCUAAUUAUUGUCCUUGAAAGUUAGUUAGGUUAAGAACUACCCUCUCUCGAGAAAUCAUCCGAACUAAGCAUUGUUUCAGAAACUUGAUGGAGUUAAGCACUGCUCUAUCAAAAAAUCUCUAAGGCUAAGCAUCGUCCUUAGAAAGUUAAGUGGGUUAAGAACUACCUUCUUUUGAGAAAAUGACUAAGGCUAAGCAUUGUCCUUGAAAGUUAGUUGGGUUAGGAACUACCCGCUCUUCAUAAAUCAUCCUAACUAAGCACUGUUUCGAAAACUGAAUGGAGUUAAGAACUACUCUAUCAAAAAACUCUCUAAGGCAAAGCAUUGUCCUUGGAAAGUUAUGUGGGUUAAGCACUACCCUUUUUCAAGAAACUGACUAAGACUAAGCAUUAUCCUUGAAAGUUAGUUGGAUUAAGGACUACCCUCUCUCGAGAGAUCAUUCAAACUAAGCAUUGAUUCGGAAACUCAAUGGAUUUAAGCACUAUAUCAAAAAAUCUCUAAGGCUAAGCAUUAUCCUUGGAAAUUUAAGUGGGUUAAGAACUACCCUCUUUUGAGAAACUGCCUGAGGCUAAGCAUUUUCCUUGAAAGUUAGUUGGGUUAAGCACUACCCUUUCUUGAGAAAUCAUCCGAACUAAGCAUUGUUUUGAAAACUCGAUGGAUUUAAGAACUACUCUAUAAAAAACUCUCUAAGGAUAAGAAUUGUCCUUGAAAAGUUAAGAGGGUUAAGCACUACCCUCUUUUGAUAAAAACUCUCUAAGGCUAAGCAUUGUCCUUGGUAAGUUAAGUGGUUUAAGCACUACCCUUUUUCAAGAAACUGACUGAGGCUAAGCAUUGUCCUUGGAAGUUAGUUGGGUUAAGCACUACCCUCUCUCGAGAAAUCAUUUGAACUAAGCAUUGUUUCGAAAACUUGGUAGAGUUAAGUAUUACUCUGUGAAAACUCUCUAAGGCUGAGCAUUGUCCUUGGAAAGUUAAGUUGGUUAAGCACUACCCUCUUUCAAGAAACAGACUAAGGCUAAGAAUUGUCCUUGGAAAGGGUUAAGCUCUACCUUCUCUCAAGAAAUUGUCCUAGGCUAAGCAUUGUCCUCUUGAAGCCGAUCGAUUUACUCAAAGACAAACACUGUUUUCUAAUACUGAACAUGUUAAGCACAAAUAACCUCGAUGUUAUUAAAUGCUACUGCAUUACUGGACAUGGUGUAGAUUAAGCACAACCUCUUCAAAUUGAUCUGAACAAAGCAUUCUCAUGACAGAUACAUUUUUUUAUUGUUAUGGUUGUCUUUACUACAUUGUUCAAUCUUCUAUGCAUACAUAUCCAUGCUAACCAUUUUAUCCAAUUGAGCUAAACUGGUAAGAUUAAUAGGUAUAGAUUACUCCAUCAUGAGAUACCAAGAGUUGAUCCCACGAAUACACAGUGCAUCGAGAAGCCAAAGAGCUGAUCCAACGAUACAACAGAUUUGCUUUCUUAUUAUCACACUCAGUUUAUGUUUAUCAAUUACUUCUUUCUUACAUGCCUAACCUUGUCAUUAGUAUGUUGCAAAGUAUGCAAGUAACAAAAAUGGAGUAAGAGGAACAAUUUUCAUUCCUAUUUUCAAAAUAUCACCCUAUCUAUUCAUCAGUCGCAUAAACUCAAAUCGAAACUCACCUACCUUUUAUUUUCACGCCUCUCCCCCUGUAAUUAUUUUUGAAGCAUGUUCAUCUCACUGACGCACAACAUCUUUAUUGAAUGCCCGUGCUUUAUCAUUUACACUUUUUAGGAAUAUUGUUCAUUCCUAAAUCCAGAACUACAGACGACCUGAUUCUCAUAAAGCCAGAGAUAUGUAGGCGACUUGAAACUGAAGUCUUGGCCACACUAUUUUUAACCACCUCCUAUUGCCUUAAUUCCAAUGAAUCUUUCUCAGUCGGACAAAAUUAGCUACUAUGUCAACUUUCGUUGCAUGACAAUUCUUGCAUCAUUCUCAAGCAACGAAGGGGUAGCUAUUGACACCCAAUUUUGACCUCCCGAUACUACUUUUAGGCUGCUAUUUUAUUAAAAUUAUUUAAUUUUAAAUAUUAUUAUUUUUUACACAUUAUCCUUGCCUUGAACAGAUAUUGACAUAUCACAUUUAUCAUUUAAAAAGUAUACAAAUUAUUUUAUUAUCAUUUUUUACAAUUUAUUAAUUCAAAUAUAAAAUUUUACAUAAUUUUAUUGAAUUAUUUUUUCUCGUAAAUGUGCACAGUCACGACUUACAAAUACAUUGCCUAAGUUUUUCAUUCUUAUUACCAUUAUUUUUAAUAAUAAUAUUAUAUAUUUAUAAUAUUUAUCAAAUAGCAUCCAAUUUUAAUUUAUUUUGCCUAAUUUAUUUAAAUUCUAGCCUUUUUAUCCAAUUUAUAACACUAUUAGCCUAAUUUUAUUCAACUUAUUACAAUUCUAGUCAUAUUUAACUCAAUUUUAAAAAUUUCAAUUCAUCUUCUUAUCCUUUAAUCUCAACCAUGGAUCAUGAUUGAUCUAAUGGCUGAGAUCACAUCCCACUAUUUCCUUUUUAAAUUCAAAACAAAAUCCCUAACUUUUCAUUCAUCAAAGAUCAGCCACAGAAAAUGCUCCCCCCCUCUCUCCUCCCUUGCUGCCUUACCCCUUCUGCAAAAAAUUACGCUGGCAAAAUCCCUCAACCCACUGCCGCCAGUGAUGAAGCCACCGGUGAGUGAUCCUCCACUGCCGUUGACCAAAGCUAAACUCUCUGGUCAGCAAUCAGCCGCACCGCCACUCCAUUUUCCACGUCUCCACCGUCCCGACCAGUAAAAAAGCUGGCCUAUCGCCGCUGUGCAACAGCCCAAACAGCCAUAGCACCACCAUCGAAUUUGAUCAUCCAUGCAACCAGUUCAUCAUCGGGAAAUGACGGAUUAGUUAGAAUUCAUUCCAGGUUUGGUUUCUAGGUUUAAUUUUAUAUUCCAUUCCCUUCUUUUAUUCUUCUUUUGAAAAAAAUCUGCGAUUUGAAGUUAAUGAAACUCAUUAGGCACUUUUGUUCUAAUUUAUUGUGAUUUUAGUUAGUUAACUUGUUUAGAUUAUCGCAUGUUAAAAUCUUUAAAUUCACAUAAACUUUAAUUCUUCUAAUUUUUUAAUUGUAAUCUGCCUCAAAUUAUGUUGUUAUGAUGUGUUGACUGAUUUUAUGUUCUAUCCCUAAUUCCCAUCACUCUAUCUUUGAAAUGGUCAAGUUUACGGCAAUCUUGAAUAUCUGAUUUAUUUUGACAUGGUGUAUAGUAAAUUUUUGGUAAAUUUGGAUCUGAUUUUGCACUUUGUUAAAUUAAAUCAGGAAAUAAUUUUAAUUAUUUUACUAAUUUAGUCACAUAUGGUAAGCAUUAAUGUUGAGUAUUAUUUGCCCAUAUUACGCCACAAAUUUUCUACUUAAUGAUGUUCAGUGAUUUAACAAAAUUUCUACUGGCUGUCAACCUUUUGGUCCGUAAUUAUUGGUAUUGUGGAUAUUGGGCUGUGUUUUAUAUUAUGUUGGAAAGGAAAUUUGAUUGACUAAUAUUUCUUUUCCUUUGACUUUCUUGGAUUGAUUUUGUGAUUAUUUCUUAAUAGUCAAUUGACAUAAAUAUAAUUUUAUAUUGAUAGAAAAAUAUUCGUGAAUUGAUUGACAUAUAUUUUUCUUUCCUUUUUUGUGCUUAGGUGGAUUUCUUUUUCAUACUAUAUAAACCCCCCUCUUUUCAUUUAAGGGACAGCUCUUCAAUUACAAUCACUACUCUCUUAAACAAAAAUCAUCAACUAUUUUAAUACAAAGCAGUUAGAUACUUUAAAGGUUCUUUUGGUUUUCCUUCGAGGCUUACUGGAAGCACCCUACUAUUAUUCUUACAAGUUCUUGGCUUUAUUAUUCUCAUUAUUUCUUUUAGUUGUUGCUUACUGGUAAGUCCUCAAAUUGAUAUAAUUUUUCAUUCUUUGUGUGCUGACUGCAUCAUGUUGUGAAAACCUUUAGAAAGUAUGUCUAUAGGAACGUUUGCUACUAUAUGUUUCCUUCAUAUGCUAUUACAUCGUAUCUCACAAGUUUAAAUUGAAGAUUAUGGGAUUUGGAGAGUUGUCGUGGGAAUUAAUGAGGGCGAAUUGUUCUUUUAUUUUCUCUUAAUUUUAGUGUAUUAUUCAUAUGGACUGUAAUAAUCUUGUACAUACAUUAUUAUUGUAAUAAUAAAUUUGGGGACUGCUUCGGGGGAGGGGAUUUACGUACUCUAUGAAUAAUAUAGGUAGGCACACCUUAGGUUUAUGUGUGAUAUGUGUUACGUGGAUCAUCUAGGCACAAAAAUUUAGGAUUUAUUAACACAUGCGACGUUUAAUAAAUUUAUUAACUAGUUUGAUUCAAUUUUGGCAUAUUAACACAUCUUUAGCAUGUUGAACAUCAGGCUUAAACAAUUUUAAUAUGUCAGUGUAUGUCCAGCAUGUUAACACAAAUUUAAGCAUAAAAAUAGGUUGAGCAUUCUUUUCGCAUAUUAAUGUAUUCUUCUGCAUGUUAAAACUGUCAAAUACUAGAUUAAACAUGACAUUGUGCAUUGAUACAAAAUUUCAGCAUGUUAAUAGUGUUAGAACAUGUUAGCAUUUCAUGUUAAAUACUUAAUCUACAUUGCACAUUAAAUUUAUGCACACUAAUAUGCAUUUCAUCCUGUCGAUACAGUUUCAGCACGUUAAAUUAAAUAUGCUAAAUAGUAAUACUUUAGCACGUCAAUAUAGAUUACAGUAGGUUAAAGCUUUUCGAACAUGUUAACACCAAUUUUGGCAUGUUAUCGUAUUUUUCAGCAUGUCAAUACAAAAUUCCUGCACUAUUAAUAUAAUAAUCAGCAUGUUAAGGCAUAUUCGGCAUGAUAAUACACUUUCCAGCAUAUCCGCAUUGAAUUUCAGUAGGUUCCCACAUUAAAAAAUAUAAUUUCAGCACGUUAAUUGAUUUUUCAGCAUGUUAGAUUUAAUUUCUGACAUAUUAGAACUAAUUUUCAGUAUGUUGAUAGUAUUUUAGUAUUAAAAUGUUUGAAAGGAAAUUCCGAUGUGUUUUCAUAAUUUCUCACUUACCAUUAGUCUAUAAUGCGUCUUGCACAAUGAAAUUCGUGUGCACAAUUCUUUGACAUACUUACCAAACUUUGACAUUCUCUUUUUACAACUUGACAAUAUAUUGUUACAUAAACGAAUCACAGUUACAUUUUUGUCACACUAGCACUUGUUGAACAUUUAGAUAUCAUGCCUAUAGAUUAAUGACACAAAAAUAAGCUAUUAUUUGUCUUUGCAUGUUAAUCACAUUAAUUAACUUUAAUUAACCAAGAGGCUAACUUGGGAUACUUAUGUGCAACGUGAUGUCCUACUUGUUAUGUUUUUCGAGUCCUAGGCAACAUAACAUUAUUUUUUCUAGACCACAAAGUCAAAAUAACAAAGUCCAAUGCCUCUUGGAUGAUAGGCAGGAUGAUAAAAAUUACUAAAGUCGCUAGUUUUAUCCUUGUCUUAGAGCGCCUUUAGAGUUAACUACCAGACUAGGUGGGGUGGGAUGGGUAGUCAUUCGUAAAUGAUGAUCUCCAACAUAUAUUAAAGGUAAGACAUAUGACUUGUCUAAGAGUUCGGUCAGUGGUUGGAUGAUGACUAAACAAGUUGGGGUUCUGAUCCGAAUGAGACCAAAAAUAUUUCUUUGUUUGCUUUGAUGAUUUCUUUUUAUUCUUUUAUUUACCUUACAUGCUUAUUUAUUUGAGGUAAUUAGUUUGUUACAUAAGCAGUCCCCCUUUUGUUAUAAAUUAUGUCAUUUUUUCCCCCUCGCUUGUCUUAUUAUAUGUUUCCUGAUUUUAUCACUUAGAUAAUCAACAAUUAAAAAUAAUAAAAUAACAUGCUUUUUUUUAUUAAUUACUUUAUCACUUAGUUAACAUUUAAGUUAAUAAAAAUAAGCGACCUUUAUUUGAUCACGUAGAAUCCCCACGUAAACAUGAAUUCGACCGAGAACCACCUUUGUGGACCUCAAAAGGUGCCUAACACCUUACUUUCGAGGUAAUUAGAACCCUUACCUGAAUUUCUAAUGAACUAAGACAAAACAAAAAAAUAGGUUCGUAGUUGGACUAUAUCGGUGCCCCAACACACCUUAAUUUGUUAGGUGGCGACUCUUUACACUCAUCCUUCAAACAAUCCUAAAAAGAGUGGUCACGUCAAAUCUUGCUUUUUGAGAGAUAAAUGGGGCGUGACACAUAUCUAUUUUCAUUAUAUUGUUUGGUGCUCAUAGCAGGUACCAACUCAUGGGUUAGCUUUUGGUCACUUGUGAUCGUUAGCACUGAUGUCACGACUAGGAGGUAGCCUCGGGUCAUGACAAAACUUGGUAUCAAAGCCUAAAAAUUUACAGUGUCCUAGGGAUUUUGAAAUCCACAUUGAGUAGAGUCUUGUGCAUGGGUGUGAAGCGCGUCACACUUAUGGACAAGAGGCUACAAAACAUUUUAAGAAAAAUUUUGCUUCUUUCAGUAUUCAUGUUGUACGAAUGAGCAUAAGCUCUAUUUAAAACUCUCUUUCUGACUCAUUCUUUCUUUUAUUUACUGACAAUGCCUCCUAAAAGAAAUAAUGGAAUAAGAAAUAGAAAUUAGCUCACACCUCCGCCUGUUCAGAAAGAUCCCCUAAAUGAGCUCGUCUCCCAUGCUGAGUUCAAAGCUGCAUUCACUACCUUAGCUCACUCAGUAGCUACUCAGAACAACUAUCAAGUUAUUUCCCCAGCUAACCCAACAACAAAUACAGUUGCAGCUAGGAUUUGGAACUUCACUCGAAUGAACCCUCUUUGUUUUUGGGAUCCAAGUCUGAGGAGAAUCCAUAUUAGUUUCUUGAUAUGGUUCUAGAGAUGACUGAUAUCAUGGUUGUCGCUUUGAGUUAGAGUGUAGCGUUGGCUUCAUAUCAGUUGCAGGAUGUAGCUCAUAUAUGGUAAAAGUAGUAAAAGGAGGAUAGUGGUGCUGAGGUAGGGCUUGUAGAGUGGGAUAUGUUUGCCAUAGGCUUUUUAGACAGGUUCUUUCCUUUAGAGUUGAGGGAAACCAAGGUGCUAGAGUUUAUUAAUUUGAAGCAGGGUAAUAUGAGUGUGAAGGAAUACUCUCUUAAGUUUACUUAGUUGGCGAGGUAUGCUCCUUUGAUGAUGGCUGAUAACAGGUCUAGAAUAAGUAAGUUUAUUUUUUAUGUAGCUGAUAGUGUGGUCUAGGAGUGUAGGAAUGCUAUGUUGAUUAAGGGGAUGGACCUAUCUAGGCUUAUAGUUAAUGUUCAAAAGAUUGAGGAACAAAAGCUUAAGGAGAGAAAGAGAAUAAAAAGUCCAGAACAGGUAGCUUUACUUUUUCUCAGCAAAGGCCAGAGGGUGGUAACCGUUCUUAGUUCUGUCAUAAAUUUUCAGUGCCAGCUUUGUCUUCAGCUAGUGCGCCAGUUCCAAAGUUUAAAAAUGACAAUCGGUAUAGGGUGCCAGGCUCUAAGUCCUAGGGUAGUGUGAACAACGCUUGUAGUAAUCCACUUUCCAAGUAAUAUGGUAGGAAUUAUCAAGGUGUGUGUUGAGCUAGCAGUGAUGUGUGUUUUGGGUGUGGCAAGCCAGGCCACAGAGUUAAAGAAUAUCCAUAGGUUGGUCAACAGAGUCAGAACAGUCAUUCUUUAUUUCUAGCCGAUCGCAUGAAUCAACAGGGGGCUACCUGCAGCGCCACCAGUGGACAACAUCAGAAUAGGUUAUAUGUACUUUAGUCCCAACAGGAUCAGUAAAGUUCUCCUGAUGUGGCUAUGGGUACAUUUCAAGUGUUUCAUCUUCACGUUUAUGCUUUGCUAGACCCAGGAGCCUCACUUUCUUUUGUAACCCCCUAUAUAGCCGUCAAUUUUGGUGUCGGUCCAGAAAUAUUAGUAGAUCCUUUCUCUGUGUCUACCUCAGUGGGUAAAUCUAUCAUAGCCAGAUGAGUAUACAAAAAUUUCCCAAUUACAGUAUCUCAAAAAGUCACGUCAGUUGAUCGUGUAAAGUUAGAGAUGACUGAUUUUGAUGUCAUUCUUGACAUGGAUUGGCUCCACUCAUGUUAUGCCUCAGUUGACUAUAGAAAUAGGGUCAUUCAAUUUUAGUUUCCCAAUGAACUUGUUAUUGAAUAGAGGGGUAGUACUUCAGUGCUUAGGGGUCAGAUUGUUUCAUAUGUUAGAGCAAGAAAAAUGAUAUCCAAGGGGUGCAUGUACUAUCUUGUUCGAGUCAAAGACUCUAGUUUUGAGACCCCCAGUCUCGAGUUUGUUUUAGUAGUAAGGGAGUUUCCAUAUGUGUUCCCUGAAGAUGUCUCUGGAGUCCUUCUCGAAAGGGAAAUUGACUUCAGAAUAGAUCUCCUUCUAGAUACCCAACCCAUCCUUACUCUGACCUAUAGAAUAGCUCCAGCCAAGCUUAAAGAGUUGAAAGAACAAUUGAAAUAUCUCCUAGAUAAGGGAUUUAUUAGGCCCAAUUUCCCCAUGGGGCGCUCUAGUCUUUUUCGUGUGUAAGAAAGGAGGUUCUCUCAGAAUGUGUAUUGAUUACCAUCAGUUAAACAAAGUCACAGUCAAGAAUAAGUAUCGACUCUCCUGGAUUGAUGAAUUGGUCAAUCAAAUUUAGGGUGCUAGUUAUUUCUCUAAGAUAGACCUCAGAUUUGGCUAUUAUCUCAGAGUCAGAGAAUGUAACAUUCCAAAGACAACCUUAAAAAUUCGAUAUGGUCACUUCAAAUUCAUAGUUAUGUCUUUGGGACUAACAAAUAACCCCAUAAAUUUCAUGGAAGUAAUGAAUAGAGUGUUCAAGAAGUACUUGGACUGUAGUAAAAAUAAUCACGCAGACCAUCUCAAAAUUAUAUCAUAGGCUCUUAGAUCCUAUCAAUUGUUCACCAAAUUCAGUAAAUGCAAUUUUUGGUUAAGAUCGGUAGAUUUACUUGGCCAUAUUAUUUCCAUUGAUGGCAUUUGAGUUGACCCUCAAAAGACUGAAGCAGUGAGAAACUGGCCCAGACCGAUCUCUCUAUUAGAUAUCAGGAGUUUCUUAGGUUUGGCUGGCUAUUACAGAUGGUUUUUGAAGGAUUUUAGUCUAUUCCUUCCCCCAUGUCUUGAUUGACUCAAAAGAAGGUCAAGUUUCAGUGGUCAGAUUCUUGUGAGAAGAGUUUUUAGGAGUUGAAGACUCGACUCACCUCAGACCUAAGCUUGACUUUGCCAGAUAGUUCAAAUGGGUUUGUUGUUUAUUGUGAUACUUCCAGAGUUGGUCUUGGUUUUGUAUUGAUGCAGAGAGGUAAGGACAUAGCCUAUGCCUCUAAACACCUUAAGCCCCAUGUAUAGAAUUACCCUACCAAUGAUCUUGAGUUGGUAGCUAUUGUUAUUACCUUGAAAAUUUGGAGGCAUUAUCUUUAUAGAGUUCAUGUUGAUGUGUUCGCGAAUCACAAAAGUUUGCAGUAUGUGUUUUCAUAGAAAGAUUUAAAUCUUGAUCAGAGAAGGUGGCUUGAGUUGUUAAAAGAUUAUGAUUUGAGUAUGUUGUAUUAUUUUGUCAAGGCCAAUAUGGUGCUAAAUGCCCUUAGUAGAUUGUCUAGGGGUAGUGUUGCUCAUGUUGAGGAUGUUAAGAGGAAGUUAGUCAGAAAGGUUCAUCAGCUUGCUAGAUUAGGUGUUCGGUUGGUUGAUUCAUCUGAGGGAAAUAUAUGGGUUCAGAAUGGUUCAAAAUCUUCUUCGAUUACUGAAGUGAAAUAAAAUCUAGAUAGGGAUUCCAGUCUAGUUAAGUUGAAGUAAUCUAUUAGAGAUUAAAAAGUAGAGGUUUUCUCCCAAGUGGAAGAUGGUGUGUUGCGAUCUUAGGGUAGGCUGUGUGUGCCAUGUGUUGAAGGUUUAAGAUAGUAGAUUUUGGAAGAAGCACAUAGUGAGCGUUACUCUUUAUACCCAGGAGCUACAAAGAUGUAUCGUGAUUUGACGAAAAUCUAUUAGUGGAUCGAUAUAAAGAGGGAUAUUGCAGAUUUUGUAGCUAAGUAUUCUAAUUGUUAGCAGGUUAAGAUUGAGUACUAGAGGCCUAGUGGCACAUUUCAAGAGUUUAACAUUCCCACUUAGGAGUGGGAAAAGGUGAACAUGGAUUUUGUGAUGGGUUUGCCUUGUACUCAUCGUCAGCAUGAUUUGAUAUGGGUUAUUGUAUAUAGAAAUGACCAAAUUAGCUCAUUUCUUGCCAGUUCAUACUUCUUAUUUAGCCGAGGAUUAUGCCAAGCUCUAUAUUAGAGAGUUGGUUAGGUUGUAUGGAGUCCCAUUAUCUAUUAUUUCAGAUAGAGGUACUCACCCACUUAGGAGUGGGAAAAGGUGAACAUGGAUUUUGUGAUGGGUUUGCCUUGUACUCAUCGUCAGCAUGAUUUGAUAUGGGUUAUUGUAUAUAGAAAUGACCAAAUUAGCUCAUUUCUUGCCAGUUCAUACUUCUUAUUUAGCCGAGGAUUAUGCCAAGCUCUAUAUUAGAGAGUUGGUUAGGUUGUAUGGAGUCCCAUUAUCUAUUAUUUCAGAUAGAGGUACUCAGUUUACCUCUCACUUUUGGAAGGAUUUUUAGAAGGUUCUUGGUACCUAAGUUCAUCUCAGUACAACUUUUCAUCCUCAGAAAGAUGGUCAGGUAGAGAGGAUUAUUUGGACUCUAGAGGAUAUGGUAAGGGCGUAUGAUCUUGAUUUCAAGGGUAGUUGGGAUGAUCACUUACCUUUGAUCGAGUUUUCCCACAAUAACAGUUAUCACUCCAACAUUCAGAUGGGUUUGUUUGAGGCUCUCUAUGGGAGGAGAUAUAGAUUUCCUAUUGGUUGGUUUAAGGCAGGUGAGGUUUCUUUGAUAGGACUAGAUUUGGUGUUUGAUGCAAUGGAGAAGGUUCAAUUGCUUAAGGAGAGGCUUAAGAUAUCCCAAAGCCAUAAAAAAUCCUAUACAUAUGUGAGGAGAAAAGAUCUUAAGUUUGAAGUUUUGGAUUUGGUGUAUUUGAAAAUCUCACCCUUAAAGGGAGUGAAGAGAUUCGGCAUGAAAGGGAAGCUUAGUCCUCAAUAUAUUGUCCCUUACAGAAUUUUAAGUCAUUUUGAAAGGGUAACUUAUGAGCUUGAGUUACCUGUAGAUUUGGCAUCAGUGCAUCCAGUGUUUCAUGUUUCUUUAUUAAAGAAGAGUAUUGGUGAUCCAGCUGUUGUAGUUCCUUUUGAAAGCACAGAUGUUCAGGAUAACCUUUCUCACGAAAAAAUCCUAGUCGGGAUCCUUGAUCAUCAAAUUCGAAGACUAAGGAACAAAGAAGUUCCCUUGGUCAAAGUUCUUUAGUGGAAUCAGUUCGUUGAGGGAGCCACUUGGGAAGCAUAAGUAGAUAUGUAUACCAAGUACCCUCAUUUUUUUUGUAAUGCCCCGAAUCUGAUACACAGAAUGCUACACGAUGCCCAUGACCCCAAAGGAGCACAAGCUAACCCUUGACUGAUAUCUGUAACUGAUCACUGCAUAAUAAACUAAAUAAAUAUAGAAUAUAAGCUAUAAGGCCAUACGAUUCAAAACUAUAACACGUCUUAUAAAAUAAUAUAUGAACGGGGUAUAGAAAUUCCUAAAACUAAAAUAAACUAUCUAAACAUACUAUAGUCUGAAAGCCUCUAAACUGUCUGAAAACUGUGGAGUUGAUGGGAAAUGUCCCCAACUAACUCUGAACUACUAAAAAUAAUGAAAUAAUCAAACAAUAACAUCCUUAAAUGAUGAGGACUCACUGCUGACUCUGACUGCUGAAACUUGAAUGCUACUGAUGCUCUGGAGCUCAUGCUUCUGAACCUAUGGUAUAAAAACACCAUAGUGUAAAUAUGUCAGUACGAUUGAAUGUACUAGUAUGAAAGUGAGGUAGGCUGAAUGCAAAGGGUUCAUAUGCAUAAAUAAUACUAACUGAUUAUAUAACAUGAACGUGAGAAUAGAUGCAUGAAAAAGUAAUUGAAACUAAAUACGUGAUAAUACUGACUACUGGGUCUGAAUACUAAUAACAUGAGUUACUGAUAACUGACAUAACUAUUACUGAGUGACUGUAUCUGGCUGUCUAGAUUCUGAUGGAACUAGCUAAGUUCUAUACUGUGCUGAGUGACUGUAUCUGACAGUCCUGAUAUCUGAAGAACUAUCUGAGUUCAUUGAGUUCCGUUAAGUAAUGGAAUACUAUUGAGAUCUGAUAACUAAUAGAGAUUAUUGAGAUUUUUGAGUUUUCCUGAGUCAUAUAACUAACUGAAUUCUACUGAGUUCUGAAAUUGACUGAGAAUACUACUAAUCAUGGUGUGACUGAGAUUUAUCAUAAAACCGACGCUGGCUCUAGGCACACAACUAAGUUGUUGGGUACAAGUACCCCCAGGACUCAAUAGCAUGAAACUGAAACUACAUAACAUAUCUUUGAACACAGGACCAUACUCCACAAUUCAUAAUACAAUCACCGAGGCAUUUCAUCAAGUACUUGGGAGUCAUAAGCUUGAACAUAGACAAGGAUGCAUAAUAAUGUAUCAUGAUUCCUUCACUAAGGCUUUUUAUCGAACACUCAGCAUACAUUUAACUUGUACAUGAAUAGGGAUCUCUUAUUAGCAUGUUAUAAUGGUACUAGUUCAUUCACAUGGACAUUUCAUCAAACACCUAGUGAGCAUAAUAUAUGCAUAUAACACUAUACAACUAAUAGUCAUCAUAAUUUACAUUCCCAUUGGCAAAAUUUUAAGGGUUUAACAUGUUUUUACAUGGUACUACACAUAUAUGGCUUUACUUCACAUAGAAAUUGCAAUUAAAUCAUUAAAUAGAGAAUCCAUUAACAUAAUAGUCAUGAACACAAUCAAACUAAAUCAUAAAAAGCAUCAAAAACAUUAUCUUGAGUUUUUGAAAAGAUUUCUUGAGCUCCAAGGGUGGAAGGAACCCUAGGAUGAACAAUUGACAUACCUUGGAUGGAAGGUUCUUGAAAAGUAAUGGUAGAAUCUCUUGAAUUUGAAGCUCCUUUGAAAACCCUAGACUUGUUCUUGAGAGUAUGUGAGAGUAACAACAAUAUUUUGGUGAAAUAAUGUCUGAAUCUCGUGUUAUAGGCUUAUAUAGGAUGUGAAAUUGACCCUUUUGCCUUUAAAACAUAAACAUUUAAGGACUGAAGACCAGACAUCGACGCGAUACCCGAUGCAUCACUCUAUGAUUACGCCAAGCCUCAGUAGUUUUUUUGGCAGUCCCUGAAACAAUGCUAACCAAUGUGAUAGCAAAACGGAGGGCCAAGAUCACAUUGGUCCACUGUUUUAGGACACCAAACGUGGUCUAAACGAGGUCCAAAAAAUCCAAAACUUGUUUGGGAACACUUAUUGACCUCUCUGAUCACGAAUUAACAAAAAUACGAACCAUUAAAGGACAUUAAGGUAGCAAAAUGAGAUUUCUAACUUUUGAAGGACAAAAAUAAACUAAGCCUGAGAACUUAGCUAGAAUUUUCUAAGUAUGGAACCCCCUUGACAAGCUUAAAGGACUGAUUUAAGCUAAGAAAUUUUGUGGGGUCUUAAAAUAUCUCCCCUUUGAGAACAUUUAUCCAUGAAUAAGUGACUGAGAUGGGAAAAAUACAAACUGAAGUAUAUAUAGGACAUGAAUAACUGAAACAUGAUUUCAUGACUGAUAAACUGAAUAUUUCGUACUGAACAUGCAUAUCUGAUGCAUGUAUAACUGAUUCAUGAAUGCAUGACUGAGAUUUUUGAUAAGCUAAGUUUCUCAUAAUGGGGAUGUAUAUCUGAUACAUGAAUAUGUUACUAACAGGAUGCAUGGACAUAUGACUGAAUAUGUGAUGGUAUUUGAUACCAAGUUUAUAAUAGAAUUCUGAGCAUUAAACUGAAUACCAAGUUGGUAAUAAAACUGACCAUGAUAACCGAGCAAGAUUAAGGAAAACUAUUACCUUGGGCUGAGUCUGAGUUAGCAAAAAAGAGGUAAAAAUACUUGGUCCGCAUAUGUGCUUCUGCUUCCCAAGUAGCUCUCUCAACGGACUAAUUCUGCCAAAGAACUUUGACUAGGGGACUUCUUUGUUCCUCAGUCUGCGAGUCUAGUAGUCAAGAAUUUUGACUGGAAUCUCUUCAUACGAAAGGCUGUUCUGAACAUCAAUGCCCUUUGUAGGGACUAGAAUUGCUGGGUUACCUAUGAACUUCUUGAGAAAAGAGACAUGGAACACUAGAUGAACUGAGGCUAGAUCUUAAGGCAAUUUGAGCUCAUAAGCUAUCUUGCCGAAAUGACUGAGAAUUUUGAAGGGAUUGACAUAUCGGGGACUGAGCUUUCCCUUCUUGCCGAAUCUUUUCACUCCCUUCAUGGGAGAGAUCUCUAAGUAAAUAUAGUCACUAAUCUCAAACUCGAGAUCCUUUCUGUGCAUAUCUGCAUAAGUCUUUUGUUGACUCUGAGUAGCCUAGAGUCUUUUUCUAAUCAACUGGACUUUUUCUAAGGCAUCAAAUACUAAGUCAGGCCCUAUAACUGAGGCCUCACUAACUUUGAACCAACUAAUUAUAGAUCUAUAUCUCCUACCAUAGAGAGCUUCGAAUAAAGCCAUCUGAAUGCUAAAAUGAUAGUUUUUAUUAUAUGGAAACUCAAUCAAAGGAAAGUGAUCAUACCAACUACCCUUGACAUCAAUUGCACACACUCACAAUAUAUCUUCUAAAAUUUGAAUGGUCCUUUUUGCUUGACCAUCUUUUUGGGGAUAAAAGGUUGUACCGAGAUGAAAUUGGGUACCAAGACCCUUUUGGAAUGCUUUCCAAAUGUGAGAGGUGAACUGGGUACCUCUUUCUAAAAUAAUAGACAAUGAAACACCGUGUAAUUUGACCAACUCCUAUAUAUAAAGUUUUAUGUAUUCCUUGGUUGAAUAAGAGGUAUGGACUGGAUGGAAAUAAGCUGAUUUUGUCAUCCUGUCUACAAUGAUCCAUACUGAAUCAUGCUGGCGAUGAGUACAAGGAAAAUCUAUCAUGAAGUCUAUGUUCACUUCUUCUCACUUCUAAGUAGGAAUACUAAACUCCUGCAUAGACCCACUAGGCUUUCGAUGCUCUAUCUUAACCUGCUGACAUGUAAAGCACUUAGCCAUAAACUCUAUAAUAUCUCUUCUCAUCUUACUCCACCAAUAGAUCUCCCAUAAGUUGUGGUACAUAUUAGUGACCCCUGGAUGAAUAGAGUAGCACGCACCAUGUGCUUCUGUGAGAAUUCAUUGCCUCGAGUCAUUUAUACCUGGUAUACAAAGACGACCCUGACAAUGCAAAACACCAUCUCCCCCUUGGGAGAAAACCUCUACUUUCUGAUCUUUGACUGAUUCUUUCAACUUGAUUAGACUAGGAUCAUUAUCCUACUUUUCCUUAACUUAGGAAACUAGAGAUAAUUCUGAACCCAUAUACUACCAUCUACUUAAUCGACUGGGCAGAAACCUAGUCUGGCAAGCUGAUGGACUUCCUGAGCUAACUUCUUUUUACUGUCCUCAACAUGAGUAACACUACCCAUAGACAGUCUACUGAGGGUGUCGGCAACUACAUUGGCCUUGCCUGGAUGAUAAAGGACUCUCAUGUCAUAAUCUUUCAAGAGAUCUAACAACCUUCUCUGACGGAGGUUAAGAUUUUUCUGAGAAAAGACAUACUAAAGGCUCUUAUAAUCUGUGAACAUAUCUACAUGAACACCAUACAAGUAAUUCCUCCAAAUCUUUAUGGCAAAAACUAUGGCUGCUAACUCAAGAUCAUGAGUAGGAUAAUUCUUCUCAUGGGGUUUAAGCUCUUUAGAGGCAUAGGCUAAGACCUUACCAUGCUGUAUGAGGAAACAACCCAAGACUACUCUGGAUGCAUCACAAUACACUACAAACCCAUCCGUUCUACCUGGAAGAGCCAAAACUGAAGAUGAGGUAAGUCGAGUCUUCAAUUCCUAAAAACUAUUCUUACAAGGAUCUGACCACUGAAAAUUAACCUCCUUCUGAGUCAAUUUGGAUAUAGGAGAUGCAAUAGAAGAAAAUUACUCAACAAACCAUCUAUAAUAGACAGCCAAACCCAAAAAGCUUCUGAUAUCUGAUGGAGAUACAGGGCGAGGCCAAUUUCUUACUGCUUCAAACUUUUGAGGAUCAACUCUAACGCCAUCACCGAAAAUGAUAUGAACAAGGAAUGCUACUAACCUUAUCCAAAAUUCACACUUACUGAAUUUGGUGAACAACUGAUGAUUUUUGAGAGUUUGCAAUACUAUUCUGAGAUGGCCUAUAUGAUCACGCUCACUAUGGGAGUAAACAAGGAUGUCAUCUAUGAAGACUAUGAUGAACAUGUCCAAGUACUGCUUAAACACACGAUUCUUCAAGUCCAUGAAAGCUGCUGGGGAAUUGAUAAGACCAAAGGACAUAACUAAGAAUUUGAAGUGACUAUACCGAGUAUGGAAGACUAUUUUUGAAAUAUCAUAUUCUCUGAAUUUUAGCUGAUGAUGAUAGCGUAAUCUAAGAUCUAUCUUGGAGAAAUAGCUGGCACCCUGAAGUUGGUCAAACAAGUCAUCAAUUCUGGGAAGUGGAUACUUUUUCUUGACCGUUACUUUAUUGAGUUGAUGGUAAUCAAUGCACAUUAUGAGAGAACUAUCUUUCUUUUGCACGAAUAAGAUUGGUGCACCCCACGAGGAAAUACUGUGCCUGAUGAAUCCCUUAUCUAGGAGAUCCUUCAACUGUUCUUUCAAUUCUCUGAGUUUUGGUGGUGCCAUUCUAUAUGGCAGAAUUGAUAUAGGUUGAGUAUCUGGAAGAACAUCAAUACCAAAGUCUAUUUCCCUUUCGGGAGGAAUUCCUGGAAGAUUUUCGAGAAAAACAUCAAAAUAGUCAUUCACUACUAGGACUGAUUCAAAACUGGGAGUUUUGGAACUAGAGUCCUUAACUCAAACAAGAUGAUAGGCACAUCCCUUAGAUAUCAUUUUCCAUGCACGAAGGUAGGAAAGAAACUGACCUUUGAAAGAUAAAGUACUACCUCUCCACUCUAGGACAGGUUCAUUUAGAAACUAAAACUAGAUAAUUAUGUUUUUGCAGUCGACUAUGGCAUAGCAGGAAUAAAUCCAAUCUAUCCCGAGAAUGACAUAAAAAUCAUAUAUCUCUAAUUCGACUAAGUCUACAGAAGUGACCUUAUAAGAUAUCAUAACUGGAUAGUUCCUGUAUACCCAUUGGGCUAUCAUGGUUUUACCCACUGGGGUGGAGAUUGAGAAAGUCUCUGCUAGAAUUUUGAGUCUGACUCUAAAAUCAACUGCUAUAUAAGGAGUAACAAAAGAUAAAUAAGCUCCUGGAUCUAGCAAAGCAUAAACAUGCAAAUGAAAGAUCUGUAACAUACCAGUAACCAUAUCAGGAGAAUUUUCCUGAUCUUGUCGGGACUAAAGAGCAAAAAUUUUUAGGAGUUGCCUACUAGUGGCACUGAAAGUGGCACCCUGCUGAUUCGGGCGACCAGACUAAGCUGAAGAACUGUUAUGUUGACCCUGAGGACCUAGCUACGGACAAUAUCUGACUCUGUGGCUUGGCUUACCACAUUCAAAGCAAACAUCAUUGCCAGCUCUGCAUGUACCCUGAUGGUGCUUUCCAUAUGUCUGACAAAGAGGAUAGGUUCGAGCACUACUAAUACUGCCCUGAGACUUAGAGCCUGGUGCCAUAUCUCUAUUGCCGUCUCUAAAUUUUGGCACUGGAGAACUGGAUAAGGAAGGAGCUAGAAAGGAUGACUUUGGGUGGAACUGAGAACGACUUCCACCCUCUGACUUAGGAUGAACAAAGAUGAAAAUACCUGUCCUUACUCUCUUAUUCUGCUUCUCUCUCAUCUUAAUCUUUUGCUCUUCUAUCUAUUGAGUAUGUAUCAUAAGCCUGGCUAUGUCUAUCUCCCUAAUCAACAUUGCAGAUCUGCACUCAUUAACCAUACUAUCAUUCACCCCAGAAACAAACUUACUCAACUUAACCCUACUGUCAUCCACUACAUGAGGAGCAUAUCUAGCUAGUUGAGUAAACUUAAGAGAAUACUCUUUCACUAUCAUGUUGCACUACCUGAGGUUGAUAAAUUCUAACACCUUAGCUUUCCUCAGCUCUAAAGGAAAAAAUCUAUCAAGAAAAUCAGUGGUAAAAUUCUCCCACUCUAUAGGCCCUACAUCACCAACCCUUUCUACUUUUUACUAUUUAAACCAUGUGUAAGCCACAUCCUGUAAUUGAUAUGCAGCUAGCUCAGCACUCUCAACAGCUAACACCCCUAUGAUAUCAGUAACCUUCUGAACCUGAUCAAGGAAUUCCUGAGGGUCCUCAUCUAACUUAGACUCGAAAAAAGAUGGUGGAUUAAUUCGGGUAAAGUCCCGAAUCCUGGCUACUGUCGUGUUGGCCACUGGGUUGGCUAGAACGACAGCUGGUUGUUCAUUCUGGGAAGCAACUGAGUUAGCAAGAGUAGUGAAUGUAGCUCUAAACUUUUCAUGAGAAACAUGUUCAUUUAAUGGAUUUUCUUGGAUGGGCUGAGGGGCUGACUGAUUUUUGUGUCUUCUCUUAGGAGGCAUGUUCUGUAGAAAAAAGGGAGAAACGAAUUAGACUAAGAGUUAAACUUGAGCUCUUGCUCACUGGCACGACAUGAAUACUGAAAGAAAGGAAACUAUUCCUAAAAUAUCUUAUAGCCUCCAGUACAUAAAUAUGGUGCACAACACACCCAAGCACAAGACUCUACUAGAUACGACUUUCAGACUUCCUAGGACACUAUUGAACCUUUGGCUCUGAUACCAAGUUUGUAACGGCCUGAAUUUGAUACCCAAAAUGCUACACGGUGCCCAUGACCCCGAAGGAGCACAAGCUAAUCCAUGAUUGAUAUCUGUAACUGAGCACUGCAUAAUAAAUUGAAUAAAUACAGAAUAUAAGCUAUAAGGCCAUAAGGUUCAAAACUGUUACAUGUAUUAUAAAACAAUAGCUGAAUGGGGUAUAGAAAUACCUAAAAUUGAAAUAAACUAUUUGAACAUACUAUAGUCUGAAAGCCUCUAAACUAUCUGAAAACUGUGGAGUUGAUGGGACAUGUCCCCAACUAACUCCAAACUACUAAAAAUAAUGAAAUAAUCAAAUAAUAACAUUCUCAAAUGAUGAGGACUCACUGCUGACUCUGACUGCUGAAACUUGAAUGCUACUGAUGCUCUGGAGCUCAUGCUUCUGAACCUAUGGUAUAAAAACACCAUAGUGUAAAUAUGUCAGUACGAUUGAAUGUACUAGUAUGAAAGUGAGGUAGGCUGAAUGCAAAGGGUUCAUAUGCAUAAAUAAUACUAACUGAUUAUAUAACAUGAACGUGAGAAUAGAUGCAUGAAAAAGUAAUUGAAACUAAAUACGUGAUAAUACUGACUACUGGGUCUGAAUACUAAUAACAUGAGUUACUGAUAACUGACAUAACUAUUACUGAGUGACUGUAUCUGGCUGUCUAGAUUCUGAUGGAACUAGCUAAGUUCUAUACUGUGCUGAGUGACUGUAUCUGAUAGUCCUAAUAUCUGAAAAACUAUCUGAGUUCAUUGAGUUUUGUUAACUAACAGAAUACUAUUGAGAUGUAAUAACUGACGGAGAUUAUUGAGAUUACUGAGAUUUCCUGAGUCAUAUAACUAACUGAAUUCUACUGAGUUCUAAAACUGACUAAGAAUACUACUAAUCAUGGCAUGACUGAGAUUUAUCAUAAAACCAAUGCUGGCUCUAGGCACACAGCUAAAUUUUCGGGUACAAGUACCCCCAAGACUCAAUAGCAUAAAACUAACACUACAUGACACUUCUUUGAACAUAGGACCAUACUCCAAAAUUCAUAAUACAAUCAUUGAGGCGUUUUAUCAAGUACUUGGGAGUCAUAAUCUUGAACAUAGUCAAGGAUGCAUAAUAAUGUAUCAUGAUUCAUUCACUAAGGCUUUUUAUCAAACACUCAGCAUACAAUUAACUUGUACAUAAAUAGGGAUAUCUUAUUAGCAUGUUAUAAUGGUACUAGUUCAUUCACAUGGAUAUUUCAACAAACACUUAGGGAGCAUAAUAUAUGGACAUAACACUAUACAACUAAUAGUCAUCAUAAUUUACAUUCCCAUUGGCAAAAUUUCAAGGGUUUAACAUGUUUUUACAUGGUUCUACACAUAAAUCGCUUUACUUCACAUAGGAAUUGCAAUCAAAUCAUUAAAUAGAGAACUCAUUAACAUAAUAGUCAUGAACACAAUAAAACUAAAUCAUGAAAACAAUCAAAAAUAUUAUCUUGAGUUUUUGAAUAGUUUCUUGAGCUCCAAGGGUGGAAGGAACCCUAGGAUGAACAAUUGACAUACCUUGGAUGGAAAAUUCUUGAAAAAUAAUGGUAGAAUCUCUUGAAUUUGAAGCUCUAAUGAAAACCCUAGACUUAUUCUUAAGAGUAUUUAAGAGUAACAAUAAUAUUUUGGUGAAAUAAUGGUUGAAUCUCAUGUUAUAGGGUUAUACAGGGGUGGGAAAUUGACCCCUUUUCCCUUAAAAACAAGUCUAUUUAAUGACUGAAAGCUGGGCAUCAACGCGAUUGGCGAUGCGGCACGUUGAUGCAUCGAUGCGAUACUUAAUGCAUCACUUCAUGAUCGUGCCAAGCCUCAGUAGUUUUUCUGGCAGUCCCUACAACAAUGUUAACCAACGCGAUAGAGACACGACGUGCCAAGAUCCCGUUGGUCCACUAUUUUGGGACACCAAAUGUGGUCUAAACGAGGUUCGAAAAAUCCAAAACUUGUCCAAGAAUACCUAUUGACCUCUUUGAUUAUGAAUUAACAAAAAUAUGUACCAUUAAAGGACAUUAAGGUGGCAAAAUAAGAUUUUCAACUUUCAAAGGCCAAAAAUAAACUACGUUUGAGAACUUAGCAAGAAUUUUCUAAGUAUCGGACCCCCUUGACAAGCUUAAAGGGCUGAUUUAAGCUUAGAAAUUUUGUGGGGUCUUACAUUUUCUCUGCAAACUCAGACUUAGCUUAAGGUUACGAUUUUCCUCAUAUUGACUAUCUUCAGCUCUCAACUUCAAUUCUGUAAUACAUCUCAUAUUACUGUAUGCAUUUCAUUAAAUCAGUUCAGUCAUAUAUCAUGUUUCAGAAUUAGUCAUGUAAUCUUGUUUCUAGUUGUGCAUCUUCAGUAUGUGAUCUCAGUUUUCUUAGUUAGAAAUAUCAGCCUAAUCAAUCUUAUUCAAGGAUGAAUGUACCCAAGGGGAAGAUAUUGUAAUAAUCCAUACUAUUAUUAAUUCAGUUUCGCUCCUACUUGCAUACAUAAGAGGCUUAAAGCCUAAAAAUUUCACUAAGUGUUCGGGACUUUAUGUUUAAGUCCCCUUAACUUUGAGGAUUUUAAAUUGGUCUUAUUGAACCCAAGAUGUUUGUUUUUGAGUUAAUUUAUAUUUAGGGGUAUAAGUAGAAUGUCUUGGAGAAGUUUUAAAUUUUUUGAACAAUGAUUGGGUCAUGUUUGGAUCACAAUUCCAGAAGCUCAUCGCGAUAGCGUUGCGUCAUGUUAGUUAUAGAGAUGGAUCACUUAUCACACCGCAGUGACCACAUAAUCCAUACUCCAGUUACAAAUUUAAAUGUCUGAGGGGCAAUUAUGUCUUUUCCCCUCAACCUAAUUCAUAAAUUCAUGACUUAAAGCUUCAGUUAGGGCAUUAUUUACCCAUCUUCUGUAAUUUUCUCUCCAAAACAAACCCUAUCCUCCCCCAAGAUCAUCAAAUUCCAUUACUUUGUCUCUCAGAAAAUAAAGAAGUCAAGUUCCUAAUCCAAGAAUAUUCAAGAAAGCAUCAAGAUUGAUGUUUCUCUUUCAAGCUUAAGGGUUUGAGGUAUGUGUGAUGUUCAUGCAAGGGAACUUUUCAUCCAUGGAGUCUAAGAAUCCCUUUUUAUGUUUUAAAUUAUGAAUUUUACAUGGUUAAGUUGAAUUAUGCCCAUGAACAUCUUGAUAAUUUGAUUUCAAGUUAUGAUUACAUGUGUUUUUGAUGGAAUGAGCCAUUGCAUAUUUUGAGUAUUGAACUCUUGUCAUUUAGAAACUUAAUUCAUGGUUUUAGUAUUUAAAUAUGUUAUUAUCACAUGACUUGCUCAUUCACAUGCUUAAGUUCAUGACUCUCAUGUGUUUGAUGAAAUGCCUAAGUGUUGGAUUUAAAAAGCAUUAACAUAUAAUUUUGAUGAUUUAAAAGAAUUUAAAAUGCACAUAGAUGAAUUAUUAGAAAAACAAUAUAUACAAAAAAGUAAUAGUAAACAUAAUAGCCCAGCAUGUAUAGUAAAUAAACAUAGUGAACAAAAAAGAGGAAAAAGUAGGAUGGUUAUUGAUUAUAGAAAUUUAAAUGCAAAAACUAUAACAUAUAAUUAUCCAAUACCAAAUAAGAUUAAAAAUAAGACAAAUCCUACUAUGGUUUCAAAGCUUUUAUAUGUUCGUAUUGUUAUUUCCAUUUAGUCUUGGAGGGUUAUGAAUACCCGAUACAUAGCUGUUUACAUAAUUUUAGUAUCUUUAGAAUGAUUUUAAAUAUACCAUGAGAAUUGUCAUUUAGUAAGUUAUUAUGAUCAGUUGUUUGUUCAAUAAAGCUUAGUUCAGUGCAGUAAUCAGUGUCAGUUCAGUUGAGAGGAAUUGAAACUUACUAAUUAUGUUAUCUCAAGAUUAUAACAUAGAUAGAUAAUUAUGGAGUAAUACUCAAAUAGAUAGAACUUUCUGAGAGAACAACUUUACAGUACGACUAGAGCAAGAAGAAGGGAAAUAUUUCUUAGAUGCCCUAUAGCCACUCGAAGAAAAGUACAAACAUCUUCAUACUAUUCUGCAAGACUCUAUAAGACACGGCUUUAUAGGCAUCCUAGGACACUUGAACUCUAUGCUCUGAUACCAAGUUUGUAACAAUCCGAGACUACCCCCUAGUCGUCACAUGGUGCUUAGGACCACACGUGAUCCCAAGCUAAUUCGUGUACUAGCAUAAAUUAUGAGAAACUAAAUAAAAUACAUAAAUCUGAAUGAAAUAAGUGUAAGAUCAAUCUUUUCUGAAUCUGAUCAAUACAAAGCUAUAUAAAAAUGAUAACGACUCUACUUAGACAAAACAAAACUAAAAUCAAAUACACUAGUCCUACUAACAGUCUAUGAAGACUCUACUAUGCUGACUAUAAGUAGCUUGGAUGUGACUCUAACUACCACUAAUCAAUACACAUGAGUAAGAAAACAAAGUACAUAAAUAACAUCUAACUGAAGUCCCCAAAGUAGUAGGAAUUCUCAUUUGUUGGCUGGAAUCUGCAACUGUCUAAUCAUGAUAUAUGGACUACAACUGAACUGGUACUUAUAUUAUAAUACAAUGUAGCACAUAGACGUAUAUGUAGACCAGUACUUUUGGAAUAUACUGAGCAUGUGGGGGUGAAUGAAUAAGUAAAAUAGUAGCUCAAUUGUUCAUAUAGCUAGUAAAGAAUGCAUGCUAAGUAGAAACGGCUCAUAUUGGCUUGAAUAAAUGAAAGAUGAAAAUCAUAAAUCAUGGAUGAUAAAGCAUACUGUAUAAAUCUUGUAAGUUAUAACACUUAGUUCUAAAAGUUGUACUUUUACUCUUUCUGCUAGAGGAAUUAGUAGAACUGAAGUUAACUCUAUUUUCAAAUCAUGCAGUGUAAGUGUAAAAGAACUCACCUUUGUAUUUCUAAUUAAAAGUUGAAAUCUUAUCACCAAUGACUUGUGUAAAACAAUAUCUGAGUAAAAUUGUGAGCCUUUACACUUAGUUUUCUAAAAGCUUUUCUGUUAUUCUGUUUUAGGACUUAGGUUUUAGGGAUUUUCUUCUAAAAUCUUUUUUGUUAUUCUUUUCAAUUAGGGAGGUUGUUAUAACCAUCAAAAACUAUAUAAGAUACCAUGGAGUCCAAUGCCUAGUUUCGCUUAGGGGAAAAUCUUAGGUUGGGGUGAGGUGUCAUACUCUUGCCAAAGAGUAUAACAUAAGCUUAGUGAUCACAAACUGUAACUGCAUCCAUAUAAUGGGAAUAAUCUGAUAAUCUGAACCUACCUUAGCUCAUAGUUUUGGGGUAUGAGACCUUGGAAUCAUACCCAACUUGGAGCUAAAUACUACUCUCUUUAAUCGGUAUGCUCAUUCUAUAGGAAAUCCACUUUAAAACGAGCAUAAAGGUUUAAAAUGAAAAUUAGUUAUGCAUGUGUUUUCUUUAAGCUAUAAUCAAAACUAAAAUCAAAACUGUAAAGUGGAUUCCAUAUCUUAAUUGAGGAUCAAAAUGUCAAAUCUUGUUCAAAAUCUGAAUAUAUACUAAUCCUAGGGUUCUUAAAACUAUAAACUUCUUGAAACAUCAAUAUGAAAACAUAGGGCGUAAAACCCAUGCUUUAAACUUAUGUAAAUUCAUAGCAAAACAUCACGCUCAAUAUACUUCUUCAAAUACUUCAACAAUAUCAUGCUUAAACUCAAUUGGAAAUCUGUAAUCAAUAUCUCAAAUCAUACUCAUGGUGUUUAAAUAAUAAAAGAGAAUUCUUUAAAUAAAAAAUAUGGACUUUCAUGCUUCAAUAAAUUUAUAGAUCCAAAACUCAAAACAAGAUACUUUGGGUAUGAAUCCUAAUUGCAAUUCAUGUAAAUUAAUAUUUAAAAGCUAGUUUUGGGAGCAAAGAUAAAAGGAGUAUCCUUGUUCAUAACCCCACAUACCUAAUUAUGCUUUAUUUGAUGUAAAAGCAUGACUUUGAAGCCCUGGUAAAUUCUUUUCUUGAACUUCUUAGAUUAGGAACCCUAAAUUCUUGGUUUUUCUUGAAGAGGAGGUGAUGAAAUUGAUGAUCUUGAAGAAGACCGAUUAGGGUUUGUUCUUGAGAGUAAAAUAAGAGAAUGAGGGCAAAUAAUUCCCUAAUGGAUGAUUAAAAUCAUGUUUUUAUGACCUGGGUUGAGAUGGGAAAAGAUAAGAUUUCCCCUCAAAAUUAAAAGUUUCAGCAGAAAUCCCGAUUUGGAGGCUUGCCGCUGAGCGCUAUUGGUUCUACCACUAUAGGAAUCGUUAACCGGUGUAAUCAUGGUGACCUACUAUUUUGGACAAUCCAGACUUUGAGGCUUACCACUCUGCAUUAUUGGUUCCGCCGCUAAAGGCACCGUCAAGUGGUGUAAUCGCAACAGCUUACUGCUUCAUACUAAAAAUGCUAUAACUUUUCACUCGGGUAUUAGAUUUAGGAAAAAUUGGUAUCAUUGGAAAGAUGAUUCAAUUACCUACAGUUUAGUGUGUCUUUAGUUGUAAAAUUAUACAUACAUUAAAAGUUAUACACUUUCAAAGUUUACCCUUGUAGAAUAUAACACCAAAUUUAGGAUGAAUCUAAGGUUCUUAGCUCAACUUUGUUCUAAGUAAAUUCUAUGAACAUCUUUCACUUCGAGAGCACUUCAUAAACUAGGAUAAUGAUCAUGAUACAUGUAUUAACAUACAAAUCAUGAGAUUAAUAUUUAUACACAUAGGGACGAUGGUUUGAAUUCUAGCACAAAACUAUGAGGAAUUACAUUAUAUCCCCCUUGGAAUCAUUCAUCCUCGAAUGAUGGAUAGAAACUUUUUAAAGCCUUAGAGGUAUGGAAUAACGUGGAAGUGAUAUGUUUUCCAAGAAGGAUAUAAAUGAGCUGAAAUAUUAAAAACUUCUACCAUGAAACCAAUUUUUGAGCUGACAUGCCUUUACUUACUAUAAGGAGCUGAUUCACGCUUAGAAUUUAGAAUUUGCUUGAAGUGUUCAUGAUACAAUCAUAGAUAUAAAACUGUGAAGUGAUAACUUAUGCAAGCCUAAAUCAUGAGACAGCGAGUCUAUGAUCAUACAAUGGGUAUUACGCUUUCUGAACUAGAGUACUUGGAAAACUAAAAUCAUUCACUGAACACUUGUGAACAGAAUCACGACUAAAUAUCUGAAUCUAAAACUGAUGCAUGGAGCGUGAACUGAGAUGAAUUCAUAAUUUGCAUGAAUGCGAACAUGUUUCCUCAUGGAAUGGCCUUACUCAAGAAACUUUGGGUAGUAAGACUAGAUAGAAAGUUAGAAUUCUAUAGGAGCUUAUCUGCUUGGUUGCUAGACAGGAUCACAAGAUCUAUGAACUGGACCAUACUGACUGCCCAUACUUAAAUGGAGUAUUUCUCCAAAAACUCUUCUAAGAAAUUCUAAUAAUAUGGCAUGAUUUGAACAAGACAUAUAAAUCAAAAGCUAGGAUAGAAUUACUAGGCCUUAGGCAAUGUAACUUCUUGCUUUCAAGCUUAGACACACUUCAAAAUACUUCCUCAGCUAUACUAUUCCCCUUAAUUACCAUACUCAUUUUCUUCAACUUAAGAUUUUCACACGGACUUUGAUAACUCCAUCUACUAAAGUCUAAAUUGAACUAAAUUCUCUCACCAUGAUCAAGCCUAACUCGAAAUCAGAAGGUACAACACGUCACACCAUAAUACUAGUCUAAGCCACAUUAUUCAAUUUUCUAUGUGUUUUCCAAAGCUCACACCCUAAGCAUAACAUGCCUUACCGCUUCAAUAACUAUCACUAAACUAUUACUAUGGAUUUGCUAGCGCAUAUUGCAUUUUCCCAAUUACAUCCCAACAUGACAUUCAAACCUAUCAUUAUAACCAUACAUCAACUUCAAGGAAAACACCCAUAAAGGCAUCUUUCUCAUAUUUCCUAAACCUCUAUCAACAACCAUUUUCUUGCACUAUGCUUAAGAAGGCAAACCCAAAAUUCUCAACUAACUAUGACCUAUACCAAAGAUUUACCUCAAUAUUUCUUCAUCUCCUAUCCUUGGAUAGAAAAAACAUAAAUAAUAUUUCAUAAUGAGGGUCAUCAACUCUCUCUCUUCUAAAACAUUGCUUAUCCAUUAGCAUCACCACUAUCUUAACAUAGGAAGAGGUCACUGCAGGACUAACGCAUAAAGAUCUGAAACACGAACGAAUACCAUACAUAACUUAGACACUUAACUGAGGCUUAAGGAAUAGAACAUCAAAGGUAUGGAUUUAUUAAGGAGAUCUAAACUGGGGACAUACACGAUAUAAAUCUUAAGUUUGCUAGUAUCAUGAGUUUCUAAGAACUGAUCAUACUCUGAAACAUGAGUUCAUACUUGUUAUAAGCAAUUCAAUAAAAGACUGGAGUUUAUAGAUUUCUAAGGGAUGACUUGAAUCACAAAGUGAAGUUGUUACUUACUUACUAAAAGUUGAGAAUGAACUUGAGUACGCAUGAAUUGUAUAAGAAUUGGCCUUUGGCAUGGAUCUCUCAUGCAAGAUAUGAAUUUGGUAUGAUAAUGACUGAAAUCUAAGGAAUACUCUAAAUUAAGAAGGGGUCACUAUCUCAUCACAACUCUUAUAGACAUGCAUCGCAAUCUAAUUCUGAAAACUUGAUUUAGUUCUUCACUCCACCAUCUCCCCCUUAGAUCAAAGUUGACAUUCUAAACUUUUGGGUCUAUUCCAUAUCCUCGAGACUAAGCCGUAAUUUCUUUGCUCUAACAAUCUACACAUAAAUGCUAAACUCACAAGGAUAAACUAUAUUUCAAACUUACUAACUUCAUUCUUGUACGCCCUCUUAGUACAUACCACCUUUAACUCCAUUUAGCUUUAAUUGUCCUCAUCAUAGAACUACACUCUAUUAACUCGACUAUUAUACCCGCCUUACUGAAACACAUGAAUCGCUUUUUUUCCUUCAUAGUCUACUAAGAUCACACUUCUAUACUUACAUUUUCCCCAAAUCUUAAGAAUCAAAAUCAUACUUAAAAGACUCAGUACCAUCUACCCAUAACUGCUUUACUUAGCUAUUAGGAACACUCUGCAUUGCAUAGCUAGUCUUCUUCCAUUUAAACAUUCAAGGGAAAUAUUAAGAACACACAACACUUAAUAACCUUUGAAAUUAAUACAACCAUAUAUAACCUUGGGCAUCCCUCUAUAUUAUACUUACAACAUCAUACUAAAUGAUGAAUAAAUGAACUUAAACUCUUGCAUACACUAUUCAAACUGACUAGAUCACUUCCAUACAACUAGCUGCACUAACCAAGAAAUCAUUAUUUCCACCUUGCUAUUCAUCUCAUAUUCAAAUGUAGUGUCUAGUGCUAAGAAUGAUUAAUAACCCAAUCUCACAUACUAUUAUUACUUAGAAGCUAUAAAAUAAAGCAUCAAGAAACACUAGUCCACUAGAAUUUCAUAACAACAAUAAUUGGUCAUAAUCAUAUCACCUCCACACAAACUUAAUAACAUGCACAAGUUUAUCUCUAUAUUUUUUAUCAAUUGUCUAUCUCACUUUUCUGGUCACUACACUUUUAUUCCCAUACUUUCAGCUAUAGAAAGGUUCUACUACUUAUGAAUCAUAACACUUUAGGUUCAUACUAUCUCCUCUUAUGAGUGCUAUAUAUAUAGAAGAAUUAAUAAGGAAUCUGAAUACAUAUUUUACUCUAUCUUAACUAGAAAAAUCAUACAAAUGAGAACAUAAAUCUCAACUUAAGAAACUUAUAACACACUUGCGAGCUCCUUUCAAGCCCCUUGUGUGACUUUUAAAGUACUUAUAGUAAAGCUGAGAGCAUCAUCUUGAGAGGAAUUGGGAUAUGUUAAUCAUGUUAUCACAAGAAUAUAACAUAGAAAGAGAAUUAUGGAGUAACACACAAAUUCACAGAAGUUUCUGAGAGAAUAAGUUUACAGCACAACCUAGAGAAAGAAAAAGGGAAAUAUUUCUUAAAUACCCUGUAGCUUCUCGAAGAAAAGUAUAGAUAUCUAUGUAGCAUUCUGCAAGGCUCUACUAGACACGACUUUAUAGAUAUCCUAGGACACUUGAACUCAGUGCUCUGAUACAAAGAUUGUAAUGACCCGAGGCUACCCCCUAGUCGUCACACGAUUCUUAAGAACACACAUGAUCCCAAGAUAACUCUUGUACUGACAUAAAUCAUGAGAAACUAAAUAAAAUACAUAAAUCUGAAUGAAAUAAGAGUAGGAUAAAUAUUUUCUAAAUUUGAUCAAUACAAAGCUAUAUAAAAAUGAUUACAACUCUGCUUAUAUAAAAAAAACUAGAAUCAAAUACAUAGUUCUACUGACAGUUUAUGAAGCCUUUACUAUACUGACUUUAGGUAUCUAGGAUUCCAACUACCACUAAUCAAUACACAUGAGUAAGAAAAUAAUGUACAUGAAUAACAUCUAACUAAAGUCCCCGAAGUAGGAGAACUCAACAUCUACUGGCUAGAAUCUAUAAUUGUCUGAUAUCAAUAAACAAUGUAGAACAUAUAUGUAUAUGUGGAUUAGUACUUUUGAAAUGUACUGAGCAUGUGGAGGUGAAUGCAUAAGUGAAAUAGUAGCUCAAUUGUUCAUAUAGCUUUUAAAGAAUGCAUGCUAAGUAUAAACUACUCACAUUGUCUUGAAUAACUGAAAGCUGAAAAUCAUAAAUCAUGGAUGAUAAAGCAUACUCUAUAAAUCUUGUGAGUCAUAAUACUUAGUUCUAAAACCUAUACUUUUACUCUUUCUGCAAGUGGAAUAAGUAGAACUGAAGUUAAGUCUAUUUUCAAAUCAUGCAGGCUAAGUGUAAAAGGGCUCACCUUUGUAUCUAUAAACUAAAAGCUAAAAUAUCAUGUCUAAUGACUUAUGUAAACCAAUAUCUAAAUAAAAUCGUGAGCCUUACACUUAGUUUUCUAAAAGCUUUUCUGUUAUUCUGUUUUAGGAUUUACGUUUUAAGGAUUUUCUUCUAAAAACUUUUUUGUUAUUCUUUUCUAUUAGAGAGGUUCUUAUAACUUAUAUAAACUAUGUGAGCUAUCAUGAAGUCCAAUGUCUAGUUCCCUUAAGAGAAAAAACUCACGUUGGGGGAAAGGUAUCAUACUCUUGCCAAGGAGUAUAACCUGAGCUGAGUGAUCACAAUUUGUAACUGCAUCCAUAUAAAUGGUACUAAUCUGAUAAUCUGAACCUACGCUGGCUUAUAGUUUUGGGGUAUGAGACCUUGAUAUCAUACCCAACUCGGUGCUAAAUACUAAUCCCUUUAAUAUGUAUGUUCUUUCUAUAGGAAAUCCAAUUUAAAACUAGCAUAAGGGUUUACAAUGAAAACUAGUUAUGCAUCUUUUUACUUUAAAUUGUAAUAAAAAAUGUAAAGUGGAUUCCAUAUCUUAACUGAGGAUCAAAAGAUCAAAUCUUGUUUAAAAUCUGAAUAUAUACUAAUCAUAGGGUGAUUAAAAGAAUAAUAUUCUUGAAAUAUCAAUACGAAAACUUACGGCGUAAAACCCAUGCUUUAAACUUAUGUAAAUUCAUAGCAAAACAUCAUGUUCAAUAUACUUUUUGAAAUACUUCAAAAAUAUUAUGCUUAAACUCAAUUGAAAAUCUGUAAUCAAUGUCUCAAAUCAUACUCAUGGUGUUUAAAUCAUAAAAGAGAAUUCUUUAAAUUAAGACAAAUACGGACUUUCAUGCUUCAAUAACUUUAUAAAUUCAAAACUCAAAACAAGAUACUUUGGGUAUGAACCCUAAUUGCAAUUCAUGUAAAUUCAUGUAAAUUACUCUUUAAAAGCUAGUUUUGGGUAUAUGGGAGAAAAGAGUAUCCUUGUUCAUAAUCCCACAUACCUUAUUAUGCUUGAUUUAGUGUAAAAGCUUGACUUUGAAGCCUUAGGAAUGUUGUUGAAUGAUUUUCUUGAACUUCUUGGAUUAGAAACCCUAAAUUCUUGGUUUUUUCUUGAAGAGGAGGUGAUGGAAUAGAUGAUCUUGAAGAGGAUUGAUUAGGGUUUAUUCUUGAGAGUAAAAUAGGAGAAUGAGGGUAAAUAAUGCCCUAAUUGAUGCUUAAAAUUGUGUUUUUAUGGCCUAGUUUGAGAUGGGAAAAAAGAAGACUGCCCCUUGGAAUUAAAAGUUUCAGCAAAAAUCCAGAUUUGGAGCCUUACCGUUGAGUGCUUUGGUUCCAUCACUAUAGGUACCACUGAGCGGUAUAAUUGCGGUGACCUACUGUUUUGCACAAUAUCAAAUUUGAGUCUUACCUCUGUGCCAUAUUCAUACCACCACUAUAGGCACCACCGAGUGGUGUAAUUGCGGCAGCUUACUACCUCACACAAAAAAUGCUACAACUUUUCACUUGGGUAUCAGAUUUAGGCAAAAUUGGUAUUGUUAGAAAGAUAUUCAAUUACCUACAGUUUGGUGGUAUUUACAUGGAAAAUUCUAAAUACAUUAAAAGUUAUAUACUCUCAAAGUUGAUCCUUGUAGAAUCUAACACCAAACUUUGGACGAAUCUAAGGUUCUUAGCUCAACUAUGUUCUAAGUAAAUUCUAUGAACAUCUUUCACUUUGAGAGCACUUCAUAAACUAGGAUAAUGAUCAUGAAACAUGUAUUAACAUAAAAAUCAUGAGAUUAACAUUUAUACCCAUAGGAAUGAUGGUUCAAAUUCUAGAACGAAUAUACGGGGUGUUACAAGUACAUACCACAAUCUUACCAUGAAAGAACGAUCCUGGGAUGUGCUCUUCUGAUGAACCCCUAUAAUUUGAAAAAAUGGUACUUCACCAUGAUCCGACCUACGAUCAUUUCUAGAUACCACAAUCGUAAGUUGUAUCAUAGAGUAUGUACUAAAAGUUAUCAGUUCAAAACACAAAAUUUAAACCUGAUUGACCAUGUUCUUAGACAAAGGGGUACUUAGACUUCCUCCUAUUCUCAUUUAUUUAAAACCCUAUAAAUAAGACAAUAAUUUUGGACUUGUUUUGGCCUACCACUUCUCAUGAACUAAAGUUAGCACCACUUAUUUAUAAAUUAUUCAAAUAUGGAGAUAAUUAUCAAAGGUGGUCAAUCAACUUACAUAUUUUUUUCUUGAAAUUCUGGGGGCUCUGAGAGUUGUAUGAGCUCAAAAUGAUGGGAGUAGCUACAUUUCACAAAUCAUUAGUAGAAUUUUCUAAAGUUUGCUUUUUUGUCAUUAAAUUUCAAGUGAAAUAAGUUUAAAUGCUUAUCAGAUUCAAUUGGGUAUCAAGUAUAGGGUUUAACAUGUUAAAAGCCGAGUCGGAUCAGGUCAUAUCAUAUUUUAUUAACAUAAUGGACCCAAUAGAUGACACAUACUUAUAAAUAUGAAAUGAAACCAUGAUCGUGGUGCAUGUUAAUAUUAAUAGAUGAAUGAAUACUUAUCUAGAAACCUACAAAUCUUAGGGAUAAUCAUGGUAUCUAGCCAUAAUCAUUUCUUAAAUUCAUGUUUGACGCCUAAUUAAUGGUUCCCUAGUUUAGUUAGAUGAUUGUUACGAAGAUUGUGAUAUAUAAGUAUAAUCGUUAUGACCAAAAAUAGUACAACUCCUAAACUUUAUCCCUCUAGACUUCAUGUUGUUGACUGAACCCAUGAAUUGGACCUUUGCAUAGUUGUAUAAUUCUUUCGUGGAUUUAGUACUGAUUCUAGUUCUAUAGUUUGUUUUUGCACAAGUAAUGCACACAACCCUAUAAAAUCAAAAGUACUUGGGUUGCCUCCCAAGAAGUGUUUAAUUUAAUAUCAUGUCAUGAUGUCGCUAAGUUGUUUACUCAGACUUCACCAACUAGCCCAUGAUUGCCUCCUAUGAAGGGCCUGAUUUAACAUCAUGAAACAACUUGGAUGUUCUUGACUUCUCAUGCACUCUCUAACUCCACCUCAUAUAUCAAUGUCAUAGAAGUAGUGUUUCAACCUUUGGCCAAUCACUUUAAGCUUCUGGCCAUUUUUAUUUAUUAGCUCGAUUGCACCAUAGGAAAACACUCUAAUCACUCAAUAAGGUCCUUUUUAUUUUGACUUUAACUUGCUAGGAAACAACCUCAACUAAAAAUAAAAUAAUAAUGUUAUAGCUCCUGCGGUGAAUUCUCUUUUCUCAAUCUUAUAAUCAUGAUAUAACUUCAUCUUUUCUUGGCACAAAGCUGACCAUUCAUGACAUAACCCAACCCGGGGCCUUGUUGCAAUGGGCAUCCCAGGUCCAAUUAGGACCAGAGGCUACCCCCCAUACCCAAGCCAACCAACCUAUGCAUAUCCUAAGUCCUAUGAAUUCCGAACGUAUAACAAGAUUGUGUUAUUGUGUAACCCAAGACUUUGAGAUAGGUCUACGAACAUGACCACCUAGAUGACUCCAACCGUUCGAUACCAACCAAUAACCAUAACUAAACCAAACCAUAACAAUAACCAAACCAAGUUCUAUAAAAUAAUAUAAAAGGAUAGAACAACCAAUAAUACAGUCAAUCGGUAUUAGCCCUAAUGCCAAUGCUAAUACUAAGGCUAACACCACUACCAAUCCCACCCAUACCAACCUAUAGUAGUUUCAAUAAAUCCUCUAUCCAAAAGAGAACCAAUAUUCGGUUGGUACAUGCCCCCUACCAUAGCUAAAACUAAUAUCCAUAAAUAAACCAAAGUGUGUAUGAACAUCCAUGAAUGUGAAAUGGAACCUUUCAGAAUAUGGAAGCUCACUACUUCAAUCCAAUAGUUGAUCUUGAAUUCUAGCACUAAGCAGGAAGAGUGGAAUGGAUGGUACCUAAAUCAUAUAAGGAUACAACCGUUUAAGGAUGGAUUAGAGUGUGAAUGCUAGCAAGUACUCAGGAUAAGGGUAAAAUAAUGCCAUCCAGUAAAACCAAGUAAAUCAACCACAUGUAUACAAACCAUACAUAUAAUAUAUAUAACCAGGCCGGGAAAGGGAACCGAAUUUAGCAUGCCUUUUUAACUUGGCUAUGUGAAGCUUAAUUGUCCUAAAACCACCUACGGGCUAUAUGGGUCCAGUGUAACCCCUUGAAUGGGCCCCGAUGUGUGUAGUCGUACUAAUCGGAGAUACAUUAAGAGUAGAGGAUUCCCAAGUACCCUGCGCUUCCAUGAUACAUAUGUACACUGUACUUAGAGGAUUCCCAUGUACCUCAUAGUAUCAUAUAUGGUCGCCAUGACCAACCCCUCAUAUCGGCAAAUAUGAGUCUCCAGUGCUCAUCCAUUGGAAUCCCACCUUCACAAUUAGCUAUCACAUCCUACCAUUAUUGCCCAGUUAAAACUAUUUCUAACCAACCAAUCCAUUAUUCCAUUUAUUAUUAACUAAGGCUAUUAAUAGUGGUAUCGUCAUACCGACUAUAAAUUGUAAGUAUUGUCCUUAGCAAAACCUUAAGAGGUUAAGGGAUUCCCGUAUAUCCAUUUACCAAGUUAACUUGGGGGAGUCCCAUAUACCCCACAAGUGUUCCAUUAUUAUAAUUGCUUGGGGGAAUCCCAUGUACCCCAUGAGUUGUUCAUUAUUAUAUUUACUUGGGGAAUUCAAUUAUACCCCACAAUGAGUUCAAUUAAACAUAAACAUGACCACUAAACCAUUCCAAACCAUUUAUACCAUUUAGGUUUCCAUUACCAAACCAUACUAUGCAACAGUUUCAUUAAAAGUCCAAUAAUAUAGUAAAAGUAUUAUAAUAGACAUUUUAUCAAACAUGUUGGGGGCAUAGUAUUUCCAAAACCAAAUCCAAUUACCAAUUAACCAUUCCCAUGCAACCAAUCACCAUUAAAACAUAUAGAAACAUAAUUAAAACAUGGGAAACCCAUAACCAAGAAUUUUAUACCAAAACAAUAUUUGAAAACUCCAAAAUCAUACAAUAAUAAUGCCAUGAAAACGUUGUAUAAAUCAUUCCUUUAGUUGGAUCUAACAAUGAGGGAUAAGUAUCUUUCCUUAUAUGAUGAAGAGAAAUCAUCAACAAAAACCCCAAAUAGAUCUUCAUAGUGAAACCCUAGCCUUCCUUUACCCAAAAGCCUUAGAGAGAAUUGUAGAGUAUAUAAGAGAGUUUUCUAAGUGUUUAAUGAUAGAAUAAUAGGGUAAAUAACCUCUCAAGUGUGUUACAAGCCGUGGGGACUUAAUAGGUUAAGUGGGGAAAUGUCCAGAUUUCCCCCACUUAAACUGUAUAAAAAUCCCGUCAUAGGACCCAUAUCCAACCGUAUGAAUCAUACAAACCCAGGUCAUACCUAUUCCAAAAACCAAUCCAACCUACCAACCAACACUGGUUAGCAUAGGACAAAAGCAUACCACUCAUACCCCACUAUAUGACUUGUACCCGCUAGUUGUACGUUGUCAAGAACCCAGAAAUUUGAAAAAUUUUCUAAGGGACCCAAACCUAAGGUGUUUCAGUUUAUAAGAAAAGAGGCAGAAUUUAUCCAUCUCAUUCAGCUAUUCAAUUCUCAAUUUGGCCUUAUCUUAUCUAGAUUCAACCUCUUCGACUUUCACAAGGCCUUGUGCUCAAGUUUGAUAGGUAAGUGGCAUAUUUUUCCAUACACAAACUGAUAUAGAAAAGCACCAAUAGGGAUCUUGAAUAUUGUUCAGAAAUCCCAUAGUGCAUCAUUUAACUUUCUAGCCUAAUCUGUCAUAUUAGCAUUUAUAUUCUUCACCAAAAUAGACUUGAUCUCAUGAUUUGAGAACUAAUUUUUCCUCUUGUCUGAGGAUGGUAAGGUGUUUUCACCUUAUGUUUCACACCAUACAUCUCAAGUAAGGCUUUGAAUAGAAGAUUGCAAAAGUAAGAGCCUCCAUCACUAGUGAUAACCCUUGGUGUCCCAAAUCUUAAAAUGUGUUCUUUCUCAAGAAUGUUGCAAAACUCUUCCCUUUAUUGUUUGAAAGCACAACUGCCUCCAACCAUUUCAAAACAUAGUCCACCAAAAUAUACUCAUAUCAUACGAGUUCACAAAAGGGCCCAUGAAGUCAAUACCCCAUAUGUCAAAUAGCUCAAGAUAAAAAAAUAAGUGGUCAUUAGAAGGUCUUACCUUCGCGAGAUGUUUUCUUGCCAUUGGCAUUGGACAUAAGCCCUUGAAUAGUAGUGCAUAUGGUGUUAAAAGGGUGAGUUGGGAUGAAAUUAAAAUUAUUAAAUAGAUUGAAUUAGAAAUUAGAUAUGGGUCAUGACAAACCCAAAUUUACUUUGGGUUCAAAUAGGCUUUAAACUUGGUUGGGCUUUGACUCACCCUAUUUGACCUUCUUAAUCUAAAAAAAAUUAACAUCUUGAUAAUUUACCUCUUGCAACCACAAUUUGAAUUCCAACUCAAGGAAAUAAAUAAAUAAGUUUUUUAUUUUAAUGAGGAAAGCCAUUAAUCACUACACCUAUAAAAUAAAAUAUAUUAUAGAUGUAUUCAGUAUUCAAGAAAAAUAUUUUUCAAAAAAAAUAUUAUCUAUGAAUUUUUUUUUUUAAAAUAUAAUUUUGUUUUGGAGGAGGGGGGUACGAGGGUUUAAGUGUAGGAGGAUUGGGAUGUAGGGAGCGGUGUUUUGGGUAAGAAUUUUUUGAAAGGAAAUAAAAAUAUUUGGUGAAAUAAUCAAUUGGACCCUUGUACUUUUUGAGUAUGUAAUGUGAACACUUUUUUAUAUGCUAUAUGUAGUUUUGAUGAUGAGAAACUAACCUCAAGGUACCAGGUCCCUAGAUGUGCAAGGUGCAGUACAGCUAGCACACGUUGUUUGUAUAGUUUUAUCCUCGUGUAACAAACUUACAGGUGUUAUUUUAUACUGGUUAGGACAACUAGCCCAAUGAUCUUUCAUCCCUAAUCAUCACUUAUCUAUAAAAUAAAAGAGAUGCCUCUUUAUAAAAUCAAUUUUUGUACAAAUCUAAAGAGUAAAGUGAGGCAACAGAAACUCUAUUUUAAGAUUGCUCAAGUAUUGCUCGUGUUCCUAUCUUUGUAAUAUGCUUAAAGAGUGAUUGGUUGUUCUUUAGUGUUUAUUUGUAAUUGAACUACUCAAGCUAUAAGAGUAGUGUUUUCUUUUAUUGAGAGAGAUGCUUAAGUAGAGUUGCCUAAGGUUGUUGCUAGUUAGAGUUAGUCAGUUGUUGAGGGUAACUUGCAGAGGUGUUAAGGAGUGGUUGUAAUAGAGGUAUUGCAAACAAGAGAAGCAUAGAUCUAGGUUCACAAUUAAGUCUAUAAUCAAGAGUUUGAUUAUAGUGGACUAUUUUUGUGCUUGUGAUGGCAAGUCGUGGUUUUUCCCUUCCUAGGUUUCCACAUGAAAAUCCUAUGUUUUACUUUUAUGCACUGCCUUUAUUUUUCCAAUACCUCAUAGUUUCUUUACUAUUCUAUCACUUGUGUUUACUUUGAGGGACCUGGUACAUCACUGUGUGGUGCAACACCCAAGGGUUUUAAUAAUUGGUAUCAGAGAAGGUUCACUCUAAAAGAUUCAUACCUAGAGUUGUUUAUUUAUAAUGACUGCUAUGACUGAACUAGGGGUGGAAAGAAAGAAAGUAAAAAGGGACACAUUCCUAACUUUGAAGGCUUUAGAAUCAGACUCAGGAAAGAAGACAUUGAUGUUACUCUUCUAGUAAUAAGGAUUGUUAGAUCUAUGAAAAAGCUUGGUAGCUCUAAAGAAUUCAUGAGGAAUUACCCAAUACAAAAGAAGAAUCAAAGACAUCAAGAAGAAAAGAUGCAACAAGCUGUAUAGUUAAGAAGGUGCUGGAUUCUUGGGAAGAUUUGUCCACUAAAUCUGGGAAAGACAAAAAGUAUGGAGAUGAUUUCAUGCUGAAAUAGGUUGAUAAGAAAAUAAGCUCAGAUUCCUGGUGUUCUCUAAUGGCAUCAUGGAGAGAUUCUUCUAGUAAUUCAAGUGAAGAUGAGAAGAAUGUAGAUGUUUCUAUGUUAUCAUUGGAAGACAAUCCAGUUAUCUAUAAUUCCUUGUUUGCAUUCUUAUAAAAAAUAAAGGAUAAAGAAGAAAAAAGGGUAAUAUUCCUUGAUCUUAAGGAAAACCUAACACCGCUAGAUAGAUAAAAAGUCUUGCUAGUGGGUUGAUAGACUCUGUAUAUGAAUUGACUACAGAGAAGAAUACUUUGAAGGAGAAAGUAGAAAAUCAGGAACAUGAAUUAAGUGCCUUAACUCUUUAGUUAUCUGAAAUUGAAGAAAUGGUCACUAAAUUUAAGCCUAAAAAUCUGAAUUGUAUACUGAAAAGGGCAAAUGGUGUAGAUGGUAAAGGGAAGAAUAAAUCCUCAAGGAUUUAGAUUGAUCUUGAGGAAAAAUUGAAAGCUUCACAAAAACACCUUAUGUCAGAACGUCAUAGGAAUAAAGAGUUAGAGAGGGACCUAGUUUGCUUGAAAGAAGAGUUGAAAAAGUCUCUUAAGUGGACUACUUUCUCACUGGUCCUUUAUGACUUGACUAGUCAAGGUGUUAAUGAUGGUAGAGGUCUAGUCUAUUAAGGAAAAUCCAUCCUAAUGUGUCUUAAAGGAAUACUAUCAAUAAUGCUAGAAAAAUAUAAAGCAAACACCUAUGAAUUUAUUGUGGAAGUGAUGGACACCUGAAGAAACACUGUCAAAGUGGGAAUAGAGCAAGAAUGUUCGAUGAUAGAUGUAUCCAUCAAGAGAAUUCCUAUCCAAGGAAUUUCACAUCCUUGAAAAGUAUGAAGAAAAGUUCUCUACCUAGAUGGAUCAAGAAGUAUUUGAUCACACCAUUGUCUUCUUACUAGGAACUCAAAUUUAAGUGGGCUCCCAAAUCAAACAAGUGAUCAUGGGUCCAGGUUGGAAACAAGGGAUUGAAGUUAGGAAUAUUUAUUAAAAGUGGGUCUUUGGAGCUUAAUCUUAGAAGAUCUGACUAUGUUCUUUCUCUCUCACUCAAAAUACUCUAAGGUGGAGGUAUUAUAUUUUGAAAUAGUUAAAUUCAAGGGAUUUGGUCUUUAGAAGACUCUUCUUGAUAAGGAAAGUUCCACCAAGAGUUGGCUAUGUUUGGAAGGAAUGUAUCCAUGAUAAAGUAGGUGCAGUAUAAUUUAACUCAGUUUCAUAUCUUUGUAGGUAUACACUUAUGGGAACAGCUUGAGAAGUAAACAAAUAAAACUAACACAAGUAGGCAAUUCAAUUAAAAGGAGAGGGACUUGAUCCUAUCUCUCAUGUUAGUACCUGUAAGAUACUUAAGUGAUCACAAGAUGUCUGAAAAGCUAUAUAUUUUUCUCUAAGUUGUCAAUUCCUUUGCAAAAGUAAGAGUCGCACUUAUUAGGUUCAAAUAUGUUAGUUGAAAAGAAACAUCUUUUAAUGACAUUGACCACCAUUAGAAAUUCUAAAUCAGACCAUCUUGCUAGUGUUGUUCAACUAAUCCAAUUCAUCUUUCUAUGACUAAAUCAUCCCUAACUAAACUAGUUCAUCUAUCUUUCUAAAAAUCAAAUGGAUGAUAAUACUACUUCAUUAAAUUCUAUAAGAAAUCCAGAACCCACAAUCGAGUCAGUUUCUAUUGAAUUCUCCUUAACCUUUGAAGUUUAUCCUCAACAAAUUAUGAUACACAAUUCAAACCAAGAGUUUAGGUCACCAAUAAAAUUAGAAAUUUCUCAAUCUGAAAACUCCUUAUUCCCUGUGUCAUUUGAAAAUCCAAAAAAGCUUAAUUCUCUAAAACACAACAAGCACCAGAUUCUCCUACACCCUUAUACUCAAAAACUAUUUUUGCUCUAUUGUUUCAUGAAUAAAUUCCAGUAAAAAUAGUUGAUCUUUCCUCUAGUGAGAACAGGGUAACUAAGAACUUACUCUUGCUUGCUUAUGACACCAAAGAAGGAUCAACUGAUGGAGUGGAAUAGGAAGUAUUCUCUAAUGUUGAAUUAAAUGGGGGGAAAUAUAUAGUUACCUCUAAAUAAGGAUAAUGAGGAAGACAAAAAGGAAGUGCCUCUGAGAUAGACUGUGAAGAAACUCAAGGGAAAUAAAAAAACAAAAAUGAAAAUACUAAAGUUGUGGAGGUUGAUAGAGGAGAGUACUUGAAAUCAAGGGAUGUUGUUACUAUCAAAGAAGGAAAAAUGGUGUUCCUAUAGUCGAUAGGACUAGGUCCUCCCUGUCAAAGCCUGGCAGCCCCGCCUUAAGUAGGAAGAAGAAUAUAGCUGUAAAAAGAAAAAAAAAUCUCUGAGGGACCUAAAAAAAAUCUCUGAGGGACCUGGUCCCAAGAAGAGAAGAACACAGAUGUAUGAGCAAUAAGAGAAAAGUUUUGAACCCAAAAGAAAUAAAAAAUAAGAAGAAGAAAAGAUAAAAAUGUCUAGAGAAAGAAGGAUUGGAAACUUGAGAACACUGAAAGUUUUAUCGAGAAGAGUUUUCGAUCCUAGAAUUUAUGAGCAACCUGGGAUGGUAGAGUUGGUUGAAUAUGUCAGGUAUCAAGGAUGGAUAAAUCUAUUUAAUGAAAUAGCACCAAUGGUUUUUCAAAAUAAGGAAAGGAAAUUUUAUUAAACCAUUGAUUUCUCAAAAAAUGAGCUAUGAUUGAAGGCCCAGGUGCAAGGUAAGCUUAUCAAUCUAGAUAAAAAAUCAUUAGGCAAGAUAUUGGAUAUACUUAUAAUAGGUUUGGGGACAGUUGUAAACCAGUACCCCUCAACUGAUUUUAUGUUGCAUGCAUCAAAGGUAGGAGGGACUUCCACAUCUGUUAUGAAAAAACAUUCCUGAUAAGUUAAUAUCAGCUGGUAUUUGAAUUUAUUAACAAGGUCUUGUUACCAAUAUCUAAAGGAUGAAUAACUACCUCUGGUGUUAACCUAUUCUUGAUUAAAAUCUUGAGCAAGCUUGGAUUGAUAAGUCUUCCUGCUUUAAUAAUAGAACAUAUGCUUACAAUGGUGUAUGAAAAGAAAGGAAAACAUGGAAUGCCAUAUGGAUAUAUACUAAACAAGGUGUUUAAACAAUAUGGUGUGGAUGGAACUAAAGGUACAGCUGGAACAGCCAAGCAAAUGAUCAAUCUAACAACUCUUGUGGGAAAUGAAUGCAUAGAGGGCAAAGCCGGAUGUGUGUCUCAAGUAUCUGAGUUAUUAGCUAUUUAGGAAAGGUUGGGAAAGAAAAUGGAGGAGUUAAAGAUCAAGUUGGCUACCAAAGAUUCUGAAAUAGAGCACCUGAAUCAAAGUUUGUCCUCUAAGUGACCAGGUGUCACUGAUAAACUUGCAACUGAAAAUGCAAAACUCCAGGCAAGAGUGUCUUAAAUGACUGGUGAAUUUCAAAAACUAAAUGUUGAAGUAAAGGUUCUCAACAAACAAUUGUUGAAUGCCCACAAGGCUGAAAUUGCAAGAAUAGAGAUGCUGCUUAAGUCUCUCUCCCCCAAACCUAUCUCUACCAAAGUUUUAUUAUCCCUUUUCUCUAAAUUAAUCAAGUGUUAGUUUCAUAUCUUACUCUUUGUAUUAGCUUUUGAAGAUAUUUAUUAUUGUAUUACUUUAGUAUGAUUGUACUGGUACUAAUCUUUGUUUAUGAAUGAAUGAAUUCUGCCUCUGAACUUCAUUUGUUCCCAUUACCAUAUGUUAUUCUUCAUGUUAGUAUUGCCCUAGUGCCAUGAGUUAAUUAGCUUGUACUUAUCUUUACUCUUGGUUUACUGUUAUUUCUUUUUAAUGAUGGGGGAAUACUGAGUUCAUGUAGUAUGGACCAGGUACCAGGUAAUUUGAGUUACAAAUUUAAAUGGCAUGUACAUAGGGAGAAGUACAUAAUGUGCUAAAUAGGUGAAUGAAAGGACUCAUAUUAAUAGAUAAAAGUGUGAAAAUACACUAAUGAAGGUGCAUAAUGAAAGGGGAAAGAAAUAUGAGGUUUUUACAACAAAUAACAACAAAGAACCAGGUCUUUGUGCUGCAUGAUGAUGAAAGAAGCAUAAUGAUAGGGGGGACAUUCAUCUUAAGGUGGUAAUCACACUAAUUAAAUAUGAUGAAUGUGCAUUGAUGCUCAAAAUAGUAUGGUUGGUUUGUCAUUAUCAAAAAAGGGUGAAAUUGCUAAAUGAUAUUUGUAGUUUUGAUUAUGAGAAACUAACUUCAAGGGACAAGGUCACAAGAUGUGCAAGGUGCAGUACAGCUAGCAUGCAUUCUCUGUAUAGUUUUGUUCUCUUGUGUAACAAACUUGCAGGUGCUAUUUUGUACUGGUUAGGAUAGCUAGUCUAAUGAUCUUUCAUCCCUAAUCUUCCCUUGGCUAUAAAGGAGAGAGACUCCUCUUCAUCAAAUCAGUUUUUGGACAAAUUUAAAAGGUGAAGAGAGAAAGUAAAUACUUCAUUUCAAGAUUGACCAUGUAUUUCUCAUGUUUUUAUCUUUGUAAUAUGCUUAAAUAAUGUGUGAGUGUUCUUGAGUGUUAAUUUGUAAUCGAACUACUUAGGUUAUAAGAGUAGUAUUUUCUGUUGAUGGGAGAGGUGAUUAGGUAGAGUUGCCUAAGCUUGUUGCUGGUUAGAGUUAGCUAUUUGUUUAGUGAAACUUGGUGGAGGUGUUAAGAAGUCUUGUAAUAGAGGUAUUGCAAGCAGGAGGAACCUAGAGUUAGGUUCACAGUCGAGUCUGUAAUCACGAGUUUGGUUAUAGUGGACUAUUUUGGUGCUUGUGAGGGUAAGCCAUGAUUUUCCCCUUCCUAGGUUUCCAUGUAAAAAUCCACUGUUUUACUUUCAUACACUGCCUUUGUUUUUCCAGCACCUCAUAGUUGUUUUACUGUUCUAUCACUUGUGGCUGACUUUGAGGGACCUGAUCCCAUACUGUGUGGUGCAACCCCCAAGGGUUUAAACAUGCCUUUACUUAGACCUUAGUCAUCUGAAUCCUUAAGCUCCAUAAAUCACAAUAUUUUGAAUCUCUUUGAUAGUUGACUAUGCCUAGAAAUUCAACAUGCAAAAGAGUAUAAAGCACUCAGGGUGAAUCGGGACAAAUUCAUAAAAUCGUGCAUAUAAAGUGAGUCUGCAUAUAAUUUUCAAUUAUAAAUAUUUUAAAUAAAUAAAUAAUAUAUCUACUCUUUCUUCUUUACACCCCCCACCCUACCCACCCACCAUAGUUUUAUUACCCUAUCUCAUCCAUCCAUUUCUGUUAUUUCUUAUCAUCUUUAAAGCUUCAAUUAAUCUAGGACCAAGUGUGGUCCAUUGAGACUCUGAGUUACCAUCCCAAAUAUAAGAAAAUUUAUAGGUCUUGCCCUUAAAACACCUCCAUUAAAGGACCCAUGAAUUCCAUAAUGAUUGACAUAGAGUCCAUCAACUACAACGUUAAUAGCGCAUUUUUAUUCACCCUCUGAUGCCAAUUGAAUGAUUCAUUUAAUGAUUUUCCUAGGAAAUAAUUUUUGACGAGUACUUGAUGGAUGGAGUAUUGAUUGUUGUUCUAGUUGUCUUGUAGAAGAGUAAAGAAAAUAAAAAUGGUGUGAAGGAGGUGGGGAUUGUGUUUUCUAUGGUUAUGAGUUGGGAGAGGUGGAGAUGGUGGUUAUGGGUUUGAGAAGGUGGAGGAAAGUGAGAAAUAUAAAUUUUAUUUUAAAAAAUAAUUUCUUAAUUAUUAUUUUAUUAUUUUUAAUUUAAUAUUGUUGAUGAUAAUUUUAAAAAGUAAUUAAUGAAGAUACUUAUGACAUGACAUUAACUUAUGUGACGUGAAUCUGACGUGUAAUUUAUUUUAGGGCGAGUGAGCUACACACAUGGUAGGAGGUGUUUAAAAUCUUAUUUUUUGAUGGGUUAAGGGGUUUAGAUGACAAAGAAUUAAGUACAAAUGUCCACUUUACAAAGUCAGACAAGUACAAAGUCUAGUAGACCAUUUCACCAAAAUAUUAUCCAAGAAAAAAUUUUAAAAAUUAAUUUUAUUUGAGGAGGAGAGAGGAAAGGGUAAGAGGGUUAAGGGGUAGAAGGAUGUGGGUGGAGGAAAUGGUAUUUGGGGUAAGACAAAAGAAUUUAAAAUAGUUUUUUUUAAAUAAUUAGGGGGAGGGGUUGUAGAUGGGGUAGGGAUUGGAGUAAUAAAAGAUUUUUUAAGAAUAUAUGUAAAAUAAUAAUUUGGUUUUUAAUUGGGGGGUUGGUUGGGGUAAGGAAAGAAAAAAAAUUUGGAGGGGGAGGUGGCAGGGGUGUUGUUGGGCUAAGAAAAAGUUAAAUUUUUUGGGUAGAUAGAUUGAUUUAGGGUGGGUGGGGUAAGGAGGGGAUGUGAUGGGGUGGGUGGAUGAUUUUGAUUUUUGAGUGGUACAAGAGAUUGUCACUUGAUUGUCACUUGUUUUCUCCUUUUUCACUAAUGAAAUUAUUUUUCUUAUUAAAUUAGUUGAAGCGGAGAUUGAAUUGGCUCGGUUGAAGAUACUUUUAAAAUGGAUUAAUAUUGAACUUAAUUGUAAAGUAUCUUGAUUCCAACCCAUAAAUUUUGAAUGAAUUGGGCGAGUUCACUCAAUUUGGGCUCAUUUUGACAUAAUCGCGUGCAUCUUUAUAAAUGGUCGGUCAAUAGUAUCCAUAUUGCAAGAUUUUAUGUGCAAUCCGUGCACCACUAUGAUGAACCCUAACUGGUGACGAGUGACAUGCCUCUAUUAUACUCAUCAUCUCAACCUCAGGAAUACAUCUCUGAAUUAAUCCAUCUUCACAACUUCGGGACAAGUAUGACUCAUCCUAAAAGAAGUUACUCACAUUAUGUAUAAAUUUCUUACAUUGCUGAAAUGAUAGUCUUUAGAAACCACAUCACUCACCAAAUAAUUUACAAAGUCUACAAACCACAAGAACAGAUUAAAUCUUAAGAUGCGGCUAAUAUUUGUUCAUCUGAAAAAAUAUCAUCAAUCUUGAGCUCAUUCUUCAACUUCCGUAUGGCCUUUUAUUCAAGGCAUGACAAGUGAUUAGCCACUUAAUUCUUAGUCCCCUUUUAGUCCCUGACCUUAAUGUCAAAUUCUUGCAAUAGAAGUACCUAACAAAUCAACCUUGGUUUUAAAUCUUUUUUCCAUAAGGUACCAAAGAGCGGUGUAAUCGGUCUGCACAAUCACUUUUCUAUCAAUCAAAUAAGGUGGAAAUUAUCAAAUGUGAACACCAUAGAAAGAAGAUCUUGUUCAGUCAUUAUAUAAUUUAUUUUAGCAAGGUUAAGUUCUUUGCUAUCAUAGUAGACGGGAUGUAAAAUCUUCUGUCAUCUUUGUCCUAGGACUGCACUAGCAUCACACCACUAACAUCACACAUAACUUUAAAAAGAAAGGACUAAUUAAUAGACACUUUAAUGGGAAGUGAAAUCAACUUUUCUUUUAGGCACUCUAAUGCCUUAAGACAUGCAUCAUCAAACACAAACUUCACCUCCUUCUUCAAUAAAUUGCACAAAAGAUUUUCAAUUUUAGAGAAGUCCUUGAUGAAUCUUUUUUUAGAAAUUUGCAUGCCCCAAAAAUCUAUGAAUACCAUUUACAGAAUUAGGUGGUAGAAAUUUUUCAAUCACCUUACUUUUUAUCUUGUCAACUUCAAUCCCUUUUUUCAAAAUCUUGUGAUAAAGCACUAUUCCUUUUAUAAUAAUGAAAUGACACUUCUCCCAAUUUAGACCCAAGUUACAAUCCUUACAUCUCCUAAAAACACUAGCAAGAUUUGCUAAACAAUCCUUGAAUAAAUCACCAAUCAUUGAGAAGUCAUCCAUGAACACCUCAAUAGUGUCCUCUAACAUGUUAGAAAAGAUAACCUUCAUGCACUGCUGAAAGGUUGUGGGUGAAUUACAUAGCCCAUAUCCUCUUAAAUGCAAAAGUCCCAUAUGAACAAGUAAAACUAGUCUUCUAUUGGUCUUUGAAAGUAGUAAAAAUCUAAUUAUAACCCAAAAAAUCAUCAAGAAAACAAUACCAUUCUCUACCAGCAAGACAGUAUAAUAUCUGAUCUAUAAAAGGCAUUGAAAAAUGAUUCUUCUCAAUCCAUGAGUUCAACUUACUAUAGUCCAUGAAAACAUGCCAACCAGUGAUUGGCCGCAUAGGAAUAAGAUUAAUUUUCUCAUUUGGAACUAUAGUGAUUUUAUUAUUCUUCAACACACAUUAGAUCGGACUCACCCAUUUGCUAUCUGUAAUCGGAUAAACACAGCCAUGUCCAACCACUUGAUGAUUUAUUUCUUCACCACCUCUUGUAUAUAUAUAUAUAUAUAUAUAUAUAUAUAUAUCUAAUCUUCGUUGAUUCUCAAUAUUGGGGACACAAUUCAGCUCAAGUUAGAGAUUGUGCAUCCAAAUUUCAGGCAAUAUUCGAAUAAUAUCAACAAUGGACUAUCCAAUAACUCUCUUGAAUCUCUUCAAAAUAGACACAAAAGCCUCAACUUGCUAAUCUACUAUCAACUAAAAUAAUAACUCACAAAGUAUUUUUGUCUCCUAAAAUACAUUACAAAGAUGAGAUAGAAGAGUCUUAAGAUCUAAAACAAGAGGCUCCUUAAUAGAAGGCUUAGCUGGCGGAGUCACUCUAUUCUUUAAAUUGAGAUCUAAUUUUUUUAGUGCAUAACUGUAGGAACCCUUACCUUCAAGUGUGCUAACUAUCUUACCAUAACCCUCAAUACCAUCACUCUUAAAAUUCAUAAUUAUUACUGCAAGGGCCUCGACUCUGAGCCUCUCCUCAAUAGGAGUUAUCAAUUCAUCCUUGUUGACUAUAUAUAUCAUAGAUAUCAGCCACAUAUCUUUUUUUAUGCUUCAUUGAUUUGUAUAUAUUAAAGGUAACUUGUUCAUUAUUCAACCAAAACUUCACCUACCCAGUCUCCAUAUCAACCAAUGCAUACCCAGUCAUAAGCAAUGGUCUUCCUAAGAUAAUGGAAACCUCAAAGUUAACCUCACAAUCAAGGAUGACAAAAAUAGCUUGGAAUAUAAAGGAUGUGACCUUAUUAAAAUAUCACACAAGAUUUCUAUCGGCUUCUUCACAGUAUAGUCAGACAUAAAAACCUCAUCAAAGUCUAUUUAGGCAACCCCAACCCUAAUUUCAAAAAAGUGAUAGCGGCAUAAAAUUAAUGUUAGCACCCAAAUAUCGCAAAGCUUUUGCAAAGUUGAAAAAUCCAUAGUGCAUGGGAUCAUGAACACUCCAAGUUCUUUCUUUUUCUCAACAAAAUAUCUAGAGGCUAUUGCGCUAUAAUGGUUCACAUUGUCAACAGGCUCAAAAUUCACCAUCCUUUUCUCUAUCACUAAGACUUUCAUAAACUUCGUAUGACCUGGAAUUGAUUCUAGAGCCUCAAUUAGAUUGAUAUUCACUAACAACUUCUUUAGUAUAGAAAUAAACUUUUGGUACUUUUCCCCUUCAGUCUUUGUGAAAGAGGAUGAGAAAGUCGUGGAAUGGGAGUCAAUACUUUUUGGACCUCAUUUUCCUUUACUUUUCUUGCCUUUGACUUAUAGUCAUCAACUAGAUGUUUUUUAGGUGUGCUCUCAGCCAACACUAAGUUUUAGAUUUGACCACUUUCUCAUCAUCAAUGAUAAUAGGUUCUACCUUUUUCUUAAUAAUCAUGAGCAUACUUAGAUCAGUGCUUAUCUUAUUACUCUUAGUAAUAUUACCAAACAAUAACCAUUAUUUUUUAGAUUUUGGAUUGUGUUACUCAAGAGUGUGCAUUGUUUAAAUAGAAUUAACGCAAUGGACAUUUGUAUCAAAUUAUUGCUCAAGUUGUUUUAUGGCAUAGCAUGUGAUUCAAACAUCUGAUUUAUUUUUAAAAUAUCUGCUUUAAUCUCCUUAAGGUAGUCUCCAUUUUCUCUACCCCUUUCACAACCUUGAAAGCAUGUAUUCUAUCCUUGAAUUGCUUAAACUAGCAUCACGGUUCCCAUAUGGAACAAAAAGGCCACUCUUAUCCUUGUAGUUAUCCUUUCUCUUCCAAUCACCAUCUCGGUCCCUAUUCCUAUCUCUAUACCCAAACCUAAUAUGAUUGUUAUAUGUAUAGUAGUUCUAACCUUAAUUCUCUUGCCUAGAAUUCUAAUUAUAUUUAUUAGACUCUUGGCCCUUGGAUCAAAAACCCGCUACCUAUCUAUCAAAAUAUUUUACCUCCUCUUUAGAAUUUGAGUCUUCAUAUAUAGGUAACUUAGCUUAUGAACCAAAUGCAUUCACCUUUUCCAUUCCUAUUACAGUAAAUUACUGCAUAAGCAGCCUAAUUUCAAUCCUUAACUAUGUAGUUGUUGAUCCACCUACUCAUCUAAUGUUCUCUGCUCUGUGGAUGCUCUAAUUGUAUAAGUACCUGUGGGUCUAUAUGCAUCUCUAGUAUACCAACCUUGAUUUGUGUUUAUGAUCUAAUCUAGGAUUUGAGAAAUGUGAUCCCAAUGUAGACUCGUGAAUAUCCCAUUGCUGAGAGUAUCUACUGCAGCCAUGAUGUUAGAAUUCAAAGCUCUGUAGAAGAUCUCAAGAAAGUUUCUACUAGUCAUCCUGUGAUUAGUAGCAUUCUGCAGCUUCUUUUUGAACCUCAACCAAGUCUCAUAUAAUCAUCUAAAUACAACUGCCUGAAGUUGUAGAUCUCAUCUUUCAACUGCAAUAUUCUGAAAGAUGGAAAAAACUAUUUAAGAACCGAGUUUUUAACUUAUACAAAGUUGUAAUCUAUCUUUGUGGCAUCUCAACUAACCAUAAUGUAGCCUCUCCCUUCAGUGAAAAGGAAAGAAAUAUAGUCUAAUCACUUCUGGGCUCAAUGUAGUCAGAUUAUAUGAUGUGCAAAUCUUGAUAAAGUUCAUAACAUGCAUAUUCUUAUCAUUGGUAUGAAGGCCUGAGAACAUCAUUUUUAAGUUCAACAAGUGGAUGGUGGAACUAGUGAUGUCAACUUAGUCCCUGGAGGCAAUUCUAGUAGAAUAAUAUCACCUGUUUCCAUCAUCUCUAGGUAUUACAAAUCUUUUAUUGGAUCAUUAUAGUGGGGGAAAUACUGUUGUAGAGGCUAUUUCCACCAUACCUUCUAUUUCUUUCCCUUUCAUCAAGUGCAGCUAGAUGGUUUUUCUCACAUUGUGUGGCCCUUUUUUUCCUAGCUGCUCACCUGACAGCUUUUUCUAGCAUUCUCCUCAGUCAAUAAUUGAGCAUUAAUCUAUUCUAGAGUCUCUUUACCAAUAUGAUAAGUUAGUGAUUGAUUUUGUAAUAUAUCGGGUUUUGGACUCUAAAAUUUCUAGGUUUUUGCCAACACUGCUAUGACUAUGACUCAGGUGAUGAGUUUUUAUCACUCAUUAUGCAUCUACGAUGAGACUAAUGGUCUUACCAGUGAAUUAACCAGGAUUUGGUCCCUUGAUAAUGAUCUCAGGGUACAACUUGUUAUGAGAUGUAAUGAGUCAUAGGGUUGGACUUAUUUUCUAAAUAGUGAAGAUACCCAAGGUUUCUAUAAUCAUGACUCCUUACCACGAGUCAUUAGGUUAGGUAUGAGUCAUAAUGAGUGACUCAUGACCAUAAUAGUAAAGGUACAUGAUUUGAGCCCUCAGGUAAUGAGUCUAGUUAAUGACUCAUGGUCAGAUGUCACGAGUUGUUACCUGAGCCGUGGGAACUGGGAUUGGUUUUUUUGUCCUUUGUAAUUGAGGGAUUUUUUUUCUUUUUCUUCCUUUACUCUUUAUGAUUGUGUGCUUAGUUCACACAAUAUAUAUUUUAUUAGAAUGGUUGGAGCUUUGGUGGUUUUGGCCUUUCUCAAAUUUCCUCGAUUCAUAUGGCUACACGCACUGGGGCCCUUUCAGCAGGGCCCUUGCAGCAGGGGGAGCUAACCCAUAUAGCCCGUAGGUGCCCUUAAAAUAGACAGAGCUACACAAUCCAAGUUAAUAUUUUGAAAUCUCAUACUCAUGUCCCUUGCCCCUAUCUCGACAUCUUAUAUAUGUAUAUAUGGAUGUGUGCAUGUGGUUUGAUUGGUUUUGGAAAUGACAUUACUUUAUCACUUUUCCUGAGUUACAUGCUAGUGUUUAUCCCAUUGAUCAUCAUAGGAUUCUACAUUAUUUCAUGAUGAAAGGUCUGAAGAUAUUUUUGUUAACCCUCUAUAGACUUAGGUGGUACAGUUGUCGGUUCACUUAUUGUGAAGUGGCGAGCUUCUAUCUUUUAGAAAGCCUUGUCAUUUCAUUAGGUUCUUUUUUAUAUUUUGGAGAUUGUUAGAUUUCUUUGUCACAGAUGGAGGAUGUGUAAGACCAUGUAAACUUCCUAUUCUAAUUUAGUCCUAUAUAGCAUGAAAAGAGGUCACAGACUUAGAAAAUUUUAGCUAAGUAUUGACACUUAGUCUCAUUUUUUGCGUUGAUAUUUCAAUGACUUUAUUUUCGACCCUUACUACCUUAAAAUGUCAAUUUUUAAAUUAAUUCAUUAUCAGGGAAGUCAAUAGGUGUUCUUGGAUGAGUUUUAAAUUUUUUGGACAUCUUUAGAAGCCUAAUUGGAUGUCCAAUAUUGUAAUAUCCCAUAUUUUGGACUAGAAUGAAAGUCCAUCAUUCCUAUGUGUAGAUAUUUCAAAAGCCUCAAAUCCUAUGUAAAUUUAGUGUGUUAAUGAAUUAUGUAGUGUGGAAAUCUAUUUGAGCAUGAAUUUAGAUCAUAGACGUUCCCUAACUCAAGUACAAGUUGAAAGCUUUCUUAUCGUUUAAGUUUUAGUGAGCGUCAAAACUUAGGUCAACUUCAUUCGAUCAUAACUCCUUGUAUAUAUUGAAUUAGAGGGCCUAAUAUAUAUCAAAUGAAAUAUCUUUGAAUUAUAUUUCCAAUGGUAAAAAUUUCAUCCAAAUCUGACACCCGAGCAAGAAGUUAUGACUUUGCAAAGUGGAGUACGCCGCCUGACAUAAGGUGUGCCACACACAACCUAAGGUGUGCGAUAAGGUGUGCGGCACACACCCUAUUAUGUGCGAUAAGAUAUGAAACGCACACCCUAAGGUGUGAGAUAAAGUGUGCGCCGCACAUGUGGGUGUCCAGGUGACUUAAAUAGUCCAUUUUUGGGGUAAAAUGGUCCUUUUCCCACCCCUAUAUAAUGCCUAAACACUGAAUUAAGCCCUUAUUUCACCAAAACAUAUUCUUUCUCUCAAAAUCCUCUCAAGAGCACAAGAGAGGGUUUUCAUAGAAGAUUCAAGUUCAAGGAAAUUCAUCCAUCAAUCAUCAAGAAUCUUCCUUCUAAGGUAUGCGUAGUGUCCAUCCAUGAAUCCCUUUUAUCCGUAGAGCUCAAGAACCAUGUUUUAAAUAAUAAAUUAUGAUCUUUAUGUUGUUGUGUGAUUAUGUUCAUGUUGAUGGUUGUUAAUUGUGUUUCAAGAUGGUAUCUAAAUGUGUUUCCAAGAAGUGUAUGGGCAUGUUAGUUGGAAACCCAUGAAUUUGGGUGGUUCAAGAUUUCUAAAUUUGUUAAGUACACCUAUGCUCAAUAUUAUGCAUGUAAGGUGUUUGAUAAAAUACCUAGAAUGAUAAAAAUCAUGUAUUAUAACUUAGGGGUGAACUAUAUGAUAAAUUCAUGCUAGUCUAUUAUGUUCAAAGAGCUCACUUGCCAUUGUUGUGCAAUAUAUUUGUUAAUUGAAUGUACAUGAUGAUUGGCGAAUGGAUUUAUAGUGUGUCUCUAUGUCUUACAUGCUAUGAACAAGAUCAUGAUUUUGAAGCAUCCCAUGAGUUAUCCCCAAAUUAUUACAAUAUGAACUAAAUGUUACAUGUUUGUCAUUCCCUUAUGGUUAAAUAGUUUCCAUGCCAUUGUUAUGAAUAGUAUAUGUUGUCGGAAUGCUCAUGAUAUUAUAAUAUGAUAUUUAUGACUUGAUUAUAAGCAUUCAUAUUCAUGUUAGAUAUUAUGAUGACCAUUUACUUCAUGAAAUCCCUCACUCAUGUAUUAUGGAUUGUUAUUGAUGGUCAUGUACUCAAGAAAGUCAAGUUGUGUCAGUUUCCUUCCAUCGAGUCCUGAUGGUACUUGUACCCAAAAAAUGUAGUUGGGUGCCUAGAGCCAUGUCAUGUUAUCACGAUACUCUCAGUUAAGCCAUGCUCUAUAGAAUUCAGUUACUCAUGUGACUCAGAAAUCUCAGCAGUCUCAGUAGUUUAGUAAUCUCAGUUAUGCUCAGCUAAUCUCAGUAAUCUCAGUACCCAGUAACUUCAAUAAUCUCUAUAAGUCAGUACUCUCAAAAAUCUUCUGAACUCGGUAGUAUUCAAUCAGUCACGAAACUCACUAAGUUUAGUUAAUCAGUUUAGUUCAGUGUCUUUCAGAUGGGAGUAGGAUUCAGCACCGAGCGAGCCUAGGGAUGGGGACUCACCCGCUAGUAAGGAAUGAGAUCCUUAGAAGCAAUCCCUAAGUUCCAGAACUACAUAGUGUUACGUCCCAAAAAACGGGUCCCGAAGCGUCACACGAUUCUUGAGGCUACGAGUAGCCCCAAGCUAACCCUUUGAGCCAUUUUCAUUCAGUUCAAUACAAGUCAAUAGGGUUUCCAUAAAUAAUCCUCAAAUAUCAACAGAGUAAUCAUCAUCCAAGAAUAAAAGAAUUUUAGAAAGAUAACAAAAUACAACUUAUUAGUCAACUUACAACAUCUAUACUAGUCUGACUAACCUAUAAGAAAAUCAAUAAAACCAGCGAGCCAUUGAGACAUGUCCCAAUUGACUCAUACUCAGUUAUUAAAUGUAAACAAUUUUGUGAAACCAACAUCAGACAUCACGUCCUCGGAACAUGAGGACUCACCACAACAUAGGAUGUAGAACAGCGUGCCCGAAGAACCACUGUCGAACUUGAAACUGAGCACCUGAACCUACAUUCCGAGAAAAUACAGCCCACAUCCGAAGAUGUGGGGGGAAAAGACAGCCCACAUCCGAAUAUAUGGGUCAGUACCAUGGAAAGGAAUCGAGUAUAUGGAGGUGUAAGCAGUUGUAUAAACAUCAUCAUCAUAAAUAUUUAUAAGAAAUAUACAGGAUGUAUGAAAGACUCACAUAGCCCGAAGAAAAUCAUCAUAAUCAUGAGAUGAUGAAAUAAGUACAAUAACACAUGUGAGUCAUCAUAUAAUUUGUCAAUCACUUUAAUUUCAUCAAGAAUAUCAAUUCUCAUAGUGUAACUAUCAUUUAAAUCUUUCGAAAGAAUAACUUUCACAAUUCCACUUUCAAAUCACUUCACCAUUCACCAUAGACACAAGGAAACACACACACGCUGGGAGAUCCUAUAACCAACAUAAACCAUGUGAGCUACAUGGAGUCCAACGUACAACCCACGUUGGGGAGAGCCGUCCUAUCCUUGCCAUCNNNNNNNNNNNNNNNNNNNNNNNNNNNNNNNNNNNNNNNNNNNNNNNNNNNNNNNNNNNNNNNNNNNNNNNNNNNNNNNNNNNNNNNNNNNNNNNNNNNNNNNNNNNNNNNNNNNNNNNNNNNNNNNNNNNNNNNNNNNNNNNNNNNNNNNNNNNNNNNNNNNNNNNNNNNNNNNNNNNNNNNNNNNNNNNNNNNNNNNNNNNNNNNNNNNNNNNNNNNNNNNNNNNNNNNNNNNNNNNNNNNNNNNNNNNNNNNNNNNNNNNNNNNNNNNNNNNNNNNNNNNNNNNNNNNNNNNNNNNNNNNNNNNNNNNNNNNNNNNNNNNNNNNNNNNNNNNNNNNNNNNNNNNNNNNNNNNNNNNNNNNNNNNNNNNNNNNNNNNNNNNNNNNNNNNNNNNNNNNNNNNNNNNNNNNNNNNNNNNNNNNNNNNNNNNNNNNNNNNNNNNNNNNNNNNNNNNNNNNNNNNNNNNNNNNNNNNNNNNNNNNNNNNNNNNNNNNNNNNNNNNNNNNNNNNNNNNNNNNNNNNNNNNNNNNNNNNNNNNNNNNNNNNNNNNNNNNNNNNNNNNNNNNNNNNNNNNNNNNNNNNNNNNNNNNNNNNNNNNNNNNNNNNNNNNNNNNNNNNNNNNNNNNNNNNNNNNNNNNNNNNNNNNNNNNNNNNNNNNNNNNNNNNNNNNNNNNNNNNNNNNNNNNNNNNNNNNNNNNNNNNNNNNNNNNNNNNNNNNNNNNNNNNNNNNNNNNNNNNNNNNNNNNNNNNNNNNNNNNNNNNNNNNNNNNNNNNNNNNNNNNNNNNNNNNNNNNNNNNNNNNNNNNNNNNNNNNNNNNNNNNNNNNNNNNNNNNNNNNNNNNNNNNNNNNNNNNNNNNNNNNNNNNNNNNNNNNNNNNNNNNNNNNNNNNNNNNNNNNNNNNNNNNNNNNNNNNNNNNNNNNNNNNNNNNNNNNNNNNNNNNNNNNNNNNNNNNNNNNNNNNNNNNNNNNNNNNNNNNNNNNNNNNNNNNNNNNNNNNNNNNNNNNNNNNNNNNNNNNNNNNNNNNNNNNNNNNNNNNNNNNNNNNNNNNNNNNNNNNNNNNNNNNNNNNNNNNNNNNNNNNNNNNNNNNNNNNNNNNNNNNNNNNNNNNNNNNNNNNNNNNNNNNNNNNNNNNNNNNNNNNNNNNNNNNNNNNNNNNNNNNNNNNNNNNNNNNNNNNNNNNNNNNNNNNNNNNNNNNNNNNNNNNNNNNNNNNNNNNNNNNNNNNNNNNNNNNNNNNNNNNNNNNNNNNNNNNNNNNNNNNNNNNNNNNNNNNNNNNNNNNNNNNNNNNNNNNNNNNNNNNNNNNNNNNNNNNNNNNNNNNNNNNNNNNNNNNNNNNNNNNNNNNNNNNNNNNNNNNNNNNNNNNNNNNNNNNNNNNNNNNNNNNNNNNNNNNNNNNNNNNNNNNNNNNNNNNNNNNNNNNNNNNNNNNNNNNNNNNNNNNNNNNNNNNNNNNNNNNNNNNNNNNNNNNNNNNNNNNNNNNNNNNNNNNNNNNNNNNNNNNNNNNNNNNNNNNNNNNNNNNNNNNNNNNNNNNNNNNNNNNNNNNNNNNNNNNNNNNNNNNNNNNNNNNNNNNNNNNNNNNNNNNNNNNNNNNNNNNNNNNNNNNNNNNNNNNNNNNNNNNNNNNNNNNNNNNNNNNNNNNNNNNNNNNNNNNNNNNNNNNNNNNNNNNNNNNNNNNNNNNNNNNNNNNNNNNNNNNNNNNNNNNNNNNNNNNNNNNNNNNNNNNNNNNNNNNNNNNUCGACCUCAUAAGCUACCUUACCAACACGGCUAAGAAUUUUGUAAGGACCAACAUAACGAGGACUAAGCUUCCCUUUAUUUUCGAAUCUCUUCACCCUUCUCAUGGGUGAAAUUUUCAGAUACACUAGGUCACUAACUUCAAACUCAAGGUCUCUCCUUCUAAUAUCUGCAUAUGACUUCUGAUGACUCUACGUAGUUUUUAACCUUUCCCUAAUCAACUUAACUUUUUCCAUAGCCUCAAAUACCGAAUUAGGACCACUCACAGCCGCUUCACCUACCUCGAACCAACCUAUGGGUGAUCGACACUUCCUCCCAUAUAAGGCUUAAAAUUCGCCAUGCCAAUACUAGAGUGGAAACUAUUAUUGUAAGCAAACUCUAUCAACGGUAAGUGAUCAUCCCAAGUUCCCUUAAAGUCAAGUGCACAAGCUCUCAACAUAUCCUCUAAGGUCUGGAUGGUCUGCUCAGCCUGACCAUCGGUCCGCAGAUAAAAACCAGAACUCAAAAGCACUUGGGUACCAAGACCCUUCUGAAAAGCUUUCCAGAAUUACAAAGUGAAUUGAGUACCCCUAUCCGGAAUGCUAGACAAGGGAACUCCAUGCAGUCUGACUAGCUCUCGAAUAUACAAUCUAGUGUAAUCCUCAGCAGUGUAUGAAGUAUGAACAGGCAGGAAAUGAGCAGACUUAGUCAACCUAUCAACCAUAACCUAAAUGGAUUCAUGAUGGUGUCGGGAAGGAGGUAAACCAAUCACGAAGUCUAUAUUUAUCUCUUCCCACUUCCAGGUGGGAAUACUAAACUCUUGCAUCAUACCACCAGGUCUUUGGUGUUCAACCUUANNNNNNNNNNNNNNNNNNNNNNNNNNNNNNNNNNNNNNNNNNNNNNNNNNNNNNNNNNNNNNNNNNNNNNNNNNNNNNNNNNNNNNNNNNNNNNNNNNNNNNNNNNNNNNNNNNNNNNNNNNNNNNNNNNNNNNNNNNNNNNNNNNNNNNNNNNNNNNNNNNNNNNNNNNNNNNNNNNNNNNNNNNNNNNNNNNNNNNNNNNNNNNNNNNNNNNNNNNNNNNNNNNNNNNNNNNNNNNNNNNNNNNNNNNNNNNNNNNNNNNNNNNNNNNNNNNNNNNNNNNNNNNNNNNNNNNNNNNNNNNNNNNNNNNNNNNNNNNNNNNNNNNNNNNNNNNNNNNNNNNNNNNNNNNNNNNNNNNNNNNNNNNNNNNNNNNNNNNNNNNNNNNNNNNNNNNNNNNNNNNNNNNNNNNNNNNNNNNNNNNNNNNNNNNNNNNNNNNNNNNNNNNNNNNNNNNNNNNNNNNNNNNNNNNNNNNNNNNNNNNNNNNNNNNNNNNNNNNNNNNNNNNNNNNNNNNNNNNNNNNNNNNNNNNNNNNNNNNNNNNNNNNNNNNNNNNNNNNNNNNNNNNNNNNNNNNNNNNNNNNNNNNNNNNNNNNNNNNNNNNNNNNNNNNNNNNNNNNNNNNNNNNNNNNNNNNNNNNNNNNNNNNNNNNNNNNNNNNNNNNNNNNNNNNNNNNNNNNNNNNNNNNNNNNNNNNNNNNNNNNNNNNNNNNNNNNNNNNNNNNNNNNNNNNNNNNNNNNNNNNNNNNNNNNNNNNNNNNNNNNNNNNNNNNNNNNNNNNNNNNNNNNNNNNNNNNNNNNNNNNNNNNNNNNNNNNNNNNNNNNNNNNNNNNNNNNNNNNNNNNNNNNNNNNNNNNNNNNNNNNNNNNNNNNNNNNNNNNNNNNNNNNNNNNNNNNNNNNNNNNNNNNNNNNNNNNNNNNNNNNNNNNNNNNNNNNNNNNNNNNNNNNNNAUGGUACAACACACUCAUAUCAUAGUCCUUUAACAAUUCUAACCAUCUUCUCUGCCUAAGAUUCAAUUCUCUCUGGGUAAACACAUACUGUAGACUCUUAUGAUCAGUGAAAACAUCAACAUGGACACCAUACAAUUAGUGUCUCCAGAUUUUCAAAGGAAAUACAACAGUAGCCAACUCAAGGUCAUGGGUGGAGUAAUUUUUCUCGUGAGGUUUCAACUGUCUAGAAGCAUAAGCUAUCACCUUACCCUUCUGCAUCAAUACGCAACCCAACCUAACUCUCGAAGCAUCACAGUACACUACAAAACCAUCAACACCAUCCGGAAAAGUCAAAACAGGGGCUGAAGUGAGUCGAGUCUUCAACUCCUGAAAACUCUUCUCAUAAGAUUUGGACCACAGGAACUUCACUUUAUUUUGGGUCAACUGAGUCAUAGGAGACACUAUAGAGGAGAAACCCUAAAAAAAUGGUGGUAAUAGCCAUCUAAACCUAAGAAACUUCAGAUAUCAGUUGGAGAAAUAGGUCUAGACCAAUUUCUUACAACUUUGGUCUCUUGGGGAUCAACUCUAGUACCCUCAGAAGAAAUGAUAUGACCCAGAAAAGAAACUGACCUUAGCCAAAACUCACACUUACUGAACUUGGCAAACAACUUGUGAUCUUAAGGGUUUGCAAGACAGUUCGGAGAUGAUCAGAAUGUUCAUCCUCACUACGGGAGUACACCAGUAUAUCANNNNNNNNNNNNNNNNNNNNNNNNNNNNNGGGAUGUCACACUCCCUAACUUUGAGUUGAUGAUAGCCGGAAUGAAGGUCUAUCUUUGAGUAAUAACUUGCACCUUGCAAUUGGUCAAACAAAUCAUCUAUUCUCGAAAGGGGAUACUUAUUUUUUACGGUGACUUUAUUCAGUUGGCGGUAAUCAAUGCACAUACGCAAAGAGCCAUCUUUCUUUCUCACAAAUAACACAGGAGCACUCCAAGGAGAAACACUGGGCCUUAAGAAACCCUUAUCUAGUAGAUCUUUGAGUUGCUCUUUUAUCUCUUAAGUUCUACAGAGGCCAUAUGGUAAGGAGAAAUAAAAAUAUGAUGAAUAUCGAAAAGAAGAUCAAUCCCAAACUCUAUCUCUCUAUCAGGAGAUAUCCCUAGGAGAUCAUCCAGAAAGACAUCAGAAAACUCAUUGACAACGUUAACAGACUGGAGAGUUGGAGUCUCAGACUUAGUGUCUUUGACUCUAACCAAAUGGUAAAUACACCCCUUAGAAAUAAGCUUUCUAGCUUUGAGGUAAGAGAUAAAAUGACUCUUGGGUAACACAGAAUUCCCAGACCACUCAAAACACGGAUGCACCCAAAAACUAAAACUUGACCACUCGGAUCUGACAAUCAAUAGAGGCAUAAGAAGAAUACAGCCAGUCCAUACCUAGAAUCACAUCAAAAUCUACCAUGUCUAACUCAAUCAGAUCAGCCAACAAGACUCUAUGAAGAAUGGUAACAGGAUAAUUUUUAUAAACUUUCUGGGCAACAAUCGAAUUAUCCACUGGGGUAGAAACUAGGAUAUGCUCAGGAAUAAUCUCAGGACUCAUUUCAAAAUUCACAGCAAUCAAAGGUGUAACAUAUGAGAAACUGGAUCCAGGAUCCAACAAAGCAUACACAUCAAACUGAAAUAUAUGAAGUAUACCAGUAAUAACAUUGGGAGAGUCCUCCUGUUCCUGGCGGGACGGUAAAGUAUAGAAUAUAUUCUGGCGCUGCCCACCAGCAUUGCUAGAAGAGGUGCUCUGAGCUAGGGUUGGGCGAGUCACUGGAACUAGAGCACUAAUAAUCUGAGUCUGGGUCUGAGGGUGAUAGUCAAGACGCCCUUGUCCAUCCUGUGGACAAUAUCUAACUCUGUGACCCAUGUCACCAUACCAGAAACAACCCCUCUUUUCACCCCAAUACUCACCCGAAUGAGCCCUACCACACUUAGGACACAGGGGAUGAUUUGGCUUACUGCCAGCACUGUACUGGAACCUAGAUGCAUAUGACCGGCUACCUUGCUCCUACCUACCUAUAGGCACAGGAGCACUAGCAGAUGACGAUGCUGGCAUAGAUGAAUGAUCCUAAUACUACAGGCGACUCCCUCCCUACGAUCUAGUCUGACCCGAUCCGUGCUGCUCGGACCUAGCUCUCUUAUUCUCUCUCAUUCUAUCUCUCUCCUUAAUCUUGUCUGCCUCAAUCUGUUGGGCAUGAGUCAUCAGCCUAGAAAGAUUCAUCUUACUAUUCAGCAUAGCAGACCUACACUCCUUAACCAUAUAACUAGACACUCCAGUCAUAAACUUACUCAUACUAGCCUGAUUAUCAGCCACUAAGUCAGAAGCAUACUUGGACAACUGAUUGAACUUUAGACAGUACUUCCUAACAGUCAUAGAGCCCUGUCGCAGGUUCACAAACUCUUCCACCUUCUCCUCCCUUAUCUCUAAAAGAAAAAACUUAUCUAGGAAUGCUUUCUGGAACUCUUGCUAAGUUUAAGGGACAACUCCCUCACCUCUACCUUUCCUCCAAGAAAUAACCCAAUCAUAAGCAAGGUCUUUCAACCUAUACGUAGCCAACUCCACACUAUGUUCCUCAGAUACAUGCAUCACCUGAGUAAUCUUCCGCACCACCUCUAAAAAUAACCGUGGAUCCUCAUUAGACUUGGACCCAUAGAAUUCCAGUGGAUUCAUCCGCAUGAAGUCACGUAUCCUGGUAGUAGCUGAAUCACCUCCCUGCUGCUGUGGAGUUGGGGCCGGGUUGGCCUAAACAUUUGUAGUAAGAGCUUAGGCCUGCGCCUAAAAGGCUACUCGAAAUUAAGCAUGAGACACAUUUUCAUUCAAUGGGUCAGUGGGUUGAGGUUGCCGACCAUCAUUAUUUCUUCUCACUCGAUGUGGAGGUAUAUUUACGAAAGAGGAGAGCAUGAAUCAAUAGCAUAGAGAGACACUUUAAGCAUGAUAGACUUCUGAAAGAAAGAAUCACAGAAUCACACUUUUUCCUAAAAUCUCUUAUAGCCUCUUGCUCAUAGAUGUGGUGCGCUACACAUCGAUUAUCAAGACUCUACUUAACACGGCUUGUUAGACUCCCUAGUACACCUUAAAACCUUAGGAUCUGAUACCAAGUUUGUAAUGCCCUGGAAAACGGGUCCCGAAGUGUCACACAGUGGUUGAGGCUACGAGUAGCCUCAAGCUAACCCUUUGAGCCAUUUUCAUUCAGUUCAACAUAAAUCAACGGGGUUUCCAUAAAUAACCCUCAAAUAUCAACAGAGUAAGCAUCAUCUAAGAAUAAAAGAAUUUCAGAAAUAUAACAAAAUAUGACUUAUUAGUCAACUCCCAACAUCUAUACUAGUCUGACAAGCCUCUAAGAAAAUCAAUAAAACCAGCAAGCCAUUGAGAUAUGCCCCAACUCACUCAUACUUAGUUAUCAAAUGUAAAUAAUUCUGUGAAACCAACAUCAGACAUCACAUCCUUGGAACAUAAGGACUUACUACAAUAGAGAAUGUAGAACAGCAUGCUCGAAGAAUCACUGUCAAACCUGGAACUGAGCACCUGAACCUAUAUUUUGAAAAAAUGCAGCCCACAUCUGAAGAUGUGGGUCAGUACCAUGGAAAGGAACAGAGUAUAUAGGGGUGUAUGCAGUUGUAUAAACAUCAUUAUCAUAAAUAUUUAUAAGAAAUAUGCAGGAUGUAUGAAAGACUCACAUAGCCCGAAGAAAAUCAUCAUAAUCAUGACAGGAUGAAAUAACUAUAAUAACACAUGUGAGAAUCAUAUAAUUUGUCAACUCACUUUCAGUUCAUCAAGAAUAUCAAUUCUCAUAAUGUAAAUAUCAUUUAAAUUUUUUAAAAGAAUAACUUUCACAAUUCCACUUUCAAAUCACUUCACCAUUCACCAUAGACAUAAGGAAACACACACACACUGGGAGAUCCUAUAACCGACAUAAACCAUGUGAGCUACAUAGAGUCCAACGUACAACCCACGUUGGGGAGAGCCGUCCUAUCCUUGCCAUCAGAGUNNNNNNNNNNNNNNNNNNNNNNNNNNNNNNNNNNNNNNNNNNNNNNNNNNNNNNNNNNNNNNNNNNNNNNNNNNNNNNNNNNNNNNNNNNNNNNNNNNNNNNNNNNNNNNNNNNNNNNNNNNNNNNNNNNNNNNNNNNNNNNNNNNNNNNNNNNNNNNNNNNNNNNNNNNNNNNNNNNNNNNNNNNNNNNNNNNNNNNNNNNNNNNNNNNNNNNNNNNNNNNNNNNNNNNNNNNNNNNNNNNNNNNNNNNNNNNNNNNNNNNNNNNNNNNNNNNNNNNNNNNNNNNNNNNNNNNNNNNNNNNNNNNNNNNNNNNNNNNNNNNNNNNNNNNNNNNNNNNNNNNNNNNNNNNNNNNNNNNNNNNNNNNNNNNNNNNNNNNNNNNNNNNNNNNNNNNNNNNNNNNNNNNNNNNNNNNNNNNNNNNNNNNNNNNNNNNNNNNNNNNNNNNNNNNNNNNNNNNNNNNNNNNNNNNNNNNNNNNNNNNNNNNNNNNNNNNNNNNNNNNNNNNNNNNNNNNNNNNNNNNNNNNNNNNNNNNNNNNNNNNNNNNNNNNNNNNNNNNNNNNNNNNNNNNNNNNNNNNNNNNNNNNNNNNNNNNNNNNNNNNNNNNNNNNNNNNNNNNNNNNNNNNNNNNNNNNNNNNNNNNNNNNNNNNNNNNNNNNNNNNNNNNNNNNNNNNNNNNNNNNNNNNNNNNNNNNNNNNNNNNNNNNNNNNNNNNNNNNNNNNNNNNNNNNNNNNNNNNNNNNNNNNNNNNNNNNNNNNNNNNNNNNNNNNNNNNNNNNNNNNNNNNNNNNNNNNNNNNNNNNNNNNNNNNNNNNNNNNNNNNNNNNNNNNNNNNNNNNNNNNNNNNNNNNNNNNNNNNNNNNNNNNNNAUAAAUUUGCAGAAUUAAGGGUGAACUUUGGAGGUUCUUGAAGUUGGAUGUAGGAGCUUAGGGUUUUAUUUUUGAGGGAAUUUGAUGAAAUAUAACAUAUAGUGUUUCUAAUAGGCUUUAAUAUAGGGUUUGGAUGGAUUUUGGGUGAGGGGGAAUGACCCAAAUGCCCCUAAAAAUCAAAUAAUUCCUUAAUUUGUCCUUUGGUGGACUCUUUUGAUAGUUUAAAGUAGAUCAACCAUAACGUUUUACUCUGAUAUCCAAAUUGGAUGAAACCAAUUUCAUUAGCAAGAAGACUCUCAUAUCUUUCCAUUGAUAUAUAGUAUCUCACCCAGAUCAUUGUGUUCGAGGAGUUAUGAUCAUUUGAAGUUGACCCAAAAAUUUGCUUUUAAUAGGCUGAAGUAGAUCGACCAUAACUUUUUGAUCCAAUAGAUUAAUUGGAUGAAACUAAUUUCAUUGGAAAGAGGACUCGUAGAGCUUUCUGUUGAUAUAUAGUAGAUCACCCAGAUCAUUACGUACAAGGAGUUAUGAUCAUUUAAAGUUGGAGCAAAAAUACGCCAGGCCUCAGUACUUUUUCCUGCACGUUUUACUGUUCACUACUAUUCAUGGUUCGAUCGGAAUGUUCAUAACUCAUCGCUCGGGUGUCCAUUUUGGAUGAUCCACAUAUCAUUGGAAAUCUUAUGCGAUACUCUAUGCAAUGGUUUGUUAUAAUCUAAGACAUUCUACAUGGAAAAUUUAUAAUUCAUUCUAGAAGGUAGAACCCAACAUGUUUUCGGGGGUAUAACACAUAGCCAGUAUAUGUAUGAGAUGUCACCCAUUAGAUAGGACUAACAUACUCAGGGGUCACCCAUUAGCAUAUUUAUAUGUAUAGGACUGAUCCCAGGUGUUACCCACUAGAUUAGGACUGACUCCACAGCAGCUGUCUUUAUUGGUGGUGCGGUAUUGACACCCUUCCAAUCAGGGCAAAGAUUAGACCCCACCAGUUUAGUAUCGGGGCAUGUAGGUUAGGUAACUACCUCCCAUAGUUACAAUUUUAGUAUCAGUUUGUAGAGUAGAAAUCAGAAAUUAGGACUAUUAGAUACAGUCAUUAAUCUCAGUAAGGAACUCAGAUAGUUCUAUAGACUAAAGACCACCCAUCAUAUAGGCUUGGUAUCUUAUUAAGUUAUUCAAUAUUAGUAAUUCUAGAGAUAUCCCAUCAGAUAGGCUUGAUCUCAAUCUCAGAUUCAGUUGAGUAUUCUCACUAUUAGUUUCAUAGAUCACUCGUUAUUUAGGAUUGAUCUCAAGCUUAGUCACUCUCAAUCAUUAUUAGAAGAUUUAGACUAUUAGAUACAAUCACUCAGUAUCAAUUACAUUGGUUAGGCUGAUCAUCAUAGUUAUAUUAGUUAAAUCAGUUGUCAUAGCUUACGUUAUCAGUAUUCAGUUUCAGGACUAUUAGACAUGGUAAAUCAGACCAGUUCUUCAUAAUUCAAACUGUCAGAAAGAGUCAUUCAUCUAUUUAGUAUCUCAGUAUCGGUAAAGUCAUGAUGUAAGUUUUCAGACAUAGUAGUCAGUAUCUCCACGAGUUUAGUAGCAGUUACGUAUGUCUGUAUGUAUGUAUGUAUUCUCACAUUCAUAUUAGUUAGCAUGUUCAUGCAUAUAAACCCCAUGCAGUUAGCCUACCCCCACGUAUACUCAGUACUUUAGUUAUACUGAUGCAUUCAUACUAUGGUGCUUUAUUUUAUGUUACACCAUAGGUUCUGAGGAACAGAUUCCAAACCAGAAGUAGGAGUUCCGUUAGCAGUGAUUUCUCAUCUUUUGAGGACAUGAUCAUUACAUUUAUUAUUCCAGUAUUUCAAUUUAUUUUCAUUUUAAGGAGUUAGUUGGAGACAUGUUCCUUCAACUCCUUAUUCAGAUAGUUUAGAGGCUUUUAGACGAUUAUAGAGUUUUUAGAUUUAGACUUUAGUAUUUUCAGUUUUGUUUUGGUACUGUGAAACCACCUUAUUCAGAUAUUUUAUUGUUCAAGAUUGAACCUUGUGAUCUUUUAGUUCAUGUUUCCAUAUUUUUAUAUGUAUAUUAUGUAGUUACAGGUACAGAUAUCAGUCAUGGGUUAGCUUGUGGUCCUCCGGGGUCAUGAGCAUCGUUUAGCAUUCCGGUUAAGAAAAUCGAGGUGUUACAAACUUGGUAUCAGAGCCUAAGGUUCAAUAGAGUCCUAGGAAGUCUGAAAGCCGCAUCUAGUAGAGUCUUGUGCAUAGGUGUGUUACGCGCCACAUUUAUGUACAAGAGGCUAUAAGAUAUUUUAGGAAUAUUCUUCAUUCUUUCAGUAUUCAUGUCGUGCCAGUGAGAAAAAGCUGAAGUUGAACUCUCGGUCUAAUCCUUGUUCCUCUUCUAUUGCAGAACAUGCCUCCUAAGAAGAGAACAGGGAAUCAGUCAGCCUCUUAGCCCACAGAUCCUUUGAAUGAAAAUGUGUCACAUGCAGAAUUUUGGGCAGCUUUUCAAGAGCUAGCCCAAGAUGUGACCACUAGUGUUCAGGGCUACCAAUAGACUGCAGCCCCACCUCAGUAAGAUGGGGAUUUAUCCACAGCCAGAAUCAGAAAUUUUAUGAGAAUGAACCCUCCAAAAUUCUUUGGGUUAGUAGCAGGUGAGGACCCACAGUUGUAUCUAGAAGAGGUGAAUAAGAUCACCCAAAUCAUGCAUGUGUUAUAGUAGGAGAGUGUAGAAUUAGCAUCCUAUAGGCUUAAGGAUAUUGCUCAUGAUUAGGUAGUGUUGUGGAAGAAGAGUAGAGGGGAGGAUGCAACUCCUAUGACUUGGCAGAUAUUUCAGGAUGCCUUCUUAGAUAAGUUUUUCCCGUUAUAAAUGAGAGAAGCUAAGGUAGAAGAUUUUAUGAACCUGAGUCAAGGCUCUAUAACAGUGAAGGAGUAUUGUCUUAAGUUCAACCAGUUAGCUAAGUAUGCUCCUGACUUGAUAGUUGACCCCAGAGCAAGUAUGAGUAAGUUUGUGACUGGUGUAUCCGGGUUAGUAUUGAAAGAGUGUAGAACAGCUAUGCUUAAUAGAGACAUAGAUAUUGCUAGGUUAAUGAUGUAUGCCCAGCAAAUAGAGAUGGAUAAGUUUAAAGAGAGGGAGAGAUCUAAUAAGAGAUUCAGAACAGGUAGUUACAGCUUUUCCCCGGUAGGGUCACAGGGUGGUAAUCAUUCUCACUAUAGUUAAAAAAAUUUAGUCCCAGUCCCCUCCUUAGCUAGUUUUCCCGCACCAAAAUUUAGAGAUGUUAGUCAUGAUGGGGUACCAGACUCCAAAGCCCAGAGUAGUGUUAGAAGUGAGCGUACUUAUCCACUUUGUAGAGAGUGUGGCAAGAAUCAUCUAGGUGAAUGCAGAGCUAAUAGUCAGGUAUGUUUUGGAUGUGGUAAGCCAGGUCACAAAAUGCGGGAGUGUAGAGUGUUAUCUCAAAAAGGUAGAGAUUUGCAUCAGCAGACUGCCAAUCCCAGCACCAAUAGUGGUCAGCAUCAGAAUUGACUCUAUUCACUUCAGACUUGCCAUGAUCCAGAAAGUUUCCCUAAUAUAGAUUCGGGUACGUAUGAAUCUUUUAUCUUCAUGCAGCAUGCAUUAGUUUCAGACUCCCGAAGUUCAGUUAUAAUCUAGUUCAUAGAUUCCCUGUGCAUCACCCAGUAUCUCCAUAAGGUAAGCAUUCUUAGAGGGACAUAGCAUCCCAAGGUGGAGAUACCUUACUUUCUCUUAAUGCUCACAUGCCUUAGAUCCUUCAAUUUCUCUUUGUAUAGUGAAUUUAGUCAAGAAUAGAGGUUACUCAUAAGUUGACCUUCAAGUUAGACCUCAGCUGUAAGUCGUGUAUUCAGAGGUUCAGUUCAGUUUAUGAUGUUUAGUCUAUAUGUUACGUAGCAGAACAUGUUCUCAUGUUUCAGUUCAAUCUUAGUGCCUUUACCAUUGUAUGUUCAGUCGUAUAUUCAUGAGUCAGUUCAGUCAUGUAUUCAUGCAUCAGAUAUACGUGGUCAGCUUAUCAGUACUUUCAGUCAUGCAUUCACGUAUCAUGUCAGUCAUAUAAUCAUGCAUUAGAUAUGCAUAGAUUCAACUUAUUAGUUCAGCAUCAGAUAUGCAUUCUCAUUUUGAGAAACUCAGUUUAUCAGAACACUCAAUCCUACAUUCAUAAAUCAGCUACCCAUGCAUCAGAUAUGCACGUACAGUAUGAUAUGCUCAGUUUUCAGUCAUGUCAGCCAUGAAAUUAUGUUCAGUCAUUCAUGCUCAGUACUCACACUAGUUGUCUUUCUCCUCUACCAGUCAGUCUCAUUCGAGGAUGAAUGUUCCCAAGAGGGAGAUAUUGUAUUAUCCCAUAUUUUGGACUAGAAUGAAAGUCCGUUAUACCCAUACAUAGAUGUUUCAAAAGCCUUAAAUCCUAUGUAAAUUUAGUGUGUUAAUCAAUUAUGUAGUGUAUAAAUAUAUUUGAGCAUGAAUUUAGAUCAUAGACGUUCCCUAACUCAAGUACAAGUUGAAAGCUUUCCUAUCGUUCAAGUUUUAGUGAGCGUCAAAACUUGGGUCAACUUCAUUCGAUCAUAACUUCUUGUAUAUAUUGAAUUAUAGGGACUACUGUAUAUCAAAUGAAAUAUCUUUGAAUUAUCUUUCCAAUGAUACCAAUUUCUUCCGAAUUCGACACCCGAGCAAGAAGUUAUGACUUUGCAAAGUAGAGUACGUUGCCUGACAUAAGGUGUGCGAUGCACAACCUAAGGUGUGCGACGCACACCCUAAUAUGUGCGAUAAAAUGUGCAAUGCACACCCUAAGGUGUGCGAUAAAGUGUGUGCCGCACAUGUGGGUAUCCAAGUGACUUAAAUAGUCCAUUUUGGGGGUAAAAUAGUCCUUUUCCACCCCUAUAUAAUGCCUCAACACAAUAUUAAGCCCUUAUUUCACCAAAACAUUUUCUUUCUCUCAAAAUCCCUCAAGAACACAAGCUAGGGUUUUCAUAUAAGAUUCAAGUUCAAGGAAAUUCCUCCGUCAAUCAUCAAGAAUCUUCCUUCUAAGGUAUGUGUAGUAUUCAUCCACAGAUCCCUUUCAUCCGUGGAGCUCAAGAACCAUGUUUUAAAUAAUAAAUUAUGAUAUUUAUGUUGUUGUGUGAUUAUGUUCAUGUUAAUGGUUGUUAAUUGUGUUUCAAGAUGGUAUCUAAAUGUGUUUUCAAGAAGUGUAUGGGCAUGUUAGUUGGAAACCUAUGAAUUUGGGUGGUUCAAGAUUUCUAAAUUUGUUAAGUACACCUAUGCUCAAUAUUAUACAUGUAAGGUGUUUGAUAAAAUGACUAGAAUGAUAAAAAUCAUGUAUUAUAACUUAGGGGUGAACUAUAUGAUAAUUUCGUGCUAGUCUAUUAUGUUCAAAGAGCUCACUUGUCAUUGUUGUGCAAUAUAUGUGUUAAUAAAAUGUACAUGAUGAUUAGAGAAUGGAUUUAUAGUGUGUCUAUAUGUCUUCCAUGCUAUGAACAAGAUCAUGAUUUUGAAGUAUCACAGGAGUUAUCCCCAAAUUAUUACAAUAUGAACUAAAUGUUACAGGUUUGCCAUUCCCUUAUGGUUAAAUAUUUUUCAUGCCAUUGUUAUAAAUAGUAUAUGUUGUUAGAAUACCCAUGAUAUUAGAAUAUGAUAUUUAUGACUUGAUUAUAAGCAUUCCUAUUCAUGUUAGAUAUUAUGAUGACCAUUUAGUUCAUGAAAUCCCUCACCCAUGUAUUAUGGAUUGUUAUUGAUGGUCAUGUACUCAAGAAAGUUAAGUUGUGUCAGUUUCCUUCCAUCGAGUCCUGGGGUACUUGUACCCGAAAAAUGUAGCUGGGUACCUAGAGCCAUGUCAUGUUAUCACGAUACUCUCAGUUAAGAAAUUAUCUAUAGAAUUCAGUUACUCAUGUGACUCAGAAAUCUCAGCAGUCUCAGUAGUUCAAUAAUCUUAGUUAUGCUCAAUUAAUCUCAGUAAUCUUAGUACCCAGUAACUUAAUUAAUCUCUAUAAGUCAGCACUCUCAGAAAUCUCAUGAACUCAGUAGUAUUCAAUCAGUCACGGAACUCAGUAAGUUCAGUUGAUCAGUUCAGUUCAGUGUCUUUCAGAUGGGAGUAGGAUUCAGCACCGAGCGAGCCUAGGGAUGGGGACUCACCCGCUAGUGAGGACUGAGAUCCUUAGAAGCAAUCCCUAAGUUCCAGAACUACGUAGCCAGUGUAGGUACGAUAUGUCACCCGUUAGAUAGGACUGACAUACUCAGGGGUCACCCGUUAGCACAUUUAUAUGUAUAGGACUGAUCCCAGAGUCACCCACUAGAUUAGGACUGACUGUGGGCAGCUUUCUUUACCGGUGGCAUGGUAUUGACACCCUUCCAAUUAGGGAAAAUAUUGGACCCCACCAGUUCAUUAUCUGGGCAUGUCAGUUAGGUGACUACCUCCCACAAUUAUAGUUUCAGUAUUAGUCUUCAGAGUAGAAAUUAGAAAUUAGGAUUGUCAGAUACAGUCAUUAAUCUCAGUAAGGAACUCAGAUAGUUCCACAGACUUAAAGACCACCCGUCAUAUAGGCUUGGUCUCUUAUUAAGUUAUUCAGUAGCAGUACUUCUAGAGAUCUCUCAUCAGAUAGGCUUGAUCUCAAUCUCAGAUUCAGUUGAGUAUUCUCACUAUUAGUUCCAGAGAUCACCAAUUAUUUAGGCUUGAUCUCAAGCUUAGUCAUUCUUAAUCAUUAUUAGAACAUUUAGACUGUUAGAUACAGUUACUCAGUAUCAGUUACAUCGAUUAGGCCGAUCAUCACAAUUAUAGUAGUUAAAUCAGUUGUCAUAGCUUACAUUAUCAAUAUUCAGUUUCAAGAAUGUUAGACACGGUCAAUCAGACCAGUUCUUCAUAAUUUGAACUGUCAAAAACAGUCAUUUAUCUAUUCAGUAUGUCAACAUCAGUAAAGUCAUGAUGUCAGUUUUCAGACUUAGUAGUCAGUAUCUCCACGAGUUCAGUAGAAGUUACGUAUGUAUGUAUGUAUUCUCAUGUUCAUAUUAAUUAGUAUGUUCAUGCAUAUAAACCCUAUCCACUUAGCCUAUCCCCAUGUAUACUUAGUACUUUAGUUGUACUGAUGCAUUCGCACUAUGGUGCUUUAUUUUAUGUUACACCAUAGGUUUUGAGGUGUAGAUUCCAGACCAGUAGUAGCAGUUCCGUUAGCAGUAAGUCCUCAUCUUUAGAGGACAUGAUCAUUAUAUUUAUUAUUCUAGUAUUUCUGUUUAUUUUCAAUUUAAGGAGUUAGUUAUAGACAUUUUCCUUCAACUCCUUAGUCAGAUAGUUUAGAGGCUUUUAGAUGAUUACAGAGUUUUUAGAUUCAGACUUUAGUAUUUUUCGUUUUGUUUUGGUACUGUGAAACCACCUUAUUCUGAUGUUUUAUUGUUCAAGAUUGGACCAUAUGGCCUUUUAGUUCAUGUUUCCGCAUUUUUAUAUGUAUAUUAUGUAGUUACAGGUACAUAUAUCAGUCAUGGGUUAGCUUGUGAUCCUCUGAGGUCAUGAGCACCGUGUAGUAUUUCGGCUCAGAAAAUCAGAGCGUUAAAAAAAUAGUGAAUCGAUGUGAUCUCAAUGUGUCGCAUCGUCUAUAGCAUCGACAUUUUUAGUGAGUCAAUAUGAUCUCAACGCAUCAUGUUGGCCAUCACGUCAACCCUCUUAAUACAAUGUGUUGGUCUGCGGGUCGCUGGGCAUAUUUUCUAUAAUUAAAAUCCACAUCUAGAGGGGUAAUUAAGUCAAUUUCCUCACCUUUAUUCAAACCUAAAACACAAAAUUAUGCUAUCCUAAGGGCAAAAUAACUCAUUCUCUCUUAAUUUAUCUCAAUAAAAAAACCUUAGGUCAUUCAACUUCAAGUCCAAGCAUAAAAAACACACCAAUGAUUUUUAUGAAUUUAAUUACCAAGGUAUGUUAGGUGUUCAACCUUGGGUUUCCUUCCACCCUUGGAGUUCAAGAAGCCUUUUUAAACUACAAGUUUAUUGAUUUCAUGAUUUACAUGUUUGAGUUGGAUUAUGUUUAUGCGUGUAUUGUUAUGUGAUCUUCAAUCCAUGAUUUAUUUCAAAUUCAUGAAAUUAAGAUAGCAUAUGUGAUGAAUUAUGUGAUUCUCAUGAAUAAUCCUUGAAUUUACAAGUUGAAUGUUGUAGCCAUGAUAUUUAUAUAGGGUUCUUAUUAUGUGAAAUAAUCAUGCUCCCCAAGUGUUUGUUAGGAUGCCUAUGUAAAUUGAAUAGUGUAAUCAUGACAUGUUAGCAUGUGUUCCCAUUCAUGUACAAGUUCAUGCCUUUUAAGUGUUUGAAAAAAUGUCUCAAUAAAUAAAUCGUGACUAAGUGACUAGCUAGUAUACUUUCAAGGUUGUGCCAUGUUUUACUAUUGGUGCUAUCAAUUCCUGGGGGUAUUUAAUACCCAAAAAUCUAGCCAUUUACCUAAAAUUACAGUAGCUAUGGAAUAGUCUCAGUAAUGUCACGAAUAGUAGUAUUUAAUAAGUUACAGAACUCAGUGAACUCAGUCCAGUUCAGUCAGAUAACAUAAUCAGCAAUAGUUUAGUCAAGCCUAGUACAGUCUAGUAAUUAGUUCAGUAUCAAUUUAGUUGGGAGUAGGAUUCAGCAUCUUUCGAACCUAAGGAUGGUGGAUCACUUGCCAGUUGAGGGUGUAACCUUUAGUAGUAGUCCCUUAGUUCCAGAACUACGUAGCCAGCAUAGGUUGAAUAUAUCAACCUUCCAGUUGAGGGUUAAUAAAGUGUUCACCUACCAGUUAAGGGUAAUACAUAUCUCACUUUCCAGAUAAGGGUGAUGCUUUAGUAGAUCCACAUAGCCAUUGUUAUUACCCGUAGAGCGUUACUACCACCCUUCAAACUAGGGUCACAGGUUAUACCCCAACUUAGUUUAAAAUUGGGGUAUGUCAGUUAGAUGGACACUCUCAUAUUUACAGUUUUAGUUUCAGACACAAUGUAGAACUCAGUUCAGUUCUACAGAAUCAGGACUGUCAGAAAUAGUCACCCAGUUAUCAAUAAUACAGUUAUUUGUAAUCUCAUAUAUCAAUCUCUCAAUUAUUAGAACUUAGUAUUCUAUUUCAGUAUAAUCUUGACUAUAGUAUAUAUAUAUAUGUAUAUGCACAAUAUUGUAUAAUAAGUAUUUAAAUUAGUUUUACUUAUCCAUGUACUCACAUUUAGUUAUAUUCAUAUCAUUCAGUAAGUAAUUGUUCAUGCAUAUGAAACCCAUGUAUAUCAGCCUACCUCAUCUAGAAUACCAGUACAUUCUACGUACUACCUCAUACUCUUUCUUUGCACUAUAAUGUCUCAUAUCAUAGGUUCAUAUACACGAGCUUUUGACCAUACUUAGCAGCUCAGGUUAUAAAUAGUAGUUAUAGUUGUGAGUCCUUAUAUUUUGAGGACAAAGUUAUUGUUUUAGCAUUUUUAGUUAGUUCAGUAGUUGGAGUUAGUUGGGGACUUGUCCCAUCAACUCCAUAUUCAAACAGUUAGAGGCUUUCAAACUAGACUAAUUCAGAUAGAUGUUUAGUUUUUUAUUAUUACUAUCAGUAUUAAGUAUUUAUUCAAGUAUUUUGAGAACCUUGUGUCAAUUCAAUUAUAUUUUGGCAUAUGAUAUCAAUAUUAUUAUUCAGUGCUCAUAGCAAGUACCAGUCAUGGGUUAGCUUAUGGUCCUUUGGGACUGUAAGCACCAUGUGACGUCCAGGGUGCAGACUUGAGGUAUUACAAAUAUGGUAUCAGAGACUAAGUUUCAAUAUAGUCCUAGGGAGUCUAAAAGCCACAUCAAGUAGAGUCUUGUUCAUGGGAGUUUAGCACGCCACACUUAGGGACAAAAGUCUAUGAGAUAUUUUAAAGAAAAGUUUCCCUUCUUUUAGUACUCAUAUCAUAUGAGUGAGUAUGAGAUAAAGUUAAAAUCUCUGUCUAAUCUAUGUUUCCCUUCCAUUUAUAGAAUAUGCCUCCCAAAAAGACUAAUGAAAGAAGAACUGGAAACCAGCCAACACCUCCACCCAUUCAGGCAGAUCCCCUGGAUGAGCAUGUCUCUUAUGCAGAAUUUAGAGUAGCUUUCACCACUUUAUCCCAUUCUAUAGCAGCCCAAAAUAAAUACCCAACUUCUGUUUAGGUCAACCUAGUGGCUAAUACUAUUGUAGCUCAAAUUUGGGGCUUCACUCGAAUGAACACUCCUUUAUUUUUUAGGGUCUAAGUCCUAAGAAAACCCAUAGGAAUUCCUUGACAUGGUGCAGAAGGUCAUAAAUAUUAUGGGGGUAACUGCUAGUGAGAGUGCUGAUUAGCUGCAUAUCAGUUAUAGGAUAUGGCUCAUGCAUGAUUUAAGUAGUAAAAGGUAGAUAGGGCCGUAGAUGCAAGGCCUAUAGAGUGGGAAAAAUUUGUUAUUGCCUUUUUAGAUAGGUUCUUUCCAUUGGAGUUGAGGGAAGCUAAGGUAUUAGAAUUCAUUAACUUGAAGCAGGGAAGUAUGAUAGUGAAGGAGUAUUCUCUUACGUUUACUCAGUUAACCAGAUAUGUUCCUCAUAUAGUAGCUGAUAGCAGGUAUAAGAUGAGCAAGUUUAUAUUUGGGGUAUUUGAUAGUAUGGUCAAGGAGUGUAGGACCGCGAUGGUAAUUAAGGAGAUUGACUUGGCUAGGUUGAUGGUCCAUGCUUAGCAGAUAGAGGAGAAGAAGACUGAGGAGAAAAAGUGGGAGAACAAGAGGGCUAGAAUAUUCAACUUCACUCAGCCUAAGUCAUAGGGUGUGAAUCGUCCUUAAUUUAGCCUGAAAUCUUUAGUUCUAGCCCCACCUCAGCCAGUGCUCUAGUGCCUGAGUUCAGAAAUGGUAAUAAGGAUAGGGCACCAAGCUCUAAGUCUUAGGAUAGUGUUAGCAGGUCUCGAAAAAAUCUUUUUUGCCAGAAGUGUGGUAGAAACCAUCAGUGUGUCUACAAAGCUAGCAGCAAUGUGUGUUUUAGGUGCGGUAAUCUAGGUCAUAGAAUUAGAGAUUGUCCUCAGUUAGGUUCACAGGGUCAGUAUAAUCAUCCCUCAACUCAUCCGAUCACCUAAAUCAGCUGGGUUCCGCUUCCAAUACAACUAGUGGGCAAUGCCCAAAUAGGCUCUAUGUACUUCAUUCCUGACAAGAUUAGGAAAGUUCUCCUGAUGUGGUCACUGGUACAUUAAAAGUUUAUCAUUUACAUAUUUAUGAUUUGCUAGAUCCAGGAGCUGCUUUGUCCUUUGUAACUCUUUAUAUAGUUUUUGACUUUGGAGUCAGUCCCAAAAUCCUAGUAGAGUCAUUCUCAGUCUCUACCCCAAUGGUUAAGUCUAUUAAAGCCCGGCGGGUAUAUAAGAAUUAUCUGGUUUUGGUAUCUCAAAAAAUUACCUUAACAGAGUUAGUAGAGUUAGAGAUGAUAGAUUUUAACAUCAUUCUCUGCAUGGAUUGGCUUCAUUCAUGUUAUGCUUCAGUUAACUAUAGAACUAGAGUUGUCUAUUUUUAGUUCCCUAAUGAACCUAUCCUAGAAUGGAGGGGUAGUACUUCAACACUUAGGGGCCAUCUUGUUUACUACCUUAGAGCAAGAAAGAUGAUAUCUUAGAGGUGUGUCUAUCAUCUCAUUCGAGUUAAAGACUCUAAUUCUAAGACCCCUAACCUUGAGUCAGUUUUAGUAGCAUGUGAAUUUCCAGAUAUAUUUCCCAAAGAUCUUCCCAGGGUUCCUUCUUAGAGGGAAAUUAACUUUGGAAUAGACCUUAUUCUAGAUACUCAGCCUAUCUCUAUUCCUCCAUACAGAAUGGCUCCAGAAAAACUCAAAGAACUAAAAUAACAAUUGAAAGAUCUCAUGGAUAAGGGAUUCAUCAGACCUAGUGUCUCCCCAUGGGAUGCACCAUUUUUAUUCGUGCUUAAGAAAGAUGGUUCUCUUAGAAUGUGUAUUAAUUACCAUUAGAUGAACAAAGUCACAGUAAAGAACAAGUAUCCACUUCCUAGAAUCAAUGACUUAUUUGACCAACUUUAGGGUGCCAGUUACUUUCUAAGACAAACCUCUGAUCAGGCUAUCAUCAGCUCAGAUUCAAAGAAUGUGACAUUCUAAAAACAGCUUUCAUAACUCAGUAUGGUCACUUUGAAUUUUUAGUCAUGCUAGAAGCUUUCAUGGACUUGAUGAAUAGAGUGUUCAAGCAGUACCUGGACAUGUUCAUCAUAGUAUUCAUAGAUGACAUUCUUGUCUACUCCCGCAGCGAACAUGAUCAUGCAGACCAUCUCAGAACAAUAUUACAGACCCUCAGAGCUCAUCAGUUGUUCGCCAAAAUCAAUAAAUGAAAAUUUUUGAUAAGGUCAGUAGCUUUCCUUGGUCAUAUAGUUUCUGAUGAUGGUAUUAGAGUUGAUCCUCAAAAAAAUAAAGCAGUGAGAAACUGGCCUAGACCUAUCUCUUCAUCAAAUAUUAGGAGUUUCUUGGGUUUGGAUGGCUAUUACCGAUGGUUUGUUGAAGGAUUUUCAUCUAUUGCAUCCCCUAUGUCCAAAUUGACUAAGAAGAAAGUCAAGUUCCAGUGGUCAAAUUCUUAUAAGAAGAGUUUUCAGGAGUUGAAAACUCGACUCACUAUAGCCCCAGUUUUGAAUUUACCAGAUGGUUCAGACUGGUUUGUUGUGUAUUAUGAUGCUUCUAGAAUUGGUUUGGGGUGUGUUUUGAUGUAGAGAGGUAAGGUUGUAGCCUAUGCCUCUAGACAGCUUAAGCCCCAUGAAAAGAAUUACCUCGCCCAUGAUCUUGAGUUAGUAGUUGUAGUGUUUACCUUAAAUAUUUAGAGGCACUAUUUGUAUGGGGUGCAUGUUGAUGUGCUCAUGGACCAUAAAAGUUUGCAGUAUUUAUUCUCUCAGAAUGAAUUUAACUUGCAUCAGAGAAGGUGGUUAGAGUUGUUGAAAGACUAUGACAUCAGUGUCCUGUAUCAUCUGGGCAAGGACAAUGUAGUGGCUGAUGCUCUCAGUAGAUUGUUCAUGGGUAGUGUUACUCAUGUUGAGAAUGGUAUGAAAAAGUUAGUUUAGGAAGUUCAUCAGCUUUGCAGACUAGGUGUCUGGUUAGUUGGUUGAUUUAGCUGAGGGUAGUGUUUGGGCACAGAAUAGUUUAGAAUCUUCUUUGGUUUUUGAGGUGAAAGAAAAGUAGGACAAAGAUCCCAGUUUAGCUAAGCUAAAAAAUCUAGUCAAAGAUUAGAAGGUAUAGGGUGGAGAUAGUGUGUUGCAUUGCUAGGGUAGAUUAUGUGUGCCAUGUGUGGAUGGUGUGAGGCAGUGGAUUCUAGCAAAAGCACAUGGUGGGAGUUACCUGAUUCACCCAGGGGACACUAAGAUAUACCACAAUUUAUGGGAGAUCUAUUAGUGGAGUAGGAUGAAAAGAGACAUUAUAGAGUUGUAGCUAAGUGCUCUAUGUGUUAGCAGGUUAAGAUUGAGCAUCAGAAGCCUAGUGGGUCUAUGCAGGAUUUAGUAUUCCUACUUGGAAGUGGGAGAAAGUGAACAUGGAUUUUGUGAUGGGUUUGCCUCAUACUCGUCACCCCAUUUCUUGCCAGUUAAUAAUUUUUAUUCAGCUAAGGAUUAUGCCAAGCUCUAUAUUAGAUAGUUGGUCAGAUUUUACGGUGUCCCAUUGUCUAUCAUUUCAUAUAGAGGUAUGCAGUUCACCUCUUAUUUUUGAAAUCCUUCCAAAAGGGUCUUGGUACCCAAGUUCACCUCAGUACAGCCUUCCACCCUCAGAUAGAUAGUCAAGUAGAAAGGACCAUUCAGACUCUAGAAGAUAUGUUAAGAUCAUGUUUCAAUGACUUUAAGGGUAGUUGGGAUGACCACUUUUCUUUUUAUUGAGUUUGCAUAUAAUAACAGCUAUCAUUCUAGUAUUCAGAGUGCUCCAUUUAAGGUACUUUAUGGGAGGAGAUGUAGGUCUCCCAUUAGUUGGUUCUAAGUAGGUAAGGCCAUAUUAGUAGGGCCUAACUUGGUAUUUGAUGCAUUAAAAAAGGUUCAGUUGAUCAGGGAGAGGCUUAAUAAAACUUAGAGGUGACAGAAAUCAUAUUUAGUUGUAAGGAGAAAGAAUCUUGAUUUAAGAUUAUCAAUUUUAUGUAUUUGAAAAUAUCCCCCAUGAAGGGAGUAAAGAGAUUUUGAAAGAAGGGGAAAAUCAGUCCCCGAUAUGUCGGUCCUUACAGAAUUCUCAGUUAUUUCAAAAAGGUAGCUUACGAGCUUGAGUUUCCUUCAGACUUAGCUUCAUUACACCCAGUGUUUCACGUCUCCUUGCAAAAGAAGUGCAUAGGUGAACCAGUAUUUUAGUCCCUAUAGAGGACACCUGAAUAGCCUAAAUCUUGAAUUUUUGACAGACUCUUUCUCAGCUCAAAGGAAUAGGUUAAUUUUUCUAAUGUGUUCCUCUACUAAUGUUAAUGCAUAUCAUGCCUAAUUAAAGAUAUGUGAGGAUCUAGUUUUUGAUAAUGUUAUCUUCCCACUUCAGCAAAUAAAUAUCACUUGCACAUUUUAUCAAUCAUCAAAUCUUUAUCAUAACUUCAUGAUAUAUACUUUGAAUAUAGAUCCAUAGAUCAUUUCACUUCAAUAAAAACUAUUUCCACUUUGAAUUCAAAAUCAGAAGAAUUUAAUCUGGUCUAAUUUAUGAGUAAUUUUCAUCUAGCUCUAGAUCUAACCAGUCAAAUUAGUUGUUAUGAUGAAAAAAUUCAAACCCUAAAAUAAUUUAUAUGGAUAAGGAUACAGAUAUAGAGAUAAAGAAAGACAAAAAUCAAAAGAAAUUACCUUCACGGGUGAUGGUAAAAAUCUAACGGUUACUGAUGGAUUGAAAAUUGACUGAUUGCUUUUAGAUUUAGGCUUAACUAUUAUUAUAGUGAUCUGAUUUAGGCAUCAUUUUUGUAUUCUUUUGGAUAAAUCUUAGUGUACUUUUUAGGUGGGAGACAAUAGAGGGAAUUGGAGGAAAGACAAACGUAAAUAUAAAAAUACUUUAUACGGAACUUUGUUGAAUAGUUAUUGAAAAUAUAUAUAAAUUAGUGUCAAUUAAGUUGUUGUCACUAAAUAAUUACUGCUAAAUUCCUUUUGAGUUAUUGCAGUGAUAUAUAUUUCAUCAUAUAUUCAACUAUAGAUCUUUUGCUUCUUGAGUCCUUUUGUGUUAUUGCAAUGAAAUAGAUUUCAUCAUAUUUGAAACUAUGAAUCUUUUGCUUCUUGAUUUCAUUUAUCUCUUUUCAUAAUUCUCACAAAUGUAUUUCACCUUUGUCAAUGUAAAGAUAACUUGUGCAACUGUGAACUUGUCAUUCUCUUAUGUUUUAGCUUUUUUUCUUUCUUUCUCGUAAUUUCUUCAUCCCACAAGAUUCAUUAGAAAAUCAACAUGAAUAUGAUAUCAUUAUUCAUGUUAUAUUUUAAAGUAUUAUUUUAUUCAUAUGAAAUUACAUGAAUUAUUUCUAGCCAUCAAUAUGGAUUCUUGUUACGAUCUGAACCAGGGCCUAGUUGUGAUGAGUAUCUCAGGCUCGCCGUGGGUCAGAGACCAGCCUCUUAGCCUUACCUCAAGAGCACAUAAAUAUAAAUAGCGGAAGACAACCAACAAUAAUAAUACGAAGGAUAGAUAAACCAAAUGUAAGUUCUAAGAAUCCAAAACAAACAAACAACCCACACUUGUCCACGAAAAUCCUCUAAAAUUAGAAUACCACAUAAAGUUGGGACAUGCCCCCAACUAUAUACAAAGAAAUACAAAAUAAGACUAAAACAUAAUGAAAGAAAGACAAUGAAAUGAUCCGCCUUCUAUAGGACGGAGGCUCACCACUUCAAAGUUCAUCAACGAAUGAAUCAAUCCACCUAAUGCUACACAAGAGCAACAGAAAGUCCUUCAAAGACUACAUCGUGAAAUGAUUUACCAUCCAAGGAUGUUAAGUGGGAUAAGCACUGGUAUGUAACACGGGAAAUGGGAUAAAAUAAUGUCAUUAUCCAAAAUUCAGUAAUAAAUCAAUGCACAACAAUGAUACAUAUAUAUAAGAUGUUAGGAUAGGGACAAGGGCCAAUUUAAAUGGUAGUUUAAAAUAUUAACCUAAAAUGUCUAGCUUGCUCCAUCCUAAAGGCACUAAUGGAAUAUAUGGGUUUGGCUACUCCUGCCAAAAGGACCCCAGUGUGUGUAGCUGUAAAAAACAGAGGAAAUCUGAGGAAGGGAUAAAGACACCAAGGAAUUAAUCAUUUCAAAAUAUAUAUAAUGUGUGUACCAUGCACAUGGUCAUAUAGACACCCACAAUGGCAAACGUGCUUUCUAGUGUUGGUCCUUUCGGGACCUCCACCUUCACUGUGAGAUACACAAUUCUCUUUACGCCCAAAUUAAAAUAAUUUACACAUAAUCCAUCAAUUAAACCAAUGAGUCUUUAUUAAGGAAUUUACCAAUAUGGUAUCGUCAUACCAGUUAUGCUUCCAAGCUAAUCCCGUUAUACCACAAUAAAUCCAUUCAACCAAUAGACUCCCAAGUUCCAUUUUAAUUCAAGCUAUGGCCACCAAGGCCUUUCAAAAUAAUUUUUAUCCAUUUAAACUUUAAUGCAAGGAAAUAGUUUAAAAGGGCCAGUAAAAUCAUGCAAUUAUCCAUGUUCAAAAAUUAAUUACAAAGUGGAGUGAGAUUAAAUGCCAUUACCAAGCCAAAAUUCUAUCAAUUUGUGGGAACCCGUGUCCCCCUUUUCCAAACCAUACCAAAAUUCCCUAUCGAUCCUCACAAAAUUAAUUAAUUAAAGCAUGAAUAAUUCAUUUAAACCAUGGGAAAGCAAUUCAAGUAAUUACUAUCAAAAUUCUUCAAGUCAAUUUCAAAUCCAACAAAGAAUUCAUAUGGAUAUUAAAUUAAUUUAUACCAUGAUAAAAAAAAAAUACAAGUUAGGGAUGAGAGACAUUCCUGGAGUACCAAGGAAUUGAAAGGAAAUCCAGAGUUUGGAGCCUAGGUGUGGAAUUCCUUGUGAAACCCUAGUGUUCUUGCUCUGGGAGUUGAAAAAGAAAAAUAAUGUGUUUUGAUUUUUAUAAUUAAUAUUAAAGGGGUCAUUAAAGUGUUUUUAUGUCAUGGUAAAGUGUAAGGAAAGGAAAAUAUCAAAUUGGAUUCAAUUAAAAAGUGUAGGAAAACAUUGCGUCCCAUCAUCACGACUCAGGUAACGACUCGUGAUGACUGACCACGAGUCAUCACCUAGACUUAUUACCUAAGGACUAAAAAUCUAGUCCUUCACUGAUAUGAUCAUGAGUCUCUUGUAAUGACUCAUUACCUGACAUGACAAGUCAUCAUGAAGAGUCAUGAUCAGGGUAGACUCCUGGGCAACCUCACUGUUUUGACAAUGAGUCACUCCUAACGACUCGUUAUGCCUCGUGAUGAGUCGUACCUUGGACUCGUUGUCACAAGAUCAAACCUUGACAAAUUCACUGGUGAGAUAACAAAGCCUACCCUAUGACUCAUGAUGAGUGAUAAAGACUCAUCACCUAAGUUGUUGUCAGGGCAGUACUGACAAUACUUCUAAAAAUCUCAGUCUAGAACCCAGAGGUAUUACAAUUCUCUAGUCUCUGUGUUAAGCCACAUGAUUCCAUGUUGGAUAGAUAAAAUUGUUAGGUUUCCAAUCAAAGUAGAUAUGAAGAUAAAAUUAUUAGUUUUUCCAUCAAAGUGGAUAUGCACGCAUAAAGUCCCAGUUAAUUCGAAGACUUAAUCAGUGAAGGAAUAAAUAGCUCAUUUGAGCAUUUUGAAUUUGUUUAACUAUGCUCAACGUGAUGAACAUUGAGAAGUUCAUUUUACAUGCAAAUUCUUAAUAAUUAUUAUCAAUCAUAGCCAUAGGUAUUGUUGUGCUUAAUAGAUAAAUUCUCAAUAAAAGCAUCUAAUAUUAAGAUAUGGAUAUAGAUUUGAGUAUAUCUGAAUUGAACAAACAAGUAUAAGAAAUUAAGUGGGGAUGAUGAUUUAUGGCUAAAAGUAUGCUAAUUACCUUAAAUUUUAUCGUGUUAUCAUUGAAUAUGACAUUUACUAUGAUAUUUUAGGCUUAAUUGAAUGUCACUACCCAAAAGCUAAGGGUUAUGGUGGCACUUGUUGCGGCAAGCCUUGACAAGUAAGUCAAUCACCCAAAUUGAUAUAAAAUGAGAAAACAAUACCAAACCCCAAGGUGGGACUUCUAGAAUAAAGUCUAACCAUACAAAUAUGAUAAUAAUGGACAAGAACAUAUCAGUAAUACCAUAAAUACCCCAAAAUCUGAUGUCACAGUGUAAAAUAACUAAAUACAACUUGAGUGAAAAUAUACAUCUGAUUCCAAAAAAGAACAAAAUCUAUCUCUGAAUAUAAAAUAAGAUAUAGUCUAGAUAAGAAAGAUAAAAGGUCAACUUUGAAUACAUGGAUCGAACUCUACCUUGAAUAUAAGUCCAAGCAUCACUUAAAUCAUCUACCGAGCAACAUACUCAUACCUAGAUAUGCACUAAAAGGGCACAGUAGGGAUGAGUAUGGUCCACUUAUACUUAAUAUGUAUCAUAGACUGACUGAUCAAAGUAGAAAAUAAAGAAUAUAAACACAAACUAUGGGCAUGUCACCUGUAAUCAAAAAAUAUCCCAAACGGUAGCCCAUACCGUCUUCAUAAAAAGUUCUAAAAUAUACACAUAUACUGCACAAGUAUGGUAAAAAGCAUAAAUAUACAAUAUACCAAUACAAGUAUGAUAAAGGAGUACAAAUAGAUAGAUAUCACAUCAAGGACAAUAAUACAACACAAACAGAACACAAUAUAUGAAAUGGCGUGAAGAUGAUGAUGAUAAUGAAGUGAUGUGAUAUGAUGCAUGAGGUUGUCGCUCAACCUCUGUAUAUACUUAUCGAGUUAUGAUCCCGAGGUAGGACCCAUGGUGAUUCAUCAACCCAUAUACAAUCCAAUAUUCAAUACUAAUAUCCGUAACUCCUCUCUAGCACAUCCAUCGGUAGAGGGUUUUUAAAGAUGUUAUAUUUUUUGUUAGAAAUAGGCAGCAUUUCUACAAUGGUACCAAUAUUUCAUAAAUGUAUAUGAUAUGAGGAUGAUAAAAAAUUGGGAUGGUAGAAUGUCUCUCUCUCUCUCUUCCACUAACAUUUCUCUUUCUCUCUUUCACUAAUGCUCUAGUAACGCUCCUCUUCUUUGAAUGGUCGACCGGCGCCGGCGCCGGCAACAUGUAAGAGUACCCUUUUUUCCUCUCCCUCGAGCCCUCUCUCUCUCCCCAGCUCUUCUGAUAUACUUCUCUCUUUUUUUCCCUCUUUUCCUCUCCUUUUUUGCCAUCUAACCACUAUAAUUAUUGGCGGGAUGGGGGUUUACACCGGCUUGACUCCAGUGACGGCCACCAGAGCGUAUAUCUGGGAACGCACGGUAGAAGAUCCAAAAGAUCUAGCGACAAGUAUAGUGACAACCAGCGAUGCUCCGGCCGCCUUUCUUCAGUGAAGCUAUUUUUAGCAACCAACUCCAAAAGCAUAAUUGACGGUAAUAUCAGCAUGCAGCAAUACCCCAGUGACACCUAAAAUUUGAUAUUUAAAUACCGUUACCUAUAUUUAUACUUUAUUAGUUAUUAUCUCUACCAUUUUGCUUGUUUUGUCUUAUCUCUUAUGAGUAUAGUAUAACUAUAUGCUUUUGAUUAUUGGUGGAUAUUUGUUGUGUGGUUCCAGCUACUGAGUCGUCUAGGGUAUUUUGUACGCUCCUUUUGUUUCUCUAAUACUUUUCUAUUUUCCUACUUUCGUAUUGUUGCUUUGUUGGGUUGUCUAUUGGUUAGGGGGAUUUUUUUGGGCUUUAGUUUGGUUCUUAAGUUAUGUUUGUAGUGAUUGAUGGUGUAAUAGGGUCAUGUCUAAGGGGGUUGGGGUUGAGGGCAGUUUUAGGUGGGGGUGAAGAGGAGAGGGCAAGGGUGGGUGUGGGUGCUAGGCCGAGUGUUAGGGAUAGUGUGGUAAGGGGUGGUAAAGGUUGGUGCAAUGUGAGAGAAGAUAGGUUGAGGGUUGGGUAUUAAAAUAUAGGGACCCUUCAGGGUAAUUCCAUAGAGCUGGUGAAAAUUCUUAAGAGGAGAAAGAUUAACAUUGUGUGUGUUCAAGAGACUAAGUGGGUAGGGUCUAAGGCUAGGGAUGUGGAUGGGUAUAAGUUGUGGUACUCAGGGAGUGACAGGCAUCAAAAUAGAGUAGGGAUCUUAGUAGAUGAGGAGCUUAGAGAGCAGGUGGUAGAGGUUAAGAGGGUCAGUGAUAGGCUGAUGAUGAUUAAGUUGGUCUUUGGGGGGUUUACGUUGCAUGUAUGUAGUAUUUAUGCCCCGCAGGCGGGCUUGGAAGAGGAGGUAAAAGCGAGUUUUUGUGAGGCUUUGGAUGAGGUGAUGAGAAGCGUGACUAGUUCGAAGAAGAUUAUCAUAGCGGGGAAUUUCAAUGGGCAUAUUUGGAUUUUGCCGAGAGGGUAUGACGAUGUGUAUGGAGGUUUUGCUUUCAGUGAUAGAAAUGAUGAAGGAUCGGCUCUGUUGGACUUUACGAAGGCUUUUGGGAUGGUGGUGGUGAAUUUGACCUUUCUAAAAAAGGAGGAUCACCUGAUUACCUUCUGAAGCAUGAUAGCCAAGACUCAAAUUAACCUUUUGCUGCUUAGAAAGGGGGAUAGGGUUUUAUGUAAGGAUUGUAAAGUCAUCCUGAGUGAGUAUCUUUCGACUCAAUACAGCCUUCUAGUGAUGGACUUAAUUAUUACGAAGAGCAAAAAGAGAAAGGUUGGAAAGGGUCAGUCUAGAAUUAGGUGGGGUGGCUUGAUGCCAGUUAGUAGUCGGGAGUUAGAGGAGAAAGUGGUAGAAUUUGGUGUGCGGGAUUAUAGAGGGGACGUGGAUGCAAUGUGGGAUAAGGCUACCAGUUGCAUGACAAAGAUUGCUAGAGAAGUGUUGGCUGUUUUGAGGGGUCAGGUUGGUCAUCAUAAGGGGGACUGGUGGUGGAAUGAACAAGUUAAGAAGAGAGUGGAGAGUAAGAAAGGGGCGUAUAUUAAGUUGGUGGAAAGUAAAGAUGCAGAGGAGAAACAGGUGAAUAAGGAGGCCUACAAAGUAGCAAGAAAAGAGGCUAAGCUAGCAGUUACUGCUGCUAAGAAAGCAGCGUUUGAGAGCUUGUAUGUGAGUUUAGGGGAGAAAGGUGGGGAAAAGAGGCUGUUUAGGCUUGCUAAGGCUAGGGAGUAGAAGGGUUGGGACCUCGACCAAGUUAAGUGCAUUAAGGGAGAGGAUGGUAGAGUUUUGGUGGAGGAUGUCCAAAUUAAGAAGCGAUGGCAGGAGUAUUUGUAGAGGCUUUUGAACGAGGAGGGGGACACAGGCAUUAGUUAGGAGAGCUGGAGCUCUUAAAGAAUAGACAUGAUUUUAGUUAUUAUAGAUGUUUUAUGUUUGAAGAGGUGAGAGAAGUUAUUCGCAGAAUGCGGAGGGGAAGGGCGACUGGGCCUGAUGAGAUUCUGGUGGAUUUUUGGAAGUUUAUAGGUAGGGAAGGUUUAAGGUGCUUGAAUGAUUUGUUUAACAAUAUUUUAAAGACAGCGAGAAUGCCUGAGGCUUUGAGGUGGAGCAUGAAGAUUCCAUUGAAUAAAAACAAGGGCGACAUUUAGAGUUGAACCAACUAUAGGUGUAUCAAGAUAUUCAGCCAUACUAUGAAGAUUUGGGAGAGAGUGGUUGAUCGGAGAUUAAGAAAGCUUAUGUCUAUUUUGGAGAAUCAAUUUGGUUUUAUGCUUGGUCAUUCGACGACGGAGGCAAUCCACCUGGUAUGAAGAUUGGUGGAGCAGUACAGGGAAAGAAAGAGGAAUUUGCACAUGGUGUUCAUUGACUUGGAGAAGGCGUAUGAAAAACUCUCUAGGGAGAUUCUUUGGAGAUUCUUAGAGGCAAGAGGGGUCCUGGUGGUGUACAUUAGAGCUAUUAAGUACAUGUACGAUGGAGGAAAGACUCGGAUGUGAACGACGGAGGGGGACUCAGAGCAUUUUUCAAUUGAGACAGGGUUGCAACAGGGUUUGACUCUUAGUCAUUUUCUAUUUGCAUUGGUGUUGGACGUGUUGACGCGAAGUAUUCAAGGUGAGGUACCUUGGUGUAUGUUGUUUACGGACAAUAUAGUGUUGAUUGAUGAGACGCGAGGGGGAGUGAAUGAAAAAUUAGAGGUUUGGAGGCAAACCCUUGAAUCUAAGGGGUUCAGGUUGAGUAGGUCCAAGACGGAAUAUAUGGAAUGCAAGUUUAGUAACUUGACGCAGGAGGAAGAUGCGGUGGUGAGGUUGGAUUUCCAAGAUAUUUGUAAGAGGGAUAGUUUUAAGUUUCUUGGUUCUUUGAUUCAGGGGAAUGGUGAGUUAGAUGAGGAUGUCUCUCCUUGGGAGUGUUGUGUGGUAAGAAGGUCCCAUUUAAGAUUAAAGGAAAAUUAUACAGAGUGGCAUUCCAGCCAGCUAUGCUCUAUGGAGCAGAGUAUUGGUCUUCAAGAACUCCCUUUUUCAAAGAAUGAAGGUGGCAGAAAUAAGAAUGUUGCAUUGGAUAUGUGGACUUACUAGAAGGGAUAGAGUUAAGAAAGAGACAGUCUGAGAGAAGGUGGGAGUGGCUUCGGUAGAGAACAAGAUGCGGGAAGGAAGGCUGAGAUGGUUUGGGCAUGUGAUGAGGAGGGGACGGAUACCCUAGUUUAGAGGUGUAAGAGGCUGGCAUUGGAUGGCUUCAGAAGGAGGAGAGAUAGGCCUCAAAAGUAUUGGAGGGAAGUGAUUAGACAUGAUAUGGAGUAGCUUCAGCUUACUUAGGACACUACCCUAGAUAAAAAGGUGUGGAGGCCGCGGAUAAGGGUAGAAGGAUAGGUUGUGUGCGUGGGUUGUAGCUAGUAGUUAGAAGAUCCCUGGUUUAGCCAGGUUACUAAUUUUAGGACUGUGUACAUAGGUAAGAGCUCCUAGUCAUGAGGGUUUGGGUGUGGAGAGUGUCUCUAUCCUGUGAGUGUCUGUUACUACUAGGUGGGUGUCAUUUUUCGGAUGCCCUAUUUCUUAUCUCUUAUUGAACAUUGCACUUGGUUACCCCAUCUUAUACUGCUUUGAUUUAUAUUUAUGUCUUAAUCCUUUUUAAGUGAUGCCAUCCAUCUUUCUUCAUGUUUGAUUACUCUUUUGUUUAUUAUUCCUUAUCUUGAGUCGGGGGUCUAUCGGAAACAACCUCUCUACUUCUUUGGAGGUAGUGGUAUGGACUGCGUAUACUUUACCCUCCCCAAACCCUACUUUGUGGAAAUACAUUGGAUUUGUUGUUGUUGUAUACAAUAUAAGGAUGUAAUGCUCAUAACCAACUAGAAUGAGAAUUGCCAAUAUCCAACAAAUAUACCAACUAUGUGAGCCCAAAAUCACUAAAUAUACCAACCAUUCAUUAAUCCAAUUUAAUCUUUAUAACAAUAGAGUAAAAUACACAAAAAUAUGCCAUUGAUACCUCAUAAAUUCCUAUUUAGGCUUUUUCACCAGAAAAGAUACAACUGAAUAUACAUACACAAGGACAACAACAUCAUAUAAGAUCCCACACGAUCAUACAUAGCAAAUAAUGUCUCAAAACCACCAAAAAACAAUAACAUAGGCCCCUAUACAGGCACAACACAAUAAUAAAAACAUUUUCAUGAUUGUUUCCCUUGCCCAUGAAAUACUUUUAUACCAUUUUUAAUUACCCAACCCAGUCAAAAUAAAGUUAAGCCAUAACCUACCUCGAAUAUCAAAAACUGAUCCAAAAAGCUUUCAACUCGGAGUUUUCCCCUCAUGAAUGGACCCAUGAUAAAUUAAAACAUACAAAUAUCGAAUCUACGCAUCAAAAGAAAGCUAACAAUAACUGUAUUGCCCAAUUUUGAGUUGAGAUCAAAAUGGACCCUAGAAACAGGUUUUUGAAGAAAAGGUAACAUUGGAAUUUUUGCUCAAAAAUAUAUUUUUCAAUAUUAGAGAAACCCAUAGGAGAAAACCCAAGUGAAAACAGAUUGAAAUUAAGGUUUAAAUUGAAGAAUUACUAAUUUUUGGCCUUUUGGACCAAAAUCCCCAAAUUUUACUUUUGAAUUCAAGUUUUAGCAAGAUUUAAAUGACAAGAAUCGAAGAAAAAUAAUUGAAAUAGGGAUAUGGAACAUACCCAAAAUUUAAAAUGGGAGAAGUUGUCCAAAAGCUCGAAAACCUUAAGCUCCAAGUCUAAAAAAUAGUGAAAAUCAAGAAAAAAGGGUAUAUAUACCACCUGGGUGGUCGCUUAAGUGAAUAUCACUUAACUAACCAGAUGUCACUUUCCUGAUACCCAUAUGAUCAGCGAGUGUCACAUAAUCAACCAAUCUACAACUUAAGCGAGCCUAUCAUUGCUUAGGUGAUACUUUGGCUAUCAAUCCAGUCAUUUAAGAGACCAAAAUAUCAUUUAAGGGGUGCACCAGCUGGAGACUUCGAGAAUUUCAAGUAUCCGUGGACCCUUUGGGAUUCAUACAAAAUCAAAGAAUGCAAACAAACUAUGGUACUAGACUAAAUUUAAUUCUCCAGACUCAAUGGUGAUAUCAGAAUUUGGAAAAAAUGUUAUUUUCAUGACGUUGACCCUCGAAACCCAAUUUAACAACUUUCUGAAAUGAGGGUCGAAAUAAGAUAUAAAGGCCAUAAAACCACACCAAUCAUCUUACAAAUCUAAAACCGAUGUUCUAGAUCUGCUGGCAUAGUUUGUUUUGUCAUACAAUGCACAAAUUACUAAGUAUUGACUAAAGUCAACUAAUAAGUCUUUUUAACCUCCAAAAGUCAAAAACUCACACAAAUCACACCAAAAUGCAUUGGGAACCAUGCCAAUCAUCCCCAUACCCCAUAAAUAUCACAAAAAAACCAUGGGUAAGGGUAAAAUAAUCAAAUCAUACAGAAAUGAUGUAAUACCCCAUACUUUUUCCAAGUUAAUUGCAUCUCAAAAAUGUCUAGUAUUAGCUUAUAAAUUGAAUGAUGUUUAUUCAAUGAGGAAUUCUCAAGAUUUUCCCUUUUUUUCAUGUGGGAAAUUCAAUAAUCUUUCCAUCGAUAUAAGAUUUGGCCAAAUCGGAUAGCCAAGGCAGAAGUUACGACUAUUUUAAGUUCCCGUCAUAAAACAACGCUAUAUUAGUUAGUGGAGCACCGCUCCACAAGGGGAAAUGGCAUUUGGCAAAUUCCAGUAGGGGCCCGUAUUUAUGGCGCAUCUCACCAGGGCCCAAAUUCAAAAUUGUCCAUUUUCCAGUGUCUCAGUGUGAUUCCCCCGCGUCGCGCCAAAGUUCCAAGUCACAAAGGAAGAGGCAACGCGAUGGUCCCACAUUGCGCCAUCCCUCAAUUUUCCAAUUGUCAAAAUCCAGUGACACGGUGCGAUAGCACCGCAUCGCGCCAAGGGUCCAAUUCGGGAAAUUUUUACAAUUUUAAAUGACGCAUCCAGAGUUAAAAGGGUCAACUUCCCACCCCUAUUUAAGCCUUUUAACACAUGAUUCAACCACUUUUCACCCAAAAGAUGCUAGUUUCUCUCAAGUUUCUCUCAAGAACAAGAUAGGGUUUUUAUAUAAGAUCCAUUUCAAGAAAGUUUCACCGUCAAUCUUCACAAAAUCCCAAACUAAGGUAUGCAUAGUAUUUAUUCAUGGACUUCUUUCAUCCAUGAAGCCCAGGAAUCCCUUUUCUAAAUUCAAGUUUAUGGAUUUUCUUAUGAAUUACAUGAUUGGGCUGCUUUGUUCAUGUGGAUAGUGAGAAAUUUAAUUCUACUUCAUGUUGGGUGAUAAAUUCUAUGUAGGUUACAUUAUUAAAGAUAUAGAUUCAUGCAAACCUAUGAUUAAGAUUCAUGCAAACCUAUGAUUAAACCCUUGAAUGAUGAAAUUAGAAUUGAACCACGAUGUUUAAUUAUUGUACAAUAAUGUUUACAAGUACCAUGCCUAUAAUAUGUUUGAUUCAACACAUAGAUGAAGGAAAAGUGCCUAACUAGCAUGAUACCAUGAAAUCUCCAUGUAUGUACAAGUUAUGCCUAUCACAUGUUUUGAUGAAAUGCUUCUAUAAAUGUAUUAUGGAUUAUGAUUUUAGUUAUAUGUUCAAGUAAGUUAUGCUUGGUCAGUUUCCUUCCAUCAAUUCCUGGGGGUACUUGUACCCGAAACAUUAGUUGGGUGCCUAGAGUCAUGUCAUUUUUUCAUGAUACUCUCAGUCAAGCUAUGAUCCUUAGACUUCAGACAGUCUUAUGACUCAGGAAAUCUCCAUGAUCUCAUAAAAUCAGUUAGUUGUCAGAUAUCAAUAGUAUUCAGUUAAUCAACAGAAUUUAGUAACUCAGCUAUGUUCAGUUCAGUAAAUCAUGUUCAGAGUCUAUUCAGAUGGGAGUAGAAAUUAGCACCGAGUGAACCCAAGGAUAGGAACACACACUAUCAGAUAAGGGUUUGAUUCUUAGAAGUCAUCCUUGCAUUCCAGAACUAUGUAGCCAUCAUAGUUUAAUACAUCAACACUGUCCGAUGAGGGUUGAUGAGGGGGAUAAGCACUGUCAGAUAAGGCCCCACCAUUCUCGUAUAAGGGACACUAUCAAAUAAGGGUCACCCACAGCUUGUCCUUAAUGGUGGAAUGGUAUUAACACCCUUCUAAUUGGGGUUACAGAUUGGACCUCAACUCAGCCAUAAUGACGUAUCAGGGGUAUAUCGGUUGGAUAACAACUUCCCACAGUUUCAUGUUAUAGAAUAAGGACUUUCAGAUAUAGUCAAUCAGUUUCAGUAAUAGAACUCAGAUAGUUCUUCAUAUUUCAAGACUGUCAGAUAUAGUCAACUCAGAUAUAGUACGGAACUCAGAUAGUUUUAUCAGAUUCAGGACUAUCAGAUACAAUCACUCCUGUUAUCAGUUAUAUUCAGACUCAAUAAUCAUGUUAUCACAGUAUUAGUGUCAAUUGUUAUGUCUCAUGCAUGUAUUCUCAUGCUCAUGAUAGUUAGUCAGUUAUUAUUAUUGUUCAUGCAUAUGAACCCCAUGCAUUCAGCCUACCUUACAUGCAUACCAGUAUAUUCAAAGUACUGACGCAUUUGCGCUAUGGUGUCUUAUACCAUAGGUUUAGAGACAAGCUCCAGAGCAAUAGUAGAUUCUAGAUAUCCACAAACAGAGUUAGAAGUGAGUCCUUAUCUUUCAAGGGCAUGAUUAUUUCCCUAUUAUCUCAUUAAUCUAUUUAUUAGUUAGAGUUAGUUAGGGACAUGUCAUAUCAACUCCUUACUCAGAUAGUUCAGUCAGUUAGAGGCUUUCUAGACUAUCAUAUUUCUGACUUCAGUAUGUUUAAUUUUGUUUUGGGUACUCUAUUACCCCACACAGAUGUUAUAUCAUUUAGAUCAUGUUCAGUAUUGAACCUUUUGGCUAUUAAGUUCAUAUUUCCACAUUAUAAAGUAUUUUAUCCAGUAUACAGAUACAGAUAGUAGCCAUGGGUUGGGUUAUGGUCCUUUGGGGUCAUGAGCAUCGUAUAGCAUUUCGAGUACUAGAUUCGGGGCAUUAAAAACUUGGUAUCAGAGCCUAAGGUUUAAUAGAGUCCUAGGAAGUCUGAAAGCUCCAUCUAGUAGAGUCUUGUACAUGGGUGUGUUGUGCGCCAUAUUUAUGUGAAAGAGGCUAGAAGAUGUAUUAGGAACAGUUUCCCUUCUUUCGGUAUUCAUGUCAUGCCAAUGAGCAUAAUCUCAAGUCAAACUCUUAGUCUAAUCUAUUUCCCUAUUUCUUCUAUAGAACAUGCCUCCUAAAAGAAGAAAUAGAAAUCAGUUAGCCCCUCAGCCCGAAGAUCCUUUGGGCAAUCAUUUUCUUAUGUAGAGUUCAGGGCCGCAUUCACUACUCUUGCUUAGUCAUUUUCUGCUCAAAAUAAAUGGCCAGCAGUCAUUUUGGCUAACCUAGUGGCCAAAUCAGUUGUAGCUGGAUUCGGUACUUCACCUCCUCUAUCCUUUCUUAGGUUUAAGGUAGAUGAGGACCCUCAGGAAUUUAUUAAUCAGGUUCAGAAGGUGACAGACAUUAUUGGGGUGACUACUGUUGAGAAUGCUAAGCUAGUUGCAUAUCAGUUACAGGAUGUGGCUCAUACUUGGUUCAAAUAGUAGAAGUCAGAGAGGUCAAAUGAUGCAGGUCCUAUAGAGUAGGAGGAGUUUGUCACUGCAAUCUUAGACAGAUUCUUUCCCCAAGAGCUUAGAGAGGCUAAGGUGCUAGAAUUCAUCAACCUUAGAUACAGAAAUAUGAUGGUGAAAGAGUAUUUUCUUAAGUUUACUCAAUCAGACAGAUAUGCCCCUCAUGUGGUUGCAGACAGCAGAGCCAAGAUGAGUAAAUUCACUUCAGGGGUAAAUGAUAGUGUGGUAAAUGAGUGCAGAUCUGCCAUGCUGAACAGUGACAUGACUUUACCCAGGCUUAUGACUCAUGCUCAGCAGAUAGAAGAGUACAAGAUUAAGCAGAGGCAUAAGCAGAAUAAGAGAGUGAAGACAAGUAGUUUUAACUUUACUCAGCCUAAAUCAAAAGGAGGAAAUCAUUCCCUAUUUCAUCCUAAGUCAUCAGUUCUAGCCCGUUAUUUAGCCAGUGCUCCAGUUCCUAAGUUCAGGAAGGGUAACAGAGAUAGAGAGCCAGGAUCUAGGUCUUAAGAAAGUGUUAGCAAUGCCCAAACUAAUCCUCUUUGUCAGACUUGUCUUAAGAAUCACAAGGGUGCUUGCAGAGCUAGUAGCAAUGUCUGUUUCGGUUAUGGCAAGCCAGGCCAUAGAGUCAGAGACUGCCCUCAGUCAGGUUAUUAGAUCAUCUCUGCUCCUCAUCUCAUUUCGGUCGCCCGAAUCAGCAGGGUGCCACCACUAGUGCUACUAGUGGGCAAUACCCAAAUCGUCUCUAUGCUCUUUAGUCCUGAUAGGAUUAGGAAAAUUCUCCUAAUGUAGUUACUAGUAUGUUACAGAUCUUUUAUGUGCAUGUUUAUACUUUUCUAGAUCCAGGAGCUUUUUUGUCUUUUGGUACUCCCUAUAUAGUAGGCAAUUUUGAAAUCAGUCCCAAAAUCCUAGCAGAGCCCUUUUUAGUCUCUACCCCAGUGGGUAAAACCAUCAUAUCCCAAUGAGUAUACAGGAACUUCCCGGUUAUGAUAUUUCAGAAAGUCACUACAGUAGACUUAGUUGAAUUAGAGAUGACUAAUUUUGAUGUCAUUCUCGGCAUGGAUUGGCUUUAUUCCUGCUAUGCCAUAGUCGACUGCAGAAAUAGAAUAGUCCAUUUUUAGUUUCCAAAUAAACUUGUCCUUGAGUGGAAGGGUAGUACUUCAGCAUUUAGAGGUCAGCUUGUUUCCUACCUUCAAGCACGGAAAAUGAUAUCUAAAAGAUGUGUCUAUCAUCUUGUUCGAGUUAAGGAGACUAGCUCAGAAACUCCCAUCCUUGAGUCAGUUCUAGUUGUAGGUGAAUAUUCAGAUAUCUUUCUCAAAGAUCUUCCAAGCGGCAUUGAUCUUCUUCCAAAUACUCAGCAUAUAUCUAUUCCGCCAUACAGAAUGGCACUAGCAAAACUCAGAGAACUGAAAGAAUAAUUGAAAGAUCUCAUAGAUAAGGGAUUCAUCAGGCCGAGCAGUUCCCCAUGGGGUGAUCCAGUAUUAUUCAUGCACAAUAAAGAUGGUUCUCUUAGGAUCUGUGUAGAAUACCGUUAAUUCAAUAAGGUCAUGAUCAAGAACAAGUAUCCUCUUCCCAAAAUCGAUGACCUGUUUGACCAACUUCAGGGUGCCAGUCAUUUCUCUAAGAUAGACCUCAGAUUCGGCUAUCAUCAUCUCAGAGUCAGAGAAUGUGACCUUCCAAAAAUAGCUUUCCAUACUCGGUAUGGUUAAUUUGAAUUCCUAGUCAUGUCAUUUGGUCUUAACAAUACCCCAGCCGCUUUCAUGGAAUUGAUGAACCGUGUGUUUAAGUAGUACUUGGACAUGUUCAUUAUAGUCAUCAUAGAUGAUAUCCUGGUCUAUUCCCACAGUGAGUGCGAUCAUGCAGACCAUCUCAGAAUGGUACUUCAGAAUCUCAGAAAUCAUCAAUUGUUUGCCAAAUUUAGUAAGUGCAAAUUUUGGCUAAGGUCAGUGACAUUCCUUGGUCACAUCGUUUCGGGUGAUAGCAUUAGAGUAAAUCCUCAAAAGAACGAAUCAGUAAGAAACUAUCCUCGCCCUGUCUCUCCAUCAGAUAUUAGGAGAUUCUUGGGUUUGGCUGGCUAUUACAGAUGGUUUGUUGAGGGAUUUUCUUCUAUUGCAUCCCCUAUGUCUAGAUUGACUCAGAAGAAAGUUAAGUUUUAGUGGUCAGAUCCUUGCGAGAAGAGUUUUCAGGAGUUGAAGACUCGACUCACCUCAGCUCCAGUCUUAGCUCUCCAAGAUGGUUCAGAUGGGUUCGUAGUGUAUUGUGAUGCAUCUAGAGUGGGUCUAGGUUGUGUCCUCAUGCAGCAUGGUAAGGUCAUAGCCUACGCCUCCAGAUAGCUUAAACCCCAUGAGAGGAAUUAUCUUACUCAUGAUCUUGAGUUAGCAGUCGUAGUUUUUGCCGUAAAAAUUUGGAGGCAUUAUCUCUACGGAGUUCAUAUAGAUGUCUUCACAGAUCAUAAGAGUCUUCAGUAUGUCUUUUCUCAGAAAGAUCUCAAUCUUCGUCAGAGAAGGUGGUUAGAGCUCUUAAAAGAUUAUGACAUAAGUGUCCUUUAUCAUCCGGGCAAGGCCAACGUAGUGGCCGGCGCUCUCAGUAGACUAUCCAUGGGUAGUGUUUCUUAUGUUAAGGACAGUAAGAAGAAGUUAGCUCAGGAAGUCCAUCAGUUUGCCAGACUAGGCGUUCGCUUAGUCGAUAUAGAUGAGGGUAAUAUAUGGGUUCAGAUUUGUUCAGAAUCGUAUCUAGUUUUUGAGGUGAAAGAAAAUCAAAAUAGACAUCCCAUCCUUGUCAAGUUGAAAGAGUCAGUUCAGGAUCAGAAAAUAGAGGUUUUCUCCCAAGGGGGAGACAGUGUUCUUUCUUGUCAGGGUCGUCUUUAUGUUCCAGGUUUAGAUGACUUAAGGCAGUGAAUUCUUGUAGAAGCGCAUGGUGCACACUACUCUAUUUAUCCAGGGGCCACAAAGAUAUACCGCGACUUGUAGGAAAUUUAUUGGUGGAGUGGGAUGAACAGAGACAUUGCAGAGUUUGUGGCUAAGUGCUCUAUAUGUCAGUAGGUUAAGAUAGAGCAUCAGAAGCCUAGUGGAUCCAUGCAGGAGUUCAGUAUUCCUACUUAGAAGUGGGAUGUUGUGAACAUGGACUUCGUGAUGGGUUUUCCUUAAACUCUUCAUCAGCAUGAUUCAGUAUAGGUCUUUGUAGAUAGAAUGACCAAUUCUGCUCAUUUCCUUCCAAUCCAUACCUCUUAUUCAGCCGAGUGUUAUGCCAAACUCUACAUCAAGGAGUUGGUCAGAUUGCACGGUGUUCCGUUGUCCAUUAUCUUAGACAGAGGUACCCAGUUCAUCUCUUAUUUAUAGAAAACAUUCCAAAAGGGUCUUGGUACCCAAGUUCAUCUUAGUACAGGCUUUCAUCCUCAGACAGAUGGUCAAGCAGAAAGGACCAUUCAGACGUUAGAAGAUAUGUUAAAGGCAUGUGCAAUCGAUUUCAAGGAAAGUUGCGAUGACCAUUUACAUUUGUAUUCUCACGCUCAUGAUAGUUAGUCAGUUAUCAUUAUUGUUCAUGCAUAUGAACCCCAUGUAUUCAGUCUACCUCACAUGCAUACCAGUACAUUCAAAGUACUGAUGCAUUUGCGCUAUGGUUUCUUAUACCAUAGGUUCAGAGACAUGAGCUCCAGAGCAACAGUAGAUUCCAGAUAUCCGCAGACAGAGUUAGAAGUGAGUCCUCAUCUUUCGAGGACAUGAUUAUUUCCUUAUUAUCUCAUUAAUCAGUUUAUCAGUUGGAGUUAGUUGGGGAAAUGUCCCAUCAACUCCUUACUCAGACAAUUCAGUCAGUUAGAGGCUUGCUAUACUAUCAUGUUUCAGCCUUUAUUAUGUUCAGUUUUCUUUUGGGUAUUCUAUUACCCACACAAAUGUUAUAUCAUUCAGAUCAUGUUCGGUAUUGAACCUUAUGGCCUUUCAGUUCAUAUUUUCCCAUUAUAAAGUAUUUUAUCUAGUAUACAGUAUAGAUAUCAAUCAUGGGUUAGCUUAUGGUCCUUUGGGGUCAUGAGCACCGCGUAGCAUUUCGGGUAUCAGAUUCUGGGUGUUACAAAUGAAGAAUUUACAAAAAUACCAAAAAUCAAGUCAUUACAUCAUCCACCACUAAAUAUCAAGUUAGUCCUCAAACUAAAGGCAAAGGAAAUAUCUAAGUCCACGAAAAGCUGGGGAUAACUACUAUACAUAACAGACUCAAUACCGGUGUCUCUACUAGACAUUAACUACCAAAAUAUCUCUAGAAUUAAAUCAUCUAACAUCUAUGGAUGGAAUGGAGAUGGGCACCUUAAUAAAAGACAACCUCUCAUCUAAUUGAAUUGAAUCCGAACGAAGGACAUGAGACUCAUGCGGAACGUAAUGCUGAAGCAUGAAAACAUGAAAAACUCGAUGAAUAGUAGAUACAUAUAGGAACAAUGUCAACUCGUAAGCCACAACCCUAGUAGUCUGAAGAAUAAAAAAUAGUUCAAUAUAUCUGGGGCUAAGCUUACCCCUCUUCUUAAACCUCAUCACACCCUUCAUGGGUGACACACGAAGGAAGACACGAUCACCAACACCAAAUCCCAAGGCAUAAAGUCUACGAUCUGCAUAGCAAUUCUGUCUACUCUAAGUCGCUUGAACUCUAUCCUGAAUGACCUGAAUCCUAUCCGAAGACUCGCAAAGAAAGUCUCAACCUUGAGGUACAACAAAAAAAACCUCAAACUAACCAACUGGAGAGUGAUAAUAUUUGUCGUACAAAGCCUCAAAAGGAAACAUCUCAAUAUUGGAAUGGUAGCUAUUAUUAUACACAAGCUCCACCAAAGCUAAAUAUUUCUCCCACUAACUUCCAAAGUCUAUAACACAAACACAGAGCAUAUCCUUCAAAACCUGAAUAGUCUGCUCCGACUAACCAUCAGUCGGGGGUGAAAAGUUAUGCUAAGAUCAACUCGAGUACCUAACUCCUCCUAAAAGUCUUCCAAAAAUGAGAUGUGAACACUAAACCUCUGUCUGAUGGACACUAGUACACCAUAAAGAUGCAAUAUCUCAGGAAUAUAAAUACCAGCCAACCUCUCAACACUGAAAAUCUAAAGUGGAAUAAAAUAAGCUGAUUUGAUCAAUCAAUCCACGAUGACCAAAAUGCUAACAGAACCAUGAGAAGUAUAAGGCAACCCAAUCACGAAGUCCAUAGUGAUCUGUUCCCAUUUCCACUCAGGAAUGGGUAACCUCUAAAGUAAACCAUUAGUCCUCAAAUGCUCGGCCUUCACCUACCAAAAAUACAGGCAAUGAGGUACCGAACUCACUUCAUACUUCCUUAUACCACCCCGCUAACAGUGCUACCUUAUAUUACGAUAUAUCUUAGUCGCUCUUGAAAGGAUGGAAUACCUAGAAUAAUAACCCUUCUCUAAAAUCAAACUAAUCCAAUCACCCACUCUCGAUUCAUAAAUUUAGCCUACAAUCCUUACAACAUCAUAUGGAUCAAGUGAGACUUCCUUAGCCUCACCAUUCAACACAUUAUCUAGAAUCACUCUCAACCCAACAUCAUCAAAUUAAUGAUCCCAAAUCUUCUCCAUCAAAGAAGAUAUAGCCUCCAUUAAUACCAAAAUACACCCAUAUGGCAAAAUGUCAAUCCUAACUAUCUUGGUAGCCAAAGAUAGGAUGUCUAAGGCCAAAGGCCUCUCCUAGGUCAAAAGAUGUACCAAGAUAGACAUUCUUAAGGAAUCUGCAACUAUAUAAGCCUUGCGCAGCUAGACAUCUUGAGCUUUUGAAAUCUUGACUCACAAGCGUCAGACCACUGAAAGGAAAUCUUCUUCUGAGUCAACUUAGUCAUAUAGCUUCAAUAGAUAAUAAAACCUCAACAAAGCAUUGAUAGUAACGUACUAAACCAAUAAAACUCUAAAUUAUGGUAGGAGAAGUAGGCUUAUACCAAUCAUAGACCAUUGUAAUCUUAGAAGAAUCAACCAUAAUACGAACCUUUGUCACCACAUGACCCAAGAAAAAGACAGACUCCAACUAAAACUCACACUUAGGGAACUUAGUAUACAACUUCUCAUCCCUCGAUCUCUGGAGCAUAAUCUCUUAAUGAUAGCCCUUACACUUAGAAUAAAUCAAGAUAUUAUCUAUAAAUAUAAUAACAAAGGAGUCAAGAUACGAUUGAAAUACCCAGUUCAUUAACUCCAUGAAUGCGGCUGAUCCAUUGGUUAACUCGAUGGACAUGUCCAAGAACUCAUAAUGACCAUAUCGAGUUCAAAAAGUUUUCAAAAUAUUUGAAGCUCUAAUCCUCAAAUGGUGAUACCUAGACCUUAAAUCCCUCUUUGAAAACCCAAAGCACCUUGAAGUUAAUCGAAUAAAUCAUCAAUACGAGGGAAGGGAUACUUAUUCUUAAUUGGCACCUUAUUCAACUACUGAUAAUCAAUACACAUAUCCAUAGACCCAUUUGUUUUCCUCACAAAUAAGAUAGGCGCACCUCAAGGUGACAGACUACGUUGGAUAAAUCCCUUAUCUAAUAAUUCUUACAACUGAUCCUUCAAUUCCUUCAAUUCAAUAGAGGCCAUCCUAUAAGGAGUAAUAAAGAUAGUCUUGAUGCCCGACAUAACAUCAAUAGAGAAGUUAAUAUCAUGAUCCAGUAGCAGACUAGGCAAAUCUGUGGAAAAAUAUCCAUAAACUCACAGACAAUAUGAACAUAAUCCAAAGAAGGUGGGAAAGUAACAUUAGUAUCAUGAAUAUGAGAUAAAUAAGAAAAAUACCCUCUCUCUACCAAACAACAAGCCUAAAUAAAAGAUAUAACCCUCUUGGCACCCAAAUGACAACCAAUCUAUACCUAAGAUGACGUUGAAAUCUACAAUGUCUAGAAUAAGAAAAUCUACCCAAGUCCCUCGGCCUGCAAAAUUCACAACACAGGAUUAGUGCACCCAAUCCACUACUAAAAAGUCUUCUUCAGGGAUAGAAAUGGCAAGAAGAUCACUAGGAAAAUUAAAACAUAAAGAAAAAUAUCCAGACACAUAUGAAAAAGUCAACUAUAAAUCAAAUAACACAGAUGCAAAUUUGAAAUAAAUAAGAAAAAUACCUGUGAUAACAGUGUCAAAAGCCAUUGCCUCUGGUAUGGUAGGUAUAGCAUAGCACCGUCCAUGACAACCACAUAACUGAGUAGCCAUGUGACCACCACCAUAGGCACCACUACCUCUAUCUCGUGUGCCUCUAGUAAAAACUCUACCUCUCAUAACUAAUAUAGGAGUAGCUCUUAAAAUACAAUGGAGAUAGUUCUUGUCCAAAUGGCCAAUCUAAGCUAUAAUGACCACUCAAAGUUGUUGGGCCAAAAGAACAACUACCUGAACCCAAUAAGGCUAUCUAAUGGGUCUACUAUGAUACCCACAAAAAUCUUUAAAAUCUCUACCUCAAGGAGUGUGAACUAUGAACUCGCCCUGACGACGCACCCUCUUGGCCCUUUUUUUAGAUGCUUAAAGAAUAGACUCAUUUAUCUUAGCAUGAUCCACUAUACUCUGAAAUAAUGGCCCAAUAUAACCAUUUGAGUAGUAUCUAGUUGAAGUAAAAUAUCCAACCCCUUCAUAAAGUUUUGAAUCUUUUCAGUCUCAAUGACAAUGCUAGCAUAAGAAUAUCUAAACAAAGUAGGGAAAUAUUCCCUAUACUCUACAACAAUUGUGGAGCCCUACUCCAAGUGAUCAAAAUCAUCUCUUAUCUAAUCGCUCACACUGAAAGGCACCAACCUAUCUAAAAAAGUCAUAGAAAACUAAUCCCAAGUCAUCUCUGGCAAACCAAAAGGUCUGCAGCUAACAAUUAAUCUCCACUAAUCCCUGGUUGCAUCUCUUAAUUGGUAAGUAGUGUAAGCAAUCCCAUGUGACUCAAGUGAUCUAAGGUUAUGCAAUUUCUCAUGACAAUCAAUCAAGAACUCAUAGGCAUCUUUGCCCACAGCACCACUGAACCUAGGUAGACCCAAACAAAUAAAUCUUUCAAACCACUUCUGAUUCUAUACUCAUAAUAAUAAGAAACAUAAGGAAUCUAAUCGGCUGACAUCCUACCAAAGGAGAUAAUAUAUAUGAAGAUUGAACCUCUAAUCUCGAAAUAUCAUACUCAAAUAUUGAUAAUACAAAAGAAACAACACACAAAAUCUAUGGAGUACCACAAGAUGAUGUUGAUACUACUGGAGGAUCCACACACAAAACCAAAGGAACACCAUAGGUAGACUCUAAAACAGAAAGAGGUACAAUACUCGGAGCUGGAUGAGCAACAUAUGCACUCAAAAGAGCACCUCUAAUGCAUCAAUAAGUGAAUCAAUAACCCAUCCAAGAUCAGGAUAGAAGAACUCUGUGGGAUUAAAAUAAGAACCAUAUAUCCACCAUCCUCAACUCGAUUCUUAGGGGAGAGUUCCCCAAUGCUCCCUUUGGAUGGAUAGAUCUUUGUGCCUAUCCUUUAUUUUGGGCCCAUUGACGACCUGCAACUUGCUUUCUAAACAGGGCUAUUUCCUUGAAUGAUGGCUUCACAUAUCUUGACUCAUGAGUUAUAGUCCUCACUAUUUGCGCAGAUCAUGUGCUACAGAAAUGUAGAACUUUCAUUGCUUAAAAUUAAAAAAAUAGGAAAGUUUCUUAGGUUGUUUUAUUUGAUAUGAUGUGUUUUUGGUAUGUUUUCAGGAAAGUAGGUUUUUGAUGCUAAGUUUAAGAAAAAGAUUUAAAAUGGAGGUUUUGGUCACUUAAUCAUUUUUGGGUGUUUGUGACACUUUUUGAAUGUAUGUGAUCAAAGCAUAUAUUGAGACUUGAAGUUUGGAAGCUUGGUUACAAGAUUUGGAAGGUAUAGAACUUAUCUAUUUCAAUAUAUGGACCACAUAUAGAACAUGUGUUAUGUAUGUGACUAUGGUAAGUACCAUAAUUGAAGAUCCAGAAUAAAAGAGCUGAGAAAGAACUUUUAACACUUAUCUAUGUCAACAUAAGAACUGAAUGUAGUACAUAUGGAUCAUAUGUGGGUAAGGUAAGUGCCAAAAGUCCAAAUUCCAGAGACUAGAUAGUGUAGGAAAUUUUUUUAGAACUUACCCAUGUCUACAUAUGCCCAGAUUCAGGCCGCAUGUGGUACAUACGCCUAAGGCCAAGCCAUAUUUAGAUAUAGGUAAGUGGCCACCAGCCUUUUUUUGUCUUAUUUUUUUCGGGCUUUGAUUUUAGUUUUUUCUCAUGUACUAUAAAUACCCCUUAUGUGUUUUUUAGUACAGGUUGUGCACUUUUAUACUUAAAAACAUAUUUUGAUCCUAAGAUUCGAUUUUGGUCUUGGAAUUCUCUUGUAUUGAUUUUGGUUGAUUAAUGCAGUUAAAGGUUUGGGUUUUCAGUUUUGAUAAUUUUGAUUACAUCUUAUGCUUUCAAUUAUGAAUGUUGUUGCGCUAAAAACCCUUAGCUAGGGUUGUGGAAACCCUAGCAGAUUGACAAAGUAGGGAAAGUGCUAUGUUGUUCAGAACCAAUACCCAUGGAUGUAUUGUAUUAUAUUCACUUUAAUAGCUAUUUAGCAGUUGCAAAUGUUAGGAUACUACCAAUAUUAUUUCUACUUACUUCAAAAGAGGAGUAGUGACUAGGAAAAGAAAAUUACAAUAGUAAUUUGAAGUUUAACCAUUGAUCCAUGCUACUGUGUAUUAUUUAAGUAAGAUGGUUAGUUGUCAGUUAAUAACUAGAGACUCAAAAAUUAAUAGUUAACUAGGAUCUAGGAUAAUGGUUAGUAAGGCAACGUCAUGAGACUCAAAAGGUAAAGGGUAAAAUCUGUCAGCUUGUCCAAAAUAUAAUUGAUAGUACAUAACUUAUCAGAUUCUGCUUGCAAGGUAUCGGGUUUGUUCAAUGAAUUAUAAUAAGUCUAUGGGGUUGAAAAGCCAGGGGGAACACAGUCCUAGUGUUCACUGAUGGUUGAUUAUAACUAAAGUUAAUAUUAGCUACUUGUUCGAUAUUAGCACAACAAUCCCCCAUUCACUUUUCCAGUGUUGCCUAUUGAUUACAGUAGUUGAAAGCCACAAUUCCAAUAUUCCCUUAGGAUUUGACCCCAACCUUUGGUGGGUUACUAUAUUUGACAGUAUCCUCAUGAUAUUUAGAUUGAAGGUGUAGCUUGGGUGUUAUCAAAAUUUGGCACCAUUGCCGAGGAAUAUAGUAUUGAGUUGUGAAUCGAGUUGGUUGUAGUUUUUUGGUAUUUUUGGUUUUGAACUUAGUUAGGUAUAUACUGGUGUAUGCCUAGCACAUGAAGGUAUAAUCUAGUGUAUGCCUAGCACAUUAUUGACCUACAUACUAGGGUACUGUUAGCACAAGCUGCUAAUUAGAGAAUGGAAUAAAAAGCACAAUAAAUAGCUCAAGAGGUAGAGUUAGCUAUGCAGAGGCAAGAAAUACACUAUUGAGCAGCACUCAGUGGAAAUCAAAAUAGAGCUAGAGGUGGUCGUACUCAAGUUAUCCCAUCAUACCAAUAUUUGCAACCAUAUAAGGAUGAUGAAGAGGAUCUGGGUUACAUUGAUCCAACUGAGGCUCGAGCUAUUAUUUCUUCUAUUUUACCUCCAACAUUAAGUUUAACAUAACGAGCGUAAUAAUUCAGCCCUUAAAUCUGAAGGGUGUAUUUGUGGGUUUGCUUACAGAUAAUGAAAAAAUGAACCUUGCAUAUUUCCAUAGGAUCUACAGUCCACACUCAAAUCCAGGGGUAAAUUAGAAAGCACUCAGGUUGAGGUUGUUCCUCUUCUCACUUACAGGAGAAGCAUCUUUAUGGUUAGGGCAACUGCCAAGAGGAUCUAUCACUAUAUGAAAUGAGUUAUACAGGCAAUUCUUGAAUCAAUUCUUUCCUCCAUCCAGGAUGUUGAAGCUUAAUAACGAGAUUGAUAAUUUUAGGCAGCUACAGUUUGAGUUUAUGUACGAGGCUUAGUUUAGGUUCAAGAAAAAAUCGAGUAUGGUGCCUAACCAUUAGAUUUUAGGGACGAUCUUAUUAAAGAUAUUCUACAGAACCCUGAUCAUCAGUUUUAGAUCCAUGGAAGACACCAUCUCUGGAGGUGCCUUUAUGAGACUACACUGGGAGGUAGCUUCAGAUAUUCUAGAUUAGAUCUUGCUCACUAACCGGGAGUGGCAAACUUGAGAGGUUGAGAGGGGAUCUGGUAUGUAUGCUAUUGGUGCCUCAUGUGACCAAAAGUAUUUGAUGAUUCAGUGGCACAAGAAAUUAUGCUACUGAGAACUGAUCUUGGGUUACUAGCAAAGAAGUUUACAGCAGCAUAUUCUGAGAAAGUGAACGCAGUAGGAGGAUAGAGUUCAACUUAUAAAGCUUAUGAGUCAGAAUCAGAGGAGGAAGCAAACUAUCUAGAUCAUCAAUUAGUGGGUUUCGAGCCCAAAGGCAAGAAAACUAAGGUUGAAACUAUUUGACAGAUACAGAGACCGUAGUAGGAGUGAGAUGGUGACUGGAGAAAAAAUAAUAACUAUAGAGAAAAGGACAUAGGUACAUUCCUCCCCAAAGAUGAGAUGCAAAAUUAAGAAUGGAAGAGAUGCUGACUAAGCUGGUAAAGGGCCAAGAAAAUCAGGAGAACAAUCUUAAGGAGAUUAAGGCUAAAAUUUUAAGGUUGACCUAGAAGGUUGAAUCUUAUGCCACUACUAUCAAACAGUUGGAACAACAAUUCAGGUAGAUGUCAGCAACACAAAAAUAGAGGCAGCCAGGUACCCUAAUGAGAAACACUGUGCAAAAUUUAAAAAAUGACGGUCAGGUUCUUGCCAUCACCACAAGGAGUGGUAUGACUACUAUGGAUCCCUCAUUACCUGCUGCGGGAGUGCCAAGGAAUCAAGUUGAUUAUAUACUUGAGAUACCUAUUGCGGAGCUAGAAAAAACAACAGGCGAUAGUAAUAAAGUUGAUAAGGAUAAAGGUAAGGGUCCGACCAUUGAUUAGGAAAUAAGACAAAUUUCUAAACUACCCCAACCUAUUUCUUAGAGAUUGAAGCUUAAAAGAGAGGAAGGUGAGUUCAAGCGAUUCAUUGAGAUGUUAAAACAGUUGAGCCUGAAUGUAACACCCUAUAUUUUCCUAGCAUAAUCUAAGUCCCAAUACAUGAGUAUUCGUAUAUGAAGUUUUUGAAAAACUCAUUAUUUUUUAGUUUAGAUCCUUCCAUUUCAUAGGAAAUUUAAUUAUCUUUCCAACGAUAUAAAAUUUGCCCAAAUAUGAUAACCGGUAAGAAGUUAUAGCAAUUUUAAGUUUCAGUCGCAAAACCCUGACAUUUUAACCCUUAGAGCAUCACGGAGCUAGCAUAAAUGACGAUAGUCAAUUUCCAGUGAAGUUUUGCAAAAUCACCAAGUCGCACCAUCAUCUAAAAUACCAAUUGUUUUUUUCUAGUGUCCUGUCAUGAUAAUGGCGCAUCGUGCCAAGGGUGAAUUUCAAAAUCAAAAGGGGCCUGCGAUUCCUCCGCAUUGGCCACGGACCAUUUUCCCAGUUACCUAAUUCCUGUGGCUUGGCGCGAUAGUAGCACAUCGUGCCAAGGAUAAAAAUUGGGAUCUUCAGUUUUUAGCUUCCAUUUUUAAAUUUGUUUAGUGGUAUUUGGGUUUUUUUCCAUGGCCCUAAUUAACUUAAAACACAAAAUUUAACCCCUAAAUACCCUCAGUAGUCAUCAUUAUUUCAAUUCCUCUCACAAUCAAAAUCCCCUCUUUAAAGAACAAGAAACCCUAGCUCUCAAUAAUCAAGGUCAAAUCUCAAGAACUCUCCAUUAAUCCUUCCAAAUUCACCAUCCCAGGUAUGUUAGAUAUUCAUUUAUGGAUCCUUUUCAUCCAUGGAGUCCACGUAACCAUUUUAAAUUAUAAAAAUUGUGAUUUUUCAAGUUAUUGUAUUUUAAAUUGAGAUUUCACCCAUGAAUCUCCAUGAACUAUGACAUGUUACCAUGAAAUUAUUGUUAUUAUUCAAUCCUUCAUGUUUUAAUAUAAUUAUUUAUUGAAUUAAACCAUGAUUUAAUGCUAUUAUGAUGAAUUCAUGCUAAUUCUACAAGUUUCAUGGCAUUCCUAUGAUUGUUUUAAAACCAUGAAAUAUAAGUGUUUGAUAAAAUACCUACAAGAGUGAUUUAUUUAAUAAGAGCCUUCAUAUUUUGGCCUUCAAGCUUUAGUGGCUUUUCAGUAUUGUUGUUUUGAGUCUUGGGGGUAUUGAAUACCCAAAAACCAUAGUUGUUUAUUUAGUCUAGCCUCAGUACAUUAUAGAAUAGUCUUCAGAUUAUAUUAUGAGCAUUAUCAGAAUAGUCAGAUAUUAGUUAUUCAAUUCAGAAUUGUCUAGUAUCUUAGUGUCUUUCAGUUGGGAGUAAGAUUUAGCACCGAGUAAGUGUAGGGAUGGCAGCUUUCCCAUAGAUAGGUAGAGUCGUUAGUAAUAGUUCCUAUACUUCAGAACUAUAUAGCCAGCGUAGGAUAUAAGUAUUCACCCAUCAAAAUAGGCUUGACUAUCUCGCAGGGGUCACCCAUCAGUUCAGGCUUUACACCCUUAGUCCUUUGGAUAUUAUAUUAGUUUAGUAGAUCCACACAGCCAUCGUUAGUACUCGUGGAAUGGUAUUAAUACCCUUCCAACUGGGUUACAGGUUGGACCCCGAUUAGCUCAAAUUGGGGAAUGUUAGUUAGAUGAUACCUCCCACAGUCUCAGAUAUAGUCUCAGUUACAGUCCCAGCUCAGUUAUCCAGUCUUAGUGUUGUUUGACCAAAGCAUACAGAUUUCAAUUAUCUCAAUAUAUCAGUUUAUAGAUUUUACUCAGUUUAUGUUGUGUGCUUGGUCAUGCAUCCAUAGUAUUUAUAGUUUUUUAUGCAUUAUUAGUAUCUACAGAUUUUAUAUUUUCUAUUCAGUACUCUAUGCUUUACAUAUAUGUCCAAUUAAUUCUUAUCAUUCCUAUUCAUGAGACCAUGCAUAUCAUCUUACCUUAUUUAGCAUACCAGUACAUUCAAAGUACUAAUCGUAUACCUUUUCUUUUGCAUUAUGAUGUCUCAUAUCAUAGGUGCUGAUGCUCAAUUCCCCAAUUGCACCUAUAUUCUUAGAUUAUCAGUAGUACAUUAGCAGUAGUGAGUCCUCAUCAUUUGAGGAAAGAUUAUAUUACAUCAUUUCUUUAGCUCAGUAGUUAGUAGAGUUAGUUGGGUCCUGUCCCACCAACUCGCAGUAUCUAUUUUAGAGGCUUUUCAGAUAUUACAGUUAGUUAUUCAGACUAUUUAGAUUUUAGUAUUUUUAUUAGAUUCAUUAUUUAGUAGUUAUUUCAUUAUUAAAACCUUAUGGCAUUUCAGUUAUUCUUCCACAUUCAUAAUUAUAUUAUUCAGUGCUCAUAGUAGGUACCAGCUCAUGGUUUAGCUUAUGGUAUCUCAGGACUGAAAGCACCAUGUAACGACUAAGAGGUAGUCUCGGUUCAUUACAAACUUGGUAUCAAAGCCUAAGGUUUUAAAGUAUCCUAGGAAGUCUAAAAGUCGCGUUGAGUAGAGUCUUGUGUAUGGGUGUGUAACGUGCCACACUUAAGGAUGAGAGGCUACAAGGUAUUUAGAAAAAGUUUCCCUUCUUUCAAGUAUUCAUAUCAUACGAGUGACCAUGAGCUCAAGUUAAACUCUCAGUCUAAUCUAUUUGUUCCUUUCGUUUAUAGAACAUGCCUCCUAAGAAGAACAAAAGAAGAACAAAAACUCAGCCAGCCCCAUAGCCCGUCCAGGCAAAUCCUCUGGAUGAGUAUGUCUCUCAAGCAGAAUUCAGUACUGCAUUCACUACUCUAGCAAACUCUAUAGUAGCACAGAAUAAAUAGCCAGCUAUUGUUUCAGCCAACCCAUUUGUUAAUACUGCUACAAUAGAAUUUGGGAUUUUACCUGGAUGAAUCCUCCUUUCACGGGAUCUAAGUCUGAAGAGGAUCCAUAGGAAUUCUAGAUAUGGUUCAGAAGGUAACAGAUGCUAUGGGGUUGACUUCUAGUAAGAGUGCUGAGUUGGCUGCAUAUCAAUUACAGGUUGUAGCCCAUACUUGGUUUAAGUAGUUAAAAGUUGUUAGAGGUGUUUAUGUAGGGCCUAUAGAAUGGGAAGAGUUUGUCAUGGCUUUCUUGGACAGAUUCUUUCCAUUAGAGUUGAGGUAGGCCAAAGUGUUAUAAUUUAUUAAUUGGAGUCAAGGCAUCAUGAGUGUGAGGGAGUAUUCGAGUUCACUUAAUUAGCUAGAUAUGCUCCUCAUGUGGUAGCUGGUAGUAGGUCUAAUAUGAGUAAGUUUAUGUCUAUGUCUCUGAUAGUAUGGUAAAAGAGUGUAGGACUAUAAUGCUGAUUAGUAAGAUGGAUUUGUCUAGGCUGAUGAUCUAUGCUCAAUAGAUAGAGGAACAAAAGAUUAAAGAGAGGGAGGGAGAAAACAAGAGAGCUAGGAUGGGUAGUUUUAAUUUUAAUCAGCCAAAGUCAAAAGGUAGUAACCAUCCUUAGUUUUAUCAGAGGUCUUCAACCCCAGAACCUUCUUCAGCCAGUGCCCUAGUACCCAAAUUCAAAAAUAACAAUAGGGAUAGGGCACCAGGCUCUAAGUUCUAGGUCAGUGUUAGCAGUGUUCGUACUAAUCUUUUAUGUUAGAAAUAUGGCAGACACCAUCAGGAUGAGUGUAGGGUGGGUAGUGAUGUGUGCUUUGCGUAUGACAAGACAGGCCAUAGGAUUCGGGAGUGUCGGGUAAUUGCUUAGAAAGGUAAGGAUGUGCGCUAACAGGGUCAGCCCCAUCAGUCGUCAGUUCCAUUUGGUCACCUGACUCAGUAGGGUGUCGCUUCCAAUGCUACCAGUGGUCAGCGUCCAAAUAGAUUAUAUGCUCUUCAGUCCCACCAAGAUCAGAAAAAUUCUCCUGACAUAGUUACUGGUACAAUGCAGGUCUUUUACUUAUAUGUUUAUGCUUUACUAGACCCUGGAGGUUCUCUUUCUUUUGUAACUCCAUAUAUAGCUAUCAAUUUUGGAGUUAGUCCUGAAACUCUAGUAAAGCCCUUUUUAGUGUCUACCCUAGUAGGCAUUUCCAUUAUAGCCAGACAGGAUACAGAAACUUUUUGGUCAUAAUAUCUUAAAUAGUUACCUCAGUUAAUCUCGUGGAGUUAGAGAUGAUGAAUUUUGACGUCAUUCUUGGCAUAGAUUGGCUCCACUCAUGUUAUGCCUCAGUUGGUUGUAGAAACAGAAUAGUUUAUUUUCAGUUCCCAAAUGAACCAGUCCUUGAAUGGAGGGGUAGUACUACAACUCUUAGGGGUCAGUUGAUUUCAUACCUAAGACCCAGAAAGAUGAUAUCACAGGGGUGUAUUUACCAUCUUGUGUGAGUUAAAGACUCUAACUCAAAAACUCCAACUCUAGAGUUAGUUCUAGUAGUAAAUGAAUUCUCAGAUGUAUUUCCUAAAGAUCUUCCUGGGGUUCCUCCCAAAAAGGAAAUUGACUUCGGAAUAGACUUUCUCCCAGAUACUCAGCCUAUAUCUAUUCUGCCAUACAAAAUGGCUCCAUCUGAACUCAAAGAACUGGAAGAAUAGUUAAAGUAUCUCUUAGAUAAAGGAUUCAUCAGACCCAAUAUCUUCCCGUGGAGUGAACCUGCUCUAUUCAUGUAUAAGAAAGAUGGUUCUCUCAGAAUGUGUAUAGACUACCAUCAGUUGAACAAGUUCAUAGUCAAUAAUAAAUAUACACUUCCUAGAAUCGAUGAUUUGUUCAACCAACUUUAGGGUACUAGUUACUUUUCCAAGAUAGACCUCAGAUCAGGCUAUUAUCAGCUUAGAGUCAGAAAAUGUGAUAUUCUGAAAACAGCUUUCCAAACUCGGUAUGAUCACUUUAAAUUUUUAAUCAUGUCCUUUGGUCUUACAAAUUCCCCAGCAGCCUUCAUGGACUGGAUGAAUAGAGUGUUUAAGCAGUACUUGGACAUAUUCGUUAUAGUAUUCAUUGAUGACAUUCUUGUUUACUCCUAUAGCAAAAAUGAUUAUACAGACCAUCUCAAAAUAGUGUUACCAAUUCUUAGAGCCCAUCAGUUGUUCGCUAAAUUCAGUAAGUGUGAGUUCUAGCUAAGAUCAGUAGCUUUCCUUGGCCAUAUAUGAUUUUCUGUGAUGGCAUUAGAGCUGAUCCUCAAAAGAUUGAAGCGGUGAGAAACUAGCCUAAACCCAUCUCUCCAUUAGAUAUCAGGAGUUUCUUGGGUUUAGCUGGCUAUUACUGUUGGUUAUUUGAAGGUUUCUCUUCUAUUGCAUCCCCAUAUCCAGAUUAACUAAGAAGAAAGUUAAGUUUACGUGGUUAGAUUCAUAUGAGAAGAGUUUUCAAGAGUUGAUGACUCGACUUACAUCAGCCCCAGUUCUUACUCUACUAGAUGAUUCAGAUGGUUUUGUUGUGUACUAUGAUGCAUCCAAAGUAGAUUUGGGUUGUGUCCUCAUGUAGAGAGGUAAGGUCAUAGCCUAUUCCUCCAGGCAGCUUAAGCCUCAUGAGACAAAUUGUCUAACUCAUGAUCUUGAGCUUGCAGCAGUAGUAUUCACCUAAAAUAUUUAGAGGCAUUACUUGUAUGAGCUGUAUUUACAUUUGUUCACAGAUCACAAAAGCCUUCAGUAUGUGUUCUCUCAGAAAGAUUUGAAUUUGCGUCAGAGAAGAUGGUUAGAGUUAUUGAAGGAUUAUGACAUGAGUGUUCUAUAUCAUCCGGGAAAGGACAAUGUAGUAGUGGCUGAUGCUCUCAGUAAAAUGUCUAUACGUAGUAUAGCUCAUGUUGAGGAGGGUAAGAAGAAGUUAGCUUAGGAAUUUCAUCAGCUUGCCCGACUAGGUGUCCAUUUACUCAAUUCAGAAUAAGGUAGUGUAUAGGUGUAGAGUAGCUCAGAGUCAUCACUAGUUUUUGAGAUAAAGGAAAAGCAGUAUAGAGAUCCUAGACUAGUUAAGUUGAAAGAAUCAGUCAGAGAUCAGAAAGUGGAGGUUUUCUCCCAAGGGGGAGAUGGUGUGUUGCGCUAUCAGGGUAGAUGUGUGUACCAGGUGUACAUCAGUUAAGGUAAUGAAUUCUUGCAGAAGCGCAUGGUGCGAGUUACUCUAUUUAUACAGGGGCCACUAAGAUGUACCGUAAUUUGUGGGAGAUCUAUUGGUGGAGUAGGAUGAAGAGAGAUAUUGUAAAGUUUGUAGCUAAGUUCUCUACAUGCCAGCAAGUUAAGGUUGAGCACCAGAAGCCUAGUAGGUCCAUGCAGGAGUUUAUUAUUCCCAUAUGGAAAUGGGAGAAAGUGAACAUGGAAUUUAUGACAGGUUUGCCUCAUACCCAUCAUUAACAUGACUCUAUUUGGGUUAUCGUAGACAGGAUGACCAAAUCAAUUUAUUUUUUACCAGUCCAUACCUCUUACUCAGCUGAGGACUAUGCCAACCUCUAUCUCAAAGAGUUGGUUAGGUUGCAUGAUGUUCCCUUAUCUAUCAUCUCAGAUAGAGUUUCUCGGUUUACCUCUCACUUUUGGAAAGCAUUCCAAAAGGGUCUUAGUACCUAAGUCCAACUCAGUACAGCCUUCCACCCUUAGACAGAUGGUUAAGUAGAAAGGACCAUUCAGACUCUUGAGAAUAUGCUAAGAGCAUGCGUUGCUGAUUUCAAGGGUAGUUGGGAUGACCAUUUUUCUUUGAAUGAAUUUGCAUACAAUAACAGUUAUUAUUAUAGUGUCUGUAUGGCUCCGUUUGAGGCUCUCUAUGGUAGGAGAUGUAGAUCUUCAAUUGGUUGGUUUGAAGUAGGUGAGGCUACAGUAGUAGGGCCUAACUUGGUGUUUGAUGUGUUAGAGAAGGUUCAAUUAAUUAGAGAAAGGCUGAGGUAGCCCAGAGCCAACAAAAAUCAUAUGAAGAUAUGAGGAGAAAGGAUCUCGAGUUUGAAGUUGGUGAUCUUGUUUUCUUAAAAAUUUCUCCCAUGAAGAGAGUGAGGAGAUUCGGCAAGAAAAGGAAACUCAGACCCCGAUAUAUUGGUCUCUUCAGAAUCCUCAGUUUUUUUUGAAAAGGUAGCUUAUGAGCUAGAGUUGCCUACAAAUUCCUCAGUACACCCUGUGUUCCAUGUCUCAUUGUUGAAAAAGUAUAGUGGAGAUCCAUUUGUAGUUAUUCCCUUAGAAAGUGUAGAUAUUCAGAACAGUCUUUCCUUUGAGAAAGUUUCAGUCAAAAUUCUUGAUCUUCAAGUUCGUAGACUAAGGAACAAAGAAUUUCCACUAGUUAAAGUUCUUUGGUAGAAUCAGACCGUUGAGGGAGCCACUUAGGAAGCAGAGGUAGAUAUGCGAACCAAGUGCCCUCAUCUCUUCUCUACGACUCCAAAUUCAGUAGAAGGUACCAAAUCUUCUCAAGAUUUUUCUAUAUCAUGUUCAGUUUCAGUUGCACAUUAUGUUCAUGUCAGUCGUGCAUUCAUGAAUUAGUUCAUUCAUGAAUUCCAUGCAUCAUACAUGCAUAUUCAGUGUGUAAGCUCAGUCCAUCAGUGCCCUCAGCUUAACCAAUUUCAUUUGGGGACGAAUCAUCCCAAGGGGGAGAUAUUGUAACAACCCGUAUUUCCCUAGCAUAAUCUAAGUCCCAAUGCAUGAGUAUUCAUAUAUGAAAUUUUUUAAACACUCAUUAUUUUUCAGUUUAGAUCCUGCCAUUGCAUAGAAAUUCAAUUAGCUUUCCAAUGAUAUAAAAUUUGCCCAAAUCCAAUAACCGGGUAAGAAGUUAUGGCAAUUUUAAGUUUCAGUCGCAAAACCCCAACACUGUAACCCUUAGCGCAUCGCGGAGCCAGCAUAAAUGACAAUUGUCAAUUUCUAGUGAAGCUUCGUGAAACCACUGCAUCAUACGUCAGCCAAAAUCCUAACUAUCCAUUUCCAGUAUCUUGUCGCGAUAAUGGCGCAUCAUGCCAAAGGUGAAUUUCAGAAUCAAAAAGGGUACCGCAUUCCUCCGCAUCGCACCAUAGACCAGUUUCCCAGUUGUCCAAUUCCAGUGGCUUGGUGCGAUAGUGACGCAUCGUGCCAAGGCUAAAAAUUAAGUUUUUCAGUUUUCACCUUUCAUUUUUGUAACACCCCGUAUUUCAGGCUAGAAUAAAACCAUGACUUUGACACAUUGAUAAUCCCAUAGCUUAAAUCCUAUGCCAAUUUGGCAUGUUAAUCAAAUAUGUAGUAUGUGAAUCCAUUUGAGCAUGAAUUUAUAUCAUAGAGGUCCUUCAACUCAAGGAGGAAUUGAAACUAUUUUGAUCGAUUAAGUUUUAGUGGAUGUUGUAAUUUGUGUCAGCUUUCAUCGACCAUAACUCUCUUUAUAUGUCGAAUUAGAGAGCCAACUAUGUGUCAAAUGAUAGAUGUUCGAGUUAACUUUCCAACAAUACCAAUUUUUCUAAAAUCCAGCACCCGAGAAAGAUCUUAUGGUCUUAGAAAGUAGUAUGCAUCGCCUAACCAAUCGCACAUGGCCACUGGAAAGCAUAUGCGAUAGCAUAUGCGGCGCCUAUGUAAAUAUAGCCAAUAUCAAAUGUGGCUUCUAUGUAAAUAUAGCCUACAUCAUAUACGGCGCCUAUGUAAAUAUAUGCGAUAUCAUAUAUGGCGCAUAUCUUAUAGUUUCAAGUGACUUAAACACUCUAUUUUUGGGGCAAAAUGAUCCUUUUCCCACCCUUAUUCAGCCAUAAAUACGAAAUUCAGUCCCUAAUUCUCCAAAAUACAUCUACAUUCAUCUAAAAAUUCUCAAGAACACUCCCAAGGGUUUAAAACUAAAAAUCUAAAUAAAUCAAGAUUUAACCGUGGGUUUUGAAAAUUGAUUAGAGAUUCAGAAUCCCCAAUCCACAGGCUUCAAGAAGCACCCAUUAUUUUCUGAAAUAGAGGUACGAGGGGUUUUCCUAAAUUCUCAUGGGCAUAGAAAAAUUAUGUUUUAGAAUGGGGUUUUUGAAUCUAUGUAUAUAUUCAUGUAUUAAAUGUUCUAACAUCAUUGUUUUGCUCUUUCGACCUUUCCCAAAGUGAUUUAAGAAUAUAAAUGUAUGAAACCAUGUAUUUAAGAAUGAAUUCUUGUUGAGAGCAUGAUUUUCGGUGAAUUUGCUCUUAUUAUGAAUUUUUCAGAUUUCUCAUAGCAUAUGAAUUAUUUUGCAAUGCAUCCUUGAAAAGCACUAUAUGAAAGAUUGAACUCUUGCUAUGAUUUAAAGGUGGUUUUAAAUCACUAAAGAGGGAAUCUAGCAUGAAUGUUUAAUGUUCAUAAUGCAUGUAAUGAAAGAGUGCAUGGAUUUGCUAAAGGCACUAGACCACCAUAUGUUGAUGAAGUUUUUGCAUGAUUUUGACAUGAGUUUCAAAACACGAAAUCUUCUAUAUCAGUUGCAUGUUUUUGGUGAUCUAAACUGUGCUUUAAAUGAAAGAUUUAGAUUAAUGUAUUAUGGCUAAAAAAUCAAGACUUGCAAGUCUUGGUAUGACGAUACCAAUUCAGACCAAUGUCAUAUCAGACUCAGACUAAUAGAAAUUUCAGACUAUCAUGAUUUUAGAUAUUCAGAUUGUUGUAUGUACAGAAAAGGUUAAAAAUGGGAAUACAGAGAUAUUAGGUGGUUCCCUAAAGAGGUCUUGAGUUCAAGCAAGUCAUUGCCUAAAACCAUGGUUUUCUAACUCGAGUAUAUUAUUCUAUACUGACUUAAGUGUCGUGUGGUAUAUCAGAUUCAGGAACUCCAACCCUUGCGGCAUACUCAGGUUGAAGGCUUCCCCGCCGAGUCAAUGGCAGAUUCCAUAUCGCCCAUGGAAUAUCAGACUUAUAAGGGAUACCGCCUAACUCAAAAGUAAUACACAGAUCAGAGUUUGAGAUUUACAGACAGGUUACAUAUUUUCAAAUGGUGCCCAUGUGUUUUUCAGAAGCUAUUUUAUGCAUAAUGUUUGAUGAAAAUUUUCUCUCAUGUAUUAUAUAUAUAAAUAUGUUCAAUUACUCUAUUUUGGAUUGCUUCGCAUGCCAGUUCAAUUGUGCUGACCUCCCUUUCUCCCAAGUACUGAGGCGCAGUCUAGGGGUCUAGAUCCUCAGUAGAGUCUAUAGACAGGGUUGUCUCAGAGUUUAGCUGGUGAACCUUCUUUUCUUUGGAAGGCCUAGUCAUUUAGGUAUUUAUUUCAGCAUGGUUUUUAGUCUGCUGGGGGCUUUGUCCCAGUUAUUCAGAUAGUAUGUCAGUAGAGAUUUCACAGACUAUUGCAGAUGUUUAUUAAAUAUUGCUGGGCAUGUUUUCAGGCCUUUAACUAUUUUAAAUUGUUGACUAUGUUUUCGUAUUAUUAUGUCUAUUUCGUAUUACUUUGAUCAUAUAAAUUAUGUGCAUGAUUACCAGAUAGACAGAGGGCAUUCCAGGCCUUCGGGUUCAGGGAUGCUCGUCACGGCCAGGGCCCUAUUUUAGGUCAUGAAAAACUUAGUAUCAGAGCACGGCUCAUUGUCCCAAGGUAUUUGUGAAAUCGUAUUAGGUAGAGUCUUAUUUAUAGGUGUGUAGCGUGCCACACUUAUAAGUGGAAGGCUACUAGGCAUUUAGAAAUGUCUCUCUUUCUUCAUGUUCUAGUUCAUGCUAUAGAGUCAGAAUGUUCCUCCUUCAUACUCUAAUUCAUGCUAUGGUGUCACUAAUACAAAAAGAAAAGUUAUCCGAAUUUCUUCCUCACUCUGGUGUUCCAGAUAUUCUCCAAUUAUCUAGUAGAAAUUUUAAAAGUCCCAUAAAGGAUGGGAGAGGAGUUCCCUAGUGUAAAAUUGUGUCCUCAUUCUUAUGAGGCGUUCAAUUAAGACAAGAGUAAGAUGUGUAUUCUUGAGUCAUUGAAUAUUGUGUAUCAAGCUUCUAUCUCUUGUAAUCUUGAUACCAUUAUGUUGUUGAAAACAAAAGUUUAGUGAAGCCGUGUGAGGCCUAUUUCGAUUCACUAUCAUUGUUUCCUUGUCAUUUAUCUUAUUCUUCUUCAAAACACAAAAAUUAAAGUCUAGUGAAGCCGUGUGAGGCCUAUUUUGAUUCACUAGCAAAUUGUUGUUCAUCUUGUUGUUCUUGUAUUUGUUGGAACUAUAUUUCCACCUAAGUAGUAGUAUAAGUUAGAGUGUCGGUGUCAUGACCUAUUGGUAGUGAAAUCAGACCAAGAAGUUUGUGAUAUGAAGUCACAAGUUUAGAGGUCAGAGUGAUAGUGACUUUUGUGAUUUAAUAUUUAUAGUUGAAUAACAGUUGAUUGAGAAUGAUUUACCUUUUCAUGGUGGUAGACUAAUGUGGUGGUACCAUUUAUGGAUUAUAUGGUAGUCCAUGGAGGAAGUGUUGACUCAGAUUGUUAUUUGUUUUCUUCCUUUCAAAAUAGAGAAAGAGCCUAGAGUGGAUAUUUAAGGUGGUUAUAGAAAUCCUUAUAGGNNNNNNNNNNNNNNNNNNNNNNNNNNNNNNNNNNNNNNNNNNNNNNNNNNNNNNNNNNNNNNNNNNNNNNNNNNNNNNNNNNNNNNNNNNNNNNNNNNNNNNNNNNNNNNNNNNNNNNNNNNNNNNNNNNNNNNNNNNNNNNNNNNNNNNNNNNNNNNNNNNNNNNNNNNNNNNNNNNNNNNNNNNNNNNNNNNNNNNNNNNNNNNNNNNNNNNNNNNNNNNNNNNNNNNNNNNNNNNNNNNNNNNNNNNNNNNNNNNNNNNNNNNNNNNNNNNNNNNNNNNNNNNNNNNNNNNNNNNNNNNNNNNNNNNNNNNNNNNNNNNNNNNNNNNNNNNNNNNNNNNNNNNNNNNNNNNNNNNNNNNNNNNNNNNNNNNNNNNNNNNNNNNNNNNNNNNNNNNNNNNNNNNNNNNNNNNNNNNNNNNNNNNNNNNNNNNNNNNNNNNNNNNNNNNNNNNNNNNNNNNNNNNNNNNNNNNNNNNNNNNNNNNNNNNNNNNNNNNNNNNNNNNNNNNNNNNNNNNNNNNNNNNNNNNNNNNNNNNNNNNNNNNNNNNNNNNNNNNNNNNNNNNNNNNNNNNNNNNNNNNNNNNNNNNNNNNNNNNNNNNNNNNNNNNNNNNNNNNNNNNNNNNNNNNNNNNNNNNNNNNNNNNNNNNNNNNNNNNNNNNNNNNNNNNNNNNNNNNNNNNNNNNNNNNNNNNNNNNNNNNNNNNNNNNNNNNNNNNNNNNNNNNNNNNNNNNNNNNNNNNNNNNNNNNNNNNNNNNNNNNNNNNNNNNNNNNNNNNNNNNNNNNNNNNNNNNNNNNNNNNNNNNNNNNNNNNNNNNNNNNNNNNNNNNNNNNNNNNNNNNNNNNNNNNNNNNNNNNNNNNNNNNNNNNNNNNNNNNNNNNNNNNNNNNNNNNNNNNNNNNNNNNNNNNNNNNNNNNNNNNNNNNNNNNNNNNNNNNNNNNNNNNNNNNNNNNNNNNNNNNNNNNNNNNNNNNNNNNNNNNNNNNNNNNNNNNNNNNNNNNNNNNNNNNNNNNNNNNNNNNNNNNNNNNNNNNNNNNNNNNNNNNNNNNNNNNNNNNNNNNNNNNNNNNNNNNNNNNNNNNNNNNNNNNNNNNNNNNNNNNNNNNNNNNNNNNNNNNNNNNNNNNNNNNNNNNNNNNNNNNNNNNNNNNNNNNNNNNNNNNNNNNNNNNNNNNNNNNNNNNNNNNNNNNNNNNNNNNNNNNNNNNNNNNNNNNNNNNNNNNNNNNNNNNNNNNNNNNNNNNNNNNNNNNNNNNNNNNNNNNNNNNNNNNNNNNNNNNNNNNNNNNNNNNNNNNNNNNNNNNNNNNNNNNNNNNNNNNNNNNNNNNNNNNNNNNNNNNNNNNNNNNNNNNNNNNNNNNNNNNNNNNNNNNNNNNNNNNNNNNNNNNNNNNNNNNNNNNNNNNNNNNNNNNNNNNNNNNNNNNNNNNNNNNNNNNNNNNNNAUUUCUCAGUGAUCCUAAUACCUACUCAUGCUUUACGAUUUAGUUCCAUGAUCAGUUCACGUUCAUACAUAUGAUAGAGAGUCAUGUACUCACGUUUUAUAAUGUGCUCCAUUUUCAUAACUCAUGUUUUACGCCAAAUGAUCGGCGAGAUUCAGCUUAUAGCCAUGAAUACCCUAAAUUUAGAGCGCUUUGGUGAGUACCUAUUGUUUUUUUGCUAUUCCUCAAGCCUCAGAUGAGUGUCAAGCUUCUUAUAGUAUCAUCCAUGCCUCCAGAUCUUAUGUUCUAACCUUUUUGUGACUCCUCCUUAUGCGAUGAUAGUGGUGGUGAGUAAUUAUUCCUUAUUGAUGAAAGAUCAUAGUACGCUUGUUUAGAUAAGGCCAUAAGUAUGAAGUAAAAUUUGGGGCCAAGUUUAUAUUUAUGUGAUGGUUAGUGGAAUUUUGUAUGUGUAUGUUCUUAGGGUAGCUCGUGGGAGUGAUAUUGAUAGUGGUUUAGAGAAUAUGUAAAGUAUGCCUUUAUGAGUGUUUGCUUUGAAGUUCAUAUGUGGUUAUAAAGAUAGACUUGAAUGACAUGUCGAGAUUUUUGUAAAGGAAUGCUAUAUACGCUAGCGACUUUAUAGUAAGAGUUCAGAGUAGUCAUUGAAGUGGUAAGGCAUGUUAUACUUAGGAUGUGAUCUUUAAAGGAGAUAUAGAAGAUUGCAUCAUAUGUUUUAGAAUAAUAGCGUGGUCUGGCAUGUUGUAUUUUUGUGACUUAGAGUUAGGCUUGAUCACGGCAAAGGGAUUAAGUUAUUUCUGACAUUAGUAGAAAGAUUUGUCAAUGCUCAUAUGAGAAUUUUAAGCUGAGUUGAAUGAAUAUGAUAUUUAAGGAGAAUAGUAUAGUUAAGUGAUAUUCUAGAAAUGUGCUAAGCUUGAAAGUAAGAAGUUGUAAUGCCAAAGGCCUUGUAAUUCUAUCCUAAUUCAGGAGUUAUAUGCCUAUGUUCCAGACUGCAGAGUAGUGUCAAUGUGGUGAUUCCUCANNNNNNNNNNNNNNNNNNNNNNNNNNNNNNNNNNNNNNNNNNNNNNNNNNNNNNNNNNNNNNNNNNNNNNNNNNNNNNNNNNNNNNNNNNNNNNNNAGGGUGUAGUAUAAUUCAGUCUGUAUGGCCAAUAAGUCAGUUUAGCAGUCAGAUUCGCAUGACUUAUUUUCUCGUCUUUGCACUUAUUCAUGCUACUCGAAAUCUCAGACAUGCUACUAUUCCUAGAUAGAGUAUACCAGUAGUUACGAGUAUUGCCCAGUUCAUGAAUCAUGCAUUAAAUUCUGAUUCCAGAUGUUCAGUUAUGAUUCAAUUCGUAGGUUCCCUAUGCAUCGCCUCAGUUUUCCGAGUAUCUUAGUGAAUUGAGCAUUCAUAGAGGGACAUAGGGCACCAAGGGGGAGAUACCUCAUUCAGUUGCAUGCAUAGAUUCUUAUUACAAGCUUCGCAUCAGCUAUUAUUGCGUAUUUAGCCAUACGUUCAUACGUUAGUUCAGUCAGAUAUGCAUGCAUUAGAAAUGCAUGUUCAAUAGAAAAGUUUAGCUUAUCAGUGUAUUCAGUCCUGCAUUCAUGAGAACAACUUGGUCACAGAUCCAUGCAUCAAAUAUGCAUGAUUCAUUAUGAGAAUUCAGCCUAUGAGUAGCUUCAGUCGUGUUCCAUGCCUCGGUUAUACAUGUCUGGCAUAAGCAUUUAAAACAUCAGUAGUUCCAAUCUUAUAGUCAUGUUUUCAAUCAGUGUAUUCUUUCUUAGGGAACAUAUCAUGUCUGCGUUAUCCCAUACCCUUAAGACUUCGACAUUCUAUGCAUCAUUUGGGGACGAAUGAUCCCAAGGGGGUGAUAAUGUAACACCCUGCAUUUUGGGCUAGAAUAAAAACCAUGACUCUAACGCAUUGAUAAUCCCAGAGCCUUAAAUCCUAUGCCAAUUUGGCAUGUUAAUCAAUUAUGUAGUACGUGAAUCCAUUUGAGCAUGAAUUUAUACCAUAGAGGUCUUUCAACUCAAGGAAGAAGCUAAAAUCCAACACCCGAGCAAGAAGUUAUGGUCUUUCAAAGUAGUAUGCGUCGCCUAACCAAUAGCACAUGGCUACUGGAAAGCAUAUGCGAUAGCAUAUGCGGUGCCUAUGUAAAUAUAGGUGAUAUCAUAUGCGGCGCCUAUCUAACAAUAGGCGAUAUCAUAUGCAGAGCCUAUGUAAAUAUAGGCGAUAUCAUAUGCGGCGCCUAUGUAACAAUAGGCGAUAUCAUAUGCAGCGCCUAUGUAAAUAUAGGUGAUAUCAUAUGCGGCGCCUAUGUAACAAUAGGCGAUAUCAUAUGCAGAGCCUAUGUAAAUAUAGGCGAUAUCAUAUGCGGCGCCUAUGUAAAUAUAUGUGAGAUCAUAUGCGGCAUAUAUCUUAUAGUUUCAUGUGACUUAAACACUCCGUUUUUGGGGAAAAAUGGUCCUUUUCCCACCCUUAUUCAGCCAUAAACACGAAAUUCAGUCCCCAAUUCUCCAAAAUACAUCUACAUUCAUCUAAAAAUUCUCAAGAACACUCCCAAGAGUUUCAAACUAAAAACCCAAAUAAAUUAAGAUUUAACCGUAGAUUUUCAAAAUUGAUUAGAGAUUCGGAAUCCCUAAUCCACAGGCUUCAAGAAGCACCCAUUAGUUUUCGAAAUAAAGGUACGUGGGGUUUUCCUACAUUCUCGUGGGCAUAGAAAAAUCAUGUUCUAGAAUGGGAUUUUUGAAUCUAUGUAUAUAUUCAUGUAUUAAAUGUUUUAACAUCAUUGUUUUGGUCUUUUGACCUUUCCCAAAGUGAUUUGAGAAUAUGAAUGUAUGAAACCCUGUAUUUAAGAAUGAAUUCUUGUUGAGCGAAUGAUUUUCAGUUAAUUCCCUCUUAUUAUGAAUUUUUCAGAUUUCUCAUAGCAUAUGAAUUGUUUUGCAAUGCAUCCUUAAAAAGCACUAUAUGAAAUGAUUGAACUAUUGCUAUAAUUUAGAGGUGGUAUUAAAUCACUAAAGAGGGAAUCUAGCAUGAAUGUUUAAUGUUCAUAAUGCAUGUAAUGAAAGAGUGCAUAGAUUUGCUAAAGGCAUUAGACCACCAUAUGUUGAUGAAGUUUUUGCAUGAUUUUGACUUGAGUUUCGAAACACGAAAUCUUCUAUAUCAGUUGCAUGUUUUUGGUGGUCUAAAUUAUGCUUUUAAAUGAAAGAUUUAGCUUAAUGUAUUAUGGCUUAGAAAUCAUGACUUGCAAGUCUUGGUAUGACGAUACCAAUUCAGACCAAUGCCAUAUCAAACUCAGACUAAUAGACAUUUUAGACUAUUAUGAUUUUAGGCAUUCAGAAUAUUGCAUGUACAGAAAAGGUUAAAAAUGGGCAUACAGAGAUGUUAGGUGGUUCCCUGAAGAAGGCUUGAGUUCAAGCAACUCAUUGCCUAAAACCAUGGUUUUCCGACCUGGGUAUAUUAUUAUACACUGACUUAAGUGUUGUGUGGCGUAUCAGAUCCAGAAACUCCAACCCUUGUGGCAUACUCGGGUCAGAGGCUUCCCAGUCGAGUCAAUGGCGGAUUCCAUAUCGCCCGUGGAAUAUCAGACUUGUAAGGGAUACCACCUAACUCAAAAGUAAUACACAGAUCAGAGUUUGAGAUUUACAGACAGGUUACAUGUUUUCAGAAGGUGCCCAUGUGUUUUUUAGAAACUAUUUUAUUCAUAAUGUUUGAUGAAAAUUUGCUCUCACGUAUUUUAUAUAUAUAUAUGUUCAAUUACUCUAUUUUGGAUUGCUUCAUGUGCCAGUACAAUUGUACUGACCCCCCCCCUUUCUCCCAGGUAUUGAGGCACAGUCUAGGGGUCUAGAUCCUCAGUAGAGUCUACAGACAGGGUUGUCUCAGAGUUCAGUUGGUGAGCCUUCUUAGCUUCGGAAGGCCUAGUCAUUUAGGUAUUUAUUUCAGUAUGGUUUUUGGUCUGCUGGGGGCCUUGUCCCAGUUAUUCAGAUAGUAUGUCAGUAGAGAUUCCACUGAAUGUUGCAAAUGUUUAUUAAAUAUUGUUGGGCAUGUUUUUAGGCCUUUAACUUUUUUAUAUUGUUGAACAUGUUUCCGUAUUAUUGUGUUUAUUCUGUAUUAAUUUGAUCAUAUGAAUUAUGUGCAUGAUUACCAGAUAGAUAGAGGGCGUUUUGGUCCUUCAGGUUCGGGGAUGCUCAUCAUGGACUGGGCCUCGAUUCGGGUCGUGAUAGUUUUAAAAUUUGUUCAGGGGUAUUUGGGUCUUUUUCCACGGCCUUAAUUAACCUAAAACUCAAAAUUUAACCCCUAAACACCCUCAGUAGUCAUCAUUAUUUCAAUUCCUCUCACAAUCGAAAAUCCCUCUUUCAAGAAAAAAAAACCUAGCUCUCAAGAAUCAAGGUCAAAUCUCAAGAACUUUCCAUCAAUCCUUCCAAAUUCAUCAUCCCGGGUAUGUUAGAUGUUCAUCCAUGGAGUCCACGCAACCUUUUUAAAUUAUAAAAAUUGUGAUCUUUUUAAGUUAUUGUAUUUUAAAUUGGGAUUUCACCCAUGAAUUUCCAGGAACUAUGACUCUAUACCAUGUUACCAUGAAAUUAUUGUUAUUAUUCAAUCCUUCAUAUUUUAAUAUUAUUAUUUAUUAAAUUAAACCAUGAUUUAAUGCUAUUAUGAUGAAUUCAUGCUAUUUCUAAAAGUUUCAUGACAUUUCUAUGAUUGUUUUAAAACCAUGAACUACAAGUGUUUGAUAAAAUGUCUACAAGAGUGAUUUAUUUAAUAAGAGCCUUCAUGUUUUGGCCUUCAAGCUUUAGUGUCUUUUCAGUAUUGUUGUUUUUAGUCCUGGGGGUAUUGAAUACCCAAAAACCAUAGAUGUUUAUUUAUUCUAGCCUCAGUACAUUGCAGAAUAGUCUUUAGAUUAUAUUAUGAGCAUUAUAGAAUAGUCAGAUAUCAGUUAUUCAACUCAGAAUAGUCUAGGUUCUCAGUGUCUUUCAUUUGGGAGUAGGAUUUAGCACCGAGUGAGUGUAGGGAUAGCAACUUCCCUGUCAGAUAUGCAGAAUCAUUAGUAGAAGUCCCCAUACUCCAGAACUUCGUAGCUAUCAUAGGAUAUGAGUAGUCACCCGUCAGACUAGGCUUGACUAUCUCACAGGGGUCACCCGUCAGUUCAUGCUUUACAUCCUUAGUGCUUUAGAUAUUAUAUCAGUUUAGUGGAUCCACACAGCCAUCGUUUGUACCCGUGGCACAGUAUUAACAUCCUUCCAAUUGGGGUUACAGGUUGUACCUCGAUUAGCUCAAAUUAGGAAAUAUCGGUUAGAUGAUACCUCCCACAGUCUCAGUUACAGUCCUAGCUCAGUUAUCCAGUCUUAGUAUUGUUUGACCAAAGCAUACAGAUUUCAGUUAUCUCAGUAUAUCAGUGUACAGAUUUUAUUCAUUUCAUGUCGUGUGCUUGGUCAUGCAUCCACAGUAUUUAUAGUUUUUCAUGCAUUAUCAGUGUCUACAGAUUCUAUAUUUUCUAUUCAGUACUCUAUGCUUUACAUGUAUGUCCAGUUAAUUCUUAUCAUUCCUAUUCAUGAGACCAUGCAUAUUACCCUACCUCAUUUAGCAUUCCAGUUCAUUCAAAGUAUUGAUCGCAUACCUUUUCUUUUGUGCUAUGAUGUCUCAUAUCAUAGGUGCUGAUUCUCAGUUCCCGGAUCAUACCUAGAUUCUCAAAUUAUCGGUAGUACAGUAGCAGUGGUAAGUCCUCAUCAUCCGAGGACAGAUUAUAUUACUUCAUGUCUUUAUCUUAGUAGUUAGAAGAGUUAGUUGGGGCAUGUCUCAUCAACUCACAGUAUCCAGUUUAAAGGCUUUUUAGACAUUACAGUUAGUUAUUCAGACUAUUCAGAUUUUAGUAUUUUAUCAGAAUCAUAAUUUAGUAGCUAUUUCAUUAUUAAAAUCUUAUGGCAUUUCAGCUAUUCUUCUACAUUCAUGAUUAUAUUUUUUAGUGCUUACAGCAGGUACCAGCUCAUGGGUUAGCUUGUGGUCUCUCGGGACCGUAAGCACCGUGUAACGACUAGGGGGAAGUCUUGGGUUGUUACGUUGAACAUACAUAUUCUUGAGGUGUUGGAGUAGAUGCCUGGAUAUGCCAGGUUUUUAAAGCAAUUGUUACAAAAAAAGAAAGGGGCUACGAUUGAGGAUAUUCAUGGGUUGCACCACUGUAGUGCUGUCACGACUAGGUCUAUGGCCUAGAAAAAAGUAAUCCCAAAGCAUUCAUUAAACCAUGCACUAUAUGGUCAUCCCGGUUCGCCAAAGCCUUAUGUGACUUAGGAGCCAGCAUAAAUUUAAUGUUGUUGGCUAUACUCAAGAAAAUAGGCUUGAGCCCUCCUGAACCAACUGCAAUGAGAUUGUUGAUGGCUUACCACACUAUGAAUAAACCUUCAGGUAUUUUUCUAGGUGAUUCUGAAAUUUGAUAACUUCAGCUUUCUGACUGACUUUGUCAUUUUGGACUGUGAGGUAUACAUUAAGAUGCCCAUUAUAUUAGGGAGACCAUUUAUGGCCACAGGUAGAGGCGAUAAUUGACAUGGGGAAGAGAGAUCUUAAGUUCAAAAUCAAUGGUGAGAAGGCCACAUUCAAUAUCUAAAAAUUAAUGAAGCAACCGACUGACAUAAGGAUGGUGUCGGUGAUAGACUGUAUUGAUGACCUAUGUGGGUAUUCCUAUGGGUACCUUGAUGAAUUCUGAGUAAAAUAAGUACCUACAUAUUGCCACGAUGCUAAACCAAAAUUGCAUUGGAAGAAACCCAUGGACUUAUCGGUGAAGUCUGAGUAACCAGCAUAGUUAUGUCAUGUCGCGACGUUAAAACAAGCGUUGGGUAGGAGGCAACCCAAUAUUUUAGUGAUCACUUUUAUUUGUUUUUCUUUUGUAGGUUUAUAGCUUAUGGACUUACCUAGAAUAUGAUAGGAUUGCUAUAUUCACAACUUUCCAAGUAAGGGGACUUUAUGAACCCAUCAGGGUUUUAAGUCUCACUCGAAUCAGGUAAUGUUUAGCGAUAAUUGAAGAAAAAAUGAAAUUGUAAGGAUAAUAAUGGAAAAUUCUGGACUUUGAUACAUAAUCAUACCUUUGAAUCCCUAAAUUUAAGUUAUAGAACCAUAAAUAGAUAGGAAAACAUUAAAACACAAAGUCCAAGAAGCAAGAAGUUAGGCCCAAAGAUCAGGCCCACAUGCACCCAGCAAAUGCAGACCGCAUGUGGGACAUACACCCACUGGCAGGCUACAUGUGCCUACCGCAAGUGAAUUUUAGUUAAAAUUUUGGGCCUACUAAUGUGUAUUUAAGCGAUAAUUUGGCCUCCCACACAAUUUAAACAUAUUUUUCCUCAUUCGAACCCAUUCAAAUGCUCAAAAUAUCAUUUUUCUCUUUAAAUCCAAACUUUCAUCUCAAAGCAUAAAUUAGUCCCGCAGUAAGAAAAAGGCCAAAUUAAAACUUAUUUGAAGUACUACAUUGUCCCAUCAUGCUAAAUACAAGCUUAAUCUAUGGUUUUACCGUAUUUCUUCAUAAUUUACUCCCGGGUUAUCAAAGAAAAGGUAACUUUUUUGGCUCCUAAGAGUUAUGUUUUGAUUUAAAUAGUAAACAAGCAAGUUGAUAUGUGUAUUUUUACAUGAAAAAUAUAUAGAAAUAAGCAUGCUUGUGUAUAGGAGCCUUGAAGUAGCCUAAAAUCUUGAUGUAGGACUUUGUUUUGAAUUAAAUUCUAAGGUUAGGCCCCGAAUGGAAGUUGAACUUGAACAAAUAAAGGAAUACCAAAAGUUGGGCAUGUUAAUUUGCAUUGAAAAUCAUUAUUAUUGAUAUAUGUGGGAACGUUAGACUUUUUGGGACUUCAAAUAAGUUACAGGAUUGAAAAAAUUGAGGAAAAAUUCAAACUUUUCAAAUUUUGAGUUUUUCUUCAACUUUUGCAAUCCCUUAUUUUUUGGGGGGAAACAAAUGGCUAGUUUUUAUGGUACACAUAGCACCAAAAGCCGCUAAGAAUAAGGUUGAUACAUCAAGGAAAUAGGAUGAGUCCCCCAAUCCCAGUGGUUCAGUAAAGGAGAACUUGGUCGCAUAACUCAGAGAAGCUGCAGGUGGGUGAUAGACAAAGUGACCAGAUGACAAAAGCGUCAGGUAGCUGAGACUAUUAUUUUAAGCAUUAUGGGACAGACGCUACUUGAGCACUCAUAGUAGGGCAGAAGGUCAGCCUUUACUCGACCUAGGUCUUGAGAUGAGGCUAUUCAAGUUGUCCAGGAUGUCCAGGCAGUUGUAGCCCAACCAAGGCUGAAGUCAACACAAAGAUCACCUCUAUAUUCUCCUCUAUCGAGUGAUGAUGAUGAUGAGGAGGAAGAUGCUGAGCCAACUUCAUAGGGUGUAGCUUAGGACCCCCAGUUUGAAGAGGGGUCCUAGAAUUCAUUAGAGAUUGCAGAUCAAGAGGAGUCAUCGAUGAUACCCUAGUAUGAGGAAGGUACCGCAACUCAUGCACAACCUUUAGGUGUACCCAGUCUGAGAAGGGUACAGAGCAGGCUUUAUAUAAGGUGCCCGUUCAAAAUGAUGAGGCACCAGCACAGCAGAGAUAAAGUUCCACAGCCCUUACACAUGCCUUGGAGACACCUCUUGAUGAGGAUAUCCCAAGGUGGUAUGUGGAGAAAAUAUGGAUAAUAUAUGAUAUAGACAAUCAUAUAUCAGAUACCGAUAGACCUAAUAGGCUUAUUUUUUAGGAGCACGGGAUUGAUCUAUCUGGGAUGAGUAGAGUACCACAGUUACGGGCUUUCUUUGAUCGUUACCAGUUGGAAUGGAUGACUAGACCACUCAAGUCUUACAUCCCAACUUUGGUAAGAGAGUUUUAUGCAUCAUAUCAAGCCACAGUUGUUUUUUCAUGUGCUGAUUUCCAGGUCAGGUGAGACAUAUGGAGCAGCCACAACUUGAGCAAACCCUUAUGAGAUAUAUCAGGUUGAUAUUUUAGCAUUGACUAUCUAUUGAGUUAAUAUUGGUCUAAACUAUAUCUCCAAUAUCUACAGUAGAGUAUGACUACAGACUGAGAGUCACACAUGAACAAUAUAUGAUGAGGAAGACAGAGCAAAAACGUGAGAGAAUUAAUAUGGCUAGGUGGAUAGUUAGCUACAUUUCACCCUUGGGUGAUGAGACCCCAUGGAUCGAGGGAUAUGGUGAGAUAAAUAAACACUCAUUGAUGUUUGCUUCUAAGUUUUGGUGGUUGAUCAUUAAAUAUCAAUUAUUCCCCACUACUUCAGCCAAUGUAUUGACUUGGGAAGGAGCCACCCUGAUUGUUAGUAUAAUGGCCUAGCAUGUUAUUGACUUUGCAGCCAUCCUCCGGCAUGAGAUUCAUGAUAAAACCUAUAGGGAGGAAAUGAAUUUUCUAUUCUUGUGCCUUAUUUAGAGAUUGUGUGAUGAGGAUGAAAUACCAGAGAUAUAGGGAGUCAAUGAGAAGUAUUUGUGACAGCUACUGCACAAACAAAGAUAAUGAAGGAUCUGGCAUUCCGGACCCUUCCCAUGAGACCUAGUGAGCCUACCACAGUACCUCGGGUCCAAUUUGAGGGCUCUUUAGUUUCUACCGAUCCUAGUGAUGUACAUAUUUGUGAUGUGGGAGUUAGUGUUAAUCUUGAGAUGGGGGAACAAAGAGAGGCCUCAUAUUUGAGUACUCAAGGUGAGCGGACACUAGCCAUGUCUUCAUUAGCCCCAGCUUCUAGUUCAGAGUCGGUGGGUGUUUCUUCAUUACCCUCUCGGCCAUCCACUACAGCUUUUGCUACAAGUAUGACUUUGGUAUCUCGUGGGUUCUUGCAUAGCCUAGUGGACAUUUAGGGAGUCACUAAUGAGCGGUUACAUAUUAUUGAGACAGAGGUAGCUACUUUAUAUGGGCAGAUCCAGCCAUGGGUCCGGACUAGACUAGAGAUAGUAGAGGCCAGAUGGGAUGUCGCACAUAGAGUUUCUACAUCAGAGUUACGUACUGAUCUAUAGGCACGUAUUGAUACUUUUAAGAGAUGUGUUGUGGCUCUGUUUUUAGAGAUUGAGGUAACAGAUAUAGGUUAUAUUAGUGUAAUACCCCGCAUAUUUCUAAUCCUGUGAUUCAUACUUGAGUACAUGACUUAUAAUGACUAUCCUAGUGAUAGGAUAGCUUAUGAUGCAUUAAGCAUGUUUAUAUGAGUCACUUAAGGUAAUACAAGCUAAGAGUUUUUUUGAAUCCAUCAAGUUUUAGAGUUCGAUUUUGAAAGGUUUAUCUUUGAAUGAGUAUAACUCAAUGUUAAUGUGGUAUUUUGGCUGAUUUAGACCCACCAAGUUGUAGAAAAUCGAAUUAUCUUUCCAACGAUACCAAUUUUGCCUUAAUCCAAUACCCGAGCAAAAAAGUUAUGCCCAUUUUCGUGAGAGACAGUAAGCAUAGGCGAUUGGUUAGUAGCCGCCUAACCCAAGAAUAGGCGAUUGGUUAGGCGCCGCCCAACCCAGGCAUAGGCGAUCACUUGAGCGCCGCCUAAGCUAAUUCCAGGUGUCAAAAACACUCCGUCUUGAGUUAUUUUAAAGGGAAUUAAGUCUUUAAAUACUCCUUAUACGUCCCUAAACUUAACCCUACAAAAUUUAUAUGUUCUAAACAUACUACAACCCUAUUUUCAUCUCAAAGCUCAUCAUCCAAGAGCACUAAAAGAGAAAAACAACUAGGGUUGCAUAAGUAAGCUUGAAGAUCUGAUUUCAAGGAAAUUCCUCCGUCAAUCAUCAAGAAUUUUCCUUCUAAGGUAUGCAUAGUGCUCAUCUAUGGAUUCAAUUCGUUCAUAGAAUUCAAGAAUCAAUCUUUAAAAUACAAAAGCUUGGUUGAUUGUGGUGAUAUGAUCAUACCCAUGUUAAUGCUUGUUUGUUUUCCCCUUUUUCAUUAUAAAAGUAUGAUUUUUAUAUUUUUGGGUGUUGAUGAUCAUAUUGUUGAUAUCGGGUGAUUCCCAAGAUGGAAUCUUUAUAUGUUUUUGUGAAUUCAUGAUAUCAUAUGAGUUGGAAACAUGUAAAUUUGGUUCUUAUGUAUAUAUAAUUUGAUGAAUUCACCUAUGCUUAAGAUGUGCAUGUAAGGUGUUUGAUAAAUUGCCUAAGGAACUAGAAAUCAUACAAUAUAGCUAAAUUGUGACUAAGUGAAGGAUUCAUGAUAUGCCGUUACAUUCCAAUGACUUCUAUGAUUGAUAAUGUGCCUUGUACAUGUUGUUGGAAUACUCAUGAACUAUUCUUAUGAGAUUGUGCUAUGUUUACUUGCAAAUCCUACUUAUGAACAAGCUGUAUGAUAAUCAUACAAUCCACAUGAACUUCCAUGCUAUUAGUAUGUGUUACCAAUAUGAUUAUGCAACGAACAUGAUAUUAAGAUUGUACAAGUGCUUCCAUGUGAUAUGAAAUCCUUUCCAUGCAAUACAUUGUUGAUAACCAUUCAUAGUAUGAGAUCCCUACUUAUGAUAUUAUAGAUUAUGGACUCUACUCUUAUGAUCAAGUCAGUCAUGUUCGUCAGUUUCCUUCCAUCGAGUCCUGGGGGUACUAGUACCCAAAAACUAUAGCUGUGUUCCUAGAUCCAUGUCAUGUUUCACGAUAUCCGAACUCAAGCUAUGAUUCCAUAGACUUCAGUCAGUCAUGUGACUCAGGAAAAUCUUAUGAUCUUAGUCAGUUGUCAGAUAUCAGUAACAUUCCGUCAGUCAUUGGAAUUCAGUAAACUUAGUUUAGCUAUGCUAAACAAUACCACUAGUAUCAGUCCAGUUAAUCAGUAUUAGUUCAGCUAAUUAGUUCAGUUCAGUUAUUUAGUUCAGCUUAGUUAUUCAGUUCAGUGUCUUUCAGAUGAGAGUAGAGAUUAGCAUCAAGUGAACCCAAGGAUGGGAACUCACCCACCAGUUCAGGGUGUGAUUCUUAGUAGCAAUCCUUGUGUUCCAGAACUACGUAGCCAGCAUAGGUUGAGACAUCUUAACCCAUUAGCUUAGGGUUGAUGAGGUGGCUUAAACCGUCAGUUUAGGGUUCCCACCAUUUUCAUUGAGUACUUUCCAUAUUAGGGUCACUCACAGCUGUCCUUACCAGUGGUACGGUAUUGACACCCCUCCAGUCAGGGCAGAGAUUGGACCUCAGCUUAGCCAUAACGGCAUACAUGGGGUAUAUCAGUUAAACACUAUUUCCCAUAGUUUCAGUAUCAGUUUUAGUAAAAGAACUUGGAUAGUUCUUUAGAUUUUAGUAUAUACAGGACUGUCAGAUACAGCCGUCCAUGUUAUCAGUUUUAGUAUUAGUCAGGGCAGUUACCAGUAAACCAUGUACUAGCUUACAAGUCAUGCUAUCACGUAUUCACGAUCCCAGUUUCUAUAUAUAUGUGUUUACAUUCGCACGUUCAUAUUAGUCAGCCAGUGUUGUUCAUACAUGAAACCUUUUAUGUUUAGCCUACCUUCCUCAUAUACUCAGUACUCCAGUUGUACUGACGCAUUUCCACUAUGGUUCUUUUUUUUAUGUUACACCAUAGGUUUUGAGACACGAGCUCCAGCCCAGCAGUAGCGGUAGCGUUCUAGUCUUAGAGACACAGUGAGUCCUUAUUGAUUCGAGGACAAUAUCAUUUGAUUCAUUUAUUUACUCUUCAGUUUAGUUUUAUGGAGUUAGUUGGAGACAUGUUCCUUUAACUCCUUAUUGAGAUAGUUUAGAGGCUUUCAGAUUUACUUUCAAAUUUAUGUUCAGAUUUAGUUUUUUUGGGUAUUUUAGCCCACAUGGUUUUAUUCAGUUGAACCUUAUGGCCUUAUAGUUCCAUGUAUUCCGCAUUAUUAUACUAUGAUUUGCAGUAUAUAGGUACAGAUAUCAGCCAUGGGUUAGAUUGUGGUCCCUUGGGUUCAUGAGCACCGUGUAGCAUUCUGGUUCAGCAAAUUGGGGUGUUACAAACUUGGUAUCAGAGCCUAGGGGUCAAUAGAGUCCUAGGAAGUCUAAAAGCCGCAUCUAGUACAGUCUUGUACAUAGGUGUGUUGCGCACCACAUUUAUGUGCGGGAGGCUAUAAGAUGUUUUAGGAAGAGUUUCCUUUCUUCAUUAUUCAUGUCAUGCUAGUGAGCAUAAUCACAAGUUAAACUCUCAGUCUAAUCCAUUCUUCUCUUAUUCCAGACCAUGGCCCCAAAGAGAAGAAACCAGCCAACUCCUCAGCCCGAAGAUCCUUUGGGCGAACAUGUUUCCCAUGCAGAGUUUAGAGCCGCAUUUACCACACUUGCUCAGUCCAUGGCUGCACAGAACGAAUGGAUACCAGUCAUUUCGGCCAAUCCAGUGGCCACUCCCAAAGAAGCUAGGGUUCGGGACUUUACCCGGAUGAACCCUCUAUCUUUCCAUGGGUCUAAGUCUGAUGAGGACCCUCAGGAGUUUAUUGACCAAAUCUAGAAGGUCAUUGACAUCAUGGGUGUUACUUCUAUUGAGAGUCUGAGUUAGCCACCUACCAGUUACAGGAUAUUGCUCAUGAUUGGUACAAACAGUGGAAGUCUGAGAGGUUAGAUAAUAUAGGCCCUAUCGAGUGGGAGGAAUUUGUCACAUCCUUCUUAAAUAGAAUCUUUCCCCAAGAGCUGAGGAAAGCCAAAGUUCUUGAGUUCAUCAACCUCAGGCAAGGGAAUAUGACAGUUAAGGAGUAUUCUCUCAGAUUUACUCAGCUAUCUAGGUAUGCUCCUCAUGUGGUUGCAGACAAUAGAGCUAAGAUGAGCAAGUUCGUGUUAGGGGUCAACGAUAGCAUGGUAAAUGAGUGUAGGUCUACGAUGCUGAUCGGGGAUAUGACCUUAGCAAGACUCAUGACCCAUGCCCAGCAAGUAGAAGAGCAGAAGUUUAAGACUAGAGAGAGGCAUAACAAGAGAGCAAGGUCAGGUAAUUUCAACUUUGCUCACCCCAAGUCAGAUGAAGGAAACCGUUCAAAGUUUCACUCCAAUUCAGCCGUUCCAGCUCCUUCCUCUGCCAGCGCUCCAGUGCCGAAGUUCAGAGAUGGCAAUAAAGAUAAAGCACCAGGCUCUAAAUCUCAGGGCAGUGUUAGCAGUGCUCGAACGAAUUCCCUUCGUCAGACUUGUGGUAAGAACCACAAGGGUAUUUGCAGAGCCGGUAGUGAUGUCUAUUUUGGUUGUGGCAAGCCGGGCUACAGGAUUAGGGAGUCUCUGCAUUCAUAUCUUUAGGGUCAGCAAAAUUAUUCUACAGCUCAGUCCAGUCGCCUGAACCAGCAGGGUGCCAUUUUCAGUGCUACCAGUGGGCAAAGCCCAAACAGACUCUAUGCUCUUUAGUCCCGACAGAAUUAGGAAAAUUCUCCUAAUGUCGUUACUGGUACAUUACAGAUUUUCCUUGUUCAUGUUUAUGCUUUGCAAGACCUAGGUACAUCUUUGUCUUUUGUUACUCCAUACAUAGCAAGAGAUUUCGAAAUCAGUACCAAAGUCCUAGCAGAGCCCUUCUCAAUCUCUACCCUAGUGGGUAAAAUUAUCAUAGCUCGGCGGGUAUACAGGAACUGCUCGAUUAUGAUACCUCAGAAAUCCACAUCAGCAAAUUUAGUAGAGUUAGAGAUGACUGAUUUUGAUGUCAUUCUCGACAUGGAUUGGCCUCAGUUCUUCUAUACCACAGUCGACUGCAAAAAUAGAAUAGUUUAGUUUUAGUUCUUGAAUGAGCCCGUCCUAGAGUGGAAGGGUAGCAUUUCAGUGUUCAGGGGUCAACUUGUUUCCUACCUUCGGGCAAGGAAAAUAAUUUCUAAGGGGUGUGUGUAUCAUCUCUUGUAUGUUAAAAAUUCUAGUUCUAAAAAUCCCAGCCUCGAAAUAGUCCCUAUUUUCAAUGAAUACUCAGAUGUCUUUCCCGAAAAUCUUCUAGGCAUUCCUUCCAAAAGGGAAAUAGACUUCGGCAUAGACCUUCUUCUAGAUACUCAACCUAUUUCUAUUCUGCCAUAUAGAAGGGCACCAGCAAAACUCAAGAAACUAAAAGAUCAGUUGAAGGAUCUCUUAGAUAAGGGAUUCAUCAAACCCAGUGUUUCCCCAUGGGGUGCGACAGUAUUAUUCGUGUGCAAUAAAGACGGUUCUCUCAGGAUGUGUAUUGAUUAUCGUCAACUCAACAAGGUCAUGGUUAAGAAUAAAUAUCCUCUUCCCAGGAUUGAUGAUCUAUUCGAUCAACUUUAGGGUGCCAAUUACUUCUCCAAGAUAGACCUCAGAUCAGGCUAUCAUCAGCUCAGAGUUAGAGAAUGUGACAUUUCGAAGACAGCUUUCCAUACUCAGUAUGGUCACUUCAAAUUUCUAGUCAUGUCAUUUGGUCUUACUAAUGCCCCAGCAGCUUUUAUGGAUUUGAUAAAUCGUGUGUUCAAGAAGUACUUGGACAUAUUUGACAUACUCUUUAUAGAUGAUAUUCUGGUCUAUUCUCGCACAAAGCGUGAUCAUGCAGACCAUAUCAGGAUUGUUCUUCAGACUCUCAAGGAUCAUCAAUUAUUCGCUAAGUUCAGUAAGUGUGAAUUUUGGCUAAGAUCAGUAGCAUUCCUUGGCCAUAUUAUUUUCAGUGAUGGCAUUAGAGUAGAUCCUCAGAAAAUCGAGGCAGUAAGAAACUAGCCCAGACCCGUAUCUCCAUCAGAUAUUAUGAGUUUCUUAGGUUUGGCUGGCUAUUACAGAUGGUUUGUCGAGGUAUUUUCUUCUAUUGCAUCUCCCAUGUCCAUAUUGACUCAAAAGAAGAUUAAGUUUCAGUGGUCAGAUUCAUGCGAGAAGAGCUUUCCAGAGUUAAAGACUCGACUCACCUCUGCUCCAGUUCUAGCUAUUCCAAAUGGUUUAGAUGGUUUUUUAGUCUAUUGUGAUGCAUCCAGAGUGGGUUUAGGUUAUGUCCUCAUGCAUCAUGGUAAGGUCAUAGCCUACGCCUCCAGACAGUUAAAGCCACAUGAGAAGAAUUAUCCUACUCAUGAUCUUGAGUUAGCAGCGGUAGUUUUUGCCUUGAAGAUUUAGAGGCAUUAUCUCUAUGGAGUUCAUGUAGAUAUCUUCACAGACCAUAAGAGCCUUCAGUAUGUCUUUUUCUAGAAAGAUCUCAAUAUUCGCCAGAGAAGAUGGUUAGAGCUCUUGAAAAAUUAUGACAUGAGUGGUCUUUAUCAUCUGGGCAAGGCCAAUGUUGUGGCUAACGCUCUCAGUCGACUCUCCAUGGGUAGUAUUUCUCACGUUGAGGAUAGUAAGAAAAAAAUAGCUUAGGAGAUCCAUCAGCUUGCCAGUCUAGGCGUUUGCUUAGUUGAUUCUUUAGAGGGGGGUGUAUAUGUUCAUAGAAGUUCAGAGUCAUCUCUAGUUUCCGAGGUGAAAGAGAAACAAGACAGGGAUCCUAGCCUUGUCAAGCUCAAAGAGUCAGUUCAGAAUCAGAAAGUCGAGGUUUCCUCCCAAGGUGAAAAUGGUGUUCUUAAUUGUCAGGGUCGUCUAUGUGUUCCAGGUGUAGAUGAAUUGAGGCAGCGAAUUCUUACAGAAGCUCAUGGUGUGUAAUACUCUAUUCAUUCAGAGGCCACUAACAUGUACCGCAACAUGCGGGAGAUCUAUUGGUGGAGUGGGAUAAAGAGAGAUAUUGCAGAGUUUGUGGCUAAGUGCUCUAAAUGUCAGUAGGUUAAGAUAGAGCAUCUGAAACCUAGUGGUUCCAUGCAAGAGUUCACCAUUCCUACUUGGAAGUGGGAAGAAGUUAACAUGGACUUUGUGAUGGGUUUGCCUAGAACUCGUCAUCAGCAUGAUUCAGUCUGGGUCAUUAUAGAUAGAAUGACCAAGUCAGCUCAUUUCCUUCCUGUUCGUACUUCUUAUUCCACCAAGGAUUAUGCCAAACUCUAUAUAAAAGAGUUAUUCAGAUUACACGGUGUUCCACUAUCCAUCAUUUCAGACAGAGGUACCUAGUUCACUUCUUACUUUUGGAAAGCAUUCCAAAAGGGUCUUGGUACCCAAGUCUAUCUCAGCAUAGCAUUUCAUCCUCAGACAGAUGGCCAAUCAUAGAGGACCAUUCAGGCUCUUGAAGAUAUGCUAAGGGUGUGUGGAAUUGACUUCAAGGAAAGUUGGGAUGACCACUUGCCUUUGAUUGAGUUUGCAUACAACAAUACCUAUCAUUCUAGUAUUCAGAUGGCUCCAUUCGAAGCUCUUUAUGGUAGGAGAUGUAGAUCUCUGGUUGGUUGGCUUGAAGUUAGUGAGGCCUCAGUCAUAGGUCCUGACUUAGUAUUCUACGCCUUAGAGAAAGUUCAGUUGAUUAGAGAGAGACUCUUAGCUGCUCAGAGCCGACAGAAGUCCUAUGAAGAUGUUUGUAGAAAGUAUCUCGAGUUUGAGGUCAAUGACUAUGUCUAUCUUAAUAUCUCUCCCAUGGAAGGAUUAAAGAGGUUCGGCAAGAAAGCGAAACUCAGUCCCCAGUAUGUCGAUCCCUUCAAAAUUCUUUAUCGCUUUGGCAAGGUAGCUUAUGAGAUUGAGUUGCCUUCAGAUCUAGCCUUAGUCCAUCCAGUCUUUCGUGUCUCUUUGCUAAAGAAGUGCAUAAGUGACCCAGUAGUUGUUGUCCCUAUUCAAAGCAUCGACAUUUAGAACAGCCUCUCUUAUGAAAAGAUUCCAGUCAAAAUCUUAGAUUAUCAGACUCGUAGAUUGAGGAACAAAGAAGUCCCUCUAGUCAAGGUUCUUUGGCGAAAUCAGUCUUAUGAAGGAGCUACUUGGGAAGCAAAAGCAGAUAUACGUACCAAGUAUCCUUACCUCUUUCCCGCCAAUUCAGAUCAAGCUCAAGGUAACAGUUCUCCUUAAGCUUAUUAAGUUUCAUGUUCAUGUUUCCAGUAUAAACUUGGUAGCUAUUAACCGUUUCAUACUUAGUCACGCAUUUAUGUAUCUAUUGUCCUUGCAUCAGAUAUGCACACGAGUUUAGUAUGUUUAGCAUGUCAGUCAUGAGAUCAAGUUUCAGCUCUUCAUGUUCAGUUCAGGUUCUAUUGUCUUGUAUCUUUUCUCAAUAAAUUCUUAUUCGAGGACGAAUGUUCCCAAGGGGGAGAUAUUGUAAUACCCUGCAUGUUUCUAAUCCUGUGAUUCAUACUUCAGUACAUGACUUACAAUGAAUAUCCUAGUGAUAGGAUAGCUUAGGAUGCAUUAAGCAUGUUUAUAUGAGUCACUUAAGGUAAUACAAGCUAAGAGUUUUUUUGAAUCCAUCAAGUCUUAGUGUUUAACUUUGCAGGGGUCAUCUUUGAAUGAGUAUAACUCGAUGUUAAUGUGGUAUUUUGGAUGAUUUAGACCCACCAAGUUGUAGAAAAUUGAAUUAGCUUUCCAACGAUACCAACUUUGCCUUAAUCUAAUACCCGAACGAAAAGUUAUGCCCAUUUUCGUGAGAGACAGUAAGCAUAGGCGAUUGGUUAGGCGUCGCCUAACCCAAGCAUAGGCGAUUGGUUAGGAGCCGCCCAACCUAGGCAUAGGCGAUCACUUGGGCGCCGCUUAAGCCAAUUUCAGGUGUCAAAAACACUCUGUCUUGAGUUAUUUUAAAAGGAAUUAAGUCUUUAAAUACUCCUUACACGUCCCUAAACUUAACCCUACAAAAUUUAUAUCUUCUAAACAUACUACAACCCUAUUUUCAUCUCAAAGCUCAUCAUCCAAGAGCACUAAAGGAGAAAAACAACUAGGGUUGCAUAAGUAAGCUUAAAGAUCCGAUUUCAAGGAAAUUCCUCUGUCAAUCAUCAAGAAUCUUCCGUUUAAGGUAUGCAUAGUAUUCAUCUAUGGAUUCAAUUAGUUCAUAGAGUCCAAGAAUCAAUCUUUAAAAUACAAAAGCUUGGUUGAUUGUGGUGAUAUGAUCAUACCCAUGUUAAUGCUUGUUUGUUUUCCCCUUUUUCAUUAUAAAAGUAUGAUUUCUAUAUUGUUGGGUGUUGAUGAUCAUGUUGUUGAUAUUGGAUGAUUCCCAAGAUGGAAUCUUUAUAUGUUUUUGUGAAUUCAUGAUAUCAUAUCAGUUGGAAACAUGUAAAUUUGGUCGUUCAUGAUGUAUAAUUUGAUGAAUUCACCUAUGCUUAAGAUGUGCAUGUAAGGUGUUUGAUAAAAUGCCUAAAGAACUAGAAAUCAUGCAAUAUAGCUAAAUUGUGACUAAGUGAAGGAUUCAUGAUAUGCCCUCAUGUUCCAAUGACUUCUAUGAUUGAUAAUGUGUGUAUGAUAACCAUCCAAUCCACAUGAACUUCCAUGCUAUUAGUAUGUGUUACCAAUAUGAUUAUGCAACGAACAUGAUAUUAAGAUUGUGCAAGUACUUUCAUGUGAUAUGAAAUCCUUUCCAUACAAUACAUUGUUGAUAACCAUGCAUAGUAUAAGAUCCCUACUUAUGAUAUUAUACAUUAUGGACUCUACUCUUAUGAUCAAGUCAGUCAUGCACGUCAGUUUCCUUUCAUCGAGUUCUGGGGGUACUUGUACCUGAAAACUAUAGUUGUGUGCCUAGAUCCAUGUCAUGUUUCACGAUAUCCGAACUCAAUCUAUGAUUCCAUAGACUUCAGUCAGUCAUGUGACUCAGGAAAAUCUUAUGAUCUUAGUCAGUUGUCAUAUAUCAGUAAUAUUUCGUCAGUCAUUGGAAUCCAGAAACUAUGUUUAACUCUGCUAAACAAUACCCCUAGUAUCAGUCCAGUUAAUCAGUAUCAGUUCAGUUAAUCAGUUCAAUUCAGUUAUUCAGCUCAACUUAGUUAUUCAAUUUAGUAUCCUUCAGAUGGGAGUAGAGGUUAGCACCGAGUGAACCCAAGGAUGGGAACUCACCCGCCAGUUCAGGGUGUGAUUCUUAGUAGCAAUCCUUGUGUUCCAGAUCUACAUAGCUAGCGUAGGUUGAGACAUUUUAACCCAUCAGCUUAGGGUUGAUGAGGUGGCUUAACCUGUCAGUUUAGGGUUCCCACCAUUCUCAUUGAGUACCCUCCAGAUUAGGGUCACUCACAGCUGUCCUUACCAGUGGCAUAGUAUUGACACCCCUCCAGUUGGGGCAGAUAUUGGACCCCGGCUUAGCCAUAACGGCAUACAUGGGGCAUGUCGGUUAAACACUAUUUCCCACAAUUUCAGUAUCAGUCUCAGUAAAAGAACUCUAAUAGUUCUUCAGAUUUCAGUAUAUACAGGACUGUCAGAUACAGUCAUCCAUGUUAUCAAUUUCAGUAUCAGUCAGGACAGUUAUCAGUAAACUAUGUAUUAGCUUACAAGUCAUGCUAUCAUGUAUUCACGGUCCCAGUUUCUAUAUAUGUGUGUUUGCACUCCCACGUUCAUAUUAGUCAGUCAGUCUUGUUCAUACAUGAAACCCUUUAUGUUCGACCUACCCUCCUCGUAUACUUAGUACUCCAAUUGUACUGACGUAUUUGCGCUAUGGUACUUUCUUUUCAUGUUACACCAUAGGUUUCGAGACCCGAGCUCCAGCCCAGCAGUAGCGGUAGCAUUCCAGUCUCAGAGACACAGUGAGUCCUUAUUGAUUCGAGGACAGUAUGAUUUGAUUCAUUUAUUUACUCUUCAGUUCAAUUUUAUGGAUUUAGUUGGAGAUAUGUUCCUUCAACUCCUUAUUCAGACAGUUUAGAGGCUUUUGAAUUUACUUUUAGAUUUAUGUUCAGAUUUAGUUUUUUUGGGUAUUUUUGGCCAUAUGGUUUUAUUCAAUUGAACCUUAUGGCCUUACAGUUCCAUGUAUUCUACAUUAUUAUAUUAUGAUUUGUAGUAUACAGGUACAGAUAUCAGUCAUGGGUUAGCUUGUGGUCCCUCGGGGUCAUGAGCAUCAUGUAGCAUUUCAGUUCAGCAAAUCAAGGUGUUACAAUUAGGGAGGAGGUGGACAUCUUGUGAGCAGAUAUACGCUCUCUCACAAAGUGAUAUAUGAUGGUUGCUCCUCCAGUCAUACCCCUAGUCAUUCGGAUAUCACCUCUACUUGGGCCUAGGCAUUUUGAUUUAUUUGUCAAAGAUGAUAAAGAGGUACCACUAGUUGGGGCCAAGAGAGGAAGUGUGGGGGAAUCUAUAGGAUUUUAAUAUAUAAUAUGAUUAGGACUUUAAAAAGGCCAGAUAUGAUUCGAUGAAUUUUGUAAUUGUUGAUAGGUAGAGGCAUACAGAGAUAGCAGCGGGUUCAUCUUCUAGUAGUGCACCACUACCACCACUGCCUCUGUCAGUGGAUAUACCCCCAUCUGGGGAUACCAUGACACGGAUGCUUAGUGUAUCCAGGUAUGUCCUCAUUCCCUUUGUUUUUAUACUAUUUUAGCGAAUUGGGGAUAGUGAACAGCUUUCAGUUGGGGGUGGGGUAUACCAUAGUCGCCAUGGGUUUUUGUUUUCAUGUUUUUUUUUUCUAUCGGUUACGGUAUGGUUGUCGAAUCGGCACGUCUAGGGUAAAUUUGUUUUGUAAUGUGUUUUGUUUCAUAUUGUGAUAUUUUUUGUGUAAUUAAGAGAUUUUUAAGUAUUUAGGGAAGUUGUCAUGUUUUUUUAUUAAUUUUUGUAAAAAAUAAUACCCCUCCAAAAUUUUAGAACUAUGUAAAUGUAUAUAUGUAUGAACAUUGUAGAUCUUGUUAUGGCAUUAGGAUUAGGGACAUAAUAAUCACUUGCUAACAAUUGCAUGAACCAGAUAAGUAGUAGCUUGUAAUAUUGACUCUAUCCAUGUGUGUGAGAUGCUACUUAGUUCCCUUUGUGUGUUGAAGUCCAAACUUGCCCGGUCAGUCUUGCCUAGGUUGUAGGAUAUUUGGUUAGGAAAGGAUCAUAUGUCAUUUUUUACUUUAGUCCACUUUUAGCCUAAGUGACCUUCUGAAUGUGAAAUAGUAUCCAUCCAUCCCUGUUUUGAGCCUUAUAGUUGUUUUCUUGUUUCACCUUUCAUCUUCUCAUUUGUGUCAUAAUAACCUAUUUUGUCACAUUUCUCCUUGGACAUUGUGCACCUCAACUUAGGAAGAUCGCCUAAGUUGAGGGUGUCUAUCAUAGGGGUGUGUGAUAUAAAGUGGGUAUAUAGAAGGGUAAAAUAAAAAAGUUAGUAGGAAUGGGUGUGGUAUCAAAAGAAAAAGAAAAAAAAUAAAAGAAAAAGAAAAAAAUUGUGAAAAAGAAAGACUAAAAGACUACACCCAACCUAAAUGUGCAAUAAAGAAUAAGAAUGAAGAAAUAAGGGUGGAAUAAAAAGAAGGAUAGCUAAUGAGUGGACCCCAAAGUUAGUGUAGUGUCAAGGAGGCUCAGUCACUUAAUAUGUCCAUAUGUACCAUACCAGCUCCCCAAGCCUACAUUACAAGCUGAGAAAAGUCCUAUAGUGAUCCUAACUUGACUGUCUGAAUGUUAUGGUAAUGAAAAUAAGGGCAAUCCUAUGGUAUUUGAUGCACAUUGAUUGGAACUUCUCUUUUAAGUGUGAGUGUCUAUUGAUUGUCCCUACAUUGACAUGCAUUAUUUCAUAUGAGUGAGUGGGAUAUAUUUGUUGUGAGGGCACAUGAGUCAUAUUGCUAGCUGCUUACUGUGUUGGGUAGUGUAACUUGUCCAUAUGCACCGGUUGUCUGUUGCUAAUGUAAUGUCGUACCUUGCUCCUAUUGUGUCACAUUAUUGUGCUUCAUGUUUAUACUCAGUUCAUUUUAAAAAGUUGAUAUAGGAGAGGGUAUUGUGAUUUGAACUUGAAGUGUUGAUUGAUUUCCUUAGAUAUCUUAGAUUCUCCUAGUUAAGCGUCAUAUUUUAUUUUAUUGUGUUGUGUUUCCUGAGGGCAUGCAAACAUUCUAAGUUGAGGGUGUUAAUGUGUUAUAGAAAUACAACACUUUCGACGCUUAAAACUAUGAAAAUAUGAAAGUUUUUUAGGUUGUUUUGUUAGAUAUGAUGUGUUUUGGGUAUGUUUUGUAGGAAACUAGAUUUUGGAUGCUAAGUUCAAGAAAAAGAUGAAAAAUGGAGUUUUUGGCUAAUUACUUAAUCAUUUUUGGGAGUUUGUGAUACUUUUUGAAUGUACAUGAUCAAAGCAUGUGUUGAAACUUGAAGUUUGGAAGCUUCAUUAAAAGAUUUGGAAGGCCUAGCACUUACCUAUGUCUACAUGUAGACCACACGUAGCACAUAUGGUCUGUAUAUGACUAGGGUAAGUACCAGAAUUGAAGAUCCAGAGAGUGAAAGAGCUGAUAAAGAACUUCUGGCACUUUACCGCAUGUAGCACAUGUAAACCGCAUGUGGGUAAGGUAAGUGCCAGAAUUUCAAAGUCCAGAGAGUAGACAGUGUAGGAAAUUUUUCUGGCACUUACACAUGUCUACAUGUGCCCAGGGUCAGGCCACAUGUGGCACAUGCGCCUAAGUCCAGGCCGCAUGUAGACACAGGUAAGUGGCCACUGGCCCUUUUUUGCCUUUUUCGUCCGGGUUUUGAUUUUAAGAUUUCCUUAUGUACUAUAAAUACCCCUUAAGUAUUUUUUUUUGUAGAGGUUACACCCUUUUGAUACUUAAAAAUAUUUUUUAAUUUUGAGAUCUAAUUUUUGUCUUAGAAUUCUCUUGUAUUAAUUUUGGUUGAUUAAUUCAGUUAAAGUUUUGGGUUUUCAAUUGUGAUUAUUGUGAUUACAUCUUAUGAUUUUAAUUAUGAAUGUUGUUGACUCUUUCACAAGCAUAAGCAGCUAAAAACCCUUAUCUAGGAUUGUGGAAAUCCUGUCAGAUUAACGAAGUAGGGAAGUGCUACAUUUUUUCUGAAUCGAUACUCAUGCAUGCAUUGUAUUAUCUUCACUUUAAUAGCUAUCUUAGCUAUUGCAAACAUUAGAAUCCCACCUAGAUUAUUGUUGCUUACUCCAAAAGAGGAGUAGUGACUAGGAAAAGAUAAUUACAACAGUAAUUUAAAGUUUAACUUUCGAUCUAUGCUACUAGGUAUUAUCUAAGUCAGAUGGUUAGUUGUCAGCUAAUAACUGGAGACUCAAAAGGUAAUAGUUAACUAGAAUUUAGGAUAAGGAUUAGUAAGGCGACAUCCUGAGACUCAAAAUGUUAAAGGUAAAAUCUGUCAAUUAGUCCAAAAGAUAGUUGAUAGUACAUAACUUAUCAGAUUCUACAUGCAAGGUAUCGGGUUGGUUCAAUAAAGCAUGAUAAGCCUAGGGAGUUGAGAAGAAGGGGGGAACACAAUCCUAGUAUUCAUCGAUGGUUGAUUAAAACCAAAGUUAAUAUUAGCUGUUUGUUCUAUAUUGGCUCUACAAUCCACCCCUUACCCCCACCCUCGCAAUUUACUUUUCCAAUUUUGGCCAUUGAUUACAGCAGCUGAAAGCCACAAUUCUACGUAUCCCCUUGGGAUUCGACCCCAACCUUUAUUGGGUUACUAUAUUGACAUCAACCGCAUAAUCUUCAUAUUGAAGGUGUAGCUUGGGCGUUAUCAACAGAAAAGUGUAAAACUUCAAUUAGGACACAAGGUAUGAAAGAUCUGCACGAUAAGGAACAAAACAAGAAAAGUUUCUGAAGGAUGUCUUACAGUCUCUGGAAGAUAGAUAUAGACGUCUACGCACCGAUUCACAAAACUCUAUUAGACACCUCGCUCUGAUAUUAAUGAGAUCAAUGAACCUAGCUGCCUAAUACCAAUUUGUCACGGUCCAAAAACUAAGGGCCAUGAUGACACUUGUUUCGGCAAGCCUUGACAAGUAAGCCAAUCACUCAAACUGAUAUAAAAUGAGAAAACAACAGCAAAAUCCAAGGUAAGACUUCUAGAACAAAGUCAAACCAUACAAAUACGAUAAUAAUGGACAAGAACAUAUCAAUAAUACCAUAAAUACCCCCAAAAUCUGGUGUCACAGUGUAAGAACCCACUAAAUAUAAGUCGAGUCAAAAUAUACAUUUGAUGUCCAAAAAGGAACAAACUCUGUCUCUGAAUAUAAAAUAAGAUAAAGUCCAUAUAAGAAAAGAUAGAUGGUCAAUUCUGAAAUCAUAGAUCGACCACUACCUCGAACAUAACUUUAAGCACCGCCUAAAUCAGCUACUGUGUGGCGCACUCAUACCUGGAUCUGUAUUGAAAAGACACAAUAUGGAUGAGUACGGUCCACUUGUACAUAGUAGGUAUCAUAGGGCGAUUGACCAAAGUAGAAAAUAAAAAAUAUAAACGCAAACUAUAGGCAUGUCACCUGCUAGGGGUGUACAUAGGUCGAGUUGGUUCGAUUUUUAUUAAAAAAAACAAUCAUGUCGAUUUAUUAAAACUAUAAACCAAAUCAAACCAACAUAAAAUUGAUUUUUUCGGUUUAGGUUUUAGUCGGGUUUUUUUGGGUUUUUUUAUUUUUUUAAAUUUUUUUAUAAUAUUUAAUUUUUACAAUUAUAUUGUGAUCGAAGACUAGAUCAAAUAUAUUUUCACUCGUGUGCUAAUGAAAAACCAUAAUUAUGAAAAAAUUAGGAGUGAAAAACUCUCUUGAAACUAAAAAGUGAGAUGAAGAGUGAAAAGUUUAGGUUUUAAGUUUAUAUUGGGUUUUGAAUCAUUUAAUUAGCAAUUAAUGGACAAAUAUUACAACUUAAAGGCCCAAAUCUAAAUAUAUAUCUACAUCUACUUUCAAAUUAUUGAAAAUUACUAAAACUAGUUGAAAAAGUAUUUAAAAAUAUAUAUAUAUUAUGUCGGUUUGAUUCGGGUUCGGUUUGACUUUUUUUUGGUCAACACCAAAUUAAACCAAGAAUGGUCAGGUUUUUUUUCUAACGCCAAACCAAUCAAACCAAAUCAUAAGUCGGAUUUUUUUCUCGGUUUGGUUUGGUUCGUCGAUUCGGUUUGACUUGAUGGUUUGGUUUGUACACCCCUAUCACCUGCAAUCAAAAAAGUCUCAAAUGGUAGACCACACUGUCUCCACUAAUAGUUCUAAAAUAUACACAUAUACCACACACAAAUAUGAAAAAAAAGAACAAAUAUACAUGAUUACCAAAUACAAGUAGGACAAAGGAGUACAAAUAGACAGAUAUCACAUCAAGGAAGAUAAUACAACAUAAAGUGAGCACAAUACAUGAAAUACAAUAAAGAUGAUGAUGAUGUGAUGUUAUGUGAUGCAUGAGGUCGUAUCACAAUCUCUGUAUACAUCUACCGAAUUGUGCUCUCUAGGUAGGACCCAUGAGGGGGUCGUCAAUCCAUAUACAAUCCGAUAUCCAAUACCAAUAUCCAUAACUCCUCUCUGGCACAUCUAUUCAUAAAGGACUUUUAAAGAUAUCACAUUUUCUGUUAGUAAAAGCCAGUAUUUCCGUGGUUGUACCAAUAUUUCAUGAAUACAUAUGGUAUGAGGAUGUAAUGUUUACAAUCAACCAGAAUGAGAAUUUUCAAGAUCCAACCAAUAUAUCAACCAUGUGAGCCAAAAUUCACUCAAUAUGUCAAUCAUCCAUGAAUCCAAUUUAAUACAUAUGCCAAUAGAGUAAAAUACACAAUAAUAUGACAUUGAUACCACAUAAAUUCCAAUUUAGUCUUUUUCACAAGAAAAGAUACAACCAAACAUACAUAGACAAGGCUAACAAGAUCAUAUAAGACCUCAUACGAUCACACAUAGCAAACAAUGUCUCAAAACCAUCAAAUAGCAACAACAUAGGCCCCUACAUGGGUUUAACACAAUAAUAACAAUAUUUCAUGAUUGGUUCCCUUACCCAUGACAUGCUUUUAUACAAGUAUUAACUACUCAGCCCAGUCUGAAGAAAGUUAAGUCAUAACCUACCUCGAAUGUCGAAAACUGAUCCAAAAAGCCUUCAACACAAAGUUUUUCCUUACGAAUGAAUCUAGAAUCAACUAAAACAUACAAAUAUAGAGUUUACACGUUAAAAGAAAAUCAACGAUACCCAUAUUAUUCAAUUUUGAUUUGGGAUCAAAAUGGAUCCCCGAAAUAAAUUUUCAAAAAAGAAGGAUAAGAUCAAAAUUUUUGUUCAAAAGGAUAUUUUCCAUGAUUAAAGAAAUCCAAGGGAUAAAAUCCAUGUGAAAACGAAUUGAAAUUGGGGUUUAAAUCAAAGAAUUACUAAUUUUAGGCCUUUCGGGCCAAAAUCCUCAAAUUUUAUUUUUGAAUUCAAGUUUUAAUAAGAUUUAAAUGACAAGAAUCAAACAAAAAUAAUUGAAAUAGGGAUUUAAAAUUUAUCCAAGCUUGAAAAUGGGAGAAAUUAUCCAAAAACUCUAAGAUCCAAGUCUCAAAAAUGACAAAAAUUGAGAAAAGAGGAUGUACAUACCACCAGGCAUCGCUUAAGCGACCACCGGAUUGCUUAAACAGAUGUCCCUUAAGCGACCAGGUGUCACUUUCGCGAUACCCUCCUGGUCAGCGAGUGUUGCGUAAGCAGUCGGGUAGUCGCUUAAGCAAGUCUGUCAUCGUGUAGGCGAAACUUUGGCUGUUAAGACCAUUCGCUUAAGUGGUGCACUAGUUGAAGACUUAAAGAAUUUCAAGUCUACGUAGAUCUCUCAGGAUUCGUCUGGAAUCCCAAGAACGCAGACGAACUAUGCUGCUAGACUAAAUUCGACGCUUCGGACUUAAUGGCGAUAUUAGAAUUUCAAAAAAGAUAUCAUUUUCACAAAGUUGAUCCCCGAAAUUCAAUUUCACAACUUUCCGAACCAAGGGACAAAAUGAGAUACAAAAGUCGUAAAACUACACCAACCAUGUUACCAAUCUAAAAUCGACGUUCCGGAUCUGCUAGCGCAGUCUGUUUUGUCAUCAGACGCACAAAUCAAUAAAAUAUUGACCGAAGUCAACUAAUAAGCCUUUUUAACCUCCAAAAACCACAAACUAGCAUAAAUCACACCGAAAUGGAUUGAAAACCAUGCUAAUCAUCCCCACACUCCAGAAAUAUUACAAAGCAACUACAAAAAGUGGUAAAAUGAUCAAAUCACAUAGAAAUAAAUAAUUCACAAGAAUCACCAAGAAUCACCAAAAAUCAAGACGUUACAAUGUGUUUAUAUAUGUGUAGGAAGCGGUUAGAAGUGAAACAGAGGUAGAAGGAGCAAGAACAUGAAAAAAAAAAAUAGUAGUAGCGAAAUUUACUGCCAAUUAAUCAGUUUAAGUGGAUAACUCAAUAGGAUAUUUAGAUAAAUCAUAACCCAUUUGUUCCACUUCAACUUCAACAAUUUACUUGUUUAUUACGUUUCCAUCACAAGUAAUUACAUGGUAAUCAAAUUAUCUUUUGGUAUGAGUUCUUAUAAUGACACUUUCAAAGCAUGUCCAUAUCUUUUGCUGUGCAAUUCUUCAAUCAUUAUGUGUACUUAAACCACUUCUAUCUUGUGAUGAAAUUGACAUGGCAUUAAUUGCUUGAAGCGCAGUACAUAUGCUGCCGCAUUAACGGAACUCAAGUCUUGAUGUUGUAUUAAGUAUCGAGGUGAAAUUUAUUAUUUUUAAUUGGCCUGUCCCUUUCGCUCCGAAUUUUUUCACACAAAGAAGAAAUUAAAAUCUUGAAUGAGAUUUAUUUAGAAACAAAAAGGGCAGGAGCUUUUAUUUUUUUCAUUAUUUGCUCCUAAUUACAAGUCGCUCUUGCUAGGUCUUUGCCUAAAAACAAAGACUAGAAACCAGUACUGCUAGAAAAUUACAAUAGCCAAGGUUCUACAUGCAUACAUUUUAAAAGGACCUACGCUGUGGAGAUAAAAGGAGGCUCUCUCCUCCUCUGUUCAUCUUCAAGCGCUGUGCUUCAUUUGGUGAUAUCUGGUAGGCAUUUGUGAGGACCUCAACGGGCAUGGCUCUAAUCACUGAUGUGUAACCUGCUAGUUGGCUGUUCAUUGGUUGACUGCUUGUCCUCAACACCACCCAUUCAAAUCCAUUCUGCCCUGCUCUCAAUGUUGAGGCGAAAUAUUGAGGAACAACAAACAUCUCUCCCUGGUUCACCCUGUCAUUCAUUACUUGUUGUCCAGUGUGGUCUACUACCUGCACUUGUGCAUCUCCAGUUUGUACAUACACCACGCAGUGGCCAUUCACUGCCCAAUGAGGGCUCAUCACUGCAUUCUGCAUCCGCAAAUUUUAAUCAAUUUUCGUCAUAGUACUAGUAGAAAAUUUUUUAUUUUAAUCAUCUCAGCAGAACGAUUCAUUUAAUUACCGGAUAGAGGGUUCCUUUAGUGGCACUCAUGUCCAUGUAUUGAAGGAUGGGAAGUUUUUGGCCGUUGACAUGGUUAAUUUUGCCGGCUUGCCUUGAGAAGAUAUCAGCUCGUCUUCGAGUAUCCAUGUUGGCGCGGUAUUUCAUUGUGCAAACGUUUUCUUCCAAGCCAUUUCCUCUCCUUCGCCAUGGGUUAUACGGCCGUGAACACCCUUGCUGCUCUUCGAAUUCCUCCUCUUCUUCUUCAUCGGGCCUAAUCAUGCUCAUUCCUUCCCUGACAUUAACAAUCAAUCCACGUUCACUUUGCUCUUCUUGCAUCUUACUCACGAUCUCUGUGGGGAUGUUGAAGGCCUCAGCCAUCAAUUCUCUGUCAAAAGAACGAAAAAUGUUCUGAAACUUCUGCGUGAUUUGCUUUCUUAGACCAAUUUGAGUUCUUUUCUUCUCACUUUCUUGUACUCCACCAGCCAAGUAAAAUGCCUAUCGUCCACACAAAUAGUACAAUCCAUGAAUAAGUACAUCGAAUUAAGAAAAGAUUAGAAAUUCAUUAUAUGCACGGGAACUGCAAGAAAUUAAAAUACUCUUACAUUGAUUGGUGUAGUUUAACUAGCGAAAUUCAUCAGUUACCAUUUUUAUCAAGACUAAUGUUGAUAGAGAGAUUUACCUGUAAUUACUUUUUAAGUAAACUGAAAAUCCAUCAGAUCACAUAAAGAAGUGGGAAUUAAUACUAAUUACUACUCCCUCCGUAUUCAAUUUCUAUGUCCUACUCGAAUGACUCUCUCCGUUUUGUAGAACUCUUUUAUUCAACUUUCACAAGACCUGUGUAAGACAUAAAAUUAAAGGACACUUGGAUCCAAUUACCUACCUUUAAGGUAGAAUAUUUAGUUUUAGACUAAAAGAUUCAAGUGUUUUUUUUUUUAAAUUUUCUUACACUCAAGAAAAAAUCGACACAAAGUUUGAAAAAAAAAAUAGACUUGAAUAUCAUGUCAAAUUAAAAUCAAACAAACAAAUUCAAAGAAACUGAAAGAGAGAGAGUGAUAAAUUUUACCCUGAAGUUCUGAUCAAGUUGGUUGGACUGAUGGUUGAGAUCGUUGAUGGAGAUGGCUACGAGCUCUUCCUCACCGUCGUUAAAGCACCAAUGAGCAGCACCAGCUGGAAUUGCCACAACAUCACCUUGGCGAAUGCGGUGAACUUUCUGGUGCUGAUCGCUUCUGCGGCCUUGUCCACUCUCUUCCCAUGAAUCUCGGCCAGCCUGGAAGGUCUGCGAUUGGGUCUGGAAAGUCUCAGCACAGCCGGGGAAAAUAAUGCUUAUCAAUCCCCGGCCACGCUCGAUGUAAACCAAGCGAGGCAUCGGAUGAAAAUUAGGCAAAGAGAGAGAACGACGACGAAGAACAUUCCUCAUAGGAGCAACUCCAGCGCACAGGAAUUGCUCCUCGUUCUCAUCCCACAGCUCAGUGAAGCCGCCCUCUGACUCAAUGCGUUGAGACGGCUGGCUUCCAGUGAGCCUCUGUAUGCGGCAUUGUUGUGCUUGAGUCAGACGAGUGCCUGUCUCACCGUACUGACCUGGUUGUCCCUGAUAUUCUCUAGCAUUUGCU
This 197220-nucleotide long non-coding RNA is filed under the name Capsicum annuum. RNAcentral's name for it is "long non-coding RNA (CANN_LNC005339)". The record is from RNAcentral. Lineage: Eukaryota; Viridiplantae; Streptophyta; Magnoliopsida; Solanales; Solanaceae.